Molecule: long non-coding RNA, 233588 nt
Filed under: Vitis vinifera (wine grape)
Lineage: Eukaryota; Viridiplantae; Streptophyta; Magnoliopsida; Vitales; Vitaceae
Description: long non-coding RNA (VVIN_LNC006580)
Source: RNAcentral
AUUAAAUAGGAUUUACGGUGAGUCAAACAUUGGUCAUUAGGUAGUCUUGACUUCACCAAGCUGCUAUGUUGUAUAAGCUCCCAACCUUGAGAGAAUAUUGAUCUAGUGCUAAGGUCUUCAAUGGAUUUAACCCAUGAGUGAGACCCUAAAGUGGUCAUAUAUUCUCUAUAGAUUGGGUCACUACGAUUGAGGCAUGUGAUAAUAGGUAUUCUCAAGAUAAGCACCAUGAUAUCUUAGGGGUUUGAGACAUUAUGUCCCCUUAGGUGAUCCUAAGGACAUGUGAUCAUGAAAAUUGUGGCCAUAAUAAUUCCUUAAGUGGAAUUUGAUGUAUGCUCUUAGAGAGAUAUAGUAUGUCAAUUGAUCACAUAAUAGGAGGAUCUAAGACUCAAGGAUUGUAGAGGUAGUCUUGAGAGGUUGAUAACAUUCAUCUUGUUAAAUUAUGAAUACCAAUUCAUGGGGAGCUUGCAUGCAAUUGUUAGUAGGUCGCAGACUGAAGUUUUCUAUCUCGAUCUAAUAUCAUAAGGAUACUAAAGUGUAGUUGACUCUUUAUAGUUAGAUUUUGAGUCAACUUUAAAAUUUGAUUUUAGGGGAGCCAACACUUCCCUACGGGUCCUAGUGGUUUCCACUCAAACUCAUAUUCCUUGGUAAAAAAAUAUUUGAGGAAUAGUUGGAUUCUUUAUUUAUAUGUGUGUAUAAGAGCAUUUUGAUAAAUACGGAAGGUUGCACUAGUACAUAUAUAUAGCCUUUUUAGAUUCGGAUAAUUAAUUAAUUGGAACUCAAUAGAACAAAUUAGUUAAUUAGGACUCAAUGAGUUAGAUUAAGUAACCCAAACGUAAGAUGAGCUCAAGUCACUCAAGCUAAGAGGUAAGCCUAUAAAAACUCCUUAAAGGGUUUCAGGCUUAGUACUUUUCAUCCAUUCAAUCUUCUAUCUUAAUAUCUUAAUAAAACCAAAAUGAGAGUGUAGAGUAUAAAAAUAAAAAUGAAAAAGAACUUCUCAUGAGAAGUGAGGUUUGCCUCAACUCUCCUUAUUCAACCCAUUAUCACAUCUUUGGAUUUAAAAUUAUAUCAAAUAAACAUUCAAAUUGUUUUUCUCAAUGGAGAACUAAAUAAGAAGAUCUAUAUAGAUCAACUGACUUGUUUUAUGGAAACUAAAUAGAAAGGCAAAGUUAACAACUACAAAGGUCCAUUUAUAACUUACAAUAAUCAUCUAAACAAUGGUAUAUUACACUAAUGGGUUUAUGAUGGUCUAAGAACACUAUUGCAUGUUUGUUAAAUGGUGUAAAGGUAGAUUCUAUAUUCUAUUUUUUGUAUACGAAUGAAAUGUUGGUUAGGGAUGAUAAUGAGAUGGUUGUCUCUAAAGUGUGGUGGUCGUCAACUUUUAAAAUGAACAACAUGCUUAAAGCAAACUAUGUGUUCAAAGUUAUGAUCCUAAUCAAUCAAUCAAGAAGACUUUUUGGUUUGUUUUACAAAUCAUACACAAUGAAUAUUCUUGAAAAAAUUCUAGAUGUAAAAUUGAAAAUCUAUUGGCAUUCAUAUAGAGAAAGAUAAGACCUUAAGCUUUAACAUGUGUCAUAAGACUUUAGAUGAAUAAGAAAAGAUCACUCAAGGUUCCUAUAUGCUAGCAUUGUUAGUAGCUUAAAGUAUCCAAUGAUGUGUACAUGAACUAAUAUUUGUUAUAUAAUUAGGUUAGUAGCUUCCAAUUAGAUCUAAACCUUGCUUACAAAAAAGCAAUGAACCGGAUGAUUUCAUACCUCAAAGUCACCAUAGGCUAUAUAAUUUGCUAUUGAGGAUUGAAUUUGGACUUGAUUAGCUAUGACAAUGAUAAUUGAGGUAGCAUCAUAAAUGACCCCAAAUCCACAUAUGGUUAUAAUUUUAUAUAUGCUCUAUGAUGUUAGCAUAUAUUGGUGAAAUAGAAAAUAGUCAUGUAUAACAUUGUCUAACAUGCAUGGAGUUGGGAGUACAUUACUUGUCGUUUAGGAAAGUGACUAGUUUAUGAUGUUCAUGCAUAUUUUUCACAAUAUUUCUUGUUCUUUUGAGCAUACUACUAUUUAUUGUGAUAGCAUGGAAACUUUAGCCUAUGUCAAAGACCCCCCCAAGUAUCAUAGUUGAACCAAACACAUCAAUCUUAAAUAUUAGUUUAUAUGAGACAUGGUUACAUAGGAACAUAUUUCUACUUGAUUCAUGGUUAAAAAUCCCUCCCCCCCUCCCCUAUUGACUAAGCUAAUACGUAAAGAUGUUUAUUAGGGCCAAGUUGAGAGCAUUGGAUUAUGUAGAUAAUGAUUACAUAGGAGUUAAGUUAAGAGAAUUGGAUCAUGUAGAUUAUGAUUACAUAUUGUAUAUUUCAAUUAACCAUUAUACCUAUGAUUUAUUCAUUGUCCAAUCUUGUUUGAUGGUGCCAUUUAAUUAUUUAUUUUACUUUAUCGACAUGCACUUUCAUUACUUUGCACAACUGAAACAUAAUGAGUCCAAACCACUUAGAUAGUGUGUUAGGUCAUUGAUAUUUGUAGUACUCCUUUUUGUAUCCAAUAUGACUUACAUGUUAGUAGCGACCAAGUAUAGAUAGUCCUAUUGUCUACAUUUGUAAUGGAGCCAAUUGCCAAAUCUUGUUAAUUUAGUGCUUGAUUUAGUAAGCAUGUGCAAAACUUCAGUUCUUUACUUGAUGCAAUUAAACUAAGAUUUGUACGAUAUAGAAGAUCUAAGGUACACUCAUAAUGAAGAUCUCCAUGUUGGCAUGUAUAUUCAUACUAUAUCUUCUUGGUAAUCAAACAAGAAUGAAUGAAUAUAUUCCUAGCUACUUCCUCAUCCUGUGUAUUAAUCUUAUAGGUAAUUAUAUAGGAUAACUUUUAUGCCCUUGUGAUUUUCAGUCAUAAGUUACAUAUAUGGUGUAGUUUGAAAUAUUUUUCUAGGGGGAUUAACCAUGUUUAACUCAAUGUGAAUAAAUGUGUUUAAGAUAUAAUGAGACACCUUUUAGGGAUGAAUUACAUUGGUUAAGAUGAAAUUUAGUUUAAUUCUCUUACACCUUUCUUAUCAAUGUGUUCAAAAGUUAUACAAUCCAUUGGUCAAUAUAAACAUGGAUGGUAAUGAUAUAGUUGAGAGAAAUGCAUGAUGUUAUUUUGCCUACUAUGCAUGAGUGGGAGACAAUGGAGUUUCGAUUUCAUGAGAUACUCUUAGUAGAACUUCAUCAACUAAGAACUUGAGAGUAAGUUACAUACUUAUCAGUUAAGAUUCCUCAUGGGAGGAAAGUUUAGUUAAGAUUCCUCUUGUGGGAGAAGGUUCAUAUUUAGAUUUGGUGAGAAUCUGUAAGAGUUGUUUGUCUUUUUGUAAUUCCAAUUCUAGGCCUUUUGCAUAUUUUCAAUUUAGUUUGUGGCAGUUGUUAAAUACUUCUACUUUAGUUUUUAGCAAUUAUAAUUUUUUAAAGCUUGCUAUUUAGGUUUAGAUUUACUAUAUGCUUAUUAGAUAUCUUAAUUCUUAUUGUAUUCUCCUUGGUUAAUAAUCUUCCAAUUUGAUUGUGGAGUUCAAAGAUUUUAACCAAAAUAGGGAUCAGGGUUUUCAAAGUUAGGAAAAGUAUUUAAUACAAUUAAUUUUUGAAUAAGUUUGCAAACUAAAUCUUUCAAUUGAACCUAAUGAGUUUACAUACUAAAUCUCUCAUUUUCAGCCUUGGUUGUUUCCACUCUUUGCAAUUUAAUUAGUUUUUUUUCAAAUAUAUAUAUAUAUAUAUAUAUAAUUCAUUUUGUGUACCUAUAUACUCAAGUUUUUGAGUAAUUAUGAGUUGUAUUGUUAUAUUUAGUAGAAUUUGACAAACUAAAAAUGAUUACCUUUGAACAAUCGAGUCCAACAGCACAUUUGUGUGGAUAGUUCAUAGCUACCAACUUGAUUCUUCAUGCCUCCUCUAUUAGGUUGACUAAGAAAAUGGUUUAAUUUCAUAGGAACACCUUAAGAAUAAAAAUGUCAAGAAAAAGGAAGGAAAAUUAUGCUUCGUCUAAUUUGACUCAAAGACUUAAAGGAAAAAACAUAAUAAUAUAAUAGUUAUUAUAAUGAAUAUAAUAAAAAGAAAAUUUGUCAUGUUCUUCCCAAUACUCAUUAAACCCCUUUCAAUGAAACUUUGUAAGCUAUACUAAUACAAAAUAAUGGUCCAAAUAGUAAAAGCUCAAUAAAUGAAUGUUUGAUAAAUUAAUAAUCUUACUUAUAAAACAAAAUAUUCUAGUCUUAACUCAAGCCAAUGUACUAAAUUAGUAAUCUCGCUAAAUACAUAAGAUAAAAAUAUUUUCAAAAGUCUUUAAGGGCUUAAGAAAUAUAAACUAAUAAUUGAUGAAGUAUAAACAAAAAAUCAUAGUAUAGCAAAUAGAACUUCAUAACAUAGUAUUAAGUAAUUUUUUAUAACUUUUAUUUUUCUAAAUUCACUUCUUUUAGAAUUAUCACAUAUUUGAAAUAGCUUUAUCUUUUACAACAUUAAGUUUUGAUGCCACAUCUUUGUUGGGGAGUCUUUUUUUCUUUUACAAUCAAUAACUAUUUUUUUUUAUUCAGUCUCUUAGGUUUCUAUUUAUUAACUUUUUACCAUGUGUACUAUUUUCAAAUUUAUAAGUUAUACAUGUACAAAUAAUGUACAAUAACAACAUAAUACUCUUCAUCAAUUAAUAAAUAACCAUUUAUCUAUAAAUCAAUAACCUUGCUAAGAUCAUAUUUUUUCUUGGUCCCAAGAGUAUUAUUUUAUAAGAGUUUUUCUCUAUAUAGUUCCUUCAUUGUAGGAAUUUCUUUAGGUUAAUAUUACUAAAGUUGUAAUUUAAAAAAAAAAACUAUUAUGGAAACUAAGAGAACUUUGAAAGCUAUAAAUUAGUGUUUUAUAUCAUUCUUUUUUUCUAUGAAUGCCAAAGCCAUUGUCAAAUAAAAAGAGUAAAUAAAGUAAUUAGUUGAAAGUGAAAUAGGUGACUUAAAACUAUUGCUUUGGUACAUGUUUGUUUUAGGUAUAGUAGAUCAUAAGAAAUAAAAUCCUCUAGCUAUGUUUAUUUGAUAGAAUAAAAAAGUGAGUGUGUGGUUGCUCCACAGGAGAAGACCACAUGUUAGCCAAAGAAUAAGUAACUAUAAAGCUUACAAAAGUGUUAAAUGAUCAAUUUCUCACCUAAGCACAUUAAUGAGAACUAAAUGAUGAAUUAAACCAUACUCAUGCACCCAUACUAAGACCCAUGCCUCCAUGCGGGGAGACCCUAAUUGGUCCCUAAAAGGAGAAGUUUAACAAUGGCCACAUCCUCUAUGCCAUGUUAUUAUUCCAAAAACAUAGAAAGUUAACCUUUGAGUUGAUGCUUAUUUGUUUGGUAGUUUCCACAUUCUUCUUACUAACUUGACAUUUGAAGGCUCUACGACCAUAAGGAGCCUAGAGUGCUCACUUUAGGUUCCUUAUGAUUGUAAGGUCCUAACCAUCCAUUGAAGUAAGAAAGUGAACUAAGAGUUGGAAAAAUGGUGUCAUCUAUGGUUAAGAUACAAAAAUUCAGCUCACCAAAAAAUCACAGUAAAGCUACUAAAAAACACCCCACCCCCAGGCAAGGACCUUCAUUUAAGUACUCCUUGAGGUAUAUCCAAAUCAAAGACCUAAAGUUGAAGAAAUGAAGUCAACUAAACUUGGUUCCAUGCAUGAUAAGGUUGAAAAGCCUGCAUAAAAACCUACAUAAAGCUUGCUCCUUUAUAAGAAUAACCUGAACCUACAAGGGAAGAAGACCUAUAAAAGGAAAUCAUAAACAACAAAGAAAAAAAAGUCCCUCUCUCCUUUGAAAAAGAUUUCUUUGAAUGCAGAAACCUAUUUUUUGUAUCAAAAAAUUGGUGGAAUAAAAAUUUUCAAUUAUCUAUGAAGAGUGUUAGCUUCUUCAUAUGGGAAUGCAUUAAAAGCCUUGAAGACAUUGUUUAGAUCUAUAGCAACAAUUGGGCAAUAGAAAACUAUGCAAUAGAGUUUUGGUAGGGAAAGGCAAUCAUGAUAGAAAUGAAGUGGAGCAAUGAGUGAGAGCAAACCCUUCAAUAGAUGGAAGAGCUCAUUAAAAGAAGCGACUAACUCACUCAAGAAAAUGUUGCCUUUAGGGUAAGGGUAGACAAAUACCAAUGUGACUUUGACCAACAGCUCUCAUUGGCAAGCACCAAUAAGAUGCAAGUUAAUGAAUAAUAGUUAUCGAAGCAACUAGACCAACAUCUAGAUUAAAUUGGGAGAGAAAGGUGGGAUAAACCUUAAUUAAACUAACCAAACAGACCACCUUGCCAAAGGCCCCAAUGCUCUAAGGGAUUCUUGCCACCAGAGCUACCACAAAAUGCAUAAUCUUGGUGAAUAAGGUGAUUGAGCCCAAGUCCCUUUAGAAGGAGAAUGAGGCCAUAUGAGAGUUUUCUCUCCCUAAGUUCAAUUUCUUUCAAUGAAACUAAAGACACCCUAGACUACUUAUGCAUUUCUAUGCAUGUGAUAAUCUUAGAGAAGGGAAACAAUCGACUUUUAUGCAAAAUCUUCCCCUCCAUCCUCCAAGGACUAACUUUGUUUUGUCUUUAUCAACUUACCUUAGAGUUUGCUCCUGAUAUCGAGACCCUAAGGGUGAAGUAUGCCUCUUAGUACAUGCACUUAAAGAUUAUCUACUAGAUUUGAGCAACUAAGCAAGGUAUCAAGAUAGUUAUAGAAGCAUAUGGCAAUUGAAGCAAAAGUCCUCACAUCCUUGCAUGAAGCAACUACCACUUGCCCACAUGUCAUAUGCUUCUCUAAUAAAGGCUUAAGAGGAGUCCAAACCCUGCUCAAGAUCCAUUGGUUAUUACUUUAAGAAUUAUUGACUACAACAUGCACCUAUUUUUAGUUGACCUAACAAGUUUAGUUAACUUGCUAAAUAUAUUAGCCCAUAUAUGAACAAGUGAAUAUGGACGAAGGAAAACUAGUGUCAAGUCUUGGGUCGUUUGUGGGACUAGACAAAGUCCUAUGUGGCUCAACUAGGGAAGUCGCUCUAAUGGUUCCAAUUGGUUGUUGCCAUAUAAUGACACAAUUCUUUGUUAUGGAUAUCCUUUUCCCGAUAAUGCCAUUAUGGGAUGACCAUGGAUAUACAACCUAAGAGGAACACUAUUCACAUACCAUCACACCAUUAAAUUCCUAAUACUACAAGGAAUAUGGGAAAUAUAUCGAGACUAGGUGGCAUCAUGAGUAUGCUACACCAUAGCCCUUAAAGCGGUCAUCAAGUGCAUCAACUAGGACCCUUAGGAAGUUCAUAAAUCAAAAGUCAAAUAAAAAUUAGUAGGUGACCCGAGAAGGCAAUUAGAGAACCUAGGGAGUCAUUAUUCUAGAGCCCCUAAACCUAGGAGGUUCCUUCUAGCCCAUGCAAAAAAAAAAAAAAAAGGUUUCAGAUGGCUAUUAGAAAAGAACACAUCUUUACUAGGAAACUACAAGACAUCGUGGGCAUUGAUCCCCAAGUUACAUGUCAUCAACUCAACAUAAACCCUAGUGGUUAGCUCCUUAAAGACAUUAGAUUGUGAAAAAAAAGGUAUCUAGGCUCUUAGAUGCUAGAUUUGGUCAUCUAGGUCUUCUGACAACAAAUAGAAGUUAGUAUGCUAGUUUACAUUAAUAACAUGUUAGUAACAAGUAAGAAGAGGAAUGACUACUUGAUCGACCUCCUAAGAACAUUUCAAACUCUUCAAAAGUAUUAAAUGAAGCUAAAUAAGUGAAGUGCAACUUUAAUGUAGGGUGUGGAAAGUUCCUUAGGUACUUGGUUACAUACAAAGGAAUGAAAGCUAACCUAGGCCAAAUAAAAUCAACUUUGGAGAUACCAAUGACCAAAAGGGCUAGAGAAGUCCAAAAGAUCACUAACAAGAUUGGUUCUUGAAAUAGAUUUAUAUAUUGAACAACAACUAUGUGUCACCCUUUCUUCGACAUUAGCAAGAAGGGAAAAUGGACUAAAAGAACCAAAAAAUGCAACUAAGCCUAUGAAUCACUAAAGCAUUACAUGAUGUUAACCCCCAUUCUGGAUAAACCCUAGGAUAAGGAGGUCUUACAAGGUCUCAAUAGCAGUAGUAAGUGGAGUCUUAUCUCAAAAAAAGAGGAAAAAAUGAGCAAUCAAUGUACUAUGUCUAAAAGACCCUCUUAGAUGUGGAAACCUGAGAUAUAUAUAAAUAUUGAAAAACUGGUGCUUGCCCCUUAGAUCGCCACAUUGAAGCUUCAAUGUUACUUCCAAGUGCAAGGUAAGAACUAAGUGAUGAGAACUCAAACUUAAUACUUUAAUGGCUUUAAAGGGCCCACUUUAGUGUAUUUGAGGUACUAAAAAAUUAACCUAAGGUUUUGUUUUUUGUAUAAUACCUUAGAAAAUUAUGUUUGAUGCAUUCUAUGACCAUUCUACAUGCUUUAAGGUGUUUUUUUUGUUAGAAUAGAAUCCUUAAAAGCAUGACAUGAUGUAAUAAAUUUGGAAUUCAUUAUUUAUUUACUGAUGUUCUAGUUUCACUUUUAUCUAUCCUUAUUCCAUGUAUUGUACUUUAUGAGUAUUCUUGCCUACAUCUUUUGCAUUGUACAUGACUUAGGUGCAUUAGGAGUUGCACAGAAGAUUUAAGUCAUGGGUUUCUUGCAAAUAGAUUAUUUGUUCACAGUCGGUUCAUGAACCUAGGCAAACCAUUAGAGGUUGUAGUGCACCACCUCCUAAUUGGAGGGAUGGUUAGUCUUGGCCAUGGGAUGAGUUUCCCAUGAUAAGUGCACUAGUGUGUAUGGUUGCACAUUGGAUAGGACCUAUGGUGAGUUAUGACUUAACCCUAUCAAGUAGUCAUGACUCCACCGAGUUGUUUCAUUGUAUUAUCUCUCAACCUUGAGAGAAUAUUGAGUUUGUGCUGAAGUUAAUAAUGACUUUGAUUUAUGGGUGAGGUCGUAAGUUGAUCAUAUAUUCCCUAUGGAUUAGGUCAAUGUUGAUGGAAGUCGGUAACAAUAGGUAUUCUUAAUAAAGGCACCAUGAUAUCUCUUAGGAUUGAGACAGUGUGUCCCAUUGGAUGAUCCUAAGGAGGUGUGUUCAUGGAAACUAUGGCUAUAGUAGUUCCUUAAGUGGAAUUUGACAUAGACUCUUUGAGAUCUAAGAUAUGUUAAUUGAACAUACAACAGGAAGAUCUGUAGCUCAAGGAUGGUAGAAGUAGUCUUGAAAAGCUAAUGGCUUUCACCUUGUUAGACUACGAACACCAAUUCAUGGGGAGACUAAACAUAAUGGACAGUAGGUCACGGACCCGAGCACUUAGUGUCUUCGUUGUUAGUUACAUAGGAUACCGGAGUUUAGUUGAUUCUAUGUAGUGCAAUGUUGAAUCAACUUUAAAAUUGGACUAUGAGGGAUCCAUGGUAUUCCUAUAGGUCCCAAUGGUCCCUGCUAUGAGCUUAUAUACCUUGUUGGAAUGGGUAAUGAGGGUUGGAUUGACUCUAGGUUCACUUUUGUGCAUAAGGGUAUUUUGGUAAUUAUGUAAGGUUAUAUAGGAGUAAAUGAACAAGGCCUCUAGAUUAGGCUAAUUGAUUAAUCAAUUAGAACCCAUUUUGGGCUGGAUUAAGUUACCCAACCCAUGUGGGCUCAAGUCACUUAAGCCUACUUAGAAACCCUAUAAAUACCCCCUAUGGGUUAGGGUUUCCAUAACUUUUGUCUUCCAUCAUCCAAAGAGAUAGAAAGUCAUAGCCUUCACCAUCUUUUCCUCCUCAUUGGAAGUGUGCCAAGAUCAAGGUUCGAGUCAUCGGGCGGAAGACUUCGAGUUUACGAGACUUCUGGGAUUUCAAUUUUCAUCUUCACCAUGUAGAUUUGAUUCGAGAACACCCAAAUCUAAUGUAUAGUUUUUGUUAGCACUUUUUGAAUCCUUUUAAAGUAUAAAAAUGUUAUUUUUCUGUUGUGCAUAGGAUUUAGAAAAAACCUAAGAUAGUUAUGCAUGUUCCUAACCUGAUUCAGACUAGGGAAACAGAGAGAGAUUCAGGUUUUUCCCAUCAUUUUUAGUGCAAUAGAACCUUGUUAGGAACUCAUAGAGACAAAAAUGCCCAAGUAAGGAGGAAAUACAAAUUGCACACCCAAAAGGUGUGCAAGACUCAAUCAUGCACUUCUUUCUUUUUGUAAAGCCACAUAGUACACCUCCCAUGUAUACCUUAAAGACCAAACACACAAGACCUCUCUAAUGCUUUGGACCAAAUUUUAUACCCUAUUCAAGCAACUCGAUCUGCAAACCUCUUAAGUGCUUUAAGCCAAGAUGUUGUGCACCCCCUCACUUGAGUCAACAGGAUGUGUAGUAGUGCAACCCCUUGAUGUCAUCUAAAUUACAAACCAUUCUUACCUCUACAAUAGCUAAGUACUUAAUAAUUCUUCUAAUGAUUGGCUCACCCACCAAAGUAGUAUGUUGUUCAUACCUCAAAGUCUUCAAUUGUACUACCAAAACGUACCCUAACCAAAUUACAUAGAGAAAAAGGUGCAACUACUGACCAUAAGCUAACUAAUCAAGAAUGAAGGUGGUUGAUUGCAAUGACAAAGGACGUGACCCUUAGUAUAAGAAGAGACAAGUCUAGAGGAGUGGUGUCCGAGUAGUUGGAAUGACCGGGGAGGGAGGGGGGACAUUGUUUUGUAUAUAAAUGGAGGAUUGUGAAUAUACAAGUGGAAGAAAAUUAUAGAAAGUGAAAUUGUAGAUAAGUUUUUCUUCUUAUAGGAACAAAAGUAGGAAUAAGAGUAACUUAAUGUAAUUUAAGUUUUUAGGUUUCCAUUGUAAUCUUUUCUUUUCAUUAUAAACUUUCCUUAAUUUCUAGUUUAAUGAAUUUUCUAGUCUUUUUAAUUAUUCUUACAUUUCAGUUUUUCAAUUUCAACUUACAAAUUUGCAUUUUUAAUUCUUUACUUAAUUUUUAACAUGCUUAGAUAACCUUUAACACUCUAAGGGGUGAGAGGAGCUCAAGUCUCCCAUAUCUUAGUUUAGCUAUCUAUUGGUUUAUUUGUGCAUUAGUUACAAACAAUAUGAUCUCUAUCAGUAGUUAUAAUGACCAAAACAAGUAACCAUGGGGAAAAAGUCUAUGUUGCAUUGGUUGUGAGCAUUGUACGUCAAGCAAAUUUGGAAGCAUACUUAGGCAUUGUUUUAAUGAUUCUUUCAACUAAGUAUAGGCCUAUUGCCAUGAAAAUAAUCUUAUCUAAAUCAUUUGGUUGUAAGGAUAUAUAUAUAUAUAUAUAUAAAGAGCAAUUAGAGAGAGAUGAACCUUAUUAAGGUGGUUCUUGUUCAUUUGAAGCAGGAAACCUUUUUUGUAUAAAUCCUUGCUUUGAGCCUAAAUCUGAAAGCAUAAGUUCAAAGCCUUGUUGGUGAGUUGUAUAUGAAAGUGGUGAUCCUAGUGAAUCUCUAGGUUUGAGGUUUUCUUUCCUUUAAUUUUCUAUCUUUUAAACUUUGUGUGUGUAUGUCCUUUUUAUUUAUAAAAUCAUUUUUCUAAUCUUUUAGCUGCCAUUCACACUCCUAAAGCUAUUACCUUAGUUGCUAACAAUUUAAAGUUCCUUGUGGAGGCAACCUAACAACUAUACCACUAUUAAUUUUUUUAUUUUUUUAUUUUUUGGUUAAGGAGUUGAGAGUUUCAAUGAAUGAUCUAGUUUAAUUUCUCUUUGUAAAACUUAACUGUUAAAUAUAUUUCCAAGUUUUGAUAAAAGGAAUGAAUUAGAGAAUGACAAACCAAAAAUUAGUGUCGUCACUAGGGAACUUUCAACAUUGAUGACUCUAUAGGUAUUUUUGUGUAUAUGCUUGUUGUUUUAGAAGCUUAACAAGUAUAUUUCACCCAUUCCCCACCUAUCUUUUAGUUGGAUUUUUUUCUUUUUUUACUUAAUUUGUUUUCUUUGGAUUUUCUUUUUAUUCUCAGUUUUCAUUUUUAGUUGUUAAAUCCAACAUUUCAAACAUUUUCUUUAAAGUGAUAUGAUGUAUUAGGGAAAUGAUUUUAAAAGAAGGGUACUAAGAGUGAGUUUGAGAGUGAUUCUAUGAAGCGUUUCUAACAUUUCUAACACUUAAGUGAUAAAAUGUUGAUCUUCAAGGCAUCAUCAGAGGGCUUCUCAAUAUCUCUUCUACUGAAAAAAAUUUCUUGACUGAAAGUGGCUCUUAACUAGAGGGGAGGGCAUCCCAAAAAUUUUAGGAAACCAUGAAGAAAAAUUUAUCAAAAUGGAUGCUUCCAAUCUACCUGUGGGAAGUAAAGAAAAAGUGAAGAGCCAUUGGCUAGCUAGAAGCUAGCCAAAAACUUGUAAAUAGCUUUCAUUUUUUAUUUUCUUUAUUAUUUUUGUUUAUAUUGCUUUGGCCAAUUUAGUGUGUAGGAGUACCAUCAUAAGAACUCUAAGUAUAAAUUUCUCUAUACUCUAUUGGUUUUAUCAUGCUUCAGAGUAGGUGUAAAUUGUUAGCACCAGGAAAGUGUUGGACAUAUAGGAAUUGCGCACUUUUGAGGUUUGCUAACCCAACUUGUAUGAUGACUUAAAUUGCGUAUCUCAAAUUGUACACUUUGAAAGCAUGACUGAAACUCCACACCCUAAGAGAUUAAUUUAAACGGUGCAUCCAAAGGAGCGCAACUAAAAACUGCACACCUUUAAGCAACCAUUGAUAUUGCCCAGCUUAAAUUACACACCAUAAGCACGCCAUCCAUACUAAAAAUGCCUUCCCAAAUAAAACCAUAAUUGCUUAGAGACUUUUGUCCACCCCACCAUCAUAUCAAUUGAGGUGUGGGUAGCCAACCAAAUUAAUUAUUAUCCAAAGACAGAAAAUUAAUUAAACAGGAUUAGCAUAAAAGAAAAUAACUUGACUUAUAAACAAAAGCAAGGGAGAUGCAAUGGCAAACACAAAGCAAUUUAAAAGGGGCAAGCGAGUAAAGAAACUAACAGUGAUAUAUUAUGAGUUGCCAUAAGUUGAAGCGACUUCCACUUCGGAAAGCCCAAGGCCUUUUAGCCAAUACCGUCAAAGGGGCUUUAUCAUCAUCAGAAUCUUUAGCAUCACCGAAAUUGCAUGUGGCAAGGUCAGGAUAACGUUCAACCAGAUGCAGUGCUACAUCUGCAUAUUAUAAAAUUGUACAUGGGAACCCGACGGUAAUUCAUAUCAAGAAAAUAGAUAGGGGAUGGUAAAUAUAGCUCACCAUGAAACCCCACCAUUAGUGCUCUGCGCAGAAGUUCGAAUCCAGGCGAAUUUGAGAAAGGAUAUGGAGGUUCAUCAUCUCUGGUGACGCUUAAUAAAUAUAAAGUCAGCUCUUUAUGACCAUACCUAACAGCGCUGUGAAGAGGCGCAAAAUUGUCGCGUUGGCAGAUAUUGGGCAAGCUUGGGUUUUUGUUCACUAACAACUUGACUGCUUUUAUAUUGCCAGCCCUUGCAGCGUUGAAAAGGGCAGUGGCGCCAUCAGAAUCCCGCAGAGCCAGUGCCUCACUUGGCAUAAACUCAACCAACUUCUCCACGAAACCCAUUCUGGCCUCUCCUAACUCAACUGCUAUGUGAAGCAUUCGGGAAUCAUCUGUUCCGAUCGGGGCAGAGAAUGAUCGUGGAUCAUCCUUCAAUAAUUUUGGAGCACUUUCCCAGUCACCAUUGAGCACAGCUUUGUACAGUUCCAAGUAAUAGAAUUCUGCAGUCACAAAACCAAAAGAUGUAUAGGUCAGCCUAGAUUUCCCUGAUAUCUAUAUUACUUCAACGUUCACAAAAUCCUAAUACUAAAAUUAUUUUUUAAAAAAUAAAUCAUUUAAGUUAUGUUUGGUUCUUAGAAAAUUUGACAAAUAAUACAAAGAAAAAUUUAAAUAAUUUAAAAUUUAAUAAAUUUAUAACUAAUUUUAAUUACAUUUGAUUUUCUUAAAUAUUUUUUUUUCGAUAAAACCAAAUACGGGAAAAUCAUUUUCCUUGAUAUCUUUUCUUUGCUAAUUAUUUUCUUAGACUUCUUUGUUUACCUCUAAUCAACAUCUUUCUAUCUUUCAAUAAUAGUUUGAACCUCCAAUAAACUACAUGAAUUAAAAUUUAAUUUAGUUUCAUUUUUUUUUAACAGCAGGUUGUAAAACACUUCUACUUGUAUACUAAUUAUGCCCAAAAGUUGCAGGAGGACCUCAAACGGAAAUGGACAUGAACAUGGUUUUUAGCAUCUUACCGGAGCUGCUAAUCCUUUGCAAAGAUGAAGGGGAAGAGACUGGAGCAUAUUCAUCAGCAAUGUCGAUUACCAUUGUUUGGGCUGUCAUCGAUUACCGAGAUGGAAAUGAAGAGAAGUCAUUGCAGUAAACUCCUCACCAUGCUCAGCAAUGUCGAUGUCACUGUUUUUAGGACUGUUUGCGCUGUUGUCAUUUCUAAGACGUAGUGAAGAAGAAGAAGCCUUUACAACAAAUUCCUUAUCGUGCAUAUAGUCAUUGCCAACUAUAUGGAAGAUUAUAUUUAACUGCAGCCCUUUUUCCCAGAGUCUUCAAAAGAUACAGGAAAUGGGCCAGGAACCAUUGAAGCAUAAGAGGUGCAAUGAUAGAGUCUUCCAAGUCAACUUUAUUUAGUUGAGUAGAUAGCGUUGAAAAGUUUUGAUAAUUUUUAUUGCGAAAAAACGAUGUUUUAUAUACUUUUAUUUCUAUCAUACUUUAUUAUUGUUUAUAAGAUAACGAAAUAUUCAAAUAUGAUAAACAAUAGUAAACAUAUAUCAAAUAUAAAAAAUUUCUCACAAGAGAUGCAAUUAAUAUUUUUUUUCUUCAAUAAUGUGUAUAAUAUAUACCAUGUGAUGUAUUAUUUCUAUUUUAAGUUUUGUUUGGAUGUAUUUUUUAUUUUUUUAUAUAUAAAAAAUGAAUUAUAUUUUAAAAUUUAUAUGUGAUAUAAAAAGGUUAUUAUUUUUUAGUAUUUGAUAUAAUACAUUUAUAUAUUUACUAAAUUAUGACAAUAAAUGAAAAUAAAGUGGAGCGGACGAUGUAGGUUAAGGAUUAAUGUCUUUCACAUUAUAACAUCUUUCACAUUUAAUCCUUUCUGAUGUGAAUGCAGUACAGCAAAAGAGAAAGUACCAUUAACUUGAAUGCGAGAAGGGUGAUUGAUCUAUCAAUCUGUACGUGUCCUUCUUGAAAGGGACCAGAUUCUAUGGGGUAGCUUAAGGAUUAAUGUGGGUGCCUGUAGCAUGAAAGUGGAAGGAAUUAAUCCUGUGCACCACACAUUGCUAUGAUCGUUUGCAAUAACCAAUUAUAUAAAAUCUAUUGAAAUAUUUUAUAUAAUUAACUUUUUGGAAUUUUUUUAUCAAGUUGUAAAAUAAAGAAAAUUUAGGAAAAAAUAUUUUUGUAAAAUGAUAAAAUUUUACAAAAAUGACAUUUUUUUUGUAAAAUGUAGAAAAGGAUACAAGGCUAUGAAUUCAUAAUUGUAUGAUAACCUUUUAGUAUUUCAAUCUUUGAAUUUUUUUGGAGAUUAUUUCCAUAAAUUCCACAUUCCAAAAACAAUGAUAAUCUUUACACAAUAUUAUUGUCAUUUAAAGUGGGAAAAAAUAUAAAAAUAAAAUAAAAUUUUCAAAAAAUUUAGAGAUUGCAAAAAAUACGAGGAUAUGAAGAAUGUGAGGAUCGUCAUAUUUUUCAUACCCUCCUCACAUUCUUCAUACCCUUACCCAUUUGAAUAUUUUAAUCUUUUAAUUUUUUUUUCAAAUAGUAUUUACUUCAAUUUCAAGUGUAAUUAGUGUUUUUACACAAUACCAUUGUCAAAUGAAGUAAAAAAAAAAAAAAAUCAAAAUUAAAAUUUUCAAAAAAUUUAAAGGGUACAAAAAUGCGAAGAGGGUACGAAGAAUGUGAAGAGCCUCACUUUUCUCGUACCCUCAUCACAUUCUCCAUACCUAUUAUAAUUUAUAAAUUUUAAAAAAAAUAUUUUUCAAUUUUUUUAACAUUAUUUGCAUCAAUUUCAAGUGUAAUUAAUAUUUUUACCCAAUAUUAUUGUAAAGUGAUGUGAAGAAAAAUUUAAAAUUAAAUAAUUAAAUAAUUUUAGAGGGUACAAAAAAAUAUGAAAAUAGUAUGAUGAAUGUGACGAGGGUACGAGAAAUGUGAGGAUACAAGAAAUUUAAAAUAAAAAAUAAAAAUCUCAUACCCUCCUCACAUUCUUCGUACCCCUACAAAUUUUUAAUAUUUUAAUCUUUUAAAUUUUUUGAACAUUAUUUGCUUCAAUUUCAAGUGUAAUUAGUCUUUUUACAAUAUAUUAUUGUCAAGUAAAUUAAAUUUAGAGGGUACAACAAAUAUGAGGAGUGUGCGAGAAAUGUGAAGAGGGUAUGAGAAAUAUAAGGGUACAAGAAAUAAAUAAUAAUAAUAAUUCUCGUACCCUCUUCACAUUCUUGUACUCUCCUCACAUUCUUUGUAUUUUCACCAAUUUUUGAAUAUUUUAAAUUUUUUUCGAAUAUUAUUUGCUUAAGUUUCAACAAAAUUUUCGUACCCCACCAAUUUUGUAAUAUUUUAAUAUAUAUAUAUAUAUAUAUAUAUAUAUAUAUAUAUAUAUAUAUUAACAUUAUUUGUUUCAAUUUCAAGUGUAUUUAGUCUUUUUACACAAUAUUAUUGUCAAGUGAAGUGAAAAAAAAACAUAAAGUUAAAAUUUUCAAAAAAAUUAAAGGAUACAAAAAAUGUGAGAAGGGUAUAAAGAAUAUGAAGAGGGUGCAUGAAAUGUGAGGGUAUAAGAAAUAAAAAAACAAAAUACUCAUCCCCUCUUCACAUUUCUUGUACCUUCCUCACAUUCUUUGUACCUUCACCAACUUUUGAAUAUUUUAAUCUUUUAAUUUUAACUCAUCUACCCUUACAAAUCGUGUCUUUAAGGAAUAUGAGCUUAGAGCAGGAACCAUUGGGAUCCAUAGGAGUACUGGCUCCCUUAGAAUCAAAUUUUGAAAUUGAUUCAACAUCCCACUAUAGAGAGUCAGCUGCACUUUAGUACCCUAUGUACAUUACAAUAAGACACCAAGUACUUGGGUUUAUGAUCUACUAUCUAUUGCAUGCAAACUCCCCAUGAACUUGUGUCCGUAAUUGAUUACUACCAAAAAGUACUAUUUUGUAGAUCUAAUUAUAAUGGUUUUAAGCACCUUUAAGUAGUAAUCAUAUUCAUUUAACCCAAUUAAUUCAUUAAGGUCCUUAGUAAUUGGUUUUAACCAUUUUGUGGCAAGUUUACAUGUUUUUAUUAGCUUGUGAACCAAUUCAAGCAUGCCAAUUGAUGGAGGAGCUAUUUGGGUGAGUUAAGCAAGGAUUUUGGACAAUUACAGGCUUGAAUUUCAAGUGGAAACACGAGCACAAGCAAUGGAGAAGAGGAAAACAGAGUGAAGAAAACAGCUGCAGUCUUCUUUCGCACUUUUGAAGCACUUCCCGAAGUCCAUUUUUUGCAUGCUAUAUACCAUUUGAAAUCUUAGAAAGUCAAGAAUCCAACGCUUCAAACCGUGUAUGAUUUGGAGUUGAAAUGAGGAAGAUAUGGCCUUUGGAAGGCAACUGUAUCAUGUCAAAUGACCAAUUUCGCAAGGUGAAUUUCACAUUGCGAAAAUUUCACAAGGAGAUUUUCUUCAUGGUGCGAAAUUUUGCCACUUCGCACCAUGAAGAAACACCUUGCGAAAUUUCGCAAGGUGGAUUUAGGCACAUUGCAAAAUUCCUUUGAAUCCCCUGUUUUGAGACGUUGUUGAUGUUAUUCCACUGCCGGUUCUCCAAGAUAUUUUGCUUGAUUUUUAGCUUUGUAAAUACCUAUUUUACCCUUGUAAUCAACCAAUGAAUAGGUUGCUUUUGUAAUAGCUCUUGUAAUUUAGCUUGUUAUUGUCUUUAAAUAGAGGUGAAGAGCCUCAGAUCAUCAAAUCUUGUAACCUGUAACUUUAUAAGUUAUAAGAGCACUUUUGUUCAUACGCUUCUUUUCUCUUUUCUUUCUCAUUUUCUUAGUAGCCAAACAUCCUUGGGGGAUGAAAUCCCCAAGGAUGAGAGGCUUAAACCUUUUAGUUUCUUGAAGUAAUGGAUGCCAUGUGAAGCUCCCGUGUCAGGAUGGAGAUUUCCAAGCCAUGAAUGUAAGUAGCUGAGCGUCAUAAAUGUUUUCAUUCAAAGUAAAGCUUUUAAUCCCUCUGACUUGCUUUGAAUGGCCAAUACUUGAUAAUCUUUUGGUCUCAAUGGAUUCUUAUUGUUAGAUCCACUGACGUUCAUUAGUUAUCUCCUACGAGCCAUUGUAUUGCAAGUCGAGGAGAUGCCCUAUAUCAUUAAAAGGGCAUUUAUGAGGUUCAACUACCCUUUUUGUAAGUUUUCAAGGACUAAAACUCAGUUGUUAAACUCAUACCGGUUCGGGAAGUAAGCAUCACCUUAGUUGCUUUCCCAACUCGAGGUGAAAAGUCCCAAAAUCUCCAUUUUUUCACAGUGAGUUAAGCAUGGCUAUCCAAAGCUUUGAGAAACUUCUUUUUCCAUCUUUUAACCUAUUUUCAUGUUAGUUUAGUUUACACACCUUCAUCUUUUUAUGUUUUCAUCUUAACCUAAUUUUUAUUAAGAAAAGUUCACUCCAUCCUCCGAACUUCACCAGUUAAAGUAAAAACUCUUCCCAGUGUUCGAUCCUAGAGCCACUAUGCUAUAGUAGCUUUGCUACUUUAGUGUAAGGACCUUAGGUAUAAAUUUUGUUGAUACCCUUACAUGCCAAGCUACCAAGAGUCGGGUUAUCAGUAAUCUAAUAAGGUGGUGUUGUCACCUAUCAAGAUUACCCCUCAAAUCCUUUAGUUAUAGAUCAUACUUAUUACGUGAUUAAAUGACAUACUUUACCUCUAAUGAGCAUAUGUCAAAUUCCACUAAAGGAAUUAUUCCAUGAUCACAUGUCCUUUGGAUCACCCAAGGGGACAUAUCGUCUCAAUCCCAUGAGAUAUCAUGGUGCCUCUAUUGAGAAUACCUAUUGUCAUUAGCCUCCAUCAACAGUGACCCAAUUCAUAGGGAUACAUGGCCACUUUAGGGUUUCACUCAUAGCUUAAAGUCUUCUAUUAACUUUGGCAUAGACUCAAUAUCCUCUAAGGUUGAGAGUCUAUACAGUAUACUAGUUUGGUGAAUCAUAACAAUUGAUAGCCUUGUGUCAUGAUUCACCGUAGGUUUUGUCUAGUGUGCAUCACAUACACUGGUACUCUUCAUAGGAAACCCAUUCCAACGGCUAAGACCAAUCAUCUCUCUAAUUAGGAGGUAGUGCACUAUAGUCUCUACUGGAUUGCCUAAAUCCAUGAACCAAUUGUGGACAGCUUAUCUACUUACAAGGAAUCCAUGACUUGUACUUUUGUGCAACUCCUAAUGCACCUGAAUCAUGUACAAUGUAAGAAACAUGGGUUGAAUGCUCAAAUCAAUGUUAAUACACUAGAGGGAUAACAAGGAGACAGUUAAGUCUAACUUUGUUACAUCAUGUCUUGCUUAGUUAAGUCUAACUUUGUUACAUCAUGUCUUGCUUAGUUAAGUUUAACUUUAUUACAUCAUGUCUUGCUUUUAGGGUCUUAAUCCUAACAAGCUCCUACUACCCCAAAAGUAGACUAGGGUACUGUAGAAAAAAUAUACUCUACAGUCACGUCACCUUUCUAUACUAUCCCACAACAAGGUAUCACUUGUUUUCUAUAUAUUAUCUCUUAUAGUGGCACUUUAGUUAUUUGGACUAUGCCACAAUCCCAUAUAACAAUAUCUUAGACGAUAUAGCCAAUGGAAAUACUCAUAAGCUAAAAGGCUUCCUUUGUUGCUAUAGAAAUAACAAAAACCACUUAGAGUGUACACAUUCCCUAAGGUAGACUUGCGAGAGUCCUCAUUAGACUGAAAGUCCAAUUUCUCGAUACAAGGACUCACAAACAUAUCAUUCUUCAUUCUCUAAGGAUACUAGAGUAUAUGUUUGAAAUUCGCUCAAAGCUCUAAUCAAGAAAUGAACUAAUAUUCACUCAUUAUUCCUACAACAAAGCAAAUAUCUGGUUUAGCACAUAGCAUUGUAUGCUUAAGGCUAUCCAUUGUAGAGGCAUUGGAUACCUCCUUAAUGUGAUCUUUCUCCACAAAUGUCUGAUUACUACUCAAAAAGUGCUAUUUGAUAGCUUGUAAUUAACUCUUUUAAACACUUUUGAGUAGUAGUUAUUGCCUUUUAACCCAAUUAACAUGUUAAGGACCCUUGCAAUCAAUUCUAAUCAAAUUGUGUUAAGUUUUGGUCUUUUGAUAGCUUUUUGAUCACCAAAGCAAUCCAAGAUUGAGGAGAGUUAUUUGGAAUCCACGACAAAGCAAUGGAAAGCUCAAAUUCAUGAAGAACAAGAUUUGGAGCUCCAUAGCUCUUUGCCAAAGUCGUUCAAAGUAUGCAAGGAAAGAACAAAGGAGAGAGGAAAAACAGAGUGAAGAAAACAGAGGACAAUAGCUGCAGUCUUCUUUCGCACUUUUAGAGCACUUCCCGAAGUCCAUUUUCUACAUUCUAUAUACCAUUUAAAAUCUUAGGAAGUCAAGAAUCCAAUGCUUUAAACGGUGAGCAAUUCGGAGUUGAAACGAAGGAGUUACAGCCAUUGCAAGUAGAUCACUCCAAGUUGAAGGAAGAAUUUUGCACAACGCUGCGAAAUCACCCUUUUGUUGCGAAAUGAUUUCGCAGCCUUUUUGUUUAGUGUUGUGGAUUCCCUCCUGAAGUUGCCCGAUAUAUGCCGCAAGUUGGAAGCUGAGCACCUCAAGAUGAAAGCCAACUUCGCAGCCCUGCGAGAAUAACCUUUUGCUGCGAAGUGAUUUCGCAGCCCUUUUUGUGCAUCUGUGAAAUCUCGCAGACCUCGUUUUCACCUACGAAAUGGUCCUUAGUGCUUCCCAAUAUUUGUGCACCGACUCUUUUAGAUCUUUUCUUCAGAUAUUUUUGUAUAAAUUUCCAUUCUCUCCUAGUAAGCCACCAAUUAUGGGAUUCCUUAGUUAUUAAGUUGGGAAAAGGGGUGAAUAACUUGAGAUAUUUUGUUUUGUAAUUUUCUUUAUAUAUAGCUCUCGGGAGCUUGUUCUCAGGGCAUCAUAUCGAUCAAUAUAUAGAUAUAUCAUAUAUAGAAUCAACGAACAGAGCACUUGCUCUGUUUUUCAUAUAUAUUCUUGUUUUCUCGUUAGUUUUCUUUCUAGCCAACCAAACUCUGAGGAUUUUUCCUCAGAGGAUGAGAGGCUAAGCUUUUUGUCUCUUGGAGUAAGGAAAACCGGCUAAGUUUCCACAUGCAUAAAUUGGAAGUUUUGUUGUUUUAGUUUUUAAUGAAGAGAAAGUGUGACCCGUUAAUGGUUUUUAUAUUUUUAGUUAACUUAAAACGCCUUUAAAUCACCUGGGCCAACACUUGGGAAGGCAAGUGAUCUCUGUCCAUGGAGAUGCACUAGUUUACCCCUUGCGAGCCUUUGGGAGGUGACUUGAAGGUAGGAUUUUCUAGAAUAGGCAACACUUGGUAAGCUUUUGGACUCCAAGGAGACAUCUAUUAGUUAUCUCUUGCGAGCUUUUGACGGGUAAUCCAAGGUUAAAGAUCACCUUGAAUGGCAAGUGCUAGGUGAGAGGUAUGAGCCAUUGCAAGGUGCAUCAGUGAGAGGGAUUUAGUGUUUGAACCCAUUAAUGGGAAGCAUCUGUACAACACCGGUUAGAGAAUUAACUAUAUGUUAAUUCUCUAAUGCGAGGAAAAGAAACAAGUGACCGAAACUCUCUUUUUUGUAUGAGGAACCUGAGCCUAGUGAUCUGAACUCCAAAAAACAUUUUUCUUUGUAAGUAAAAUCAGUUACUAUUUUUGGUUAGUUUAAAACCAAACCUUUUUCAUUCAAACAUCUUUAUGUUUUCUUUUAAAGCUAACCUUGAAAUGAAAAGGCACCAAUUCAACUUUGAAUUAAUAUCAUUUGUGAAGUGAAAACCCAUCCCAGUGAACGAUCCUAGNNNNNNNNNNNNNNNNNNNNNNNNNNNNNNNNNNNNNNNNNNNNNNNNNNNNNNNNNNNNNNNNNNNNNNNNNNNNNNNNNNNNNNNNNNNNNNNNNNNNUAAUGGGAAGCAUCUGUACAACACCGGUUAGAGAAUUAACUAUAUGUUAAUUCUCUAAUGCGAGGAAAAGAAACAAGUGACCGAAACUCUCUUUUUUGUAUGAGGAACCUGAGCCUAGUGAUCUGAACUCCAAAAAACAUUUUUCUUUGUAAGUAAAAUCAGUUACUAUUUUUGGUUAGUUUAAAACCAAACCUUUUUCAUUCAAACAUCUUUAUGUUUUCUUUUAAAGCUAACCUUGAAAUGAAAAGGCACCAAUUCAACUUUGAAUUAAUAUCAUUUGUGAAGUGAAAACCCAUCCCAGUGAACGAUCCUAGAGCCACUAUGCUAUAGUAGCUUUGUCUUUGCUACCCUAGUAAAUGGUGUAAUAGGUUAUAAAUUUUGUUGAUUACUCCCUCAAUCAAGGAGCACCAGCUGGACACGAAUCAGCUGAGACACCAAUUGGGCAUGAAUCAAUGUCCAAGGACAUUGAUCCUAAGAAAGAUAACUCCAAAUCCAAAGAGUAACAAACCUUUCUUGGAGUUUUACAUCAUAUACUUGAACAAAUGCUGAUUAAUGUAGAUGACAUGGCAUAAUUUUUCCUAUUCCUGCAAUGCUAAAAGAUCUUAACCUUAAGAAUAUAUUGCGCAUUCCUCUAAAUUUUUUUCUAGAACUAAGUAAACAACUAGAUCUUGACAGAUGACAAUAUCUUUACAUCAUAUCCAAUGAGUAGAUUAUCAUCCACCUACAAGAUCUUAGAGCAUUACUACACUCCCAUAUGCUUUCAUGUACACACAAGGCCUAUUGCUAUGAAAAUGUUUGGUUGCUAUAUCUCAUAAAUCAAACACACUGCAAUAGAUAAGAGUAAUCUACUAGAUUUGAGUAUGAUCACUAUUGAAAAGGUUUUCCAUAGUUGAAACAAAGUUUCAAACUAUAACCUUUAACUAUAGUCUUAGCCAUAUAAAACUCAAGCUUUCCAUCUACUCCUGUGUUUCUCUUAUAGACCAACUUACACCUAUGAGUUUUAUCUCUUUAGGUGUCCUACAGGAACCCAAACUAUGUUAGAAUACAAAGAUUCUAACUACCUUUUCCUAGCUCAUUACCUUAAGUGAGUAUAAACAUUGUUGAAUGCUUCAUCAUAAUCUAUGAUAUAUAAACUUCCAUUACGAUGAGGCAUUGGUGUACUAGAAAUCAUAGGAAUGGUAUGCCUUUAACCCUCUAGAUCCACAAUAUCCUAUGCAAUAUGGGACUAUUUUCUAAUUUCUCCUCCAAUCUAUAUCAUUUUUUGCCUUAUUCCUUAUCAUACAGUUUUAAAUUUUUUUUUGACAUUUGUGCUAACAAAUAUCUUUUAAUGAUCCUAACUAUAAAGGUAGUAACCCAAAAAUGCUCUUAUAUAUCCUAUAAAUUGACAUACCUCUUAAGAAAAAGGGUAACCACCUUUUUAAAAAAUAGUAGGUAAAAUAUACUUGAUACAUACCUUCAAUCUUUUGUUUGUUUUACAUUUUGGUCUCUUAUAUUUGAAAUCCAUCAUUUUACCUAUUCAAACUUAUUAGAAAUCAACACUUCCAUAUCAUUUGCAAACCCUUUAUAAAUUAUAAAAAUGAUCUUUUUUUUUUCUAUAUUCUUGUUUGAACAUUGGUUUGAAUUUAGGUAAAACCAAUUUUGAAUUCAUAGCCUUGGGUAGUAUUUCCCAAACAUCUUUAUUUUAUUAUUUAUUAUCUAAUCCUUCAUGUCUUGUGGAAGCACGUUACAAGUUAUCUAUGCUAUCCAAGUACACCCCCUAUCACCUACCUUCUAAAUUAUGUGAAUAUGCUUAUCACUGUGAACCGUGCCUAUGUUUGGUAGUGCAUGGGUGUCUUGAUAUAUUGUUUCAUUGUUCAAUUAUUUAUGAUAAAGCGCAUGCUGGGUGAUAUUCUAUUUGAACUAACUUUAAUGUCUUUUGAUAGUGCUUAAAAAGCAGUCCAGGUAUGCACCCUAAAUCUUCUUUAUGAUUUGUGAUUGGUUCUUUUGUUUAGCAUGAUAUUUGUUUAAAUCACCUUAGUCUACCUAGGCACCCUCAAUCAACCAAUUAAUUGUCCCAAUUCUCUCAACUUAGCUAGUAAAGACCUCUUUAAGGCUUAGAGGGGUGCUACCUCUUAGAGGUAACUUCCCAAUAGGUAACCUGAUCCCCGAACCUAGACUCGGGUUUUUCAAAGACACAUUUUUCCAAAAACUAUAGUCACUUCUUUAGGGUUUUCUUUCUUAUUUUAUUUUUCCUUUUAAAAUAAAAUAAAAUAAGUGGUGACUCCAACUUUUCCAAAUUUUUCUUUUUUACCAAUAAAAGCGAAUAUCAUCGAUUGAGUGGGAGCGCAUGUGAAAAAUGCAAGACCACACUAUGGCUUUUGUAGUACUCCGGGUAUUGUUCUUAAGGACUAGCUUAUGGAAAUAGUCAAUACUAGAAUAAAUGAAUUGCUUUCGUUUAAAUCCUAAAGUGAAAAACACUAUGAGAAUAAUGUGAAACUAAGUAAAAGAAAAAUAAAUUAAUAACAAAAAUGGAUGUUGAUAUUAAAUUUGAUUGAUUCAAGUUUGGGGCUUUCCACAAUCCAACCUAGGGUAUAGAAAUUAGAGAAAACAAGGGUCUUUUAAGUAAUAUGAUCUUAGGGUUUUGGGAUCCUUGGCUCCUCAUGAUCAAGUUGAGUUCUAUAACAUAAAAUUGCAUCCGAAACCUAAUUUUUCCUUUUUAAAAUAAAAUUCCUAAAACCAUCAAAUGAAUGAGAUUGAUUACUAGUUUAAAAUUUGGACUUUUAACCCUUCCUACUCCUUAUAGUUUUGUUUUGGGGCAAAUAAUGAUAGAGAAAACGAGGAUAACUAAUGAUCAAGAAUUACCAAAAAUCACUAGUAUCGGGUAAUAACCUACCAUAUCAUUCCCUAAACUAACUCACAAGGAUAGGAUAAAAAAAUGAUAAAUUGUCACCCAACCAAUAAUUAAUCUCAUUGAUAUAAUAAUUUACCCAUUGUCCCUAUAGGUUUCCUAACCCUUAGGUUUUCAUGCUUUAAGCCCCAAGUUAGCUCUUAACCUCUCAUGGGGUUAUUGUCACAUUCACAAUCCAUAAUAGGGUAAAAAUCCAUAAUUUGAAUCAAAAGAACCUAAAAUAAUAUAUUUAAUAAAGAAGAAAAAGAAAACAAACCAAAGUUCUCAUCUUCUUCCACCUUCAAUGUCAAACUCUCUAGAAAAAAAAAAAAAAAAUCCAAGGUCCCUAAAACCUAGAACUAAGAGAGUUUAGAUAAUAUCAUCAAUUACCUAACAUGUGCCACACUCUCAUUGGCCACUUAUUACAAAAAUAAUUACCUAAAAAUGAUUAAAAAUUAAUAAAAUGGUGAUUUCUAGCAGUGUGUGGGGUCCAUUUAGGGGUGAUGGAGUGUCUUAGAUGCAAUUUCCAAGGUAGAGGAGGUGAAACAUCAAAGUGGCAGUGGGUGAAUUUGAAAUUGGUGUCAUUUUGAUGUGGAUUUUGAAUUCAUAAGUUGAAUUUCGAAAUCAUUUCGAAAUGACCCUUUAGAUUUGUGUAGUCGUCUUCAAAUAACCAUAACUUCUUCAUUUCAGCUUCAAUUUGCACACUGUUUGAAGUGUUGGACUCCUGACCUCCCAAGCUUCAAAAAAAUAUAUUGUAUGCAUAAAAUGGGCUCCAGAAAAUGCUCCAAAUUUAUCCUCAAAGUCAGAGUAUAUAUUACCAUCAGAUUUUUGAGUUCUAGAUUUCCAUGUAGCUGAAUCUUGCUUCAUGCCUCAAUUCCUAUGUUUUCUUGCCUUCUUUCUUACUCCAUUAUGAUCAUUUCUCAUAUUCCAAACUCAUGAUAUCCUCGUCUUGCCUUUCCUCAUGGUCCAUGAGUCAUGACUCACCUAUUUCUUCAUUUAACCCUUUCUUGAUCUUUCAAAAUCUAAAGUGAUUCAACUUGCACCAUUUUCUUCCCUUGAACCUGAGAUAAGUCUCCAAAGUACAAAUAAAACUCCUGGCUAGGUCCUUAGCAUUAAUUUAGGUCAAGUUGGGUGAUUUGAAUGUUCUUUGGUGCACAAAUCAUAUCAAAUAUGUGUCAUUAGAGCACAUAUUUUGGCUCCAAUCAUCCCCCUCAACUAAACUUUGCUAGUCCCUAGCAAAUGAAAAGAGUAAAGAAAAAAAUUAAAAAUAUGUAAUGAGAUUCAUGAAACCAUAUUGACUCAACAUAACAUAUUUCACACACAAGAUACCCAAGUAGUCAAAUUUCUUAGAAUUGAGCAAAAUGAAACAAGAUAUGCAAUUUUUUAGUUUUCUCACCUUAUCUUCGUAUACAUAAAUGUGCAUCCACGUUUAGCAUUCCCCUUAGUGUCUCUUGAUUUUCCCCUGAUUAGUUUUUUCCACCUAAACCUCAUGUGCUUAAUUUUGGUUUCCUCUCACAGUAUUUUUCUUUAGACUUUUCUUAAACUCAAACUUCAUCAUUCUUUAAGUUAAAGAGGGGGGGAAAUUUAUUUUGAUUUUUCUUUCUUAGUUUAGGAAAUCUCCUUCUAUAUGGCUUAAUAGGGAUCCACCGGCAACUCCUAAGUUUUCACCCAUGGUACCAGGUAUUGGGAACCUUUAUAGGCUACUUACUCCUCAGGUAUUACCCUAGCUCUAGAUAGAACAAGGUCGAAUUUCCUAAACAUUUAUUUAUUUUUAUUUUUCAAAACUGAGUUUAACUUAUGUUACAAGCAAGAUACUGAUGACUCUUAACCAGUCGGUUUCGGGCACCAGGGCUUGAAGACACAAGGCCAUUACCCCCUCAAAUAAUUUCUCAAGCUUAAAUCAAUCAUUUUCAAUUUUCUUUUCAUCAAUUUGUUUUUUUUUUUUUCAUUUCCUCCUUUUAUUAGUUAAGAACAACUCCUUUUAAUCUAAAGAAAUUAUCUUAAUCAAGAUACCAUAAAGGAAUAUGUGCUUUGUGUGUGCUUUGAGUCUUAAAUAGAAAAUAACCAUAAAAAUAAAAUAAAAUAAAAUUUUGAAGGUAUUCCAAGGAUUCAACCUAAUUAUUUUUGUACUUAAAGGUAUAUAAAGAUAAGGUAAGUGAACUAAUAUUCUUGCUCUAACUGUAUUUUUUCUCAAAUUCUAAAGAAAUAAUACUACUUAAAGCAUUCUCAUGCAAAAUAAACCAUGAGUUACCAAGGCAAAUCAAGAAUCUCAUUAACUAACCAAAGAUAACAUGCAAACUUUUGAAAAAAAAAUUAGGGCUAAUAGACCUUCCCCCCUCAACCUAAAUUACACAUUGUCCCCAAUGUGUAGGAUAUUGGGUCAAAAGAAAGGAAAAAUGGAGAUGUUAUCUCAAGAUCAUCGAGUGAGAAGUUUGUUAUGAGGACUUCAUAUAAACUAGUCUUGCACAAAAGCAACAAGAUUAGUGGCAAAAGUAUGCAUAGAGAAAAAUAUAAAUGGUGAUCUAAAAGAGAGUAUAAGAGUAUCAGUAUGCUCCAAAAAUACCAUAGUGUAUACAAUUAUAUCGAAUAAGGUAUAUAUAGAAAUGAACAUCAAGCACCAAUGAUAGGAUCAACAACUCCAUCUAUCCCCUCCAACACAUGGGUGGCUACCUAGUCAAUAUCCUCCAAUAUAGGUGUAGUAGCUAAUUAGUGAUCUCCACGAUAGGUGUAACGGCCUCGCCAACAACCUGUACCAUAGGGGGGUCAUCCUUAAUAAUGAUGUCCACACUAGUGUCAGUAGUAUGAAUGAAGAUCUCACCAUCGACCUAUCCUGCAGAAUCUGGAAUAUCAAUAGUUGAGGUAAAAAUCUUAGUUGCGGCAUCACUUGAUGUUUGUAAAAUAGGCAUGGUCUCAUGGGCUACUGUCGGUGCUCUAGUGUUAGAGCCAGAAUCAAUCACCUCUGUAGUGUUGCCAUCAACCUCUAAGUUGGUAUCAAUUGGUGUAAUAAAAUCUCCCCUCUGUCUAGAUGGAAUAAUCAAAGAAGUGACCUAUUGUACACAAAAAGUGAGGUCAUCCAUCUAAGUCUCCAUCUUACUUAAGCGAGCAUCAAUGCGAGAGUCCAUGGACACAAAUAACUUUUGAAGUGUGUCUAGACGAGCCAUGAUUGAUAAGGUACUCAGGGUAGCAUCAACAACCUGAGGCAGUGAAGGUUUAAGAAGAUCAAAGGUUGGUAAUGCUAGUGUAGAAAUAGGAAUAUAUAGCAGGCUCUAAGACACAUGAAAGAGGUGGUGGAAGAGGAAUAGGAAGCACUGGUAAGCUCGUGUCAAAAGUAGGAGUAGGUGGAAGCGGGCUCUCUAUAGUAGAUGGAAGUGGAACAACAUGCAAAGCUCUCUUUCUCUUAGCGCCAUAGGUAAUCAACUAUGACCCUGAAUGAAUUGUUUGACCCACUGAUUGAUAACAUAAGUGUGAGAAGUCAUGCGAUGAUCAGACUUAGGUAACUGGCAUCCAUGACGGAGCAAGUAGUAUGAGAGCAACUGAGGCAAAGGAAUAAGAUAACUUUGAGCUAAAGAUAAUUGUUUCUCCUUAACCUUUUGAAAAAAAUAAAAGAUGGUAUCCAUGAUGAGUUGAGGUGGACUCCACCACUUGCCUGUGUACAUGUGAUAUAACCCCUAUAAGACUAAACCAGAACACUUUAUAGAGUGUCCAAAUGGAAAAUGUUGGUCUUAAUGACCUGAUCCACAAACCAUAAGAUCUAUGGCAUCUCAAGGUGAGUGAUGGCUGAACGAUAACAAGUAUCCCGAGGUGCUAAUAUAUGUGCAAUCCUCGAAAAAGCUGGUUGUGAUUGAGGUGAAAAUUGGGCUUCAAGAGGAGCAGAUGAUGGUAAACCAAAGGUUGCAACAAUGGUCUCAGUGGAAAUAAUAUCAAUUCAUCUAUUGAUAGAAAUAUGGAGCUCUCGGUAUCUCCCUCUCCAAUCCUCGAGAGUAGAGAAGAACUCUCUUACACUAGCGACAUAAAAAUAUGGCGGAGGAUCCAUCAAUAAGAGAAAAUAAUAUCGGUCAAGGAGAUGCAUGGACUAUGUAGUGGGCUAGUAAGUACUAAAUGCCUUUAUUUCAUAAGAGAACUCUUGAUCAAACUUCAGUUAAGAUAGGUCCACCCUAGGGGCAUCAUCACAAACUAUUAGAGAUGGAGGACGUGUUGGGCUCAGAGUAGGAGGAGCUGCCCAUGGAUGUGGAGGAGUGGUAGUAAGCUUGGUGGUCUUAAGAGUGGUUGAGUGAUCAAAAUGAGCCUUUGUCUUGGCUUUGACAUGCUUGGCUUGACGAGUGACAUGCCUCUCAGUAGGCUCAAUAAUCAUUCCACCACUUCGACUUUGGACAAGAGGUCGGGCAUGUUUUUGCCUUGGAGAAUGCUUAGUCUCAUUGUCACUUUGAAUAACAACUUUCCUUUUAUAUUAAGCCAUCUGAAAUAAAUGUCAAAAAAUAAACUAAACUUAAAAAAGGGAAAUAAAUAAAUAGAAAUAAAUACAAAAACUCAUAAGGGUUAAGAAAACAAUCUAAAAAAAAAAAUUGGAUGCUCAUGAAAUUUAUGGAUUCAUAUGAAACGGUGGUAGACCAUUCCUAAAAUGCGGGAGAACAUUCAAGGUGUCCAACAAUGAUGAAAACAUGAGUCUUUGAAGCCUUAGAUAUAAUCCAAACAAUACCUAAGUUCAAAUAUCAUGUGACAAGGAAAUCAAAGUGAUUGGUUAGCUUAGGAGAAUGUGUAGAACAAAUAGAAAAAUCUACUAGAGAGUUUAAAAUGUUCUAGAGCAUAUAAAACAUAAAUUAGGCAACAAUUAUGCAAAACUCAUGGAAAAAUAAGAACUUUGCUCUCAAAGUAUUCUAAGAUGUUCAACAAGCCCUAAGAAUCAUGUAGAAAAAAUUUCAAAAUUUUUCUCCAAGUAUAAACCAAAAAUUCUAACACCUUGAAUUUCCAAGCAAAACAAAUGAACGUUGUGUAAUCAAAAUCAAUCUUGUUGAGUUACGUUCAAAUUUUCGGGGGUCGAGCUCCCCGCUAAGCUUGUGGGGGUCGGGGGGCAGCACCCUCUAGAAUUGUUUUUUCAUUAUAUUUAUUAUUUUUUUUUAUCUACCCAACAGAAACAAUAGAAACCCUAAACAAUGUUAUUGAGAGUUUGGUCACACUGCAUUUUAUAUGGAGCAACACCACACAAUGAAACCAUAAAGAUCAAGGAAAAUCCAUGAAAAAUAAACAAGAAAUGAGUAUGAGUGUAAUGCGUACCUGGAAUGUGACAAACCCAUAAUGAACCCUUAAAUCACCUUCAAUGGAAGCUAGGACAAUGAACAAGGGAAGAAUAAACAAGGGGAAGAGGAGAUAAAGUGGUCUAGAAGUGGAAAUGGCCUUUUGUAAAGGAGUUUGGUUGAUUUCGGAGUGAACUCGAAAUAGAAAUUAAGUAUUUUGAAUUGGAACUUUGGUUAAGAAAAGUCAUUUUGAAAUUUAACUAUUGAAUUCAAAAAUAACCUUAUUUUGAAUUCGUUAAUUAAUGGUAAAAAAAUGCCCAUUUUAAAAUGUAACCAUUGGAUUCGAACACUAUCCUAUUUCCAAAUGGCUCACUAUAUACAAAAACAUUUCAAACACCUCAUUUCGAAAUGAAAAAAAAAAAAUCAUUUCUAAAUUGGGCAAAUUUCGAAUUCACCUUCUGAACUUAAAAAAUCUCAAUUCUAAAGCAAAAGUUUCAAUUUUGAAAAGCCCACCAUUUCAAAUUUGCUAAAUGUAGCCUCAAUACAGUGUAAAAAACCUGUUUCAAAAUUCCACUAAUGAUUUCGAAAAUAGCUUCAUUUCAAAAUGGCUCACUGUUGAUUCCAACUUCUAUUUCGAAAUAGCAAUCUUUUUUAUUUCAAAUUUGACGUCAUUUCGAAAUAACCCACUAUGGGUGUUGAAGUCCAUCUUAAAGCAUCAAAAUUGCUCAUUUCGAAAUUCAAAAUUCAUUGUAUUUCAAACUUGUUUUUUGUGAGUUCAAAACACCUAUUUCAACAUUUACUAGUGAUUUCAAAAUCAAUCUCAAUUCAAAUUCACUUUCUAUAUAUUUAAAAUUGCAAUUCCAAGACAAAAAAUUUGAAUUCGAAAGGAUCAUAAUAUUGAAAUCACCCAUUACUGGUCUUCAAAAGUGUCAUCUCCAUUUGAGAUUUCAAAUUCAAAAAUAAAGGAAUUUUGAAUUCAUCCACUAUACCUUUAGCCCUUUAUCAUAAAAAUUUAGGAUUUCUUUCCCAAGGGCUACUCAGUUUUGUAUUUCAUCCUUUGUUUUCAAAGUUCACCAAUGAUCCUCACAAGUAAAUUUUUGGGAGGCCUAUGGUCUUAAAUAUAGAUCAACGUACUUGUAGGAGCUUUGCCACCUUGAACACUUAUGAGGCUUACCUUUUCACUACAUUGAAGUUCACAUUUACCUAUAUCACUUGGAUGUUUGCAAGCUAAGUUGCUACAACUCAUAAACUCAUUAGUAAGUUAAAGACAACUUAAAAAAAUACUAACCAUAUUUCUAAUGACUAAUUGAAAAUGAAAAACUAAACAAAGGAAAAUAAAUAAAAUAAAACAAAAUAAAAGAGAAAUUAAAUAAAUAAAAGUUUUACCUAAAUUUAAUUUUUACCUACUAGAUUUUCAGAAAAUACUUCAACCCUUUUGAACAUUCCCAUAAAGAAAAUGGAGAUUCUCCUCUAAUGUCUCAAAUCUUUCAAUGAAAUGCUUUAAGCGCUGACCACUAACUUUGAAUUCAUUACCAUUCCUCAGAUUUCGAAUGGUCACGAUGCCAUAAGGGAAGACUUCCUUUACCACAUAAGGGCCAUUCCACCUUGACCUAAGCUUUCUUGGAAAAAUGUGACGCUUAGAGUCGUACAACAACACCUUUUCAUCUUGCUUUAACUUCAUUCAUAAAAUAAGUUUGUCAUGGUAGAAUUUGUGUGUUUCCCUUGCAUUACGUAAGCAUUCAUAAUUCUAAUUUUGAUAUGCCUCAAGUUCAUUCAAAUCAUAUUUCCUUUUAGCUCCAGUUUGAUCCAAAUCAAAGUUCAUUUUUUUAUAGCCCAAUAUGCACGAAGUUUGAGCUCUAUAGGCAAAUGACAUGAUUUACCAUAAACAGUCUGAUACGGUGACAUGCCAAAGAUAGUCUUAUAGGUUGUCCUAUAUGCCCGAAGUGCAUCACUCAACUUGGUAGACCAAUCUUUUCUUGUAGUAUUGACUACUUUGGUAAGGAUUCUCUUAAUCUUUCGAUUUGCUAGCUCAGCUUGCCCAUUUGUUUGAGGGUGAUAUGGGUGGACACUUUAUGCCUCACUCCGUAUUUCUGAAAAAGAGUGGAAAAAGGGCUUGUUACAAAAGUGUGAACCUCCAUCACUAAUGAUUGCUCUCAGAAUGUCAAACCUAGAGAAAAUAUUCUCCUUUAAAAAUUUGAGCACCACUUUGUGAUCAUUGCUCUUGCAUGCCACUGCUUUUACCCAUUUAGAAACAUAAUCCACUCCCACCAAAAUAUAGAGAUUACCAAAAGAAUGAGGGAAUGGUCCCAUAAAGUCAAGGCCCCAACAAUCAAAGACCUCAACAACACAAAUAUAAUUUUUUGGCAUUUGAUACUUUGUGUUGAUUUUCUCCAGUUGUUGACAUUGUGGACAACUUCUGCAGUGAGUGUUACAAUCCUUGAACAUAGUUUUCCUAUAGAAUCCACUCUGUAGAAUUUUUUCCUAAGUCUUCCGUAGACCAAAAUGACCUUCACAAGCUCUCUCAUGGCACAUUCGCAACAUGUUUUGUUGUCCAUCCUCUGGAACACAUCUUUGAAUAAUUUGAUUUGGACAAAACUUAUACAAAUAUGGAUCAUCCCAAGCAUAGUGUUUUGCUCACCAACAAUCAAAGACCUCAACAACACAAAUAUAAUUUUUUGGCAUUUGAUACUUUGUGUUGAUUUUCUCCAGUUGUUGACAUUGUGGACAACUUCUGCAGUGAGUGUUACAAUCCUUGAACAUAUUUGGCCUAUAGAAUCCACUCUGUAGAAUUUUUUCCUAAGUAUUUUGUAGAGCAAAAUGACCUCCUGAUUCGCUUGUAACUCCAAAUGGGUCAUUUAAUCAAAAACAUUUAUAAAACCUAUGACCUCAUACUAAUGUAGUAAAGCUACUAUAGUAUAGUGGCUCUAGGGUCGAACUCUGGGAUGGGUUUUCAUUCUACCAGUGAUGUAUUCAAAAUUAGAAAUUGUAUUUAAUGAUUUCCUUUAUCAAAAACUUAAAGUUUAAAAGAAAAUAAAAUUUGAUUUGAAAGUGUUUAAAACUAAACUAACAUAAACUAAUUAAAAAUGGAAGAAAGAAAGUCUCCCGGAGCUAAGGGUUGCUAGGAUCAAGUUCAGAAUAGAAAGUGGAAAAUUCCGGAUUUUUCUCCUCGCAUUGGGGAUUUAACCUAUAGUUAUUUCCCGAACCGGUAUAGGUUUGACAAUGAAGAUUUAAUCCAUAAAAGAUCAAUAGAAAUGGUAGUCAAGGUCCAUUAAUGGCUUAAGACACUAUGGGUCUUCACCUUGAAUCACUUUCCAAUGACUCGUACAUGAUAACUAAUGGACUAAUAUGGAUCUAGCAAUAAGCAUCCAUAAAGACCUGAAGCUUACCAUGUAUUGAUCAUUCAAAGUGAUUCUAAGGGGUUUAAAGUAAAACUUUGGAUUUAGAAGCCGUUUAUGAAUUCCAACUACCUGAAUUUAAUGCAUGGAAGCUUUCCACCUUUUCAUCUGGACUUUUCACCUAGCUUCCUUUACUCCAAGAAACCGAAAGUUUAGCCUCUCAUCCUCCGGGCAAACAUCCUUAGAGGUUGUUUGGCUUCCAAGAAAAGGAAAAUAAUAAAGAGCAAAGAGAACGAGAGAGCUCUGUAAAAUUCUCAGUGUAAAAACGUAAUACGUAUUCCAUAUAUUCCAAGAGAUGAUUUCCACCCCUUAUAAAGUCUUUACAAAAGCUAAAGCUUAUGAUUGGUUAAUUACAAGGAUAAUAAAGGAAAUUACAUCACAAAAUACAAAGGAAAAUAUCUAAAGUGGAGUCGGCAAAGGGCAGAGCAAAAUUCGCAACACGCAUAGGUUAUGCGAACCAUAUGCGAAUGUUAUGCGAAUUUCGCAUAACCUCUUGUGGAAUGCGAAAUUUUCGCAUAUGCUAGAGCAGUUGGCUUCCGAAGGCCAUAUCUUCCUCAUUUCAGCUCCAAAUCGUACAUGGUUUGAAGUGUUGGAUUCUUGACUUCCAGAGCUUUGAAAUGGUAUAUAGCAUGUAAAAAAUGGACUUCGGGAAUUGCUCCAAAAGUGUGAAAGAAGACUGCAGCUGCUACAUCUUGAUUUUUUUUCACUUUGCUUCUCUUUGCUUCUCUCCUUUGCUUGACUUGUCUUAAUGAUCCAAAAAGCUGUCAAAACAUUAAAACUAGCCACAAAUAUGAUUAGAAGACAUUGCUAGGUCCUUAACAUGCCAAUUGGACUAAAGAUGGAGAACUACUACACAAAAGUGCUUAAAACAUAAUGCAUUAAAGGUGUAAAAUAGCACUUUUUGGGUAGUAAUCACCUCCACAAGCUCUCUCAUGGCACAUUCGCAACAUGUUUUGUUGUCCAUCCUAUGGAACACAUCUCCGAAUAAUUUGAUUUGGACAAAACUUAUACAAAUAUGGAUCAUCCCAAGCAUAGUGUUUUGCUCAAGAAAGAAAAUACUUUUCAUCUCCAUGUUCCAUUCUGAGGGAAGCUCUCUAGUUGCCAAGUAGUUGACUAUAUUUGCAAACCAAGGAAACUUCUCCACUGCACAAAGUGCAUCAUCAAGAAACUCAUCAUUAAUCUAUGCUUCGUCAAAAAGUGACUCUACUUUAACUCAAGAGAGAUGAUCAGCAACCACAUUCUUUACCCCUUGCUUAUCCUUGAUUUGCAUGUUAAAUUCUUGAAGAAGAAGGAUCCAUAUGACAAGUCUUGUUUUGACAUCCUUUUUGUUGAGUACAUAUUUCAAGGCCGAAUAAUUAGUAAAAAUUACUAUUGAAGUUCCCAAAAGGUAGUUCCUGAAUUUAUCAAGUGCGAACACCACUGCAAGGAGCUCCUUUUUAGUAGUUGUGUAGUUCUUCUGAGCAUCAUUGAGGGUCUUACUAGCAUAGUACACCCUAUAUGGUUUUCCAUCCUCCCUUUGACCUAGUACGACUCUCACUGCAUAGUGACUGGCAUCACACAUCAACUCAAAUGGAAGAGACCAAUUGGGAGGUCUCACAAUUGCGGUAGUAGUGAGAAGUGACUUUAGUCUCUCAAAAGUUUCUUGACAUGCUUUAGUCCAUAUAAAUUCUGCAUCCUUAAGUAACAAAGCAUAAAGAGGUUGAGAGAUUUUUUAGAAGUCCUAUAUGAACCUUCUAUAAAAAUCUGCAUGCCCCAAAAAUAGUAUAAUUCACAUGUUUAUUUUAUUUUAAAAAUUAAUUGGAUAAUUAGUUUUGGUAUAAUUUUUGUUAAUUUUAUUUUAAAGAUUCUUUGUAUGAUUAAUUUGUAUAAUUUUUGUUAGUUUAAUUUUAAAAAUUCAUUAGAUGGUUAAUUUGUAUAAUUCAUAUGUUAGUUUUAUUUUAAAAAUUAAUUAGAUGAUUAGUUCAAGCAUAAUUUUUGUUAAUUUUAUUUAAAAAAUUCUUUGUAUGAUUAAUUUCUAUAAUUUUUCUUAGUUUUAUUUUAAUGAGAUUGAUUACCAGUUUAAGAUUUGGCUUUUUAAUCCUUCCUACUCCUUAUAGCUUUGUUUUGGGGCAAAUAAAGAUAAGGAAGACGAGGAUAACUAAUGAUCAAGAAUUACCAAGAAUCACUAGUAUCGGGUAAUAACCUACUGUAUCAUUCCCUAAACUAACUCACAAUGAUAGGAUUAAAAAAAAUGAUAAAUUGUCACCCAACCAAUAAUUAAUCUCAUUGUUAUAAUAAUUUACCCAUUGUCCCUAUAGGUUUCCUAGCCCUUAGGUUUUCAUGCUUUAAGCCCCAAGUUGGCUCUUAACCUCUCAUGGGGGUGAUGUCACAUUCACAAUCCAUAAUAUGGUAAAAAUCCAUAAUUUGAAUCAAAAUAACCUAAAACAACAUAUUUAAUAAAGAAGAGAAAGAAAACAAACCAAAGUUCUUAUCUUCUUCCACCUUCAAUGUCAAACUCCCUAGAAAAAAAAUCCAAGAUUCCUAAGACCUAGAACUAAGAGAGUUUAUAUAAGAUCAUCAAUUACCUAACAUGUGGCACACUCUCAUUGGCCACUUAUUACAAAAAUAAUUACCUAAAAGUGAUUAAAAAAAUUAAAUGGGGAUUUCUAGUCGUGUAGGGUCCACUUAGGGAGGAUGGAAUGCCCUAUAUGCAAUUCCCAAGGUAGAGGAGGCAAAACAUCAAAGUGGCAAUGGGUGCAUUCGAAAUUGGAGUCAUUUUGAUGUGGAUUUCGAAUUCAUAAGUUGAAUUUUGAAAUUAUUUCGAAAUGACCCUUAAGCUUUGUGUAGUUGUUUUCAAAUGGCCAUAACUUCUUCAUUUCAGCUCCAAUUUGCACAUUGUUUGAAGCAUUGGAAUCAUAACCUCCCAAGCUUUGAAAUAAUAUAUCGUUUAAAUAUAAAAUGAACUCUGAGAAAUGCUCCAAAUUUGUCCGCAAAGUUGGAGUAUAUAUUACCAUUAGAUUUUUGAGUUUUAAAUUUCCAUGUAGCUGAAUCUUGCUUCAUGCCUAAUUUCUUAUGUUUUCUUUCCUUCUUUCUUACUCGAUAAUGGUCAUUUCUCAUAUUCCAAACUCAUGAUAUCCUUAUCUUGCCUUUCCUCAUGGUCCAUGAGUCCUGACUCACUUAUUUCCUCAUUGAACCCUUUAUUAAUCUUUCAAAAUCUAAAGUGAUUUAACUUGCACCCUUUUCUUCCCUUGAAUCUGAGAUAAGUCUCCAAAGUACAAAUUAAACUCAUGACUAGGGCCUUAGCAUCGACUUAGGUCAGGUUGGGUGAUUUGAAUGUCCUUUGGUGCAUAUAUCAUAUUGAAUAUGUGCCAUUAUAGCACAUAUUUUGGCUCCAAUCAAGCUUACCUGCCAAAUUCUGCAUGCCAAACAUUGAGUGAUAGAAUGGAGUGGGUUGUCCGAAGAUUCAUUUGAGGCUCUAUAGUAUAUUUGUGAGAGCACACAGAUUAGAUGAUAUGUAGUUGGUUGCUCUCUUCCCUAUGUCAUUUAGUUGAGUAGCAUAGAGGUGGCUGGCCUCAAUUAAGCAUUCGAGACUCUACACUUGGGAGGAUGUGGCCUAUGAGUUUUUGACACUGUUUGCCUUUAGUGCCGAUAUUGAUUUUUUUUUUUUUUUUACCAAACAAAGCGUCGAGAAUGUUACUUAACCAUCCCUAUAGUAAAAGCAAAAUUUGUUGCUUUUAGUGCUGAUAAUGAUGUUUCUAGGCGAGAGUUAGAGGCUACUAAGUAGAGGCCAAAUGAAUCUGUUUCUUCAUUUAUUAGUCAUUAGAGGGCUAAGGUGGUUGGUAUGAUAGAUUGACUAAAGGAGUAAGAUAGGAUUAACGUGCUUCUUUGGAAACUUCAGCCGAGGUUUGCCAAACAUCUUGUAGGUAUUCCAUUUGAAGACUUAUGAAGUUUGGUUCAAGUCGCUUUUAGUGUUGAGGAGAGUAUUGCUAGAGGGUUAUAGAAAAACAUUAUUCCUUCCUUAGAUAAUAAAGGAAAGAAGCCUGUAGAGGUUAGCACUAUCAGUUAUCAUCAUCAAGGUCAGUUUAUCAAUCAUACCAAAGGUCUCCUACAAUCAGAGCCCACUUUCCUCAUCCUUUGUGCCAAUAUUAGUCCACCUAUAUUCAACAACCUUUCAUUACUCGGACCAGUAUGCAACCACGACUUCCAUAUCCUAGAGGCAUUGGUUCUCAAUCAUUACUCAUGUUCCCACUCAUAUUUUUUACACACGUGAUCUUUAUCGAAGAGGGACAUAUUUGUAGACCCUCCAUUCUAUCUCCUUAAUAGAUGCCCUAUUAAGUGUUCUUUCAAUACUCCACAAUGGUUCCCUAGUGGCUCUUUGCUGCCCAUAUAGCCUACCUAUUUUAGCCACCUUGGAGGCUUUGGUUAAGGAAUUUAUUUGACCCCUUAUUUUGACCCUUGGCAGAAUCGAGUUAGAUUUAGGUUUUUCUUUUUUCUUUUUAGGAUAGUUCCUUUAAGUACAUUUCUAGGAUAGAAUACUUAGGCAUCAUUUUUCGAUCACCUUGGCCCAUUUAGACACUUUUGGCCAAUUUAGGCACAUCCGACCCAUUUAGGAUCACCCUAACCCAUUUAGAUACAUCUGGCCUAUUGAGAUCACCUUGACCGAUUCAGACACUUAGGUACAUCUAACUCAUUUAGGUCACCUUGGCCCAUUUAGACACACAUAGGCCCAUUUAGGCGCAUCCGACUCAUAUAGGAUCACCCUAGCCUAUUUAGACACAGCCAACCUAUUUAGGAUGACCUUGUCUCAUUUAGACACAUUUGUCCUAUUUAGGAUUACCUAGACCCAUUUAGGCACAUUCAACCCAUUUUGGUCAUCCUAGCCCAUUUAGACCACUUAGGCCCAUUUAGGCACAUUAGGCACAUUGGACCCAUUUAGGAUUACCCUGGCCUACUUAGGCACGCCUUAACCCAUUUAGGUCACUUGGCCCAUCUAGGCACAUUUGGCCCAUUUAGGAUGACCUAUGCCAAUUUAGGCACAUUCAACCCAUUUAGGUUGCCUUGGCCCAUUUAGAAACACCCAAGCCUAUUUAGGUCACUUAGGCCCAUUUAGGCACACCUUGGCCUAUUUAGGUCACUUAGGUCCAUUUAGGCGCAUUCGACCCAUUUUGGAUCAACCUGACCCAUUUAGGUAUAUUUGGCCCAUUUAGGAUCAUCGUGGCUCAUUUAAACACACCCUGGCCCAUUUAGGUCAUUUAGGUCCACUUAAGAACACAUUAACCCAUUUAGGUCACUUAGGCCCAUUUGACCCAUUUAGGAUCACCCCCAGCCCAUUUAGACAUACCCAAGCCCAUUGAGGUGACUUAGGUCAAUUUAGGCACAUUUGGUCCAUUUAGACACUUUGGGCCCAUUUAGGAUCAUCUAGGCCCAUUUAGGCACAUCCAACCCAUUUAAGAUCACCCUAGCCCAUUUAGACACAUUCGACCCAUUUAGGAUCGUCUUGGCCUAUUGUAGCACAUUUGGCCCAUUUAUGAUCACCAUGGCACAUUGGGCCCAUUUAGGGUCACUUAAGCCCAUCUAGGCACACCCUAAGCCCAUUUAGGUCACCCGUUGUUUCACUUCUUAUUGCAUGGUUUGCGUGAUUGCAUUGUUGAACUUCCUUGCAUGGCUUGCAUGACACUUUGUUUUUUUUUUUUGUUAUUAUUAAUUACUUCUUUAUUUUUAUUUAUUAUCUUUCUAUUUAUUUAUUUAUUAUUUACUUAUUUAUCUAUUAUUAUUUCAGCAUUUUCUAAAUUAUUUUUAAAUACUAUUCAUUUGUUCAAUCUAAUUUUAUUUUUGUGUUUUUGUAGGGAAAUUUACCAAAGAGAGAGCCAACGGAGAUGGAAAGUAAGAAUCACCAAAAUGAAAAAGGAAGAUAAUGGCGAAAGAGAGUAAUACUUACCAAAAAGAGAGGGGAUUGUGAGUUGCAUUAUAAAAGUAUGGAGAACACAAUUUGGGAAGUUUAUCAAAGAGAGAGCCAAUGGAGGUGUAAAACAAGAAUUACCAAAGUGAAAAAGGAAGACAAAGCGACAGAUAGUAAAACUUACCAAGAGAAGAGGGGAUUGAGGGUUGCAUUAUGAAAAUAUGGAGAACAUGUUUUGGUACUGAGAAAUUCAACACAUGGAGAAGGUUUUGGAGUAAGGAGAGGAAGGAUUUCGUCAAGGUGGAAUUUUAAGAAAAAAGGAUAUUCAAUGUGGUAGGAAGGAAUGUUUAGCAUAUUAAGGAAGAAUGUGGGGAUAGGUAGGGGGGAAGAAGAAUAAUUGCAAUUUGUUUUUUUUUUUUUGGUAGAGAGAACACUUUGGCAAAUUUUUGGGAGGUUCAACGUGCAUGUACAAUAAGAUCUCUUGAAAGAGCACGUAUAGAAGAGGGCACAAAUUUUUUUAGGAGACAAUUAGUUGCAUCUUAAAAGGGAAUUGAAGGUAAAUAUUGAUGAUGAUAUUGAUUUUAUUAGUUUCGAAAAUAUUGAUAUUAGUUUCAUGAAUAUGGAUGUUUUAGUUUAGAUAGAUAUUGAUGUUUUAGUUUUGAAAAUAUUGAUGUUUGCUAAGAUGUUUUGAUUUGGAUAAAUUUUGACAUUUUAGUUUUGAUAAAUAUUGAAGUCUUGGAUGUAUUUGCAUGUUGGUUAUAUUAAAAAAAAAAAAAAUUCCAAAAGUUUAGUUUUCAUGAAAUUGAUUGUUAGUUAUUUCUAUAAAAAAUAAAAAUAAAAAUAAAAAUAAACAUAAAUCUUGGAAUGUAAUUUUGAUUAAAUUAAUUGUUAGUUGUUUUUUUUUUAAAAAAAAUAUAUAUAUAAAUUCUUGGAAUGUUCAUUUGAAUAUUUUUUUGUUAAUUUUGUUUUAAAAAUUUAUUGGAUGAUUAGUUUGGGUAUAAUUUGUAUGUUAAUUUUAUUUUAAAAUUUCAUUGGAUGAGUAAUUUGUAUAAUUUACAUGUUAGUUUUAUUUUAAAAAUUCAUUGGAUGAUUAAUUUGUAUAAUUCACAUGUUAGUUUUAUUUUAAAAAUUAAUUGGAUGAUUAGUUCAAGUAUAAUUUUUGUUUGUUUUAUUUAAAAAAUUAAUUUGAUAAUUAGUUGAAGUACAAUUUUUGUUAGUUUUAUUUUAAAAAUUCAUUGGAUGAUUAAUUUGAAUAAUUUUUAAAUUAAUUUUAUUUUUCUAAAUUCAUUGGAUGAUUAGUUCGGGUAUAAUUAGCUUGUUUAUUAUAUUUUAAAAUUUUAUUAGAUGAUUAAUUUGUAUAAUUCACAUGUUUGUUUUAUUUUAAAAAUUAAUUGGAUGAUUAGUUUUGGUAUAAUUCUUGUUAAUUUUAUUUUAAAGAUUCUUUGUAUGAUUAAUUUGUAUAAUUUUUGUUAGUUUAAUUUUAAAUAUUCAUUAGAUGAUUAAUUUGUAUAAUUCGCAUGUUAGUUUUAUUUUAAAAAUUAAUUAGAUGAUUAGUUCAAGUGUAAUUUUUGUUAAUUUUAUUUUAAAAAUUCUUUGUAUGAUUAAUUUGUAUAAUUUUUCUUAGUUUUAUUUUAAAAAUCAAUUGGAUGAUUAAUUUGGGUAUAAUUUUUGUUAAUAUUUUUAGAAAUUAAUUGGAUGAUUAAUUUGUAUAAUUUACAUGUUAAUUUAAUUUUAAAAAUUCAGUGGAUAUUUAAUUCAUAUAAUUUGCAUGUUAGUUUUAUUUUAAAAAUCCAUUAGAUGAUUAAUUUGUAUAAUUCACAUGUUAUUUUUAUGGGAUGAUUAGUUUGGUUAUAAUUCACAUGCUGGUAUUAAUUUAAAAAUUCAUUGGAUGAUUAUUUUGAGCAUAAUUUUUGUAAAUUUUAUUGGAUGAUUGGUUUGUAUAAUUUUAAUGUUAGUAGAGUUUAAAAUUUUAUUGAAUGAUUGCUAGGUUAAAUUCCCAUGUUGAAUGUGUUUUAAAAACUCGUUAAAAAAAUUAAAUAAAAAUUCUUUGAAUGUUUAUUAGGUUAAAUUCUCAUGUGGGCAUUAUUAUUAUUAUUAUUAUUUCAAAGAUAAAAAAACAAAAAAAUCAUUUAAUGCCAUAUUUGGUUGAAUUUUCAUGUCAAUAGUUUUUUUUUAUUAAAAAAAAAAUUGUUGAAGUUUGUUAGUUUAAACGUUUAUGUUAAUAUAUUUUUAAAAUUCAUAGGAUGUUGUUGGCAUAAUUCUUAGUUGCCCUUAUCUUGAUACUUAUUGUGUUUGUUCCUUGAAGAAUUCUUAUAUUUGAUUUAAAAAAAAAAUCGAAUUGAAAAUUACUUUUUGAAAAAAAAAAAAGGAGAAAAGAAAAAAAUUGAAUUUUUUCCAUAUUGAACGAGGCUUCUUGAUUUCAAAUGGAAGACAAUAAAAAAGAAAUAAAAAUCCUUAUUGUGUAUAUAUUGUUUGAGGUUUACUAAUUCACUUGAUCCUUUUUUUCUUCUUUGAAAAAGAAAAAACCAUCUUCAAAAGUAUUUAAACCGUCAAAAGGAUUUGGAAACAAAUACUCAUUCUAGGUUUAAGGACCAUAUUUUAUUUUCAAAUCAUGCAUUCUACUAUUUUAUUUUCAUCUAAGCUGCAUUCUACUUUUUUUUUUUUCUUCCAAAAUGUUGUUUUUUAUUCCACAUAGAUUUGAAUGUAUUAGAUAAUUUUGAAGAUGGCCACCUAACACAUGCGACCCAUCUCUAAAACCUUUCUAAAAUAAGAAAGUCAUCCAAGAAAAUAAAAAUAAUAUAAGAAAAAGGCAAAGUUGUUGCCUUUUUUUUUUUUUUUUUUUUUUUUUUGGGCCUGUAUUUAUUUAUUAAUUUAUUUUUGUCAAUCUCCUACAAGAUCAUAUCCCACUUACCCCCUUACGCAGCAAGAAGAGCGCGUGGGACACCCACUUCGACCCCACAACUUUAUGAUGAAUCUGAACCCUGUGGACAAUAAUACCACGUGCAUACGAGCCUGUAACACUCAUUUAUGGGUUUAAAUUCAUUCAAAUGAGUCAGUAGUAAAAGCUAUGAAAUAGAUCGAACCCCACCUUCUUUUUCGUUUUUAAAUUUUCUGGGGUCCCUCAGUUACUUUACAGAAGGUGGCAGAGAAAGAGAGAGAGAGAGGAGUUAUUAGAGUUACAGACGAACAAUCACUUUCAAUGCUGUUGUCUUCUUGUUGUAAGGGUAAAAUAAGAGGCAAACAAAUUAAUGAAUUCAUUAUCUUACCUUUCUAUUCAAAUGCCUUCCAAGAAAUGUUUUGAGAGCUUUGAGUUUAGUCUAUAAUAAUGGUAGUAUAUUUCAAUGAAUAUGCGUUCUAGAAAAAUAUAUACCUUUAGCAUAUACCAAGAUAUCCUAGGGUUUCAAGUCGUGUUACAACGGGGAAGUAAUAACCAAUCAAAACACAUGACUUUGUUUUCUAAAAAAUCACUCUUCUUGGAAAACAUGCAAGGAACUUAAGCAUCAUAAGUUAAGCAAUCCUAGAUGGAUGUUCGAGUAUCCAGCUCUUUUCUUUAAUCCUAGAUGGAGAGAGACAACAUCUGCUCUCUCUCCAGCAUGCAAGUGUGCGUCCUAGGCAGCUCUUUUGUGCUUUAAAUGAAUUGAAUACUUGAUCUUAUUCUGCCAUUGUUUUGGCUCAAACCUAGGAAGUAUAUUUACCCUGACUUCUUUUCAUGUCUUCAACUUACUUAAAGGCUCACAAGUCCCAUUGGAAGCAAGCAGUUAAGGAUUUUUGAACUAAAAUGAUCAAACAUAGUCUUGCUUUACUAGUAGGUUAUACUCUUUUCAACAGUUUAAAUUGCUUUUGUUGAUAGAUUAUAUGGAUGUUUUAACACUCCAAGAAAUUGGAAUGAAGCAAAAUAUGAAGAAAGAAGAAAUGACUGUCAAUGGAUAUAUUUAUUCUCUUUUAUUUCUAUUGAUACUAAAAUUUUUAGGGAUAAAGGAAUUGUUACUGUUGUCCAAAUAUUUAAAAUUCAUCUGGAUCUGCAAGAAACCUGCAAGGGAAUAUUUUCUUAGAAAUAAUGGUUUAAAUAAGGAAAAGAAAAUAUAUAGAUGAAUUGACUGAAGGUUGCAGACAAGGGACCAACGACCAGGUAAUGGAAGACUGGAGAAAGGGAUUCAUCGGUUUGAUUUUUCUCCCAGCUGGCCCAGUUGUUUAUUUCAAAGUGCAGUUUAGAACAACUUUCAACAUUUGAAUAAGGAAAAGAAAAUAUAUAGAUGAAUUGACUGAUUCAAAGGGCAUAUUACAGUCAGUCUGUGCGUAACAGGGCGGGUGACUUCAAAUGGAUACACUGAGGUCUAUCUGUGCGUGUUAGGCAUUCAUGAACCUGUUUUCUUCGGUCAAAGAGCUGCCAAUACAAGGAAAAAAAAAAUGGCGAAAAUUAAGUAAAGUAUGACUUCUGGAAGAUUUAUCGCCUUCGUAAAUGAAGUGAGAGUUUUGACCGAAUUGAAGUAAAAAAAUUAAAUGCAAAACUUCCACUAAAGCUUGGCAUCAUUUUUCAAGGUUCUUUGUCAAUCCCUCAUUCUCCAGAACCAUGGGAUUGGUAGAGAAACUCAUUCUUCUCAACCAUGGCUCUUAACCAAUGGUUAAUUACCUUGCAACAAUGCAUGAUAUUAUUGAUGAAUUGGACCUUCUUAGAGAAGCCAUUCCAAAUUAAUAACUCAUCACUUACACAUGCAAACGUGUCGCCCCGAAUUCAAUGAAUUGUUGUUAUAUGCACACGAGAUACUAUGAUCACAUUUGAUGAGUUUCAUGACAAAUUAGUCGAAUAUGAAGCCUUCCUCAUGUAGCUUAAAACCAAAUAUGUCAUCAAAGAAGAUAGCAAUAAUCACCCCCACACAAUGAUAUCUAUUAUAAUACAUUAGCUGUAUCGAACACAAAUUUCCUUCAAUAUGUGUCUCAAUAUUAAAGUCCACGUAGAAUCAGGUGUGCACCAUAUUGGGGUUGGAUAGUUAUAAGACUGAAAGGAGCAUGAGCAUAGGAUGGCGAAAGUUCAAAUGAGAAGCGUUGUAAGAUCAUUGCCAAAGCUGUUUUUGCCUCCAUCAUUGCAAAAUUUUGUCCAAUGCACACCCGAGGACCCCAACCGAAUGGUAAAAAUGAAACUUGGUUUUUUGUUGCCUUUGAAACUCCUUCAGCAAACCUCUCUGGAUUAAACUCCUUUGCAUCGUCUCCCCAAAUUUCAUGAUCAUGGUGAACUAGGAUGGUGGGCAAAGAGACCUGCACUCCGGCUGGAAAAUACAUGUCUCCCACUUGAGUGUCCUUAGAAACCAUUCUGGUAAGCACUGUUACUGGUGGAUAUAACCUAAGAACCUCAUGAAAAAUCAUGGUAACCUGUGGUAGAGAAACUUUAGAAGUUGUAGCAUGAAAAUUGUUACUGAAAUACAUCUUAAAUCCUUAUGAAGGACACUGACGGAUAAAGGAAUUGUUUAAAAUAGUAAUGCAGAAGAGAUAUUGGUCUAAAUCAUGCAUGGCAUGAUGUCAAGUAUACAAAGGAUAUAAUAAUUUUAGAACCUCAUGAAAAAUCAUCAUAAUCUAGAGAAAUUUCAAGUCAUGGCAUGAGAAUCCAUUCCUGAACUAUAAGUAAAUGAAAGAAAAUGUUCAGUACAAGAUAAAAAAAAUAAAAAAAAAGUUAUGCGUUUUCAUUUUUACUCCAUUUAUUUUUCUCUUUUUUUUUUUCCUUUUGUGUGUGUGUGUGUGAGGGUGGGGGUGGUGGGUGGAAUAGAGUGGACUGAGUACUCACAAUUUUUAGGUGGUUUAAGCCAUCAUUUUCAGGUUUGUUAUUCCCAAAAACCUGUAAAACCUCUUCUCUUGCACGAGCUUGCCAGUCUGUAUGUUGGCUUAGCAGGACCAUUGUCCAUAAAAGCAAAACUGAGGUUGUCUCUUGGCCAGCAAGAUAGAAUAGCUUACAUUCAUCAAUGACAUCUUUGGCACUCAUUCCAAUCUUCGUGUUAUUUUGAUGUUCUUGAAUUUCUCUAAAAUUGGAUUCCAUUAAUAUACCUAAUAAGUCACUAUUAGCAGUUUCGCCAGCCUCCAUUGCCUUCUCCCUUUUGUUGAUGAUGCCCCCCAACAAUGCAUGUACUUCUUUGCUUAUUUGCUUCAUCCUCUUGUUCGUCUUUGUGGGAAAAAACCUGCAACUUAGUAAUUCCAGUAAAUAAAAGAUCACAUGAAGAACACUGACAUUAAUUUUUUGAAGCUUGUAUAACACUUCAUAGGCAGAAACUAUCAGACAAUAACUAAUGGUUUCAUCUACACAUGUAUUGCGGUGGCAUCUUAUCAUCUUGGCACAAUAUCUGGCCAACACAAGGCAUGGGGAUGCUAGACCUCAAUUUAUGAAACACACUACUUUCUAAGUGCUACACAGAAAGAACAGAAAGAACAGUCCUAGUAAAUGAAGUAUAAAGGCAUGAAAACAUAAAAUUGUCCAGGUAAAUGAAGACAUGCAAUGAAGAAGAAAACUAUUGCAGGCUACACAAAUCACAACCACAUAAAUCAACCACCCACCCAUUUUCAAACUUCCAGCUCUCAUGCACUGGCACAGUUCGGUCCUCUUAAAGAUUAAAGUAGGCAUCUAAAAUUUUAUUGGUUUCAAGGAAGAGAACCUUUUUAUUCUAAAUAUUUAAUAGUAGAUUCCUUUCUUAGCUUACCAGUAUAUAUAUAAAUUACUCAGGACCUUAAGAAGUUGAUAUUAUAAUUUAAACAAUGUUAUAUCAUGUGUAUUAGGAGAGAACCAAUCUCACCCACAAAUAAAGAGCACUCAAUUGUCAAUUCUUAAGUUUAUGACUAAUAUAUGUAUACUUAUAUAGUUUAUGUAUCUUUUGGAAAGUCAUGUGUAUAUUUAAAAGAUUAUAGUGUACACCAAUAAUAAUAUACCUGCACCAUUCAUCUAUGCACCUCCUAGAGCUCCCAUGAGUUCUUUUUUUCUCCUUCAUCCUACGUUUCACCAUGGCUGAAGCAAGCUCAACCAGGCUAUCCCACCUUCCCUUACCUAUCAAUACCACCAUGAACCUUAACAAUCUCAUUGCCAUCAACACAAUUAGCUAGCCAACUUCUACUCAAGCUCAUCCUCACUAACUAUUACUCAUGGAAAACAUAGUUUGGUGCACUGCUCUUUGGAUAUGACCUACUUGGCUACAUUGACGAAAUAAAGCAAGGACAAACAAAUCUCAAUCCUAACUAUACUUUUUGGACAAGUAGGACAAACUUCUUCUUCUAGGGAUCAUCGGCUCUCUCAGCCACAAAGUCGUACCUGUGGUUCAUUCAUGCAAAACUUCCACUAAAGCUUGGCAUCAUUUUUCAAAGCUAUGUCAAUCCCUCAUUCUCCAGAACCAUGGGAUUGGUAGAGCAACUCAUUCUUCUCAACCAUGGCUCUUAACCAAUGAUUAAUUACCUUGCAACAAUCCAUGAUAUUAUUGAUGAAUUGGACCUUCUUAGAGAAGCCAUUCCAAACCAAUAACUCAUCACUUACGCAUGCAAACGUGUCACCCCCGAAUUCAAUGAAUUGUUGUUGUUAUAUGCACACGAGAUACUAUGAUCACAUUUGAUGAGCUGCAUGACAAAUUAGUGGAAUAUGAAGCCUUCCUCAUGUAGGAAGAGCUUCGCUCCACUAGCAAUCUUGGUACCAUUAAAGUCAACAAUACACAAUUUUCAUCUUCCCAUUGUGACAAAAACGCUAGCCAAAAAUAUUUCCCUAGUAGGAAAGGAUACCAAGGCCAGCGUCCUCCUCAUUUUGGGAAUCAACACCCCAGCAAGAAAGCCACUAUGAUUUGCCAAUUCUCUGAGAAGAAAGGUCAUACUGCUUGCUAGUGUUACAUUUCUAAGAAAUUGUUCCUUUCAUCCACACCUACUACUAGUCCAAUUAUCCCCACAAACAACUCCUUAACCAAUUGGUUCGUAGAUAUCAGUGCCUCACAUCUUGUUACAUUUUAUCUUAACAACUUGUCUCUCUGCCAACCAAUGAAUCUUGUCAUUAAUAUUUUUCACAUUUCCUAUACUUGGAGGGUUGUUCCAAGAUUAAAUAAAGUAUUUUCCCAUGCUAGUCUAAAUAUAGUCUUUUCCUUUUCUUGGAGGGUUGUUCCAAGAUUAAAUAUGCUCAGUUUCAGAAUUGAGAGGACUUUUUCAUAUUGCUAAGAAAAAAACUUGUGAGUUUGAUUUUUCUAUCAAAGGUUUAUCUCUAAGGUGGAUUCCUCUGAGUGGUGAGCUUAAUUGUGAGUUCUUAUCUGUAAGGUGAUGAAUUUCUUAUCCUUAAAAGUGGUGAACUUGUGUUAUUAGCUCAUCAUUUUAUUUCCUUAAAACGGUAUCAUUUUGUGUUGGAAAAUGUAGUUACAAGCUUCCUUCAAGUUUCUCAUGUAUCAACCCACAAUCAACUUGUAGAUAUACUCAACAAACCAUUGCCCAAGUCCCACUUUACAUUCUUUCAGUCCAAGAUUGGCGUUUUUUAUGGAAGCACCAUCUUGCAAGGGCAUAUUAGGAGAGAACCAAUCUCACCCACAAAUUAAGAGCACUCAAUGGUGAAUUCUUAAGUUUAGGAGUAAUAGAUGUAUAGCCUUGUAUAGCUGUUGUAUCUUUUGGAAAGUCAUGUGUAUAAGAUUGUAGUGUACACCAAUACUAAUAUACUUUCACCAUUCAUCUAUUUACCUCUUUAAUGUGGAAUGACAACUGCACCAAAAGAUACUUUGGUGCCUAUACAUCCAUUAGUUUUUCAAUUAAACUGUUGAACAAAUGCCAUGAAUUGAGGUACUUUUGAGAGAUAAGAAAGCUCUUACCUUCAUCAAUUAAGCAAUGAAUGAAGGUACUUUUGAGAAGAUUUUCAGUGCAACCAUAACCAAGGAAGUAUGAGAGAUAUUACAUUUUAAGUACACAUAACAAAGUUAACAAUACACAAAAGGUUAAUCUUCAAACUCUUAAAAGAGAAUUUGAAAGUUUGAGUGUGAAAAAAAAAAUUGAAUUAAUCUCUAAUUAUUUUUCUAGAGUAUUAGAUGUUGUGAGUUUACAAUAAAAAUAUGUCAAAAGUUUGAAUGAUAGUUAUGUGGUAAAAAAAUAUGUUUAAUCUUUAGAUUCCAAAUAAGUUUAACUAAAUUGUUGUUGUCAUUGAAGAAUCUAAACAUUUAGAUUCUAUGACCAUUGAUAAACUCAUGAGACCACUAUAAGCUCAUAAAAAGAGAUUAAAAAGAAAUAACUAAGAAAAAUUGCAGCUUUUUUAAGCAAAUUAAACUUACACUAAAGGAGAAUGAUGAAAACAUUAGUUAAAGAAGUCAAAACAAUCAUGGAUAUGUCGAAGACGUGGUCAUAGACAUGGCUAAGACAAUAGAAGAAGAGAUAAGUUUAAUUUAUCAAACAAUGAAAUAACAAGUCAAAAUUCACAUUCCUUAGGAGGACAUGAAAGAUGACACAACUUAAGGCACAGUAAAAGAAGAGGAUAUGAUAAAUUUCAAAUUGAAUGUUAUAAUUAUAAAAAAAUAUGGUCAUGAUGCUUAUGAAUAUAGAAAUGCUACAAACAAUAUGAAAAGACACCUCCAAGGUACUAAAAAUAAAGAUCAAGAAGAACCAACCUUAUUAUUGGCAUAUAAAGGAGAAAGCUAGGAGAAAAUUACAUGGUAUCUUAACCUCUAAGUAAAAUCAUAUGUGUGGAUUCAAAAAUGUGUUUGUAGAGCUUAAUGAAUUUGAAAGUGGCAAUUUUGCCUUUGGGGCUACAUGUAAAAUUCCAAUAAAAAGAAGAGGUAAAAUCUUGAUUCAUAUGAAAAUGGAAGGCAUAUUUCAAAUGUCUACUAUGGUGUAACAUGGAAAACAAUAUAUUAAGUUUAGGUCAACUCUUAUAAAAGGGCUAUGAUAUUUAUCUCAAAAAUAAAAGUGUCUUAAUAAGAUACUAACAUGCCAAUAUAAUUGGUAAUGUGCCCAUGAUAUAAUGUUUUUGAAUAACAUUCAAAAUAAUAUUGUAAAAUGCCUAAAAUCUCAUGUCAAUAAUUCCUCUUGAAUUUGACACUUAUGAUUUGAACAUCUUAAUUUUAGAGGAUUGAAAUUGUUAAGCAUGAAAAACAAUGAAAUAAUUGUUCUUUAAUAAUUUGUGUCAAUUGUGUGAAAGAUGUUUACUCAGAAAAUAUGUCUAAAAAAGUUUUCCAAAGGAAGAAACAACAAGAGAAGAAGCUUUCAGUGCUCAUUAAUGUGGAUAAUCCAGUUUUAAUUUUUAUGGGUGAUUCUAGUAAAAAAUAAAAAAUAAAAAAAUUUGGUUGUAUCUUUAGCUCAAAAAUUUGUUGAAGAAACUUAAUUUACCACAAGAGAAACCAAUAAACAUCUAUAUGAAUAUAAAAUUGGUGAUUGCCUUAGAAAAGAUAUCUAGUUCUCCAUGAUUGAAGCAAGUAUAUUAAUACAAAAUAUCAUUUAUUAGAAAGUAUAUUAUGAAACAUGAAGUACACAUAAAAUUUGCAAAAUCUCAUAAUCAAAAUUUGAAAAUGCUUAUAGAGCCUCUCAAGUUUAAAGAUUUUAGAUAGCUAAGGAUGCUACUUUUACAAAUCAAGUUGAAAAGGGCAUGUAAGUUUAACUAUAUUUAGAAAGUUUCUAAAAAUUAGAAUUUGAGUCUUUCUAAAUAUUAAUUAAAAUAUUUUAUAUUAAAAGGUUGAUUUAGUUUCACCCUUAGAAUCUAAGCCUUUCAAAGUGCCAAUAGUUGUUAGUUGUAGAUAAGGCUUUCCUUUUUACAGCUCUGGGUUCUAAUCUAUAUAACCUCCUAAUGGUACAAAGUGCACCUUUUUCAUAGAGGCAAGUAGUAACCUAUUGUUAGCCCCUUGAAAUGGACUAUGAGGCACUAAGGCCUCAUGGGGCAAUAGCUUCACAUCAUGAGUAACCUAUGAUGGCAAUAAGGUGGCACAGGGGUACAAUUCCUUGUGCAAGGAGAUGGCUUGGUGAGCCAUGGGCGUAAUGCCAUGAUAGGUACAACACUAAAAGAGACUUAGAUGAGCAUAUUGUUGUGGUGACUUAGAUGAAAUACAUGAGGGUGCAAUGCCUUGUGCAUGGGGAGUCAUAGGUGCAAUGCCAUGACAUGUUGCCAGACCAAGAAGAGGGUUUGGGCAAAGCAUAGAGUCACAACAUCAACAAGGUGAAUGUCGGAGCAUGUUGCCUCAACAUGGAUGCAAUCUAGAUGUGUAGGCCAAAAGAGAACUUAACAUGCACAUGAGCCAUUUAUAUAGAUUCCUACAACAACAACAUUCAAAGUUGGACUCGAAGUAGGAUUGCAAGUCAAGCAUGAGUAGGAGUCUUGAUGUGAAUUGUAAUUGUAGUAUGAUUAGGACUAGGACUUAGAGUCUACGUAAGAGUGUUUAUUUCCAUAACCUAUUAAGAAAAGUCCUUAUAUAACUAGGAGUAAAACUCCUAGUCUAACAGAGAGCAGGUGGUGCCACUCUAUAAAUAGGGAGGGUUGGAUAGACUUUAGAGAGAGAUCAAGAGGAAGCCUGAACUACCAAAAGUAUUGUGGAAGUGUAGCUAAAGUCUUGUAUUCUUAUUCAAUAAGUUAAUAAAAUAUAAUUUAGGGUUGAUGCCCUAUAAAUCUUGUGUAUUGCCUUGCGUGUUGUCAUCUAGUGGGGAAAGGUGUAGGUUAGCUUAGAGAGCUUCUAAGUAUUUGCAUAGAUGUGAAAGUUUAUGUGGGAAUUUUGCACCUAUGACAAUUGGUAUCAGAGACUAACAAGCAAAUGGUUGGGGGAAGUACUAUAGAGACCUUAAGAGAAAGGAGCUCAAGACUAGAAGAAUUGUUAGGGGAAUAACAAGGUGAUAAGUUGGUUGGCUUGAGAAUCCUUGAAACAAUUGAAGCACACUAGUUCAACAUAGGAGUAUAUCGAGGAAUUUAGUUCCUUAAUGCUCGACAUAAAAAAUAUGUCCAAUGAGGACAAAUUGUUCAACUUCAUGUUUGGAUUGUAGGGAUGGGCCUAAAUUGAGUCACAAAGAUAAUGGGUGUGAGAUCUUUCUAUUAUAAUCAUUGCAACAGAUUGUUUGGUAGUCUAUAAGUUGAAUGGUGUGAACUCUACAAAUCAGAAACCUAAACUAGAUGGAGCAAAGAAACCUAAUAAAGAGGGGAAAUCUUCUAAGAAGUCAUAUGAGAAGAAUUUGAAAAAGCCUGCAGCAUCGUAAUCGAAUGAAAAAACUACUAAGUAUGGGUAGCAAACAACCAAACCCAUGGGUUGAUUCAUUUGCAUGGCCCUCACUGUGCUAAGAAGUGUCCAAAAUGGGAAAAACUAUCAGCCCUUAUGGCUACUAAAAGUAGUGGUGAUUCUGACAUGGAUACACCUUUAAGAGUUAAUCCUUCAUAGCUCUUGAACAUAAUCCACGCAAAUGCACUAAUUCAAAAAGGGUUGAUUCAUGUCCAAGUGCUAGUAAAUGGCAUGUAGGUAAAACCAAUGAUGGACAGAAGGGCAACCCAUAAUUUUGUGGCUAGUAAGAAGCCAAGAAGCUCAGUUUGGAACUAGAACAAUACACUAUUAAGAUCAAGGCAAUAAAUAGCAAAGCCCAACAAAUUAAUGACAUUACCAAAAAAGUCUCACUCUAAGUCGGAAAUUGAGAAGGCAACUAUAGCUUGCUAUGUGUACCCUUAAACGAUUUUGAUUUGAUCUUAGGGAUCGACUUUUUCCUUAAGGCUAAGCCGGCAUUGCUCCCAUACCUUGGUAGGUUAAUGAUCAUGGAUGAGAGUCAACCUUGGUUAUUUUUUCUAUAAAGGAAAAAGUCAUAGAGAAAGGUCAAACCAAGAUGGUUUCUACGCUUCAAAUAAAGAAAGGGUUGAAGUGUGGGAAUGUCACGUAUAUUAUAACCUUGGUUGAGAACAAAGCAGAUCAUUCAAUGGAGGUGCCACAUAGUGUAGCCCAUAAUAAAAAAGAAUUUAAAGAUGUGAUGCCUACAAAAAAACCCAAGGAGUUGCCUCCUAAGCACCAUAUAGACCAUAAAAUUGAGUUGCCACCUAGGACCAAACUUCCUACUGAUCAGGUCUCAUAUUGGAUGUCACCUUCGAAUUACUUGGGUUAAGGAAGUAAUUGAAGAAACUGUUGGAUGCAGGCAUGAUCCAAUCUUCAUGGGUUCCCUAUGGUACUCCUAUUCCAAAAGAAGGAAGAUGGGACCCUAUAGAUGUGUGUUAAUUAUUGGGCCUUGAACAAAGUAACGAUCAAGAACAAGUAUCCAAUCUCCUUAGUGGUAGAAUUAUUUAAUAAAUUGGCCAAGGCAAAGUUUUUCUCCAAAUUGGACUAGUGGUUAGGAUACUAGCAAGUAAGGAUUUUAGAGGGGAACGAAAAAAAGACUACAUGUGUAACCCGCUAUGGGUCAUAUCAGUUCCUCAUGAUGCCAUUCAAACUAACUAAUGCCUCAAUAACAUUCUACAACCUAAUGAAUGAUAUGCCAUACGAGUUCCUAGAUGCCUUUGUUAUGGUUUGCUUCAAUGCAUUAUUGUUUAUAGCAAGACCUUAGAAGAGCACGUGAAUCACUUGAGACUAGUGUUUCAAAGACUAAGAGAACAUGAAAUCUACGUGAAGAGAGAGAAGUGUGAGUUUGCACAAAGGCAUAUUACCUUUCUAGGAUGUAAGAUAGAGGAAGGGUUGAUCGAGAUGGAUGAAGUGAAGGUCCAGGCCAUUAAAGAUUGGCAUGCUCUAAGCAAGGUGACACUGGCAAACUACUAUUGAAGGUACAUAAGGGGUUACUUCAAGAUAGUGGCUCCCUUUACUAACCUUCUAAAGAAGGAUAUUUGCUAGGAUUGGGGGUUUGAAUGCUAGAAAGCUUUUGACAAGUUGAAAGUGGUGAUUUUAGUUAAAUUGGUGCUACAUUUACUAGAUUUGGAUAUCCUAUUUGAGGCCCAAACAAAUGCAUCAACUAAGGCCUUGAACUUGGUGCAAGAAAGGCACCCAAUAGCCUUUGAGAGUCAAAAACCUAAUGAGUUAGAACAAAGAUACUCCACUCACGAGAAAGAGAUGACAACGAUUAUCCAUUGCUUAUAGUAGUGGAAGCAUUAUCUAUUGGGGAGUAUAUUUACUAUAGAUGGUCACAGACAACAUAGUUAAUACCUUUUUCAAGAUGCAGAAGGAGUUGAGCCCUAAGCAAGCUAGGUGGCAAGAAUUCCUUGGCGACUUCAAGUUUGAAUGGUUGUAUUGACGAAAAAGACAUAAUGUAGUUGUAAAUGCCUUGAACCAAAAGGAAUUAACAGAGUAUGUAAUCACUCAAUCACAUAUGAUUUCAUAUUUUAAUGAGAAGAUCAAGCAAGCUGCUAAGCUUGAUUCUACUUAUGAGAAUAUGAAACAACAAUUCAAAGAGGGGGCUACUAAAAAUUUUUGGCUAGAAGAUGACCUCUUGGUGGCUAAAAGAGGUAGGCUAUAUGUACCAAGAAGUUGCUUACAUAAGGAGUUGCUAAGAGUGGCCUAUGAUGUCAAGUAGACAGGUCACCCUAGCAAAGAGAUGACAUCAAUAGUAUUGUCCAACUACUAUUACUAGCUAAAAAUAGGAUAGGACAUCCAGACUUAUGUUCUAUAUUGUUUGAUAUGCUAGUUGGAUAAGACAGGCAAGAAGAAAACAAUAAGGUUACUACAACCUCUCCCUAUCUUAAAGAGACCUUAGAAUAACAUAUCUGUGGACUUCAUCGGUGGCUUUCCAAAAGUGAGGGAAUUCAAGUCUAUCUUCAUGAUAGUAGAUAGACUCUCUACGUAUGUUGUUUUCAUACUUACACCACAUGCAUGUCCCGUAGAGGAGGUGACUAGGCUAUUCUUCAACCAUGUGGUCAAGUACGUACUUCAAGUUGCCUAAAGACAUAGUCAGUGAUUGUGAUGCUCGAUUCAUUGGUCAAUGUUGGACUGAGUUGUUUAAACUCCUAGGAUUGAAGUUGAAGUUCUAAAAAACAAAUGAUUCGUAGAUAGACGGGCAAACAAAGUGUAUCAAACUUAAGGAAUACCUCAGACACUAUGUUUUUAUAACACAAAAGAACUGGAUUGAUCUAGUGGAGAUAGCUCAUUUAUCCUAUAACUUGCAUAAGAGUUCAAUAAUAGGGUUGAGUCCCUUUGAAUUGGCUAUAGGGCAACCACUAAUUAUGCCUUGGAGAUGUUUAAGCAAAAGUUUGGUGGUAAUUGUCUUAUAGCUUAUAAAUUUGCAAGGUCUUGGCAGCAGAUGCUCGAUGAAGCUUGUAAAAGCUUAGAGAAGGCAUUUACAAAAAUGAAAAAGUAUGCGGACAAGGGCCGAAGACCCUCAUAAUUUAGAUUGGGGAUAGGGCCCUUCUAAACCCUCAUAUAUGGAAUAAAAUUAGCAGUAAGACUAUGUAGAGGGUGUUGAUUCCCAAAUAUGAUGGACCUUUCAAGGUGAUGUAGAGGGGGAUAAGUAGCUUACAAAUUGAAGUUGCUGGAUAGGUUAAAGAUAUACCUCACGAUCCAUGUGAGCUUCUUAAAGCCUUACCAUGAAAACCUAGACUCAAGAAGGAUACCAACAAGGCGAGUGAUUAGAAAGAAAUUUGAUCGCGAGUGAUAUCAACAAGGUAGAGAAGAUAUUAGAUCAUUGAACUGUGGGAAUGAGUAAGAAAAAUUGAAGAAUUGAUUUUCUAGCUUAGUGGAAGGAUAGUCUUGAAUUAGAGGCUAGUUCGGAAUGAGAUGUAAUGCUCUGGAAAUUUAAGGAGGUAGUCUAAGCCUACCCAUAGUCCAAGUCAAUGAGAGCAUCAACUACAUCAAGUAGAAGUGGUUUGUUAGCCCCUUGACAUGGACCAUGCGAUACUAAGGCCUCAUGGGGUGACACCUUGGCCUCUUGAGUGACCAAUGACAACAACAAGGUGGUAUAAGGGUGCAAUGCCUUAUGGAGGGAGAUGACUUGGUGAACCAUGGGCACAAUGCCAUGGUAAGUGUAGUACUAAGAGAGACUUGAAUGGGCAUAUCAAUGGGGGGCAACGAAGCCAACUUAGAUGCAAUACAUAAGGGGUGUAAUGCCUUGUGCAUAGGGAGUCAUGGGUGCAAUGCCAUGAACUAAGAAAAGGGCUUGGGCAAGGCACAGAGCUGUAACAGCAACAAGGUGGAUGUAGGAGCAUGUUGCCUUGACACAAAUGCAAUCUGAACAUACAAACCAAAAGAGGGCUUAUCAUGCACACGAGUCAUAUAUAUAGAUGCACACGGUAGUAGCAUGAAGAGUUGGACUUGAAGUGGGAUUACAUAUCAAGCAUGAGUAGGAGUCUUGAUGCCUAAUGUAAUUAUAGUCUAAGUAGGACUAGUACUCAAAUUCCAUGUAGGAGUGGUUACUGCCACAACCUAUUAGGACAAUUCCUAGUAGAACUAAGAGUAGCACUACUAGUCUAAUAAGGAGUGGGUGGCACCACUUUAUAAAUAGGAAGGGUUGGAGAAACUCUUGAGAGGGAUCUAGAGAAGGAAAUCAUAAGGGAGGUCAAAACUCACCGAAGCUAUUAUGGAAGUCUGGCUAAAGUCUUUUAUUCUUAUUUAAUAAGUUAAUAAAAUACAAGUUGGGAUUGGUGCCUUGUAAACCUCAUGUGUUGCUUUGCAUGUUGUUGCCAUCUCAUGGGGGAAGGUGUAGAUUGGCUUAGAGAGCUUUUAAAUGCCACAUAGACAUGAAAAUUUAUGUGGGAAUUUUGUGCCUAUGACACAUAACCUUUAAAAGUCUAUUCAAGGGGGACCCUUCAUCUCCCUUCAUAUAUUUAAUUAUUUGCCUGUUUUUUCAACCCUAUUAAUGCAACAUAGGUGAAUUUGCCCGAUGGUUUAUAAGAAAAUUCAUGUCAGUUAUGUUCAACAUGUUAAAUUCUACUAGGCUUAUGUAUCGGUAUGUAGAUUAUAGCUUCUUCCCCUAAGCCCAAAUUUUUCUUUGGUUUCAUGGUGUUAACAUUUCAUGAAAGUAAAUGCUCCAUUGAAGAAUAAAUUUACCUAAAAUUGAAUAUGGUGUGCUAGGACAUAGAGAUUUAUUAAAUGUUAGGAAAAUGUAAGGGUGACUUGAAACCUAAAUUUGAGCAAAUAAAAAGUCUAUUUAACAGUGCUUUUAGAAAACACUUACAUUAUAGAAAAAAAAACAUUUUUGAAGAAAAACCAAAUGUUUGACCAAAUUUAGAAAAUACUUUUAAAAAGUUCAAAAUUAAAUUAUUUGUAAUGCUUCUUGGAGAAACACUUCACAUAUUAUUCUUCCAAAAAUACUUCUAGAGAAAACCCUUCCACUAAAAGCACUUAAAAUAGAAACUCAAGCAAAUCUACUCUAAAUCUGCCGAAGCACUGCUAAAAUAAUGAAAAAACAAGCAGACUCCUGUAUAUUCAUAAAACUGAGCAGCAUAUUUCUUGAAAUAUUAUAUGAUUUUAUGCAUACCUCCAUCCUGGGAUAUAAACUGACAUUGCAACCUUGAUUGCAAGAUAUGUCUGUUCUUUCUGGAGUUGGAAUAUCCUUCUUCCUUCUUCGUAGCUACUGCCAAAUGCUGUCCGAGAAAUCACAUCCCCUGUCAAAUUUUCAAGAUAGGGCCAAACAUCCAACUCACAUGAUCCCUUCACCGAAAGCUUCUUCCAUUUGUUCAACAUGUCGCUACAACUCAAAUGAAAUGCCGGUAACAUAUUCUAUAACAAGUUCAACCACAAAAUAAAUUAAUAAAGACGAAGAACAUCUCUUCGUUGGUAAAAUUAUGGAAACGGCCCAUUGGAGAAAGAGGGAAAAAGACUCUAUAUGAGUAUGUGAAAAAGAAAGGGAAAAAGAAAGGAAACAGUAGGACACUUGGUAUGUGAAAAACUAGUCACCAGUACUUCAUUAAAAUGACUGAAAUAUUUGGGAAUUCUGAUGUUUAUACAGGUUUUUAUAGGAUUAAAAAUAAUUUUUCAAUUACUUCCAUAUUUAAAAAUAAAAAAUAAAAAAAAUUAGAAAGUUUUCUGGAUGGAAAGCUAGGUUAAUGAUCUUUCUGGAAACUAAGGUAAAAUAUUGUCGUUUGAAAACUGGGCAUUGAAAAUUACCUUCAACUUUUCUGGAUGGAAAACUGGGUUGAUCAUCUUUCUACGUUUGGCCCAUUGUUCACCUUCCAAAACCACUAGACCAGAAACCAGCAACUUGACCAACGGGUGUGAGGGUGUCUUUUGAAAGAUAUUGGACUUCAACAAAACAUCCCUCAUUAGCUCAGGCUCCAUAAUGUUUACCCUUGGACUUGGACCCACCCAUGUAAAGAAAUUUUUUCCUGCAUGUUUAUGCCAUUAUUGGAUAGUGUUAGUCCGGAUUGCUUUUAGUUUGGAUAAUUGUUUUAAAGACCGACUGGUUUGAGCAGUCAGACCGUCGACUGAAAGCAAAUUUGAUCCGGAUCAGCAAUUGAGCCGGUAGGGCUAUUGAACCGCCAUCGAACCGGACGACCCAGCCGUUGAACCAUUGACCUGGUGAACUGGGUCGCCGGUUUGGGCCUGGACCUAUCUCUAAGUGAAACUCUUUCGGCCAAAAUGGGCCAUGGUUUUAGGUUGAAAUUGGGCGAGUGGGCUACCGCUUGGGCCACUCACAGACAUCCACACUCAGGGCAAGCCGACUAUAUAAAGAGAUGUUUAUUCCUCAUGCCAUUCAGAUAUGGGACUAACUUGGGAAAAUUAGGAUAUCAUGACUAUACUAUUUAUGCCUUAUGUAAACAUUUCCACAACACUAGCUUAAAAAAAAAAAAAAAAAAAAAAAAUCUUCCCAAAAUUUUUAUAAUAAUAAAAAUGCAAACAAUUUAAAGUAAACUAAUAUAAUUUUUUAAAAACUAUAAAAUAAUAAGGUGUAUAACUUUUAAUAUCUUUAUAUAUAUAUAUAUAUAUAUAUAUAAAUUAAAUAACUUCACAUCUAAAUAUUUUAUAUAUUUUAUUUAAGAAAAUCUUAAAAUAUUAAUACAUCUACAUAUUAAUUUAAUAAUAUUAAAUAAAAAAUAAAUAUUAUUAUUUUUUAAUUUCUUUAUAUAUUUAAAAUAUUUUAAAUUUUAAUAAUAUAUAAAUUACAUAUUUAUGAUAUCAUUGAUUUGACAAUCAGUUUAAUCAGUGAAUCGUAAGUUGUUAACUUUUUUGGUUUAAUAAUCAAUCCAAUUCUAAAACCGUCGAUUUGGACUACAUAUACCAAGUCUUCUCGAGCUUGUAAUAAAAGAUAAAGAAGAUGAAAUUGUAACAUCUCAAAAUUUGAGCUUGUGGCAUAUGGAAAUCAAUCUAUACAUAAUUACUAUGUAUAUAUUAUCAAAUAUAUGAAUGUAGAAGCUAUUUUAAUUAUCAACCAUAGAAUUGGCAUGGAAUAUUAUAACAUCCCAAAGGUGCGUUGACUUGAAACAUCCCAAAUUAAUUCUAACACUUAAAAAAAAAAAAAAGCAAAAGGUGAAAAAGGAAAAGAAAAAUAGUUAGGAAGAGAAGAACAAAAACUAAACAAAUGAAUCCGGAAUACUAAAAACAUAGAGUAAAUGAUAGGAUCAAGAUACAAAACAAAUGGGAUAAAGAUAGGAUCAAGACACAAAAUAAAAACUCAUAUUUAGCUUUCGAUAUGAUUCAUUUGAUAAGGAUAAUAAAAGAAAAAUAAAUAUAUAAUAUUAAUUGUUUUAUUUAUACAUCAUCACACCGUCUCUAUAUGAAUACCAUCUUCCUAAGAAGAAUAACAUGACUAACAACAAUCCACGACAAUAGUUUUGGAACGAUUGCCAUUUGUUUGUUAAUAUUCUAUUGUCUUGCUAGUAGGGCAUGGACAGCUUUAAUAAAGUAAUUUUUUAGGAGAGUGCAUGUCAUUGGAUUCUUAUAAGGAUGCAUGCCUGUAUCUAGGCUUCAAAUUUAACGUUUUAUCGGUUAAUAAUGCAUUGGGCUCCUCCCAUCCGAUGUUUGAUAGGAUGGAUAAGAAGAAGAAAGUGAAGUAAGAUCAAAAUAUCUGAUCACAUUUAUUUAAAAACUGAAUAGGACAAAUGGGUGAAAUGAUUAGUAGUGAGUCGCCCGGGAUAACACGGUCUGGGACAUUCAUAAUUGCAUUCUUUAUAGCUUCAUUAUUGUUGGUAGACAGUUGAGUGCAUUGUCUUUGACCAUUCCAUGCUAAGCAAGAAUGAUAAAAUUAAAUAGCAGAGAAAAAGAGAAGAAAAAUAAAAGAAUGGUACUUAUACGAAGGUGCUAUGCAGUCUAACAGUACCUGAAGAGAAAGAGUUGGCAAUCAAACAAGGAACAAUGCCUAAGUAUAGAGGAAGUGCUCUGUGCAGAACCUCUACACACGCACAGGGUACUCUACACAAAGAGAUGGCAAAGGAGAACCCUACACAGAGGCCUGCGCAAGUGAUGUGCAUAAUCAGAGAAGAGAAAACGUGCAUAUAUAUAUAGAUGGCCUGCACGAAAUCUGCGCAAAGAGCAUAUAUAUAUAUAUAGAGAGAGAGAGACACACACACACACACGCACAGGGUACUCUACACACAGAGAUGGCAAAGGAUCCUCCUCUGCGCGCACUCCUAGGGCAAUGAAUCCCAAGCACAAGGAGUUCCUGGAGUAGAGAAAGCACGAACGGAGUUAUGAGGUAGCAUUUCUUGAGGGCUCAAAAUUCUGAUAAUGAGUGAUACCUAGUAUCGAAAUUUUGAUACUCAUGUUGAUACCAUGUAACAAAGAGACUUCUCAUGCAUAUAUUCUAGGAGGUAACACUCAACUAUUUUUUUUUUUUUAAAGAAAAUACUAACCUUUUCAUGGUAUCAGAGCCUCCAAACCUACCAGCCAAGAAAAAUGUCUUCACACAUACUUCCAUCCUCCACCCUACAAAUAGAACCUGAAUCAAACUUUCAAUCCUUUCACCAAUGUUCUAGCUUGAUCUCCAUCAAACUGAACACCACCAAAUUUCUAUUGUAAUGCAACCAAAUCGCUCCCUUAGUUUGUAGCCUUAGUGUUCUACAUUAUUUGUCAAAUAGAGAAAAAUUUGCUGAAGAAGUUAAGAAUGACAAGGAGGAAAAAUCUCCAAACUCGAACUAUCAAAGGUGGAUCAACAAUGAUGGACUUUUAACUUCAUCGCUUCUUGGAACCAUAAAAGAAAAUGUCUUAAACUUGAUUGGUGGUGAGCCAGUUUAUCAAGUGUGGAAUUCCCUUGAGGAGUAGUCAUUGCCAAUUACAGUAAAGAAUGAAAGGAAUUUGAAAAAUAUGUUAAUAAUCAUUACAAAGGGUUUUCGAUCUCUUGAAGAAUACUUGACCAUAACAUUCAUUGCUAGUAUUUCAUGCUUAUGAGUUACUCAUUUCAGCCUUUCUUGGACUCUUCAUGGUUCACAAGUCCCAAGUCUUUUAGUUAUGCAUGUUUAACCCCUUCUACUUGUUUGGUUGAUAUUGACUUUUGUACUUAUCAUUUUUUUCAUCUCUUGAACCUGAAUUAGACUCAAAAUGGAAAUUAGAUUCAUAACUAGGGUCUUAGCAUUAAUUUGAGUUAAGUUAGAUAAUUUGAGCUUUUUAUAUUGUAUAAAUCAUAUCAUAUAUAUAUGUCAUUGGAGCAUAUAUUUGGUUCUAAUUAACUGCAUAGGGAAUCCUAGAUCUCUUUGUUCCCCAUCAUAGGACUAGGUUAGGAGCAUGAAAUCUACAUAGGGCAUUUAGAUCCUAUGAACGAAAGCAAAAAUAUAAUUUCUAACAUUGAAGGAUCUAGAAAAGUGUCAUAAAAAACUUUACCUUUGAUUUGGAUUUUCCCAAAUCAAAUCCAAAGUCAUUGGAAGCCUCGUAAACCUAUUAUCUUUUGUCCUAUAACUCUACCUCGAUCCUCAACACUCAAACAAUAAAGUGUUUGGGAAGGUGAAGGCUAAAGCUCUCUCUUCUCUUUAUAUGGUGGAAGAAUACUAACUAGAAACCCUAACCCCUAAGAGGAUAUUUAUAAGGUUCCUUACUAGGCUUAAGUGACUUAAGCCCAGUAAGGGCUUGGGUCACUUAAUACAACCUAAAAGGGUCUAAAUUGAUUUAUUAACCCAACAAAGUUGUCUAAUUAAUUAAUUAGUCCAAUCCAAAGAUACUGUUUACAAACCCCUAUGCAACCUUGUGUAAUUAUCAAAAUGUCAUUAUGCACAUAAGUAAACCUAAAGCUUAUGCAACCCUCAUAAAUCAUGUCAUCAAGGUAUAUGAGCUCUAGUAAGGACCAUUAGGACCUAUCGGAGUACUACUCUCUCAAAAUCCAAUUAUGAAGUUCAUUCAACAUCUCACUACAGAGAAUCAAUUACACUUUGAUACUCUAUGUAAAUAACAACAAGAUGAUGCUUAGGUUCAUGAGUUACUACCCAUUACAUGCAAACUCUCCAUGAACUAGUGUCCAUAAUUUAACAAGGUAGUAUUAUCACAUAUUAAGAUUACCUCUCUAAUCGUUGAGUUAUAAAUCCAUCUAUUAUUUGAUCAAUUGACAUACUCUAACUCCAAGGAGUAUAUGUCGAAUUUCACUAAGUGAAAAGCUAAUGGUCAUAGUCUUCUCAAUGACAUGUCCUUUGGAUCACCUAAGGGAACAUUGUUGGAAUUGACCAUCAAGAUGGGUUUCACAUGAUGAGUGUACUAGUAUGGAUAGUUACAUAUCGUAUAGGAUCAAUGGUGAAUCAUAACAUAAGACUAUUGAUUGUCAUGAUUCACCAAGUUACUAUACUGUAUCAACUCUCAACCUUAAAAUGAUAUCGAGCUUAUGCCAAAGUCAACAAGAGGAGGCUUUGACCUAUGGGUGAGAUCCUAAGGUGGUCACAUAUCCCUAUGGAUUGGAACACUAUUGAUGAAGGUUGGUAGCACUAGGCUUUCUCAAUAAAGGGACCAUGAUAUUUCAUGGGACUGAGACAAUGUAUUGCCUUGGGUAAUCUAAAGGACAUGUGAAAGAAGACUAUGGUCAUAACAUUUUCUUCAAUAAAAAUUUGAUGUAUGCUCCUUAGAGCUAGAGUAUGUUAAUAGAUCACAUAAUAAGUAGAAUCUAUAACUUAAGAAUUAGAGUGUUAUUCUUGAUAGGUAAUAACACUAUCUUGUUAGAUUAUCGACACCAAUUCAUGGGGAGUCUGGAUGUAGUGGAUAGUAGGUCAUAAACUUCAGUUUCAUCUUAUUAUUAUUAUUUACAUAGGGUACUAGAAAGAAAUUGAUUUUCUUUAGUGGAAUAUUGAAUCAACUUUAGAAUUGGAUUCUAAGGGAACCAGUACUCUUAUAGAUCACAAUGGUCCUUGCUUUGAGCUCAUAUACUAUGAUACAGUUUAUAAGAGUUGGAUUGGAUCUAGGUCCACUCUUGUGCAUAAGAGAAUUUUGGUAAUUACAUAAGGUUGCAUAUGCAGUAGUGAACAAGUUCUCUAGAUUUGGUUAAUUGAUUAACUAGAUGACCCUAUGUGGUUAAUUAAUUAAUCAAGACCCAGUUUAAGUUAGAUUAAGUGACCCAGGCCCUAUUCGGAUCAAGACACUUAAAUCCAGUAGGAGAACCCUAUAAAUACUAUUGAAAUUGAGCCCUAAAAGCAAGACAUGAUGUAACAAAGUCAAACUUGACUCUCCCCUUGUUAUCCUUUUAUGUAUUGACAUUGAUUUGAGCAUUCAACUCAUAUCUCUUACAUUAUCAUGACUUAGGUGCAUUGGGAGUUGCAAAGAGGAGACAAGUCAUGGGCUCCUUGUAAGUAGAUAAAAUGUCCAUAUUCAGUUUAUGGACUUGGGCAAUACAAUAAAGAUUGUAAUGCACUACCUCCUAAUUGGAAGGAUGGUUUGUCUUGAUCAUAGAGAUAGAUUUCCCAUGGUGGGUGGACUAGUGUAUGUGAUACACAUUAGACAAGACCUACAUUAAAUCACAACAUAAGACUAUUAGUUGUUAUGAUUCACUAAGAUAUUGUACUAUAGGAACUCUCAAUCUUGAGAGGAUAUUAAGCUUGUAGUAAUAUUAACAAAAGACUUUGACUUAUGGGUAAGACCCUAAAGUGGUCAUAUAUCCCUAAGGAUUAGGUUACUGUUGAUGGAGGUUGGUGGCAAUAAUAUUCUCAAUAGAGGGACCAUGAUAUCUCAUGGGUUUGAGACAAUAUGUCUCCUUAGAUUAUCCAAAGGACACGUGAUAAUGAAAUUUAUGGUCGUAAUAAUUCCUUUAGUUGAAUUUCACAUACACUUCUUAGAGUUAGGGUAUGAUAGUUAAUCUUUUAAUAAGUGGGAUUUGUAACUCAAUGAUUGGAGAUGUAAUCGUGAUAGGUGAUAACACUACCUUGUUAGAUUACGAACACUAGUUCAUGAUGAGCUUUCAUAUAGAAAAUUGUAGGUCACGGACCUAAGCUCCAUCUCAUUGUUAUUUAAAUAGGGUACUGGAGUGUAGUUGAUUUUCUAUAGUAGGAUAUUGAAUCAACUUUAUAAUUGGAUUCUAAGGGAGCUAGUACACUUACGAGUCUUAUUAGUCCUCGCUUUGAGCUCAUAUACCAUGUUAGCAUGGUUUAUGAGGGUUGGAUUGAUUCUAUGUUCACUCUUGUGCAUAAGGGCAUUUUGGUAAUUGCAUAAGAUUGAAUAGGGGUUAGUGGACAAGGUCUCUAGAUUGAGCUAAUUGAUUGAUUAGAUGGACUUAUGUUGUUAAUUAAUCAAUUAUGACCCGUUUUAGCCUAGAUUAAGUAACUUAGGACUAUAUGGGCUCAAGUCACUUAAGCCCAAUAAGGAAACCCUAUAAAUGCCUCUUCAAGGGCCAGUUAGGGUUUCCAUGACUUUAGACAAUUAUCUUCCAUCUCCAAAGAGAGAGAGAGAAAGAGAGGGAGAGAGUCUAGAUUCCCACCCUUGCAAAGCUCACACUUUGGAGUGUUAAGAUCAUGGUUUGAGUAGUCCAAAUCUAGGAACAUCCAAACUAUUUGGGCACAUUUUUCACCAAGAGAAAUUGAUCUAGGGCAUCCAGAUCUAGAUCUAUGUAUGAGUCUCUCAAUCUCUAACUAUUUAUUUUGUAAUGAUUUUUGAAGCCAUUAUUUUUAUGCACUAGAUUUAGAGAACCUAGGGUUAAAUGCAUGCACCCCACGAGAUCUAAGGCAUAGGAACAAAGUAAUCCAAGGUUCCUAAGAAAUACCCCCUUAGAGGUUAGGGUUUCUAAGGUUUUCAAUUGUCUUCAAGAUCUAGAAAGUGUAAGAGAGAGAGCUUAGGAAUCCUCCAUUCCAAAGUCCACUCUUUAGAGGUCUAAAAUCGUGGUUCGAGUAAUCGAGCAUAAGAUCUUGGAUGUAAGAGACCUCCAAACUCUUCAGGUUUCUUUUUUACCCAUGAAAUUGAUUUGGGAACAUCCAGAUCUAGAUAUGAAUGUUUCUUUUCUAGUUUUAUUAAUCUAAAUUGUUUUAAAAAUCAUGUUUCAACUCAAAUUAGUUUCUAUAGAAGCUUAGGGUAGAUUUACAUGUACCUAUACAAUCUAAGAUAUGGGAAUGGAGUGAUCCAAGGUUCUCAAUAGACACACUAUCUCACUCUCAUGAGAUAUCAUGGUGCUUCUAUUAAUAAUAUUUUUUGCUAGCUGCUCCAUAUGGAUAUAUGACCACAUUAGGGUCUCACCCAUAAAUCAAAGUUUCUUGUUGAUUUUAGCAUAAAUUCAAUAUAUUCUCAAGAUUGAGAGUCUAUAUAUCAAGUAGCUUUGUGAAUCAUGACAACUAAUAGCCUUAUGUCAUGAUUCACUAUAGGUCUUGUCCAAUAUGUAACCAUACACACUAAUGUACUCACCAUGGGAAACCUAUCUCGAUGGUCAUGAUAAGCCAUCCCUCCAAUUAGGAGGUAGUGCAUUAUAGUCUCUAUUGAAUUGCCCAAAUCUAUGAACCAACUAUAAACAACUAAUCAUCUUGCAAGGAACCCAUGACUUAUGUCCUUUAUGCAAUUCCUAAUACAUUGAAGUCAUAUACAAUGCAAGUGAAAUGACAUGUUUGUUCAGGUAACCAAUCAAUACAAAAUGGGAUAGUAAGUUGAAUAAAAAACAUAAAUAAAUAAAUUUAUUAAUGAAUCUAAAACUGUUAUAUCAUGUCAUGCUUUCCAAGGCUCUAUCCCAAUACGUUGGAUUAGGUGACCUGAAUCUAGUUUAAGCUUAAGUCACUUAAACCCAUAAGAAACCCUAUAUAAAUCCUCUCAAAGGUUUAGGGUUCACAAUUUUAACGUUUUGGCCAUCAUUUUCGAGAGAGAGUAAGAGUAAGCCCUAGCCACUCUUAAGACAAGAAGAGAAGCUCACCCUUCUGUUGUGUUAGGAUCUUUGAAGGGAGAAAUCGGAUAAAAGAUCUUUGGGUAGAUGAACUCCACAACAUCCCCAACAUCUUCUUUGACAUCUUCCUGGGAUUAGAUUCGAUUUUGGAAUAUCCAAAUUACAGGUAUGAAACUUUAACCUCUACGUCUAGAUCAUAAUAUGGUUUUAGUUACCACAUAUUUCUACUAUGUUAGAUGUAGAGAGCCUAGGACUAGAUUGCAUGGACCCUACAUGAUGCAGAGCCUAGGAAUAGAGUAACUAGUGGUUCCUAACAAUUUACAAUUAUAAAAUGAUGAAAACUAAUGUCUUUUCACCAACUAAACCUUAUAAAGCAUUGAAAUCAUUAGUUUCAUUGCAAUUUCAAGUUAAAUAUUAAAAUGCACUAAGUAUGAGUCUCACACACAAAAUGAUCCCUAAUGCUCAUUAAUAUAUGUAUAUAUAUAUUUUAUUUUUAAAAAGUCAAAAGGAUAAUGAAGAUGAUAACAAACCAAUAAUCAAAGCAAACAUUUGAUAAUGAAUAAAUAUGUUAUGUUUAGUGUCAAAAUAAAAUAAACGCUAAAUUUUCUAAUAAAAGAAUUUGAUAAUAGGUUGUGACUACAAGCUAGAUAUCAAUUUCAUAUUGAUACAAAAACAGAGCUUAAACCAAUUUGAAAAACAAGCAUAAAAUCAACAUGUAUCAAAUCGAAAUCAACAUGUAUUUCAAUAAAUUAUAAAAAAAAUCAAUACAACACUAACAAUGGUAAUGUUAUUCUUUGGGAUAAAUUAAUAUAAAAAUAAUAAAGGCUCUAAGGUAUCAAAAUAUCAUUAAUGAAUACAAAAUCUAAUUCAACCAAUUUUAGGCAUUCUCAUAUGAAUUUAGAAGUAUAAAAUGAUGAAAACUAAUGCAUUUUCACAAGCUAAACCUCAUAAAAGCAUUGAAACCAUUAGUUUCAUUGUAAUUUCAAACUAAAGAUCAAAAUGCACCAAAUAUGGGUCUCUCACACAAAAUGAUUCCUAAUGCUCAUUAAUCUAACAUAUAUAUAUAUAUAUAUAUAUAUAUAUUCAUAUAAGAUGAAAACAAAUAGAAUUCAACAAUUUUUAAAGGGCUAAUUUUUUUUAAAAAAUGAUAAUAUAUUGAAUGAAAGCAUGGAGUGUAGUUGGGGAGGCUUCAAGACUUGUUCAUAGCUUUGAUCUUUCUCUUUGAUCUCCAGUUUGACAAAGUUUCACCUCCUUUUAUUUCCAUAGAAUCGUCUCAUUUGAAAAUGUAGCUUUCUCUUUGUAUUUAUUGCUAAAAGGAUGAUGAUAAACCAAUAAUCAAAGUUAACUUUUAAUAAUGAAGUAAUAUACUAGGUUCAAUGUCAAAAUCAAAUCAACACCAAAUUCUCUAAUAAAGGAAUUUGAUAAUAAGUUGUGACUGCAAACCACAUAUAAAUUUCAUUUUGAUACAAAAACUGAGGUUGGACUAAUUCGAUAAACAAACAAAAAAUAGGUGGUUCAAGAAUUGAUUUGAAAUUAAUACUUGAUUAAAUACAACUACCCAAAUUGAUACUACUCUACAACAUAGAACCAAUGUUGAUCCCAAUAUGAUAACAAGAUCUAUGCACCAUGAAAAAUCAACAAAAAAAAAUUACCAUAGACUUGCAUUGAAUCCAAAUCAACACUAAUUUCAAUGAAGUAUUAAAAAAUCAAUACAAUACAAACAAUGGAAACAUCAUUCUUUGGGAUGCAUGAAUACAAAAACAAUUAAGACUUUGAUAUAUCAAAAUGUUAUUAAUGCUUUAGUAAAAAAAUCUAAUUCAACAAGUUUUAUCAAUUUCCAUUUGAAUUUACAAGUAUAAAAUGAUGGAAACUAAUGCAUUUUCAAUAGCUAAACCUCAUAAAAGCAUUAUGUAGACUUUCCUUUUUGUCCUCAUAACACAUGCUUUUAAUUGUACUUAGUACCCCUCAUUUUUUAGCAAUUUAAAUUUUUUUUUUUGGUUAUAAAUUAUAUGAAUGUUUUAACACUUGGAGAAAUUGGAACGAAGCAAAAUAUGUAGAAAAAAGAAAUAAUUAUCUAUAGCUAUCUUUAUUUUAUUUUUUAUACGUUUCUAUUGACAUGGAAUAAAUCAUCAAUAAUUGUUGUGAUUAAUAGCGUUGAGAAAAGUCAAUGGCCAUAAUAAUAUUCUAUUGCCAUUUUUUUUUUUGUAAAAUAUUAGAUCAAAUCACAUCUUCUUGUAAAAUUAUCAUUAAGAUUUACAUGAUUUCUUACAACGUAGCUUAAAACCAAAUAUUUCAUCAAAGAAGUUAUCAAUAACCAACCCCACACAAUGAUAUCUAUUAUAAUACAAACUUCUUCAAUAUGUUUGUUUGUGAGUGUAAAGAAAGAAAGGUAACAGAAAUUGAGAAAGUAAAAUAAAAGAAAAUUUUUCUCUUUUUUUGUUUUAUUUUUUUUUUCUCUAUUUAUUCUGCUAUUUACAGAGUAAUAUAUAAAGUAAACCUAACUAACAAAUUCUCUAACUAUUCAUCUAACAAUAAUAGAAGAAAACCAAUGAGCAUAUGACAUGUGUACAUCUUGUAACUAUAUGAAACUAUCUCUUAACAUUCUCCCUCAAACUUAAGGUAGAAAGAUUUUCUACUUUGAGUUUGUUUCUUAGAUUUACAAACUAAGUGCUUAAGACAGCUUUCAUCAAGACAUCUACUACUUGAUCAAUGGAAGGCACUUGUUAGAUUAAAACCUUUCUUUGCAGAACCUUUUCCCUAACAAAAUAUAAAUCCAAUUCAAUGUGUUUUGUCCUAGCAUGUAAUAUUAGAUUAACAACCAACAUAAUAGUGCUAAGAUUAUCACACCAAAUAACUGUUGUUGUAGGCAAAGUGAUUUUAAUUUAUGAGAGAAGAGAUAGUAACCAAGUGAUUUCUGCAACCAAACCAGUUAGGCUUCUAUACUCUGCUUUUGUACUUGAUCUAAAAAUAGUAUGUUAUUUCUUUUACUGCUAAGUGACUAAAUUUGAACGAAAAUAUACAAAAAAUCCUAAAGUUGAUCUUGAGUCAUAAAGAUCAGAGGCCUAAUCGACAUCACAAAAUGCUACAAGAUCAAGAGUAGGAGACUUUCUUAAAUAUAAUCCAUGAUGAAGAGUUCCUUCAAGUAUCUAAGAAUUAUUUUGACUACUUUCUAAUGAGAUUCUAAUGGAGCUUGCAUAUAUUGACAAACUUUAUUAACACUAUAGGCAAUUUCAGGCCUAGUAAUUAUUAUCUACUACAAAGCUCCUACAAUUGAUCUGUACAACUUCACAUCCUAAAUUGAUUCACUUCCAUAGCCUGAAAGUUUUUGUCAAUUGGUCAUGGGAGUAGAAAUAGGAUUGGCACUUUGCAUUUUGGAUUUGUAUAAUAGAUCAAUUAUGUAUUUUCCUUGAGAGAUGAAUGCUUUCAACAAUAUGCUUCACUUCAAUCCCUAAAAAUAGUUGAUUUCUCCAAGAUCUUUUAAGGCAAACUCUCUGUUUAAAUUGGUAAUGAGAUGCAUCACAGCUUGUUCACUACUACUAGUGAUAAGAAUGUCAUCUACAUACACAAGAAUAUAGGUAGAAUGAAUUUUUGUCACACAAAUGAAUAGAGAUUGAUCUGACUUUGUAGAGAUAAAUCCAAAGGAAUAUAGGGCUACACUUAACUUUUCAACCAAACACUUGGUGCCUGUUUUAAGUCAUAUAAAGUUUUAUGUAAUUUGAAAACAAGAUGAGAUUGGUUGUGCUGAAUAAAUCUAGGAGGUUGUUCCAUAAAAACUUCCUCAUGCAACACUCCAUUCAAAAGGAAUUAUUAAUGUCUAAUUGAUGAAUUAACCAAGCUCUAGACAAAGCUAUAGUAAGCAUAACCCGAAUAGUUGCAGGUUUAACAAUUGGAUUAAAAGUUUCAUUGAAAUCAAAACCAACAACUUGAUGAAACUCUUUUGCAUAUAUGUUUAACAAUCAGAUCUAGUUCUCUUGCUCUAUUUAAAUCCCUGGCAUUUAGCGCCUCCUUGUCAUCUCUCUUUGUCGCAAAUUUCUCUUCUCAGGAUAAGCCCAAUCAUGAUCACCCAAUUUGUUCUCAUUGUGGGCUCAUGGGGCAUAUUGUGGACCAUUGCUACAAGUUACAUUGGUGCCCAACUGGGUACAAGCCUAAACCCAAGGCCCAAAUGAGCUCUCUUCGGUCCACCAACAAUCCAUUAUCUUUCCCUGAGCCAUCAAAGGACAUCCACUUCUCUUCUUCAGCUACAACUACCAUACCACCCUCUCCACUUUCUGGUUCUCUCUCAACAGAUCAAGUUCAAUAGCUCAUAAAGUAGACUUUGUUCACUUUGGAAGGAUCCUUUGUCAUGCUCAAAUCUUAUUAUGCGCAUGCAUUGUUUAACUAAGAUCAUUAUAAUUGUUUCCCAAAGUGAGUCAAUGCCAAAUAUUGAAUAAUUGGUUAAGCAUAACUCUUACACACAUUCUAAAAUUUAUGCUCUUAAAUGUAUGUGACUCACUUGCGACAUUUGGAAAUACCCCUAAAAUGGAUACAAAAGCAACGAUGAAUGAAAAAAAUCACAAUGUACAAUGGCUCUAUUUUCAAAAGAAAAAAAAAUCAAUAUUGAUCAUAGUGUACAAUGGCUCUACUUUCAAAAGAAAAAGAAAAUAAAAAGGAAUAUGAUAUCAAAUUAAGGGAAAGUCAAGUUGUGUUGUAUAUAGAUCAACAAGACCUUGUUAAAUGGAAAUCCAACAAUCUUAAAUCAAAUUAAUUAGAUGUGUACUUUAAUUAGAACAAAUGCAUGACUAGAUCUCUUCUAAGUGAUCAAAUUUUAAAUGUAGAACUGGACAAUAAGUUGUAUUCCCUUGAACAUCAAUACUUAUGUUUCUAUGUUGGUCCUCUUAUCCACUAAUGGUUAUGCAUUGGGUUUCAAAACUAAAAUUACAAUUAACUUUGACCUUUGGACUUGAAACCUCAUUCUUGAUGGAUUGAUGUAUAAUAUCUAAAGUAAUUUUGUAAUUGAUUGAAGAAACUCCUACAAGACAUUUAAAGAAAUCUAGUACACCAUUUCUUAUUUAUCACUUUUUUGAGUUGUUUCAAGCACUCUAAGUUUCUGGUUCUUUGUCAUUUGAGGUCAAUUCUCUUAGUUUUUCGCAUUUUUUUCAUAUAGUAUUGUUUUACCCUCAUUUUUAGUAUUCCUAGUUGUUUAGGGGUUUUUUUUUUGUUUUUUUGUUUUUGGAUUUUUAUCUAUUUUUCUUUCUUUUAAUGUCCUUUUAUAUUUCAUCACCUUGUUAUGGCAAGUCAUCCUCAUCCUCAUGAGCUGACCCCUCCAAGGUCACCUGAGGCCGUUUAGAGCAUUGCUCUCCAAGGUCCUUUUGGCCUAAGAGCUCUUUCUAUUGAGUGCUUCCAUUGUCAGGAGGCAUGAGACCGAUACUACACCUCUUUCCAUAAUUGACUAGUUGAGGUUGAGCAUUCAGUCAAUCUCAAAGUCUUCUAGGAGACUUCUUUUCUUACUGUUGUUAGAGAUUGAGGAUAAAAGACGUUACUCUCUCUUUAGGGGACUUUCUACCCCCAUCUUAUUUUCAUUUUCUAUCUGUUGUAAUUGGAGUUACCUUUCAGGUGAUUUUGUAUGAUCAACCAUUUCUUGUCUCUUCCUGUUCCAUCCAACAUGUCCUUAGCAUGCUGCAACUUGAGUCUUGCUUUGGUCAGAAGCUAUUCUCCAAGCCAACAUGGUUGCUAGCUACUUCUACCAUUCUACUCAUCGUACCCAGAUCUGUCAGUCGUUUACUCAAUUCAUUCAUGCCAUACUCUCUGGCUACCAAUUCGAUAUCAACCAAGUGGUUUUGGAUAGCAUUACUCCUUCCCGUGAUCCAUCUUUUUGAGGAGGCACCCCUCCCUUUAACCUUCUCAUCUCGUAGAUUUUGGAGGAUGUAGGUUUUGGGAUAAACCUUGCAUUAGGGGUCCAAGCUAACCAUGCCCUCUUGGAUGGAUGCUCCUAGGCUAAGCAUUAUAACCACAUUUAGGGACUGAUGGCACCUCCAACCCACCAUGGUCCUGAAAAUGCGGCUCAACAAGCAGCUUAGGAGGCAACAACAUAUGAGAAUGAGCUCCAAGCUAUGAAGCAAGGUGUAGUACCUGAGGUAAAUUAUCUCAAGCCUUCUUUAAGAACUUGUUCUAGUUGAGGUCAUGCAAGUUCUUCAUGAGCUACUCAUGAGCAAUGUUAGAAAUGCCACAAAAUGUCAGUGAUAUUUCACCAAUAUUUCGGGUAUCGAUGGGGCUCGAUAGAUAAAUAGGAUGGAAAUUUUGGUUAUUAAAAAUUUCAAUUAUUUCCCUCAUUUUUCAUUGAUAUAUUGGCUAUAUGCUGAUAUAAUACCGAUAUAUCAGUUAUAUUGGUGAUUUUUUAGUGCCUUGCUUACUUUUAGGCCAAAAGGUUUCCCCAUUUUUACCAAAAGGUUUCUCGUUUUUGCCAAAAUGUUUCUUUUAUUUAUUUUUAUUUUAGGCCACAUUCUCACACACACGACCAUACAAUAGUCGUUCCAGAUGAGAAAGUCACCAUCUAUUAAAUAGGCAAUUUUGUUCUCUUAAGUUGUUGAUGUGGGACAACUUUUAUUGACAAGUUUAAAAAUCUAAUCAAACAGGUAAACAAAAUUUACAUUGGUGAGACUCAAACCCGAGUACACAAGUUUGUCGUGAAAGGACACUAGCAUUGAACCAUAUGUGAAUUUGUAGUUUUAAUUGUAUAUAGAAUUAUAUAUAUAAUGUACAUAUCUUUUAUACGUUAUAAUAUUUUUAAUAUAUAUUAUAAUAUUAUUUAAUAAAUUAAACUAUUAUAAAUAAGUUAUUUUUAAUUAUCUUAUUAUAUAUUUUGUAUACCAAUUAAAUACAAGGUAAAUAUCAAUUUUAUAAAUAAAAUAUUAACAUUUUUAAUAUAAAAUACUUAUCUAAAUAUCAUUGUUUUUUUUUUUAUCCCUCAAUAUAUUCAAUUUAGACAUAUUAUCAUUCUAAUAUUAAUGUGCUUUUAAAUUAGUAUAUUAUUGCCUACUAUUACAAAUUUAUUACAUAUUACUAUAUAUAUAUAGUAAUAUGUGUUUUUUUUUCAUGUUUUAUCAUUUUUUUUUUGAAGUUUCCAAGUAUUUUCAUGAAUUUCUGUUUCAUCAAUUUUUUUUUUUUGGGUCAAAAUAUUCCACCGUUAUUCCCUGAUAUAUCUAUAAAAUCCAAUGAUCAAUAAAUCCGUGAUUACUGAUAUUUUCAUUCUUGCUCAUGAGACAUCUUCUUCUACCCACCCACCUGAGAGACAUUCGAUUCCAUGGCCUAUCUCCAGCAACCAAUGGACUCCCAGGAUCUUUAGCUUCAUCAGAUCCAGGGACAACUCCACUAUAUCAUUUCCUAGAUCCACUCUAAAGGCGCAUUGAGCUCUAUGUCUCCACCUCCUUCGGAUACUUAUAUAUGUGUGUGUGUGUGUGUGUGUUCUUUUUCUAUUGUUAAUCUGGAUUUGUGUUUUUUUUGCAUAUCUUAUGUAUCCAAAAUCAUUUUUUUUCUAUAUAUAUUCUUCUUUCUCUUUAACUCUUGUGUGCUUUCCAAUGUUUAUAAUUCAUAUGUUUUGCCAUUUUUAUGACAAAAAAUAAAAAUAAAAAUCAUUGACCAUAUUUAAUUCACUUAAAUAGGGGAAGCAUAGGCAUCGAUAUAAUAGAAAAAAGAUAAAGGAACUCCUUGAAAAAUAGGAGUUAAUAAGUUUUGAAUUAUUUAUUCAAUUCAUUCUUUUACUCAUUUAAUUCUUAAGGGAAAUUGUAAUAGUGGAGAAAAUUAAACCUGAGACAUUGGAGGAAAUUAGAUCAACUAUUGAAAGCAUAACUUGGAAGUUUAAGAGAGUUACCUAAUAUAGAUAUAUCCUAUAAGAUAUUUCUAUUUGAAUUGUCUUUCAUUUUAGAACUAUUAUGAGUCACAAAAGCUUCUUCUCAUGACUUUUAUUGUCUAUUUUUUGGUUGGAGAUAGACCUCUAGGCAUCAUAGUUGAUCUAUUGUGUCUUAUCCAGCUUCUAUUAUGUUAUGUUGAUUUGUAUACAUUUAGAUUCCUUUCGAGCUUUACUUUGUACCUUGUUAUCACUAUAGGGAUAUGUUUCUCUUACAUGCUUUCACAAUGUAUCGAGCAAAAUCUCCAACUAUCAUGUUCUAUUGCUUUGAUCAUAUCUUAUCUCACACAUUUUUCCACCUUUGUUGAAGUUUUUUUUUUGUGUGUAGGUUAUAGGAUUGGAAAAUAAGUACUACUAGAUGAUUCAAAACAUUCCCUUAGUUUAUUUUUAAUUAAGCAUUAAUGUUUGUUAUGUAAACUCCGUUAUAAGAGUUCGGGUGGGUUUAUGUAAUGAUGUUUUGUCACAAGAUUGCCAUAAAGGGAAAUUGUUAGGACAUUAAGCCUUGAUUAUAUGUCGUCAAUUUGGUUCCUUUUUAUAUUUGGCCAUAGAAGUCUUUUUAGAUAGUGACUUGCUCUCUAUUGAAGAUUAAGAGUUGUAAUUUGUCUAACCGAGAAUUCAUAAGUACAUCUAAAAAAGUUUGGCUUGUAGUAAGUUAGGCUUCUUUGAGGUAUAAAUAUGAUUGCUAAUUGUUUUGAACUUAAAAUUAAUUUUUAUAAAGUUUUUUAAAAAUAGAGGAUGCUCAAGUGGGGAGCAGUGCUUAAGUGUUGUGACCGCUCAAGUGCCCCACAUUGCUUGAGCUCCCAAAACGCUCAAGCCACCUUUGUAAGCUCGAGAAAUCGUGAAUCUCUAGUCGAGAUUUUUUCACGCAAAAUUGAUUUGGAAGUCUUCUAAAACCAAACCUUUUGGAGAUUUAUUCCUACAAAUACCUCUUUAUAACCCUUUAAGGGUUAUAGAUUGUUUUAGAGAUUAGUGAGAGAUCUUACAUUCUUUAGAGAGAGUCUCUUAGAGAAAAAGCCUAAUGAGCCACACCAUUCCCGAUCUCUCAUUCAAGGAUUCAAUAUUUGAAUCUUGGUUUGAAAACUUACAUCCCUUUAGCAAGGUUGAAAUGCAUUCAUUAGAGUAAUAGGAGGUUGCUACGUUGCAGACAUGGAUCAAGUUUUAAGUAUUGAAGAGUAAGUCUUUAGGGUAAAGUGGCCAAGUAAAUCUAUGUAACUUGAUAUCAUAUAAUGGAUUUAGAUUAGCGAUCAUAGACUUCAUGGUUUUUUAUCUCCACAGUUAGUGUGGGGGUUUUCCAUGUAAAAAAUCUCUUGUACCUCAUUGUUUAUUACUUGAUAUCUUGUUUGAAUUGCCUAUAAUAGAAAUGAUUGAUAUACCUCAAUAUAUCGUAGGAUAAAAAUUGGGUAUAACAUAUAAACUUUAUUUAAAUUUUUUAAUACAUCCAUUUAGCCCUCCUCCCCUAGGUAUUUCCCCACUAGACUUAGGGGCUUUUUCAAACCAUAAGUUAGUUCACCCUGAGCUAUUGGUUUAUGUUGUUGACCAUCAUUAGUUGAUUCAUUUUUUUUAUUGCACUUGUUAGUCGAUUAAUAUAUAUAUAUAUAUUGUUUUCUCAUACCUAACUUUGGUUUCUUGUGAUUCUUCCACCUAAAACCUACCAAUUAUUUUACAUCAUAAACCAGAGUUUCACCACUUGUUUUGUAUUCUAACCUUAACAAUUCAUCUUCUUUAAAAGUAACAUCUCUACUGAUUUUUGCCUUCCUCAAAUUUAGAUGCUACAACUUAUACCCCUUCACUUUAGUAGGAUGUACAAGAAUUAAACAUUUCUUUCUUUGCUCUUGGUUGCAACUUUUUAUCAUUUACAUGUGCAUAUGUUGUUGACCCAAACACUAUAAGGUGUUGGUAACUUCCUGGUUUACCUGUCCAUAUUUUUUGAGGCGUUUUGAACUUUAUGGAACUCGAAGGGAAUUUGUUAAGCAAGUGACAUGUUGUAUGGAUAGCUUUCGCCUAUAACUUUUUAGGUUAUUUUAUAUUUAUCAACAUGCAUCUUACUCUUUCAAGAAUAGUAUGAUUCAUCCUUUUAGCCAAGCCAUUUUGCUGAGAUGUACUCUUCACUGUUCUUGUUGGGAUUAAGCCCCUAAAGGAAAGACAUGAUGUAACAAAGUUAGAUUUAACUAUCCUCUUGCCAUCCAUUUGGUGUAUUGACAUUAAUUUGAGCAUUUAACUCAUAUCUCUUACAUUAUUAUAUGACUUGGGUGCAUUAGGAGUUGCACACAAGAUACAAGUCAUGAGUUCCUCAUAAGUACAUAAGUUGUCCACAAUUGGUUAAUGGAUUUGGUCAAUCCAAUAAAUAUUGUAGUGCACCACCUCCUAAUUGAAGGGAUGACUUAUCUUGGCCAUUGGGAUGAGUUUCCCAUGAUGAGUGCAUUAGUUUAUGUGAUACAUAUUGGACUAGAUCUAUGGUGAAUCAUGAUGUAAGGCUAUCAAAUGUCAUGAUUCACCAAGCUAUUAUGAUGCAUGGACUCUCAACCUAGAGAGGAUAUUGAGCCUAUGCUGAAAUCAACAGAAGGCUUUGACAUAUGGGAGAGACCCUAAAGUGGUCAUAUAUCCUUAUGGAUUAGGUCACUAUUAAUGGAGGCUAGUAACAAUAGGUAUUCUUAAUAGAGGCAUCAUGAUAUCUCAUGGGCUUGAGAUAGUGUGUCCCCUUGAGUGAUCCAAAGGACAUGUGAUCAUGAAAUUUUUGGCCACAACAAUUCCUUUAGUGAAAUUUGACUUAUGCUCCUUGGAGUUAAAGUUAGAGCAUGUCAGUUAAUCAUAUAAUAAGUGGGAUCUAUAACUCAAGGAUUGGAGAGGUAAUCAUGAUCGGUGAUAGCACUACCUUGUUAGAUUACGAACACCAGUUCAUGGGGAGUUUAUAUGCAAUGGAUAGUAGGAUGUCGUGGACCUGAACUUUGUCUCAUUGUUAUGUACAUGAUUCGUGCCCAAUUGGUGUCUCAGCUGAUUCGUGUCCAGCUGGUGCUCCUUGAUUGAGGGAGUAAUCAACAAAAUUUAUAACCUAUUACACCAUAUACUAGGGUAGCAAAGACAAAGCUACUAUAGUAUAGCGGCUCUAGGAUCGUUCACUGGGAAGGAUUAGCAAGCUAUCAAUGAUACCAAUUCCAAGUGAAUUGGUCUUGUUUCAUUUCAAGGUUAGCUUAAGAAAUAAAACACAAACUUUGAUUGGUAAAGAUUUAAACUAACUAACAUAACAAGUACUCGGAAUAACUUAGGAAGAAAAGCAUUCCUUGGAGAGUUAGGUUCACUGGGGUGGUUCCUCAUGCAAAAGACAUAGCUCCGGUCAGAUGGUUCCUUUCCUCGUGUUAGAGAUUCAACAUAUAGUCACUUCUCUAACCGGUGUUGUACAGCUACCUCCUUUAAUUAGAUUUCACUUUAAUUCUCUCACUGAUGCAACUUGCAAUGGUUUAAGCCUCUCACUAAGCCUUAACCAUUCAAGGUGAUCUUUAACCUUGGAUUACCCGUCAAAAGCUCGCAAGAGAUAACUAAUGGAUGUCUCCUUGGAGUCCAAAAGCUUACCAAGUGUUGGCUAUUCUAGAAAAUCCUACCCUAAAGUCACCUCCCAGAGGCUCGCAAGGGGUAAACUGGUGCAUUUCCAUGGUUGGAAAUCACUUUCCUUACCAAGUGUUGGCCCAAGUGACUCUAAGGUGUUUUAAGUUAACUAAAAACAUAGAAAUCACUAAAGGAUUUCACUUCCUCUUCAUUACUAGCUAAAACCACAAAGCUUUGCAUUCUUGCACUUGGAACCUUCCCCGGCAACCUUAGCUCCAAGGAAUUAGAGGUUUAGUUACUCAUUCUCUGGGGAAAAUUCCUCAGAGAGUUCAUAACUUAGUAAGAAAAUAAAAAUACAAAGUGAGAAGGUAAGGCAAUACAAAGAACUGAACUUUACUUGCUUACCCAAAACUUUACAAAAGGAUCUCCUCUCUAAGAACAGGCUCCCGAGAGGUAUAUAUAUGAACAUAAUAUAAAACUAAUUAUUACAUAGAUAUUUUCUCUUUUUACUAACUUAAAAGCUAAGGAAUCUUGUAAUUGGUGGCUUACAAGGAGUAUUUUGGGAUUUAGACAACAAAAAUCUGAUGUAAAAUAUUUCCCAAUGUCGGUAGCAAAUAUCGGGAUGCUCCAGGAACCAUUUCUCAAGAGAAAAUGGUGUCUGCGAGAUUUCGUAGGCACUCAAGAAGGGAUGCGAAAUCAUUUCGCAAGAACAUGCUAUCUUCGCAGGGCUGCGAAGUUGGCUUCCACCUUGAGGUUCUCAGCUCCCAGCUUGUGGCAUAUAUCGGGCAACUUCAGAAGGAAAUACACCCUACUGUACAAAAAGGCCGCGGAAUCACUUCGCAGCAAAAGGGUGAUUUCGCAACACUUUGGAAAAUGCUUCCUUCAGCUGGGAGUGAUUGGUUUGCAAAGGCUGCAACUUCUUCGUUUCAACUCCGAAUUGCGCACCAUUUGAAGAAUUGGAUUGUUGACUUCCUGAGAUUUGAAAUGGUAUAUAGCAUGCAUCAAUUUGACCUCAGAAAGUGCUCCAAAAGUGGCUGCUACGACUGUCAUCAAGAAUAUGCUUCUUGGCAGAUUCUCUUUACUUUUUCUCCUUGCAUUCCGGAUUUACUCUUGGCAAAUGACUUCCAAGCUUUGCCCAAGAUUCCUCAACACUCUCCUCAAUCUUGAAUUGCUUUGGUGAUCAAAUUACUAACAAAAACACCAAAACUUACACAAAGUGAUUAAAAUUGCUUUCAAGGGUCCUUAAUAUGCUAAUUGAGUUAAAAGGCCAAAACUACUACUCAAAAGCGUUUAAAAGGAUUAAUUAUAAGUUAUCAAAUAGCACUUUUUGAGCAGUAAUCACUCCCCCCAACCGACAUAUUGCUAGUCCCUUAGCAAUAUAGGAGAGAAAAAUGAAAAUAAAAAGCAAACUUAACCUAUAAUGUACAACAUCAUGCUGAACAAAAACAAUUCUCAAGUGGCAUGAUGAUUUAAUUCUCUCAUGAAACAUUAAAGAAAUACAAACCCAAAUUUCAACAAGAGUUAUAACAAACUAUGCUAAACACUUUCAAUCAAGGGAAUGCAUUAUGCAAACUGAAGUUUUAAAAUCAUUUCCACUUUCAAAGAACCAAACUUUAUUCUUCCUCAAAAAUCUAUGUGUAUAGGUUCCUUAGGUUCCGAGAAUAAUAUGCUAAACUAAUCUCUCCCCCCAACCUAUCUCUUUUCAACACUUAGAAAACUGACCAAAAUCAAUAAAGAAAGAACACAUUUUUUUUUUUUUUUUUUAAGGAGGCUUUAUGGGAUACUCUUUCUGAAUUGUCCAUGUAAUGGGGGUCCAUCGAUGACUCCCAACCAAUUAAGGUUUAGGGCAUCAAGCUUUAAGGAUCUUUCAACCACUAACUCCAUGGAUUUUUCCCCGGACUUUUGAGAAUGAAUUUCUAAUACCCAAGCACCUAGCAUAUGCUAACUCUACCUAUUCACCCUUAUAACGAGCAUUGAGGUCGGUGACUCCCAACCAAUUAAGGCUUAGGGCACCAGGCUUUAAAGAUUUUCACCAUAUACCCCUCAGACCUUGCUCGGGUUUUAAGGCAAGCAAACAACUUUCUUUAUUUCAAAGGCUCAUUGGCCUUUUGCAGGGUGUUUCAAUUUUAUCAAAUGAGGUCAAAUAUACCAAGUCCCAAAAUUAUCCUAAGUCAAGAGGGAAAUAGCUUUUCAUGUUAUAAUCGGAAUCUAAUGUGUACAGUGUGUGAAUAGCUUAAAGUGGAAGAACUAAAUUCAAUUUCAAUAGAAGCUUCAACAAUUGAACCACUUUAGUGAGCAUAAUCCAUACUCUAAGUCAAGUGAAAAACAACAGUUCAAUUUCUCCUGUUUCAAUUUGAAAAUUUUUCCUCAAAAUUCAUGGAGAAUAGAGUAAAAAGAGUAAAAAGCAAAAACUACAACUAAUUUACCAAAAUAAUUGCAUUACCAAAAAGGCUUAGCAUACUUCCUUUAAUUUAGCAUAACUUCCUUCAUCAUUCCCCCCCAACCGAACCGAGCAUUGUCCUCAAUGUGAUAUGAGUGACUGUAAUUAAAGGGAGGAAGUGGUACCUCCUGAGUGAUAUCAAAUUCGAAUACUAAUUGGAGAAACCACAUGUUUAAAAAAGAAUAGAAUAUGUGAGAAAAGGAAAUAAGAAUAAGUUAAUGCUAACUGUUAACAAAAAAAUAUUAAACUUGUAUUACUUUGAAUCCAUUUGAGUACACUGAAAAAGAAAAGCAAUACAAGCAAUCCCAAAUAUAGUACCAAAAUAAUGGGAUUUCUUUCAAACUAAAAAUGAAAUACAUAAAACAAAGAUAGUAGAUAUAUAUAUAAUGAUCUAAUGAGUGGGUGGUGCUGGGGCUAGGCAGAUGGGUCUGCCUCUUCAGUUGGUGCUUCAGCUGGGGCUUGAGGCUCUGAGGGAUGAGAGUGUGGAUCUGCUGGAGUAGAAGUGGAGGGCUCAACAGCUGGUGGCAGGUCGAAAUGAAGCUGAAACUGCCUUAAGAUGACAGUGUGUUGAGCCUGAGUGGCCAACAUCUGCUCUUGGCAUGCUCUAAUGGCUGCCAUCUCUUGAGCUAGACUGCUCUGAGAUGUUGUGAGGGUCUCCAAUGCACGGCACAACUCUCGAUAUUCAGAAAUGGGUAUGGCCAUCCUCGGCUCAGCUGAAAUGGAUGGCUGAGAUGAAGCUGGAGCAGCUGGUGGAGCUCUGGGAAUGGCAGGAGCAGCAACUGUGAUACCCUCAGGUAUGUGUCGUGGGGAUGCUCUCCUUGUAGUUGGCUGAGGACGCUCAGGCUGGUCAACUCUAUAAGCUGUCAUGUUGUUCCAUUUGUCGAGAGUAAAAAGCUCACGACAAAUGCGCUUUCGCUCCAACUGAGGCUCAGAAGGAUAUCCCAAGUGCUCCAGAAUUUGGCAUAGCAGCCUUGGAAAGAGGAGGGGAAUGCAAUCAGCUCUCUGAAGCUUCUUUUUGUGUACAUUAUCUUCGAAAUAGAGAAGGACUGCCAGAAUCAGAUGAUGAGGCCCAAAGAAAAAUCCUUCAGACAUCUUGUAUAGGGCUUCUAAGAGGACUCCUCUUCUUUGAGUCCAAUGCUGCAAUGGGUAGAGGUUAUGACGCAAAAAUGCAUCAAUCAAAAACAUGAUUGGAGGAAGCUCCCCCCUCAACAGAUGUGAUCGAUUGGCAGCUCCUCUGGAUAGGGUGCGCACCAUCUCCAGCUCAGUAGGAUUGGUCCAAGCUCUAAAAUUAUCGAAUUGGGUUGGCUCAUAGGGAAUUUGCAAGGCUUCAGCUAUAUGGCGUGCUCCCAAUAUGCCAUGCCUCCCAUCAAUAGUGAAAUGAAUUAAAGUUGGAUCCCUGACCUGGUUAGUUGUCAUGGAUUGAUAGAAAUCCAUGGCUACCCUUGGGUAGAAAAAGUCUCUUGGAGUCAGUAGGUGCUCCAUAUGGUAUCUCCUCAGCAGGUUGAAUGUCUGUGCAAGCUCCGGCUGCAAUCGGAAUGCGGCUAUGUCAAAGCAUAGCUCAGAGUGGAAUGGCCGAGCUCUACAGUCCAAAUUUCCCUCAAUUGGGGGCUGAGUUAGCAUUGGCCUCUUGAUUAUUUCUUCCGGAGCUAUUUCGGAUUGAAUUUGGGGCUCUGGAAGUGGCGGCUAAGGCUCCUGAGAUUUCGCUUGCGGCGCCAGAAAUGGCACCGGCGACGGAACUGGCGAGGAUACCGGAGAUGGAACUGGAGUUGGAACCGGUGAUGGCUCUGGAGAUUGCUCCGUCUAGUCGAUGGGUUCUGAGCUUUCAACCCUGGGUCUCUUUUGCAGUGGCCGACCCCCUGACCUGGUAAGGUAACGUCUCGCCAGAGGCUUUGGCGGCGCUGGCUUCACCGGAGGAGGAGUUGCUUUCAGCUGCGAAGGCUCAGAAACGGGAUCCGGGACUGGCUCCUUUCGCAAGCUUCUCUUGCGGCUUGAAGGGGAGGAAGACUUGGCCCCUCUGGUUUGCGCCAUUUCGGGUUACCGAAAUUUGGCCAGAGCGGAUGGUCGGAGAAGAUGAUCGGAGGCUUGCGCGGUGAGGCUUGAGGAAGGAGAUGGACGGUCUGCGAGAAUGGACGGUAUAAUUUUGAAACCCUUUUCGCAGCUCAAAUGACCGGUAUAAAUAGGAAUAACGGAAGACUAAGGGUCAGUUUGAGUUUCGCAGUAAAAUGCCAUUUUCGCAGCUACUUCGCAAUGCGUUUCGCAGCUGCGAAAUUAAUGUUACUGUGCUGCGAAGUGGCACACGUGUGUCAAAAUCUCCUUCGCAAUUGCGAAAUACCCUGCGGAAUGGGACUUUUGUUGCGAAAUCUGGGCUUUACCACUUCGCAAGUCGUUUCGCAGCUGCGAAAUGGGGGCUCCUGUGCUGCGAAGUGGCACUCGUGUGCCAAACUUGCCUUCGCAGCUGCGAAAAUUCUCGCAGAGAAUCCCAAAGUGUUGCAGAAUGAUUUGGCAACAAAAUGCUCAUUUCGCAAAAGUUUUCUUUAGGCUGCGAAAUCUCGCAGAGCUCUGUUUUUGCUCUGUUUCACUCUGUUUUUGCUCCGAUUUCGAUCCGAUUUUUUCUCUUUCAAUUUCCUUGAAAUUUCUUCCACCUGAGAUCAUUUAAAAAGAUUAAAACACACCUAAAAACAUGAUUUAAGAUCAAAAACUAAGAUCAAAUGUAUGGAAAAAAACUUGAAAAUUUACAAAAUUUACAAAAAUUUUGGACUGUGGUAAACCAUGUCUAGCAAACCCUUCUUUGCUUAGGCUUUUUGAGGCUCAAGGAGGUUGAUAUCCUCCUUUUCUAGUUUGAAUGGCUCCAUUAAUGGCUUGAGACGAUAUCCAUUGACUUUGAAGGUGUCCUUGCCAUUUGAAUUCAAUAAUUCCACAUCUCCAUUGGAACAUACUCGGUGAAUUAUGAACGGGCCUAUCCACCUUGACUUGAGCUUCCCAGGAAAGAUAUGGAGUCUUGUGUCAUACAGUAAAACUCUUUACCCUUCCUGAAAUUCCUUAUUGGAGUUUAGUUGAUCAUGCCACUUCUUCAUCCUCUGUUUUGCAACUUUGGAAUUGAUAUAGACAUUAUUUCUUAAUUCCUCCAUCUCAUUAAGGUCUAGAUAUAUUUUUUCUCCGGCUCUGAUCAAGUCCAUGUUCAGCUUCUUUAUUGCCCACCAAGCUUUGUAUUCAACUUCCACAGGGAGAUGGCACGCUUUGCCAUAGACAAGACGAUAGGGAGACAUGCCAAGAAUAGUCUUAUAAGCUGUUCUAUAUGACCACAAUGAAUCAUGAAGCUUAAUAGACCAAUCUUUUCUGCUGGAAUUCACCACUUUCAUCAAUAUGUUCUUUAUUUACCUCUUAGCUAGCUCAACUUGCCCGGAAGUCUGAGGAUGAUAAGGUGUAGCCACCUUAUGCUUCACUCCAUACUUGGAUAACAGAGCUUCAAAAGGUUUGUUGCAAAAAUGAGCACCUCCAUCACUGAUUAUGGCUUUGGGUACCCCAAAUCUCGAAAAAAUGUUCUCUUUAAGGAAUUUGAGAACCACCCUGUGAUCAUUUUGUUUACAAGGGAUUGCCUCAACCCAUUUAGAAACAUAAUCCACCCCCACCAAGAUGUAAGAAUUACCAAAAGACAUUGGGAAAGGUCCCAUGAAGUCAAUACCCCAUACAUCAAAUAGCUCAACUAUUAGAAUGGGGUUCAUAAGCAUUUGAUUUAUUUUUGUUAACUUUCCAAGCCGUUGGCAUCUGUCACAACUUCUACACAUGAUGUAGGCAUCUUUGAAAAGAGAUGGCCAAAUAAACCCUGAUUGCAAUACUUUCAUGGCUGUUUUCUGAGAGGCAAAGUGGCCUCCACAUGCAUUCUCAUGACAAUGAUAUAGAAUCCCUUGCUGCUCAUCUUCAGGGACACACUUCCUUAUGAUCUGAUCUGCACAAUACUUAAAAAGAAAGGGCUCUUCCCAAUAAUAAGCAUGAAUUUUGGCAAAGAAGUGCUUCCUGUCCUGUGCAUUCCACUCACUUGGAAUUUCUCCAGUUACUAAAUAAUUAGCAAUAUGAGCAUACCAAGGAGUUUUCACUAGGAACAUGAGUGAUUUUUCAGGAAAAUCAUCAUUAAUAGGCAAGGGAUGGGAAUUAUGUGCUAUAACUAACCUUGAAAGGUGGUCAGCUACCACAUUCUCCACUCCUUUCUUAUCUUUGAUUUGAAGAUCGAAUUCUUGUAACAAAAGAAUCCAUCUAAUCAACCUUGCUUUUGCAUCUUGCUUUGUCAAUAAAUACUUCAAGGCUGAAUGGUCAGUGAAGACAAUGAUGAAAGACCCCACUAAAUAAGCACGAAAUUUGUCCAAAGCAAAUACCACAGCUAACAAUUCUUUCUCUGUAGUUGUGUAGUUCCUUUGAGCUUCAUUCAGUGUUUUGCUUGCAUAGUAAAUCACAUAGGGCUUCCCAUCUUCCCUUUGGCCAAGCACAACUCCUAUAGCAAAGUCACUGGCAUCACACAUCAGUUCAAAAGGUAAUUGCCAGUUAGGGGCUCUCACUAUUGGAGUUGUUGUUAAAAAUUUCUUCAGUUGAUCAAAGCUGUUUUGACAUCUUUCAUCCCAUAUAAACUUAGCAUCCUUAGCUAACAGCUCACAAAGAGGUUUUGAAAGACUUGAAAAACCUUUUAUAAACCGCCUAUAGAACCCUACAUGGCCAAGGAACUGUCUUACUCCUUUCACAGUUGUUGGGGAUGGUAAUUUGACAAUAAGCUCCACCUUUGCUUUAUCAACUUCAAUGCCUUUUUCAGAGAUGAUAUGGCCAAGGACAAUUCCUUGACGUACCAUAAAAUGGCAUUUCUCCCAAUUGAGCACCAGGUCUUUUUCAAUGCAUCUGUGAAGAACUGCUUCCAAAUUGACUAAGCAUUCCUCAAAUGUACCUCCAUAUACGGUGAUGUCAUCCAUGAAAACCUCCAUAAUUAGUUCCACCAUAUCACUGAAAAUACUCAGCAUACAUCUUUGAAAUGUAGCAAGUGCAUUGCAUAAACCAAAAGGCAUUCUCCUGUAAGCAUAUGUUCCAAAUGGACAUGUAAAAGUGGUUUUUUCCUGAUCUGCCAAAUAAAUUUCAAUCUGAAAAUACCCUGAAUACCCAUCCAAGAAACAAUAGAACGGAUGUCCAGAGACUCUCUCCAGCACUUGGUCAAUAAAUGGCAAUGGAAAAUGAUCCUUCCUGGUUACAGCAUUCAGCUUUCUAUAAUCAAUACACACUCUCCAACCUGAAGUGAGGCAUGUAAGUAACUUCUUCUCCUUUUUCAUUCUGAACCACUGUGAUUCCUAACUUCUUUGGUACCACUUGAGUAGGACUCACCCAAGGGCUAUCAGAUAUAGGGUAGAUGAUUCCUGCUUGAAGUAGCUUCAGCACCUCAGCUCGCACCACCUCUUGUAAAUGAGGAUUCAAUCUUCUUUGAAGUUGACGAAUUGGCUUUGUCUCCUUCUCCAUAUAUAUAUGAUGAGUACAAACUAAAGGACUAAUGCCUUUCAAGUCGGAUAUUUGCCAUCCUAUUGCCUUCUUACACCUCUUGAGAACUUCCAUUAAACAAUUCUCUUGAUGACUGGUCAGAGAUGAAGAUAUCACAACAGGACAUUGAUUAUUUUCUUCAAGAUAUGUAUAUUUCAGCUCCACAGGUAGAGACUUCAGAUUGAGUUUUGGAAUUUCUUUUUCAGCAACUGCCUCCUCUUCUUCAUUGAACAAAGGUAGAAUCUCUUCUAUCUUUCUCCAACUUUGUAGAGUAGCAAGCAUAGUAGGAGAUUCAGACAAACCUUCCUCAAAAUCCACAAGACUUUCAUUCAACUUGUCUUGCAUAUUUUGAUUACAGUGCUCCUCCACCAAAGUGUCAAUAAUGCACAGCUCUUCUGGACCCUCUUCUUCUUCCGGAGUGAUUUGCUUUUUAGACAUAUAGAAAAUAUUGAGAUCAAGUGUCAUGUUGCCAAAAGUGAGUUGCAUCAGUCCAUUCCUGCAGUUGAUGAUUGCAUUUGAGGUAGCAAGAAAUGGCCUUCCAAGGAUGAUAGGAACUAAAUUAGCUUCCUUUAUAGUAGGAUCUGUAUCAAGAACAAUAAAAUCUACUGGAUAGUAGAAAUUAUCCACUUGAACCAAUACAUCCUCAAUUACCCCCCUUGGAAUUUUCACUGAUCUAUCUACUAGAGAUAAAGUGAUUGCUGUUGGCUUCAACUCUCCAAGUCCCAAUUGCUUGUAGACGGAAUAUGGAAGCAAAUUCACACUUGCUCCCAAGUCUAACAAGGCUUUCUCCACUACCUUUCCUCCAAUCAUGACUGAAAUGGUAGGACUUCCUGGGUCUUUGUACUUCAAAAGAGACUUACAUUGUAAGAUUGCACUUACUUGCUCAGUCAAGAAGGCUUUCUUAUUUACAGUCAACCCUCUUUUGAUAGUACAUAAGUCCUUAAGGAAUUUUGCAUACGUUGGAACUUGUUUAAUCAUAUCCAGCAGUGGAAUAUUGACUUUCACUUGUCUCAAUACUUCAAGGAUUUCAGCUGCAUUUCUAAUCCCCUUUUUCCCAUGUAAUGCUUGAGGAAAAGGUGGAGAGGUUGAUUUCUUCAGCAUUUCUUCCUUCAUAAGUUCCUUCUCUGGAAUUGCAUUCAUUGUUGAAUCAGAGUCCUUCUUUUCUUCACUGAUCUCACUCUCUUUAUCUUCCAUUUCCUUCCCUUUCUUUAUCUCUUCUUCAUUAUCAACAUGUGGCUUGGGUGUUGGUUGCUCAAUUUUUUUACCACUCCUUAGAGUGAUCAAGGCGUUCACAUCUUUCACCUGUGAUGAUUCUCCCUCUUGGCUUUCCACUUCAUGGACACCUUUGGGAUUUUGGUGAGGUUGAGAAGGAAAUCUUCCCUUUUCUUGUAGUGUAUUCAAAUUUGUAAGCCUUGAAAUUGAAUAUUGGAUGUUAUCAAACUUUUGGUUCAUAUCAUUUUGCAUUCCAUCCAUCCUUUUAUUCAACAUACUCUCCACUCUAUCAAUUCUUUGAUAGAUUUGAGCAUUGGUGGCUUCUUGCUUUCCAACAAAAUCUCCCACUACCUUGCUGAGAUUAGCCAUUACUUGUUCAAGACUUGAAGAUUGUUGAGAUGGUGGAUCCGGCUGUUGGUAUUGAGUUGCUCUGGCCUUCCAUGAGAAAUUUGGAUGAUUCCUCCAACUUGAGUUGUAGGUAUUUCCAUAAGGCGCAUUGUUAUUGGGCUUGAAUUGCCCAAUAACUUUUGCUUGAUCUCUAAACAUUUCCCUUUCAGCUGAAAUUGCAGGGCAUUCCUCCACCAAAUGUUCAUAUGAUUGACAAUUAGGACACAGCUUCACUUGCACUGGUGCUUCAGCAACAGCUUGCACUUCAUGUAUUCUUUUCAGCUCCAGCUCCUCCAAUCUUCUUGUCAUAGCUGCCAACUUUGCUUUCAUAUCAUCAUCUUCUUUCAAGGUAUACAUCCCAGCCUUUGUAUUGAAAGCAUUCGGUUGAGACUUCAUCUUCCCCACUUCUCCUUUAGUUGGUUCAUCCCAUCCCCUUGAAACAUCAGCUAUAUAGCUCAAGAAAUCCAUAGCUUCCUCUGGAUUUUUUCUCAUGAAAUCUCCUCCACACAUUGUCUCGAGGAGUUGCUUCAUUGAGGAGGACAUACCAUCAUAGAAAUAGCUCACCAGUAACCAAGUAUCAAAGCCAUGGUGAGGGCAAGCAUUUAUAGCUUCCAUAUAUCUUUCCCAACACUCAUAGAAUUUCUCAUUCUCUUUAGCUGAGAAGUUUGAAAUUUGACUUUUCAAGCCAUUUGUUCUAUGAGUGGGAAAAAAUUUCUUGAGGAAUUCAGCUUGUAAGUCAGUCCAAGAACGGAUACUCCUUGGCCUUAAAGAAUUAAGCAAAAUUUUGGCCUUAUCCUUUAAAGUAAAAGGAAAUAACUUAAGCCUCAUCAAAUCAAUUGAAGCUCCUCCCUCUUGGAAUGUAUUACAAACAUCUUCAAAUUCCUUGAUAUGUGCAUACGGAUUCUCACUUUCCAUCCCAUGGAAAGUUGGUAGAAGUGGAACAAGAUACGGUCUGAUCACUAGCUGCUCUGUAGGGGGCACUAUACAUGAUGGUGCACUCAUACGAGGUGGAUGCAUACGGUCCCUCAUUGAUCUGAAUUCAUUGAGAUUGUCUUGACGACCUUGGUGACUAUGCUGAUCUUCAGGUGUAGCUUCCAUGAUAUUCAAGCUUACUUCGAAUUCUCUUCUCUGAGGUGUAUCACACUUAACAAGCCUUCCUCCACUGUCUCGUAUCCACUUUGGCAUACACAACUAGUAUCUAUCUGCAACUUAAUGAAAAUAAAGAACAACAACAGAAACAGGGCUACAACAACAAAAUUAAUCUAGGCUAAAUUUUAAAAUAUAAACUUAGAUUAUGAAUAAAUAAAUAAAGAAUGAGAAUUAGUAAAGUGAAAGAAACGUUACCAACUUGUGAUGAAAAUCACAAGUGCUCAAAAAUGGUAUCACUAUAAAUUUGACACCUUCCCUGGCAACGACGCCAUUUGAUUCGUGCCCAAUUGGUGUUUCAGAUAAUUCGUGUCCAGCUGGUGCUCCUUGAUUGAGGGAGUAAUCAACAAAAUUUAUAACCUAUUACACCAUAUACUAGGGUAGCAAAGACAAAGCUACUAUAGUAUAGCGGCUCUAGGAUCGUUCACUGGAAAGGAUUAGCAAGCUAUCAAUGAUACCAAUUCCAAGUGAAUUGGUCUUGUUUCAUUUCAAGGUUAGCUUAAGAAAUAAAACACAAACUUUGAUUGGUAAAGAUUUAAACUAACUAACAUAACAAGUACUCGGAAUAACUUAGGAAGAAAAGCAUUCCUUGGAGAGUUAGGUUCACUGGGGUGGUUCCUCAUGCAAAAGACAUAGCUCCGGUCAGAUGGUUCCUUUCCUCGUGUUAGAGAUUCAACAUAUAGUCACUUCUCUAACCGGUGUUGUACAGCUACCUCCUUUAAUUAGAUUUCACUUUAAUUCUCUCACUGAUGCAACUUGCAAUGGUUUAAGCCUCUCACUAAGCCUUAACCAUUCAAGGUGAUCUUUAACCUUGGAUUACCCGUCAAAAGCUCGCAAGAGAUAACUAAUGGAUGUCUCCUUGGAGUCCAAAAGCUUACCAAGUGUUGGCUAUUCUAGAAAAUCCUACCCUAAAGUCACCUCCCAGAGGCUCGCAAGGGGUAAACUAGUGCAUUUCCAUGGUUGGAAAUCACUUGCCUUACCAAGUGUUGGCCCAGGUGACUCUAAGGUGUUUUAAGUUAACUAAAAACAUAGAAAUCACUAAAGGAUUUCACUUCCUCUUCAUUACUAGCUAAAACCACAAAGCUUUGCAUUCUUGCACUUGGAACCUUCCCCGGCAACCUUAGCUCCAAGGAAUUAGAGGUUUAGUUACUCAUUCUCUGGGAAAAAUUCCUCAGAGAGUUCAUAACUUAGUAAGAAAAUAAAAAUACAAAGUGAGAAGGUAAGGCAAUACAAAGAACUGAACUUUACUUGUUUACCCAAAACUUUACAAAAGGAUCUCCUCUCUGAGAACAGGCUCCCAAGAGGUAUAUAUAUGAACAUAAUAUAAAACUAAUUAUUACAUAGAUAUUUUCUCUUUUUACUAACUUAAAAGCUAAGGAAUCUUGUAAUUGGUGGCUUACAAGGAGUAUUUUGGGAUUUAGACAACAAAAAUCUGAUGUAAAAUAUCUCCCAAUGUCGGUAGCAAAUAUCGGGAUGCUCCAGGAACCAUUUCGCAAGAGAAAAUGGUGUCUACGAGAUUUCGCAGGCACUCAAGAAGGGCUGCGAAAUCAUUUCGCAACAACAUGCUAUCUUCGCAGGGCUGCGAAGUUGGCUUCCACCUUGAGGUUCUUAGCUCCCAGCUUGCGGCAUAUAUCAGGCAACUUCAGAAGGAAAUACACCCUACUGUACAAAAAGGCUGCGGAAUCACUUCGCAGCAAAAGGGUGAUUUCGCAACACUUUGGAAAAUGCUUCCUUCAACUGGGAGUGAUUGGUUUGCAAAGGAUGCAACUUCUUCGUUUCAACUCCGAAUUGCACACCGUUUGAAGCAUUGGAUUGUUGACUUCCUGAGAUUUAAAAUGGUAUAUAGAAUACAUCAAUUGGACCUCAGAAAGUGCUCCAAAAGUGGCUGCUACGACUGUCAUCAAGAAUAUAUUUCUUGGUAGAUUCUCUUUACUUUUUCUCCUUGCAUUCCGGAUUUACUCUUGGCAAAUGACUUCCAAGCUUUGCCCAAGAUUCCUCAACACUCUCCUCAAUCUUGAAUUGCUUUGGUGAUUAAAUUACUAACAAAAACACCAAAACUUACACAAAGUGAUUAAAAUUGCUUUCAAGGGUCCUUAAUAUGCCAAUUGAGUUAAAAGGCCAAAACUACUACUCAAAAGCGUUUAAAAGGAUUAAUUAUAAGCUAUCAAAUAGCACUUUUUGAGUAGUAAUCAGUACAUAUGGUAUUGGAGUGUAGUUGAUUCUCUUUAAUGGAAUGUUAAAUCAAUUUCAAAUUUGGAUUUUGAUGGAGCAAAUACUCCUAUGGGUCCUAGUGGUUCUCGCUUUGAGCUUAUAUACUAGGUAACACAUUUUAUGAGGGUUGGAUUGACUCUAGGUUGAUUCUUGUGCAUAAGAGAAUUUUGGUAACUACGCAAGGUUGCAUAAGGGAUAAUGAACAAGGUAUUUGGUUUGGGCUAAUUGAUCAAUUAGAUGACCCUAUAUAGUUAAUUAAUCAAUUAAGAGCCAUUUUGGGCUAGACUAAGUGACUCAUGCCUUGAUGGGCUUAAGUCACUUAAGCACAAUCGACAACCUUAUAAAUACCCCUUUAUGGGUUAGCAUUUCCUAAUGACUUUUAAUGAGAGUUGUUUUCCACCUCUAGAGAAAGAGAGAGAGAAAGUCAUAGCCUCAUCCCUUUUGUUGCGCACACUUUAGAGUGCCAGGAUUGUGGUUCAAGUCAUCGGGUGGAGGAUCUUGGGUAUAUGAGACCUUCUUAGAUGAGAGGCUACAUCACAUGGACAUGCGUAGAGCACAUGCACAAGAUGUGCAUAGGCCAUGUGCAUGGGAAUUGCAUGACACAUGCACAUGGGCAGUAGCAUGAGGAGAGAGACUCUCUAGUUUUUCCAAGUAUGUUCUUCAUCGGAUGGAUUUUGAUCUGGGAACAUCUAAAUCACAUGUAUGAGUUUCAAAUCUCUAGAUCUAUAGUUAUUAAUGGUUUUCAUUGCUAAUUUAUUCCACUACGAUAGAUUUACAAAUGCCUAGGGAUAGAUGCAUGCACCCUAUGAGAUCCAAGGUAUAGGAACGAAGUAUUAAUCUAGUGGUUCCCAAGUAAUGAUAAUAGUAAGAUAUCAAGAUUGAACCUAGCACUAAUUAAACAUCUGGUAUUUAGACCUAACUCAUAUUAAUCUAAAUAGGAUCCAAAGAUUGGUAAAGUCUAGACUCUUUGAUUCCAAAAGAUCUUCUAGUUUACGAAUCCUAUAUAGAUGGUAAAAUGAUCAAGAGUACUAGAGGUAAGGAAUAUUUGGAGUUAGUGCAUACUAACAUGUAUGGAACUUUUAGAGUCUAUGCAUGGGGAGGGUAUGGGUAUUUCAUCACUUUUAGUAAUGAUUACUUUAGGUUUGGAUAUGUACAUAGGAAAUCCGAUGCCUUGGAUACAUUCAUUGAAUUUAAGGCGAGAUAGAAUAACCUAUUGGGUAUACAUACCAAGUCAUUUCAAUUAUAUCAAGUUGAUAUGUUUGGUAAGUUUGAUUCUUUCUGUUAGAGCAUAUGAUUAUUUUCUAGUUAUGUUCAUCAAGGUCUCUACUGAAAAACGAAUAAGUGGAAAGAAGAUAUCAAACUUGGAUGGACAUAGUAAGAUUGUGGAUAGGUUUCUCAUAUUUUCUCAAAUUCUUUUGGGGAUAUGUCUUAUAGAUUGUGUAAUUACUUUUUUUUUUUUUUUUUUUGCUUUCUUAAGAGGUGUAUUAGUUUAUAGGAUAUCUAAGAGGAUUUUUGGGUUAUAUUGUAGUCAAAAUCAUCAAAAGAUAUUUGUUAACAUAAAUGUCCCAUUUUUCAUGAAAAUUAUAUGAUAAGGAAGAAGGCAUAGAGUGAUAUCGAUUGGAGGAUAUAUUAGAAGAUAGUCCCACAUUGCAUAGGAUACUAUGGAUCCAGAGAGUUAAAGACAUACCAUUCCUAUGAUUUCUAGUACACCAGUACCUCAUCAUAGUGGGAAGUUUAUAUCCCACAGAUAAUGAUGAAGCGGUGAGCAAUGUUUAUGCUCACUUAAGGCAAGGAUGUGUGAUCAUGAAAUCUAUGAACCCAUAGUAAUUCAUUUAGUGAAAUUUGAGAUAUGGUCUUAGUGAGUUAGAGUAUGUUAUUUAAUCACAAAAUAAGAUGAUCUAUAAGUCAAAGAUUGUAAAGGUAGUCUUGAAAGGAUGAUAACUUUCACCUUGUUAGACUACGAACAACCAAUUCAUGGGAAGACUAUAUACAAUAGAUAGCAAGUCACAAACUUGAGCACUUGGUGUUUCGCUGUAAUAUACAUAGGGUUCUAGAGUACAAUUAACUCUCUAUAGUAGGAUAUUGAGUUAACUUUAGAAUUGGAUUCUAAGGGAUCUAGUAUUGUCCUAUGGUUCCAUUGGUCUCUACUAAAGCUCAUCUUCCUUGAUAGCAUGGUUUAUGAGAGUUGGAUAGGUUUUUAGUUCACUCGUGUGCAUAAAGGCAUUUUGGUAAUUGCAUAAGGUUACACAAGGGUAACUGUGCAGUAUCUUCGAACUUGGUUAAUUGAUUAAUUGGAGCCUUAUUUUGUUAAUUAAUCAAUUAGCAACCUUUUUGGGCUAAAUUAAGUGACCCACACCCCUAGUGGGCUCAAGUCACUUAAGCAUAGUAGGAGUAUAAAUACCUUUCUCAAGGGUUUGGGUUUCUAAUUCAAUCUUGUCAUUCUCUCCCCAUAGUCUAGAGAGAAAACCCUAGUCUUCAACCUUGAGAUUUCCAUCAUUUCAGUGCCUAGACUCAAGGAGGAGUCAUCGAGUGGAUGAUUAUGGGUUUAUAAGAUCUUUCUUAAAUUUGGAGCUUUCUACAUUAACAAGAAUUGAUUUGGGAACAUCCGAAUAAUACGUAUAACACUUUUCUCUAGAUCUAUGAUAUGUUUUUUAAAUACCAAAGUUUUCAACUAUGCUUAGAUCUAGAAAGCAUAAGAUAGGAUUACAUGCACCCUAAUAAUCCAAGGCCUAGGAAUAUAGCGAUCUAAGGUUUCCUACCAAAUAUAACCCAAUAAGUAAGAAUGAUUUAUAGGAACUAAAAUUUCUUUCAAAAAGAAAAGAAGUUUAUUGGAGUAAGAUAAGUAUACAAGAGAAGGAAAAAUGCAAAAGGAGUAGACAAAUACAAAGCAACAUUGGUGCAAAGGAUUACAAGCAAGAAUAAUGCACCAACAAGACGAGGGCAUUUGCUCUCAUUGCUCUUUUAGUAACUAUAAGAUUAAAAAUCUCUUUGAUAGCUUAAAUUAGUUGAAAAUUUUCAAAUGGAUGUGAAAUCCAAUUUUUUGAAUUGACAUCUGGAAGAAGUGUAUGUAGAAUAAACCAUAGUUGGUAUACAUAUAUAGGCAUGAGAAUAAAGUUCCAAAAUUGAAAAUAGCCUUGUAUGGAAUAAAACAAACACUAAGAGCAUGGAAUAAUAGAAUUGACCAAUAUUUUCACGAUAAUAAUUUUGUUUGAUACCUUAAUGAACAUGCUCUUUACAUAAAAGUGAAAGAAAAAAGUGAUAUAUUACUUAUUUGUUUGGAUGUGAAUUAUUUGAUCUUUAUUGGAACUAAUCCAAUCAUGUUUAGUGAGUUCAAAGAAGUAAUAGGACAAAAGUUUGAGAUGAUUGGAUUAGUCUCAUAUCAUACUCUCUUGCCAUAGACUUGAAGACAAUUGAAAAGAGUACUUUUUAUUUCUCAAGAAGACCAUGCAAAAUAAAUUUUUAGAAAGUUUAACUUGAAUAUGUGUAAUAUGGUAAACACAAUAAUAUAAUGCAAAGCUAAAUUAUCAAAGACAUGUAGAAGGAGAAAAAGUGGAUUCAACAUAACAUAAAAUCUUAGUUGGAACCAUACACUAUUUGACUCAUACAAGUUCAAACAUUCUCUUUGGAGUUGGAUUUGUCCAUCAUUAUAUGGAAGCACUAAUGAUUAUUUACACUAAGACCUCCUAGUGAAUUUUUCACUACAUCAACGACACAUUUGAUUAUGACUAAUAUUAUUCACCUUUAACAAUUUUAGACUUGUUGGAUAUAAUGAUAGUGAUUAAGGUGGAGACUUGGAUGAUACAAAGAGAACCAAUAGCUUUGUAUUCAUCAUGGGAGAGAUACCAUGUUCACUUGGACUUCAAAGAAGCAACCUAUUAUGAAACUUUCAAUCUAUGAAGUGGAAUUUGUGAAAAUGUUUACAAAAUCUCAUAAUCAAAUUGUGAAAACGUUUACAAAGUCUCUCAAGUUUAAUGAUUUUAGAAUGCUAAAGAUGCUACUUUUACAAAUCAAGUUGAAGGCAUGAGUGAAAAUGUUGACAAAGUUUAAAAUUUUUAGAAAACUAAGGAUGCAUUUUUACAAACCAAGUUGAAGGGAGGAUGCUAGUUAACCUAGAUUUAGGAAGUUUCUAAAAAUUAGAAUUUGAGUUGGAUUCUAAAAUGCUUGAUUUAGUUUGUAUAUUUGUUAGUACAAGAUUUUAUAUUUUACCAUUAUGAGUAUCUUUUUUUGUUUUUUUAGGAGUUAAUAUCUAUAAAUAAGAUGUUAAUAUCUAAAUAUAUAAUUAAAAUUGUUGUGUUUGCAAUUUUAAUGAAAUCUAGCAUUGGAUACUUAACUACAUCCCACAAAACGACAAAAAAAUGGUGGCGAUUUCAUGGAGGCUAACCAUUCACUAGCCUUUAGCCAAGUUGUGUUUCAACAGUAAAGUAAUUACCUCAGUCAAAACACAAAAUUUAGUUUUCUAAACAAUUAUUGUUCUUGGAAAACAUGCAAGGAAUUUAAGCAACUUAAGGUACUUAAGCAAUCCUAGUUGGACGUCCAGUAUUCAGAUCUUUUCAUUAAUUGGUUUUUCUCUUUUUGUACCAACACCUGCUCUCUCUCUCCAGCAUGCAAGCAUAAGUGGUAGGCACCUCUUUUGUGCUUUAAAUUAAUUGAAUACUUUAUCUUAUUCCGCCAUUCUUUUGGGUCUAACCCAAAAAUACAUUUACCAUGCCUUCUUUUCAUGUCCUCAACUUACUCAUAAGUCCCAUUGGAUAUGAUGUACUGAGUUUCAGAUUUUUCAAGUAAAAUUAUCAACAUCGUCUAGCAUAUAUACUAAUAGGUUAUACUCUUUUCAACAGUUUAAAUUGUUUUUGUUAAUAGAUUAUAUGGAUGUUUUAACACUCAGAGAAAUUGAAAUGCAGCCAAAUAUGCAGAAAAAAAAAAUGGUUGUGACUAAUAGUUAUAUUUAUUCUCUUUUAUUUCUGUUGAUACUCAAAUUUUUAGGGAUAGAGCAUCAACAAUCCUUGUGAUGAGUUACUAAUGUUGAGAAAAGUCAAUGACUACACAAUGUAGCUUAAAACCACAUAUGUCAUCAAAGAAGACAUCAAUAAUCACCCCCACACAAUGAUAUGUUGUAUAAUUCAUUACUUGUAUCAAACACAAAUUUCCUUCAAUGUGUGUCUAUGAAUAAAAGAGAGUUCUUGGUUUAUAUUCGACAUACACGCUAUAUAGGCCAUGCUAAAAGCAAUUGAUAACAAGAAUCUCAACACUGAAGUCCACGUAGAAUCAAGUGUGCACCAUAUUGGGGUUGCAUAGUUAGGAUACUGAAGGGAGCAUGAGCAUAGGAUGGCGAAAGUUCAAAUGAGAAGUGUUGUAAGAUCAUUGCCAAAGCUAUUUUUGCCUCCAUCAUUGCAAAAUUUUGUCCAAUGCAUACCCGAGGACCCCAACCAAAUGGGAAAAAUGAAACUUGGUUUUUUGUUGCCUUCAAAACUGCUUCUGCAAACCUCUUUGGAUUAAACUCCUUUGCAUCAUCCCCCCAAAUUUCAUGAUCAUGGUGAACUAGGAUGGUGGGCAACACGACCUGCACUCCAACUGGAAAACACAUGUCUCCCACUUGAGUGUCCUUAUAAACAGCUCUAUGAAGCAUUGCUACUAGUGGGUAUAACCUAAGAACCUCAUGAAAAAUCAUGGUAACCUGUGGUAGAGAAACUUUAGAAGUUGUUGCAUGAGAAUUCCUACUAAAAUACAUUCUAAAUCAGUAUGAAGGACACUGAAGAAUAAAGCAAUUUCUUAAAAUAGUGAUGCAGAAGAGAAAAUGUUCUAAAUCAUGCAUAACAAAAUAUCAAGUAUGCAAAGGACAUUGCAUAUCCCAUGCAUAUAACAACUUAAGAACCUCAUGAAAAAUCAUCAUAAUCUAGCAGAGGAAUUUGAAAUCAUGGCAUGAGAACCCGUUCCUGAGGUACUAAGUGAAAGCAAAUGUUUAGUACAAGAUAUAAAAACUUAAGAGAAACGUGUUUUCAAUUUUACUCCAAUUAUGGGGAAAAAAACAGAGUACUAUAUGAUUUUAGUGAGAAUCACUAAACUAAAGAUUGGAUUGAGUACUCACAAUUUUUAGGUGAUUUAAUCCAUCAGCUUCCGGUUUUUUAUUCCCAAAAACUGUAAAACCUCUUCUCUUGCACAAGCUUGCCAGUUUGGAUGCUCGCUUAGCAGGACCAUUGUCCAUACAAGCAAAACUGAGGUUGUCUCUUGGCCAUCAAGAGAGAAUAGCUUACACUCUUCAAUGACAUCUUUGACACUCAUUCCAAUCUUCUUGUUAUUUUGAUGUUCUUGAAUUUCUCUAAAAUUGGAUUCCAUUAGUAUACCUAAUAAGUCACUACUAGCAGUUUCGCCAGCCUUCAUUGCCUUCUCCCUAUUGCUAACGAUACCCCUCAACAAUGCAUAUACUUCUUUGCUUAUUUGCUUCAUCCUCCUGUUCCGUCUUUGUGGGUAAAAACCUGCGCGCAUGUUAGUAAUUCUAGUAAAUAAAACAUCACAUGAAACACACAUACAUUAAUUCUUAUUUUCAUCCAUGCCUUCUACUUCUCCAUUAAUUUUUUGAAACUUGUAUAAGGCUUCAAAGGUAGAAACUAUGAAGACAAUAACUAAUGGUUUCAUCUACACAUGUGUUGUAGUGGUAUCUCAUCAUCUUGACACAAUAUCCUACAAACAUAAGAUUGAGGAUACUAAACAUCAAUUAGAGAAACAUACUACUUUCUAAGUGUUAUACAAAAGAAGUAAUUGACUAAAAGGGGAUGAAGUGAUCUCAGAGUUGUAAAUCUAAUAUCUCUUAUGCUUGACCUUGAAAAGUAAUCCAUUUUUAACAUAAAUUCUCUUCGAACAUAAAUUCCCUUCAACCUUGUUAGCCAAACACACACUUGAGCAUUGUGAAACUUUCAACCUAUGAAGCGAAAUUUGUGUUGGCAUCAUUUGUAGGUCAUGAAAUUUGUUCAAGAAACUUAAAUUACCACACAAGAGACUGAUAAAGAUCUAUAUGGAUAUAAAAUCAACAAUUACCUUAUGAGAAAAAUCUAGUUCUCCAUGAUGGUGUUGAAUUUUGAAUUUUGCCUUAGUAUCUGCUGGAAUUUGAAUUUUGAAGUUAAAUUUUGUAGCUGGAGUCUUACAAAAAAUAUGCAACAUCCAAAUAUUUUAUUGUUUUUAUUUGGUCAAGAUUUGGUUUCUAUUUUAUUGGAAGUAAUUGUUCAUCAUCUAGUAGCUUGAUUUUCUAUUAUUCUAAUGUCAUUUCAGUUACAAGCUCAUGUAUAAAUUCAACACUCUUCAUCAAUAAAAUGUGUGUUCCAGCAAUCCAAAAAUAUAUAUUCUGCAUAAGUGUUUCAAUCUAAGAUCAACAGAUGGAAGACAGUAUAUUGAUACAAAAUAUCAUUUAUUAUAGAGUACAUUAUGAAAUAUGAAGUGCAAUUAAAAUUUACAAAAUCUCAUGAUCAAAUUGUGAAAACAUUAACCAAGUCUCUCAAGUUUAAAGAUUUUAGAAAGCUAAGGAUGCUAUUUUUACAAAUCAAGUUGAUGGGAGGAUGUUAGUUAAACUAGAUUUAUAAAGUUUCUAAAAAUUAGAUUUUGAGUUAGGUUUUAAAAGUUAAUUAAAAUAUUUUAUACAAAAUUCUUGAUUUAGUUUGUAUAUUUUGUUACUGCAAGAUUUUAUAUUUUACUAUCGUGAGUAUCUAUUUUUUUUAGGUGUUAGUUUCUAUAAAUAAGAUGUUAUGUAAUAGUUGAUCAAGUGUACAGGUGGAUGAUAAUAAAUUUUUUCUUAAUCAUCUCAAUUAUUUAUAUAUGUAAUUGCUUAUGUGUUUUUUCAACCACAUUGCUGCAACAUAGGUGAAUCUGCUGGUUGGUCUAUAAAAAUUCAUAUCAAUUGUUCAACCUGUUACAUUCUGUUAGGCUUAUGUAACGAUGUAGAUUAUAGUCUCUUUCCCUAAAAUUUCAUGGUGUUAACAUUUCAGGAAAGCAAAAUUUCCUAAAAUGGAAUAUGGUGUGCAAGGACAAAGAGACUUAUUAGGCAUCUAAACUCCAGGGAAAUCUGUCGAAACACUGCUGCAAAAAGAAAACAAAGCCCCAAAUAACUCUUUGAUCUUUUGUACCAAGCAGACUCGUGUAUGAAUAGUUUCAGAAAAAUAAGCUGCAUAUUUCUUGAAAUAUUUUUAUGCAUACCUCCAUCCCGGGAUAUAAACUGACAUUGUAACUGUUAAAAGGUAGUCUUUUUUCUUAUUUUUCCUUGUGUGUUGAAUACAAUACUAUAUAGAUUCAGAACAAAGGAACCUAUUCUAGCCUAUACAUAUCUUGCGGCAAAAAAUAAGGCCAUCCCUUGAAGUAUGGGAUUUACAUAAACAGAUUUCUAUACUUAUCUCAUUAGACAGCUCACGACAACACUCCCCCUCAAGUUGGUGCAUAGAUAUCUUUUAUGCCCAACUUGUCAAGUGAGUUGUAGAAAUUCCUUACAAACACUGCUUUUGUGAGUACAUCAGCCAACUGGUCUUCUGAUUUGACAAAUGGAAGCUGAAUAAUCUUUUCUUCAAGGUUUUGUUUGAUGAAGUUCCGAUCCACCUCAACGUGCUUAGUGCGAUCAUGUUGAACCGGAUUGUGGGAGAUAGCAAUGGUCGUUGUGUUAUCACAUAACAAGUUCAUUUCGGAACUAGGAGCAACAUCGAUCUCAGCUAGCAGCUUUUUCAGCCAAAUGAGCUCACAUAUUCCCUUGACCAUUCCCCGAAAUUCAGCUUCAGCACUAGAUAGGACAACUACUUUCUGUUUCUUGCUCCUCCAUGUAACUAGGUUGCCUCCCACAAAAGUAAAGUACCCAGCAGUGGAUUUCCUGUAUGUGAUGUUCCCUGCCCAGUCCGCAUCUGUGUAGCCAGCAACCUUCAAAUGACCAUUCUUUGAGAACAUAAGCCCUUUCCCCGGAGAGGACUUCAAAAAAUGAAGGAUUCGCAUUACAACAUCCAUAUGGUCUUCACUCGGCCGGUGCAUGAAUUGACUCACUACACUCACAGCAUAAGCAAUGUCUGGCCGAGAAUGAGAUAAAUAGAUGAGUUUACCCACUAACUGUUGAUACCUCUGUUUGUCCGCUGGUACCUGGUCUACAUAUUCUCCAAGUUUAUGAUUUUGGACAAUUGGAAUAUCAACAGGCUUACACUCUAGUAAUCCCACCUCUGCUAGCAAGUCUAGUAUAUAUUUCCUUUGGGAAAGAAAUAUGCCUUGUCUUGACCUUGCCACUUCAAUGCCCAAAAAAUAUUUAAGCCCCCCUAAGUUCUUCAUCUCAAACUCAGUUGACAAUUGAUCUUGAAGCCUGGAUAUUUCUUCUACAUCAUCCCCUGUAAUUAUCAUGUCGUCUACAUAGACUAUGAGGGCUGUUAUUUUUCCCAAUCGAUGUUUUGGGAAGAGAGUGUGGUCAGAGUUGCUUUGUUGAAAUCCAUAUUUCCUCAUUACCGAACUCAACCUGCCAAACCAUGCUCGAGGUGAUUGCUUUAGUCCAUACAAUGCUCGUUGUAACCUACAUGCAAUCUUUGCCUCUGAUGUAGCAGUAUAGCCUGGUGGAAUAUCCAUGUAAAUCUCCUCUUCAAGAUCACCAUGGAGAAAGGCAUUUUUUACGUCAAGUUGGUACAAUGGCCAAUCUAAGUUUGCUGCAAGAGACAACAGAACUCUAACAGUUUUUAGUUUUGCUACAGGUGAGAAAGUUUCCUGAUAAUCUAUACCAUGUUUCUGUGUAUAACCCUUUGCUACCAACCUCGCCUUGUAUUGAUCAAUCGACCCAUCUGCUUUAUAUUUAAUAGAGAAAAUCCACUUGCACCCCACUGUCUUCCUCUCUUCCGGCAACACACUCAAAACCCAUGUAUUAUUUUUCUACAACACCUCCAAUUCUUCUUUUAUAGCUUGAGCCCAUUUCAGAUCCGAGAAAGCUUCUUCAACCCUACUUGGAAUCUGACAUGAGGAGAGUGUAUGUGCAAAAGCUCUGAGAGGUUCAGAUAAUCUUUGUGUAGACACAUAAUUGGCUAUUGGAUACUUGGAUCGUCGUUCUUCUAUGUCUAGGGAGUAUCGAUUUGGAGGCUUGCCUCGAUUGUGUCUGAAAGGUAGAACAUAACCCGCAGAUGUAUCUAUAGCAUUAGUUUGUAAAGGUGUGGUAGGAGAGCUUACCUCAGGAAUAUUCUUAGUAGGAGGGUCGUUGGGUACUAACGAGUGAGGGAAUACAUCAGAUUCUGCAUCUUCCGAUGAUUCAGGUGCUGGUUCAGCUUCAGUUCUCAGAGGUUCAGGUACAGGAUCAUGUUCAACCAUGUCGUUGUCAUCAUUCGGAUGUGUUGGAUUGUCACCAACGUCUAACACUUCAACAUCAGACCAAUUCCGUUCUUCACCAUAGAUCUCCCCCUGAAGAGGGGAAUUGGAUAUCGGUGACAAAAAAAAAUUCAGAUUCAAGGAAGGUGACAUCCAUGGUAAUGUAGGUUCUUUUAGCAAUGGGAUCGUAGCAUCUGUAUCCCUUUUUGUGUACUCCAUACCCCAAGAAUAAACACCGGACAGCACAUGGGUCCAACUUAGUUCGUUGAUUUUUAUGGAGGUGAACAAAAGCAACACAACCAAAAAUUCGGGGAGGAAUCAUCAAAACAGUCGGUAAGGAGACAUGAUAAGAAAGCACCUUUAGUGGAGUCUGAAAUUGUAAGACUUUGGUGGGCAUACGGUUCAGUAGAUACACGGCUGUGGUAACAGCAUCACUCCAGUAUCUAUUCGGCACAUGUGCAUUGAUCAAUAGAGCACGGGCAGUUUCUAAGAUAUGCCUAUUUUUCCUUUCAGCAAUACCAUUCUGUUGUGGGGUUUGUGAACAUGAGGUUUCAUGGAGAAUACCAUGGUUGUUGAAGUAUGUCUGGAAUUAUUGAUUAACAUAUUCCCCUCCAUUGUCAGAACGAAUGAUCUUAAUUCUUGCAGAGAAUUGUGUCUGAACCAUGGCAUGAAAUGAUUGAAAAAUAGAAAAUACUUCAUCUUUGUGUUUUAGGAGGUAAAGCCAUGUCAUUCGUGUGCAAUCAUCAACAAAUAUUACAAACCAACGAUGACCAGAAGACGUAGUUACUAGUGAAGGUCCCCAAACAUCGGAACGUAUUAAAUCAAAAGGAACCAUACUUUUAUUCAUGCUCAUGGGAUAAGAAGCCCUAUGACUUUUGGCUAAGAUGCAAGUAUCACAUUUAAAACCUAAAUGUGUUACAUUUGAAAAUAACCCAGGUAAUAAGUGCUUCAAAUACCCAAAUGAUGGAUGCCCAAGUCGAUGAUGCCAUAACCAAAUCUGUCUCUCCUUGUUACCAACCUUGUGGUGCAUGUGAUUUGCUCUUCCCGAACUGAAGGCAUCCACGUAGUAUAACCCCCCCUCCUCUUAGUACCACACCCAAUUAUCUCAUUGGUGAGAAUAUCUUGAAGAAGGCAAAAAGUAGAAUACAUCAAUACCACACAAUUAAGAUAUGAAGUAACUUGGCUUACAGACAUCAAUCUAUUUGAAAGAGAGGGUACAAGUAAUGUAUUAGAUAAUGAAAGGGAAAGAGAAAAAGUCACUGUUCCAGCCCCUGUAACUAGAUAGGUGACCCCAUUAGCAUUUGCAACACAGCUCCUUCUCGGCUGAGUUGUAUUAGAGAAAUCCUUUGAAUCAAAUGUCAUAUGGUCUGUAGCCCCAGAGUCGAGAAUCCAGUCCUCAUCAUCCUUGUGAGUAGAGAUAUGAAAUGCCUUACUCGAAGUACCUGAAUCAUGUGAAGAUUCAGCUUGAGGAAUGAGGGAUAACGAAGCAUCACAAGUAACCACUGCAGCUCUCCUAGUGUGGUUAUCAUUAGCAAUGAUUUCCCAUUUUUUUCGUGCUUGAAGGUCAUUCCACCAAUCUGGAUAUCCAUGCAGUUUGAAGCAGGUGUCACGGGUGUGUUUGGAGUUGCCUCAAUGGGUACACUUCAUGUCGUCAGAUGGUGGUUUAGUUUUGGAUGAGGAGUUGGAUUUCCCGCUGCUUAGGGAAAGAGCUCCAGGUUUCGGUGGCAUCUGGUGAUGGCUGCCCUUGAUCCCUUUGGAAGCCAUAACUGCUCCUGGAGGAGUAUCUGCACCUGAGAUCAUCAAGGUCUGCCUGACCUCUUCCCUACGGACAAAUGCAUAGGCCUGUUCCACCGUAGGGAAUGGUUUAAUUUGUAGAACAUCACUCCGAGUUUUAUCCAAUCUGUCAUCUAGUCCAUCAAGGAAGGUAUAAACUCGAUCUUCUUGUAGAAUGGAAUUGUAUUUCUGUAUGUCAAUUGCACACUCCAUCGGGUUAGGACGAUGAAAAUUGAUUUCUCGCCACAGCCCUUGAAGGUUGUUGUAGUAUUUUUCAAUGGAUCCACCCGCCUGCUUCAUACGAGUAACCCGACGUCGGAGAUCAUAGAUGUCCCAUCAAAAUAGGUUAUAGAAGCAGAAUCCCAAACCUAUUUUGCAGUUGGGAAUCGGAUAAAAUUGGCAAUCAAGGAAGGGUCCAUCGAAUUGAUCAACCAUCCCUUGACAAUGGCGUUUUCGGUGCGCCAUCUCCUGAAUGAAGGAUCGGUUUCUGGAGGCUGAGGAGAAUCUCCAUUGAUAUAUCCCAGCUUGUCCUUGCCAGAGAUAUACAUCUCGACAACCUGGGACCAUAAGGCAUAGUUGGAUCCUUCCAACUUGAUACCGAUCGGAGUAGUUGACGAAUCAGCAAGCAGAGGUUGAGGGGAGGUCUGGGCUCUAGUCAGGACCUCGGUCACUCUUGUAGUUAGAUCGCUAAGGAUGGAAUCAGUCUGGGGAAUGAGAGGUUGUGUUAUGUCUCUAGAUUCCGCAAUGGAGUCUGUCGGUUCUGGUUUGACAAGAUUUGUUGUAUAUUAACGGAUAACCGGCUGGAAGGAAUCAGAGGGAAGCAGCGCUGGAAACUGACCAGGAAGAUGAAGAUGAUACCAGGUGGGUCUUCCGGAGUUUUUUCCUGGUCAUAGUGGCUGAGCAGAGGUCCUAGGGACGUGCUCUGAUACCAUGUUAAAAGGUAGUCUUUUUUCUUAUUUUUCCUUGUGUGUUGAAUACAAUACUAUAUAGAUUUAGAGCAAAGGAACCUAUUCUAGCCUAUACAUAUCUUGCGGCAAAAAAUAAGGCCAUCCCUUGAAGUAUGAGAUUUACAUAAAUAGAUUUCUAUACUUAUCUCAUUAGACAGCUCACACUAACAGUAACCUGGCUUGCAAAAUGUGUUUGUUCUUUCUGGAGCUAGAAUAUCCUUCUUCCUUCUUCAUAGCUACUACCAAAUGCUGUCCGAGAAAUCACAUCCCCUGUCAAAUUUUCAAGAUAGGGCCAAACAUCCAACUCACAUGAUCCCCCCACCGAAAGCAUUUUCCAUUUGGUCACCAUGUCGCUACAACUCAAAUGAAAUGCCGGCAACAUAUUCUAUAACAAAUUCAACCAAAAAAUAAAUUAAUAUCCAGUUUCAAAUUCAAUAUACAGCCAUUUAUCACUGACCUGUGAAAUAACAAUUUAACUAGUUCAUAAAGUAUGUACUACUUAAAGUCACCAUAUGUUAGGAAGAGUCAUAUGGGUGGAGGAUGAGGAAUAUUCAGUUUUACCAUGGAGGCACUGACUAAAGAAAUCAUAGAAAAAAAAUGAGCAUAUUCAUGAAAAGUUAGAUGUACUGGUAAUAUUAAUGAAAAGUUAGAUGUAUUGGUAAUAAGCAAGUAAGAUAAGAAAGUUGUUAAGAUCUUACUGUCAUAUGUAUCAAGUAUUUUGAUCCUUAUGGUUUACUUUGGCAAAUAAAACUUCUGAAAAUUUCUAUUGGAGACUGGAAAAAGACUUUAUAUGAGUAAGAAAAAAAAAACAAGGUAAAGGUAGGACACAUUGGGUAUGUGAAAAUACUUUAUUAAACUGAUCGAAAUAUUUGGGAAUUUCGAUAUUUAUACAGGUUUUUAGAAAAAAUUUUAUAAAAAAUUGGUAGUUAUUAUUUUUCGAAUACUAAUAUAAAUUUAUCUUUCAAAGACACAAUUUUAGUGUAGUUUUCAAGUGUUAAAAUUAUUUUUUUUAAAAGACAACUUUAUAAAAUUCAUUUCUUUUAACUUUUAAAUGAUAACUUUCUAAUUAGUAUCUAGCAAACUGAUGUAGAAUUGAAAAUAAUUUUUCAACUAACAUAUUUUAGAAGAUUAUAUAUAUAUCAACCUAAGAUACAUGAGAUGAGAAAUGGGUAUUCAUAACCUCCAAAUCUUAUAUAUAUUAUCGCUUAAAUUUUUGUUCCACUGCAUUCACAUGUUCAAUCUCUUUUCCAACAGUGGGAGGGCUAUGCAGAGAUUAUGGAACUGUAAUAUGUCACAAUUGAAACAGUUUCAAUUAUGGAACUGUUUGUUCACUUUCACAGUUUGUGAAAAGAUUAAAAAAAAAAACAUGGAAAUUAAGGUAAAAUAUUCUGGUUUGGAAACUGGGCAUUGAAAAUUACCUUCAACUUUUCUAGAUGGAAAGCUGGGUUGAUGAUCUUUCUACGUUUAGCCCAUCGUUCGCCUUCCAAGGUCACCAGACCAGAAACCAGCAACUUGCCAAGUGGGUGUGGGGGUGGCUUUUGAAAGACAUUGGACUUUAGCAAAACAUCCCUUAUUAGCUCAGGCUCCAUAAUGUUUACCAUUGGAUUUGGACCGAACCAUGCAAAGGAAUUUUUACCUGCACGUUUAUGCCAUUAUUGGAUAGUGUUAGCCUCAAAUUGCUUUUAAUUUGGACUUCACACAAAUUCAACUUUGGGUAUCAAAAUUUAGUUGAACCCAACUUGGACCAUCGAAAACAAUGAAAACUUCAGCCAUAGUUUCUAUGAUGAGUUAUUAUAAAUGGACUAAAUCAUUUUUUCAGAAUUGUCUCAAUGUCAAUUGAUAUUAAGGAAUGAACUCUAUUCAUUGUAGCCUUGAGAUUAAAUAAUGAAAUCAAGAGGGCUAUCAAUAUGCUUGGCAGGCUGGGUGACAGUUUUGGAUAGAUGCAACAAUUUUAAUUAUAUAUUUAGCUUUGGAUUCUUUCCAGAGAAUAUUCUGCAAUCUAGCAUGGGAUACUUAAAGACUACAUCCCACAAAAAGACAAAAAAAAUGGUGGCAAUUUCAAGGAGGCUAAUCAUUCGCCUGCCUUUAGCCAAGGAUUAGUUCCAAACAAAACCUUCCGAAAAGAAAGGGGGAGAGCCCUUCUGGAUGGACUUGGCAUCGACACAAUAGAAUUGGCAUCGAAAGAAAAAUAAAGAUUUAACCAAUUGAGCACAAAUAACUGACAUAAAAAUUAACACUUGAAAAAAAAAGUUGAAAAUUUGGCAUAAAUUAAAAGUUAUUCACAGCUCCCAGAAAUUAAACAAUUGAAAAGUAAAAACAGUACUUUUCAAAGUGGUUAAGAAAUACAGUUAGCAAAGAUUACGAACUACCACUGAAAUCUAAACCUUUGGUGUAAUUUAAAAAAGAGGAAAAAAACAGAAAGGAAAAGAAAAAUAGUUAGGAAGAGAAGAGCAGAAAACAAACAAAAGCUUUAGGGGAGUAUAAAAAAGUUGGCCAUAAUUUGAAGAGAUCAGCAAACUUUAAUACUAUGAUGAAAAGUAAUAAGUCAUAUCGGUACCGUAUUUCUUAAUGAAAUGAAAAUGGAAGGGCAGGACACGUGGAGUAGUAUCAUCGGAGAGGCUGAUUGGUCUUGAAUAUGCUUCUUUUAACAUCAUGGACAUCUCUUUGAAGUCCCCAUGUAAAAGCCUAUAAGAAUUCCCAGCCAGGCCUUGCUCUCUAAGGCAUCUUUCUAACCUCUUUGGCCUCAACCACACCCAAUUCAGUAGCCUCCAUAAACAGCUUAUGAGCACAGUAAGGAACCCAAAAGAAAUUGCAACUGAGCUAUGCUUCAUUUCCAGUUUGAGGGACUUCUAUCAGGAGAGGUAUGUUAAAUCACUUCAGAGUGAGAAAAUGACUUUAUGCUGCCGCUGUGUAUAAAUUGGCCCCUAUUCUAUUCCCUCGUGCCGGCAAACAUAGAAGAUUUCGUAAAUGCCUAAUGGGGAGAAGAAUGACUAGUAUUUUAAAAUCUAUAAAUUAUCUAUUUUAAUUGUCUCCAUCAAUAUGGCUUUUAAACUUCUCAAUGAAUUAUUAAUUUAUUCUAUUUGAUGCAUUUCAAAGUUUGUGCAAUCGUCACUGCUUAUUAAAAACUGUAUAUGCCAUGAAUGUAGAAGGCAAAAUUUGAGCAUACGGAAUAUGGAAUUCUAUUUGAUGGACCAGCUUUCACUUGUGAGUCGAUGGAGCAUGUGGAUGCUCACUUUCAGAGCCUCAAGGGACAGCUCGCAUCCCUCACAUCUUGGCAGAUGUCUCAGGGUGCUUCCAGCUCUACAACUCCAUCUGAUCUGGACUUUUUGAUACUUCAUGUUUUUUUGAUACUUUAUGUUUUUUUUUUUUUGUUUUUUGUUUUUUUUUUUGUUUUGUUUUGUUUUGUUUUGUUUUUUUGUUUUUGUUUUUUUUUUUUUUUUGUGGAUAAGUUUAUUUUGUACACCUAACCCAUGUUGGCUCAGUUUAUCACAUAUUUUGUUUGUCUAGAUGUACUUUUAUUUUCUUAUCUCUUGUAUCCAGAACCUUUUUUACCAUAUAUGUCCAUGUGUUUGCUUUUCUUUUCUCCUUUUCGUAUGCUUACUGCUUCAUCAUGCUCUUUGUCAUUUUUUGCAACAAAAAAGGGGAGAUGGAUUGUUGAUUUGAUUGAGUGUUUUGAUAUUCAUAUUUUUUUUACAUCUGUUUCGUGGCUUGCACCCUUACUCGUAUACCUAAUUUGAUAAAAUUGAUCAGUUAUCUUUCUUCCCACACACUACUUUACCUGGGUAUGUUGUUUAGUGUGUGGAAAUUCUAGGUACUAGGGUAUUGCUCAUUUUUUGGAUGUGGCUUCUAGUCCUUUGCACGUUAGAUGAUGAAUUGGUUUAGAUAAGAGGUAUUGAGAGAUUUGUAAACUCCAUUUGAGAGUAUUGAGGGGUUUAUGCAAUUUGUAGUUUAUCACAAAAUUGCAUAGGGGAGAGAUUGUUCGUACAUUAGGUGAUGUAGUUUAAAAUUGUCAAUUUUGUUCUAUUCAUUUUGGUUUAGGAUCUUUCUAGAUUGUGUCUCACUCCCCAUUGAAGACUCAAGGUUAUUAAUUGAUCAACUAGGAUUACAUAGGUAGGUGUAAAAAGAUUUGGGAAAGACAAGUUAGUGUUUGGUAUGACAUGGCAUGGAUUGAGUAGUUUAACAUUGAUGAGCAAAAUGAUUUUCUAACCGGGUUUAAAAAAUGCCUAAAGCGCUCAAUCACUCUAAGAGCAUUUGAGUCCUAGCAACAAAAUUCUCUAGAAUUUUGGAGAUCUGUCUUUCUAUUUUUAAAGGAUUUAUUUUGAGGAACUUUUUAGAAUUAGUCCACUAGGUUCCUAGGCUUAUAUAUACAUUGCCUAAAAAGGUUUUUGGUUUGAUGCUUUUGAGUUGAAAAACCUAGAUUGUCUUCCUAUUUCCAAAAUUCUAAAAGAAACAUUCAUAUUUACUUAUGCAUAGUUGAGAUGGAGAUUUGUAUCCUCCUCAAGUGCUGAAGUGAGAUCCUCUAUGAGCACAUGAGAUGUUGCAUUGUGGAAGCAAAACACAAUGUAAGUGUUAGGUAGUAAGUCUUAGUAGUAGCUUUCUAAUGCGACUCAUGGUAGCUUAGUUUUAAAGGCGUAUCAACAAAAUUUAUACCUUGAAUACUAUUACUAAAGUAGCCAAGCUACUAUAGCAUAGUGGUUCUAGGAUUGUUCACUGGGAAGGGUUUUCGCAAACACAAGUGAUAUUCAAAUUAGGAAAAUAGGUGAUUUUCUUAUGGAUGUUAGCUUUAAAAGAAGAUGUAAAUGUUUUAGAAAGAUUUAAACUAAUCUAAGCUAACAUUAAAGACUAAAAUGAAAGGGUGUAAAAACAAGUUUCUCAAAGAUAGGAUAGCUAUGCUCUGACUCUUAUGCAAAUUGGAAAUCUCAAGAUAGGCUCCUUGAGUUGGGGUUGCAACUAUGGUGAUGCUUGCUUCCCGAACCGGUAUGGAUUUAACAAAUCAAGUUUUAAUCCUUUAAAAUGGAAAAAUAGAUGGUAGUGAAUUUCAUCAAUGGUUAUUCACCUUAGACUUCCUUUGAAUGGCUUGUAAGAGAUAACUAAUGGUCUAAAGCCAAAAGCUUCCCAAAUAUUGGCAACUCAAAGUCAUUCCAAGUGAUAAACUCACCUUUCAAUGGCCAUUGAAAUUGGUUAUAACGGAUUAAUGCAAAACUUGGAAUUGAAAACCUCACCUUCCAAUAGCUCGUAGGAGAUAACUAAUGGAUAGAAAUCCAAAAGCUUAUCAAGUAUUGGCCGUUGGAAGUUGUCCAAAGGAAAUAAAAACCAAACUUUGCAUUAAUGAACCUUUAAUGAAAAACGGCUACUUUACCUUCCGGGUGCGAGAAAUUUCCAUGGGAUUGCAUCCAAGUCAUCACAUAACAUCCAUACUCUGAGAAACUAAAAGUUUUAGCCAAUCAUCCUCUGAAGAAAAGCUCUCAGAGGCUGUUUGGCUUCCAAGAAAAUAAAAUAGUAAAGAGAAAAGAUAAACGAGAGAGCUCUCCCCUGUUUUCUAAGUGUAAAACGUAAUAUGUAUCAUAUCCUUCCAAGAGGUGAUUUCCACCCCUUAUAUAGUCUUUACAAAAGCAAAAGCUUGUGAUUGGUUAGUUACAAGGAUAAGAAAGGAAAUUACAUCAAAAAAUACAUAAGAAAAUAUCUAAAUUGGAGUCGGCAAAAACAGAGCAAAAUUCGCACCACGCAUGGGCUGUGCGAAUUUUGAAGGUGUUGUGCGAAUUUCGCACAACACAAGGUGUCGUGCGAAUUUCGCACAACACAAGGUGUCGUGCGAAAUUUUCGCACAACCUAGAGCGGUUGGCUUCCGAAGGCCAUAUCUUCCUCAUUUCAGCUCCAAAUCAUACACGGUUUGAAGCAUUGGAUUCUUGACUUCCUGAGCUUUCAAAUGGUAUAUAGAAUGUAGAAAAUGGACUUCGGGAAGUGCUCCAAAAGUGCGAAAGAAUACUGCAGCUGCUGUCCUCUGAUUUUUUCACUUUGCUUUCCUCUUCUCCAUUGUUCUUUCCUUGCAUACUUUGAACGACUUUGGCAAAGGGCUAUGGAGCUCCAAAGCUUGGUUCUUCAUGAAUUUGAGCUUCCAAAAGCUUUGCCAUAACUUGUCCAAUUAGCUCCUCCAUCAUUUGGCAUGCUUGAAUUGAUUCAUAAGCUGAUAAAAACAUGUAAACUUGCCACAAAAUGGUUAAAACCAAUUACUAAGGACCUUAAUGAAUUAAUUGGGUUAAAUGAAUAUGAUUACUACUCAAAGGUGCUUAAAACCAUUAUAAUUAGGUCUACAAAAUAGCACUUUUUGGUAGUAAUCACUUUCAUCAGGUAAAAUUGAGUACAUACCCCAUUAUAUAUGAUGGAGAGCUCCUCAAAUGCAUAUCCUAGAAUCAAAAUCAAUUGAUACUAAAUUAACACCUAACCCAUAUUUCAAACAAAAUCUUGCUAUUUCACAUUUUCAGCACCAAUCCAUGAAAAUGGUGUUUUUGGGGAGCAAUUUCAAUUGAUUUAGAAGAUCAUAUGAGAUCUUACUCUUCCCAUCUUGAGACUUGAGACUUAAGAGUAAUCUGUUUUCAGAUAGAUUCAAUAUCACUAUUUGAUUAAUUUCUAUGUACAGUAUGUUUUUCUAUAUUUUAAACUCAUAAAAAUUCCAUCCUUUUAAUUCUAUUAGAAUAACGUAAAUCAUAUGGAAGUUAGAUUCUAAAUCUCCAAUCUUCACAUCAUCAAGUAUCAACUAUAAGAACUCAAACUCAACACUUUAGUGGCUCUAAAGAGUCUAUUUUAGUGCAUUUGAGGUAUUUAAAAAUGACCUAAUGCUUGUUUAUUGUGCAUCUCUCAAGUGUGCCACCAAACUAAAUUGCACACUCCCUCUAGCAAUUUAAAUUGACCACUUUCCCCAUGAUUCAAAUGUUGCAUGGCCCCUCAACAAUUGAACCCAACAAGAGCACUCAAGUUGUGCAUGUCUGUAACAUCUUAAUUGCACUUUUCCCUACCACUAUAGUAGUGUAUCCCUAGGGCCACUCAACAUGCAUUGUCACGCCCCAAAGCCCACUCCAAGGACAUGAUGAUCUUUUCACACCUAGCUCAAGCCCAAGGGCUCAAAGUGGAAACGACACAAACAUUUGUAUUGUAACUGGAAAUUUAUUAAUUACUAAAUUCCUGGAUCAAACAUUUUAAUUAUGCUUGCAAAUAGGAGAUAUAACAUAUACUUAUUUUCAUAAAAACUUUUGAGCUCAAAAUGCUAAUACCUUCAAACUUUUCAACAAAAAUUUCUCAUAUCCAUUUCAAAACAAUUUCUCAUCAAACCACUCCGAAUACAUUCAAAAUAUCUUUACUCUGGUUAUCGUAUGACAAAUGGUGCCCAAUUAGGUGGGACCUUGCAAUUGAGUAACUAGUUUCAAAUUUGUUCGAUUUAAGGUUAACAAAACCAAAUGUCAACAAUUAUAACCCAUUGACUAGGGUCAUAAGGUCAACUAUUAUAAUCCAUUAACUAAGAUCAUAUAAUAUCAACUAUUAUAACCCAUUGACUAAGGCUAAAAAUGUCAACUAUUAUAACCCGUUGACUAAGGCCAUAUAAUUCAGAGUCAAAUAUUUUAUUUCAUUAAUUCAAACUUACAAAACAAAACAUCAUAUCUCCUCAAUUUUUCAUUUUUCAUAAACAAAGAAUAUACUCAAAUAUACUUUCAAUACAAAACAUAUAUUUGAUUUAUGUUUAAAGAUAAAAAUAAUAUUUUUACACAUUUCAAAAUACAAUAUAAAAAGAAAAUUAUUUUCUUUUACAAAAAUCUGCAUUAAUUUCAUUUACCUUGAAGAAGCACUCAAAAUCUUAAAUUAUUUAGCUUUGAAGAAUUUCCUCACCUAACAUAAUAUCAUACACAAUAUUGAUUAUUGAUUGUUUAUCUAAAUAUAUAAAUUUGACAAUCUUAAAAAUAUUUUAUUUAGUAUUAGGGAUCCUAAUUAAUUUCUCAUGUUAAUAUUAUUACCAUCCAAUAUUAUUUUCAACUUCCUAAACAAUAAUUUAUUUCUUUUUUCUAACUUAUCUAAAUUAAAUCUUUUAAGAAUAUUUAUUUGCAUUAAACAUUAUUACUAUUAUUUAAAUCUCCUACGAAAACUUAACAAAUUCCCCAUACAAAUCUUUUUUUUUCCCAGCAACUUCACACCAACUCCAUUCAUUAUUAUUAUUUCUUUUAUUAUUAUUAUUAUUAUUAUUAUUAUUAUUAUUAUUAUUAUUAUUAAUUUCAAUACCCAACAACAGCUUAACCUAUUUCUCUUCCAAGCCAUCAACGUCCUUUUCUUCCUCAUUGUUUACCAAAAUACUAUUUACUUCCUUUCCUAGGUCAAUGUGCUGACCAUUUCUUAGUUUUUUUUUUCAACAUACAUCUUUCAUCAUUUUUUUUCUCCUCUCUAAAGUCAAAACUUUUAAUCUCCAUACUCACAAAUUUUAUGUUAUUUUCACAUCCGAAACUAUAUAUAUAUAUAUAUAUUUAUCUAGAUCUAUUCGUUUGAGCAAUCAAAAUUUGUCGAUCUCCAUUAAUAAAUCAAACUAUGUUCAUAUUUUUUUAAAUAUUUUUGACCUAAAUUAAUUAAACGAACUCUAAUCAAAGAAUAUCUAUAGUGUUCAAAACUAAUUAACGAAUAUAAAAUAUUAAUUUAAGUAUUAAAAAUCUUACUUGAAAAAUUGAUCUUCAAAUCCUAAACCUUCAAAUCUUAAACCAUAUGCUCUCUAAUAUUUCUGGUCUCUAUGUAAAAGGGUUUUCUGAAUAGAGAGGAUGGGAAAAGUCUAAUUUAUACCUAGGAGUUUUAAAUAAGAAAAUACCUUUUUGCCCUUAUUAAAUUACUUAAUUAAUUAUUAAUUUCUAAAUUAUGAUUUUACCCCUAAAUUGGGUUUAGGGCAUUAUAUGCACACUAUUCCCACUUUUGCAAAGGUUGCGCACCUGAGAAAACUCCUUUCAAUGAUUUGUUCACUCACCAAAGUAAUGCAAGCAUCUAAGCCUUAAGUCAUCAUCUAUACUAUCAAUUCUCCCAUACUGAUUGCAUUGAAAGCUAAGUGCAACCACCAACUCCAAGUUGACAAGUCAAGUACAAGAAAGAUGGCUAGUUGACUACAUUGACACAUGAUCUGAUCCUCAACAUGGGCAAGAGGUAGUUCUAGGAGAAUAGUUUGAGCAAUAAGAAUGGAUUACCUAAAGGGAAACCCAUCUAUAAAUAGAGGAUUGUUUGGGCGCGUGCACACAUACACACACACACACACACAUAUAUAAAUAUGUAUGUAUGUAUGGGGAGAAGAAAAAAAAAAGGAAUGUUGAAGAGUUUGAAUCUUUAAUGGAGGUGAUAUUAACCUUCUUAGGAUUUAGUUAGGAAUUUAAUUUGGUAAUUAAAAUGACAAUUAAUUAUUUGGAUAGGAUUUGUUAGGUAGUUUCCUAUUUCUUUCUAUAUAUUUUCCUUAUUUUUAUAGGUUUCCUAUAGUUAUAUAAAUAGAGAACAUUUUCUCUUCUUUUCCCUAUGAAUGAAUAUAUGACUAGGUAAAAUUAAGCUACACGUUUCUUAAUGGUAUCAAAGCCAAAUUCUAAUUACUAGGAAUAAUGGUUAAAAUAGCAAUGAUAGAUGCUUCCAAUUAUGAUAACAACUUGAAGGAGGCAGAAAGAAAACCUAUCCCUCAUUAGAAUUUUGUGACCAAUGGUCAUGGUCACUCUUCUUAGCUAAUUACCUCUCACAAAUUAACUUAAUGGAGAAAAUUAUCUUUAAUGGCCUCAAUUUGUCAAACCUUUCAUUCAUGGGCAUGGACAAAUUGAAUAUUUUAUUAGAGCAACAUCAAUACCACAAGGAAUAAUUCUCAUCAAGACAUAGGAAGUAGAUAAUGUCAUGAUUAUGUCAAGGUUGAUCAACUCAAUGGAACUCAAGAUUAGGAAGACAAACACGUUCAUGACCAUAACUAGAGAGAUUUAGGAGGCUACCAAGGAAACCUAUUACGACUUGGUAAUUUGCUCAGGUCCACGAGAUAGCCAUACAAAUAAAAAAUACUAAGCAAGGUAAUAUGAAUGUAAUUCAGUACUAUAAUACACUCAAAACUCUUUGGUAAGAACUUAAUUCGUUCUAUGAUUAUGAAUAACAUUGUGCAUAAGAUAGUGAAAUGUUCUAAAAGAUGAUUGAGAAGGAUUGAGUAUUUGCAUUCCUAAUGGGGUUUAAAUAAUAAAUUAGAUGAGGUUUACCUCUUUACUUAACAUUACCCUAGUUAUUACAAAACCAGUAAGCUUCACAUUUCAGCCAAUGAUCCAAAAUUCAAAAGGAUUCAUGGAAGGCCCUAGUGUGACCUUCAUCUCCUUUAAAUGCUUCCAGAAUUCCAAAUAUUCAUUGACAAGUGAUUAACCAUCAUCUUUUCCAAAUGCAUCUUUAGAUGUCAUAUACCCAAAGGUGUUCAAAUUCGUAAGAUAUUAACCAAGUCUAGAUAUUAAAAAGGUAUAUCAUCCUCUACCAUUAGAAAGAAGAACAUACAUUAUCCUCUAUUAGUGAAAGCACAUAUGUCAUCAUCUCAACAAAUCAAGCAUGCGUGCAAAUUUGUCUUCUUGGUCUUCUAAUUAUGGUCAAGCAAGUAUUAAUGAAGUACUUAGUUUGAAGCAUCUGUUUAUCAUCUAUAGUGGUUGUAGUUGCUAAUCCAAUAAUUGCACUCCUUUGAAAGUGGUACAAAUUAUUCUUCCUUAUUCCUUGCAUCACCACAAGUUUACUUGGCAUAACUUUCAAAAUCCCAUAUUUUAUAGUAACAAUAUUGAACCCUAUGGGAUCUAAUACUCCAAUUGAGAUGAGACACUUAUUCAUACUAGGAACAUACCAAACAUCACUCAAAAUUUUAGUUGAUUCAUCAUGAGUCUUCAACUGGAUGGUAUCUAUUAUUGUUAUCUCACAAGCAUUAUCAUUCCCCAUGUAAACAACUCCAUCUUAUAGUUCUUUAAAGCAAGAAAACCACUCCUUGUAAGAAUGCAUGUGAAGGUGGACCUAAUAUCCAAAAUCCAUUCAUCUAAGUUAUAAAACAAGGAUAAGCAAACCAAAGCAAAGUUUGACCCAUCUUCUCCAAACUUAGCCACACAAGCAUCGAAUACUAUUUCUUCUUUAUUCUUAUUUUGUAGCUUAGGACAAUCAUUAUUCUGACACUACCAAAAAUUAAGUAUGGUUGAACCAUUUAUAUUUACUUUUCUGACAUAUUUAAGUUGACGCAAAUUGAAUUGUCUGUCGCUUAUAUGUAACUAUUUACCAACAGUAAUUGCAACAACAAAUACCUGUCGGCAAAAAUAUUAUUGCAAUGGAUUUAAACCAUUGCAAAUGUUCAACUAAUAUACUUUGUUACAAAAGCAAUUUACCUAUAAAAUAGAAAAAAAAUAGUUUUAUUAUAGUGGAUAAUAAUACCACACAUAAUUUGUUCCAAAAAUAAUUGUAGUCAUAUGAAUAUAAAAUAUUUUCACCAUAGUUGUAUGAUAAAUACGAUAUAGCUAGUGACAAAACAAUUUUAUGAUUAUUUUUUUAGGUUCAUACAAUAUUUACAUUUUUUUUAAUCAUAAUGGUUUUAACAUUUUAAUAUUUUUUAACUACUUUUAAUUGUCCAUUUUAGAAAGAAAUACAUUAAAUAUAUAUAUAUAUAUAUAUAUAUAUAUAUAUAUAUAUAUAUAUAUAUAUAUAUAUGUAUGUAUGUAUGUAUGUAUGAUAUAAUUUAUGAUAUCGAAUAAUAAUAUUUAAAAUUUAAAAAUACAUUUUAUAGAGAUUUAUCUAAUUUGAAUGUAUUCAAUAACAUAAAAAAAAUGAUAGUACAUGUAUAAGUAUUUUUAUUUUAAAAUGUUGAUAAUUUUAUUUAUAAAUUUAUAUUUAUUUUAUAUUUAAUUAUUAUACAAAAUACACAAGAAUCAAAAUUAAUUAAUUUAUAAUAAAUUUAUUUUAAUUAAUUUAUAUAUAUAUAUAUAUAUAUAUUAGUUCAUGCAUGUAUAAUUUAUAUAUAAUAUGUAUUUAUAUAUAGAUAAUAUUUAUUAUAUAACUGCUUAAGUAUAUAAUAUUUCCAUUUAUGAAUCUUAUAUACAUUCUUUAUAUUACACAUAACAAAGUUGACUUGGAGGCACAAUUGCUUCCUUUCAAACUUGAGGUCAAGGGUUCAAUCUCAAGAAACAAUAUCCAAGCCAAUAUCCAAAACUAGCAAGGAGAGGAGUGUACAAGAUGCUCCAUGUGAAUGUAAUGAAAUCGAAAUUUCAUGAAAACCUAAAAUCUUUUAUUACUUAUAUUUCUCAACCAACUUAAUUUGUUGGUAAUAGUGAUGGUCUAAAUCCAUUGGAUAGUUUGUCGCUAAAUAUUUUUUAUUGGCAAUGGAAAAUUCCCAUCAAUAGACUUUUGCCAACACACCUUUCCUCUCCUACCAUGCGAUGGGAUUAUCAAUUGGUAAAUGUUUAUUUUGACUGUGCAUAUUAGUCGAGAAAAGUCAAAUUUCUUGUAGUGCAAUGACCCUUGUCAUGAAAAAAGACACAUUCAUCUUUUGCAAGUAUACAUUUAAAUUAAGAAUUGUCUUCUUUUCUAGGUUUUCAACUUUGAGAUUAGUCAUUAACUGUUAAAGCUUCCAAUGAUAUAUCUCUAUGAUCGCUAUGGUCCUUCUUCCUUUAUUUAGAGCUUAGCAAAGUGGAACACACAACAUUGAAAGUAAUCUUAUCCUUACCAUAAAGUAAGGUGAUGGUAAGAUCUUCAUACACAUCAAGAAACAAAUUCAAUAACAAUAAGGCCUUAUUCUCAUCUUCAAUGAUCUCAUCUAAAUUCAACAAAUUUGCUUCGAUUCUAUCAAAUGCGUGCAUAUGAUCAUUCAUAGACAUAUCUAGUUGAUACUAGAAGCAAAAAAGUUUUUUCUUCAAAUAUAGUUGAUUUUCUAGACCUUUUUUUUCAUAUACUUGUCCUCCAAUGUCUUCCAUAAAUGUUUUUGUGGAUAUCUCUUUCAUAAUGGAAUAAUUUUAAGCUUUAACAAGAUAUAAGUGGAUGGAACUAUAAAAUUGGCAAUUGAUCCCUUACCCAUUCUUUAGCAUUCAUGUUUUCAAGUUUUUCUUCCAAACCAAUAUCCAAAUCCUAUUGACAUAUCUAAUUAAUGCCUCUUAUUGCCACAUUCCAAAAGUACUAGUCCUAUCAAAGUUUGCAUUAUUAACCAUAGUUUUAACUAACGAAGUUUUUACCUUUUCUUUUAACUAGUGCAAUAACAAAUAACCUUGAAACCAACCUUGGAUAGAACUACUGCUCUUAUACCAUUUUGUUGUGCUUUAACCUAAUCCCACAAGACUUCCAAAAGUACCAAAUAAAAUACAAACUAAACUAGUCUAUAAUAUAAAGAGAAAUAUCAAGAGAAAUAAAAAUAAAGGAGGGUACACAAUAUUUAUGAGGUUUAGUAAGGAUGUCUUACCUAUAUCAUCAGACAAUGAUAAUCAAUCCACUAAUCUUCAAAUCAAAAUUACAAAAUCAAGUUGGGAAAGAUUGUCUCACAAAAUGGCUGCAAUUACAAAGAUUGACUGAAGCUACUCUAAUAACUUUGCUAAAGUCAUUCUCACACUACUAUGAUGAAAAGACGUAAGACUCAUUUAUAGAACCUAAAUAAGUCCCCGAGCCUUGACAAAACUAAUUCAUAAUUCCUAUGGACAAGGACUCCUAACAUAUAACAAAUUAUGAAAUCAUAAUCCUUAUAGGACAAGGAUCCCUAAAAUAUAUUAAACUCUUAAUUGAGCUAAAAGCCAAUACCUAAUAUAGAAGCCACACCAUAUUUUCCAUAACUCUACUAUGUAGAUGGUUGUUAAGAAAAAUUAUCACUUCCAAAAGUUAAAUAACCAUUUAUUUUUCCUUCCCUUUCCAUUCAUCCAGACAAUAACAAUAAAAAAUGUAGUGUAACUUUUGUUACUUUGCUACUUGUUCUCUCAAGUUACUUGCCUACUUGCGAAUGACCUCCACAAUCAAAUUAAGUAAAUGGAGAAAUAAUGUGGAGUUCCAAGAUAUAGGUAGAAAAGAGUGGAAAACCCCUAGUUCUACAAAAUAGUUUGCAAUUUUGUCUCUAGAUCUCUCAUUUUCGUGGUAAUGGCCAUUGAAGAUGUCAUCACUGAGAAGAUCACAAAGUGAAGAAGGCAUGACUGAGAGUUGGUAGAGUAGAGAGUUAAGGUAGAAAAUAGCAAAGAUAGGAUUUUGACGUUUUUAGAAUUUGUAGAUAAAAAAUAAAUACAAUCCAAAAAUCACUUUCAGAACAUGAUUUUACCUAACCAUGCCAAACAUAUAUUUUUUUUAUGUGGUUUGUAUUUGAUGUUCUCGAAAACAUUGAAUACAUUUUGGAUUGACUAUUAAACACAACCUUAGUAAUUAAAUCAGCAUAUUGAUAAAUUAUCAAGAGGCUCUUAUCAAUUUGGUCAACUCUUAGAAAAGUGUUGUUGAAAACACUAAAUACAAUCUAUAUAUUUAAAAAAAAAAUUGAAACAUGAAUUUACUUGACCAUACCAAACACAUUAUUUUUUAUUUGGAUUGUGUUCAAUAUUUUCAAAAACACUAAAUACAUGCAAUUUGAUUAACUAAUGAACAUGAACUUAGUAAUUAAAUUAGAAAUUUCAAAUGAAUUAAUGUCUUUUAUUUUGCAAGCAAAUCAUGAUUUUUUGUUUUCUACUAAAAUUUUGAAUACAUCACUAAAAGUAACAUCACCACUUUCUGGUUAGAAAGUUUUAAGAAGAUAUUUUUUAUCAACACAUAUUGUUGUUUGCUUUGAUGUCAAGAUACCAAAUCCUUUUUUCCUAAAAUUUUUCCUUUUUAUGCAAAUAAUAAAGUGUGGUUUUUUUCUUGAUUCAUUUUUUAACAUAGUUUUCCAUUCUACAUUGUUAAUAUACCAACACUUUUCAUUUUUUCUUGAAUUUUGGAUGUUCCUUCAUUAUUUGAUGAACUAUUUCCUUAGCCACAACCAUGAUGACCAUGACCAUGACAAUGAUUAUUUGGCUUCCUUCAUACCAAAUUUUUUCCCUCUUGUUGAUAUAUUAAACUUUGUUAACAAUUUUCUUUUAUUUAUAUAUUGAGUCUAAUACAUCAUACUUCCAAGGGUCAUAUUGAUGUCACUCAACUUCAAGCUACUUUUGAGUUAACUAUAUUACUAGGUAUAUGUGCAACAUUAGGUUGAAUUAGGGCACAAGGAAUGGCUACCACAUGUAUGCUAGGUGAAAUAUUAGAGUGUUUUUUUUCUCUUUUCUUUUUUUGUCAAGGUUAAGGAUUUGAGUAACUAAAGCCUCUAUAAAGUCUUUGAGGUAUCCACUAAGAAGCACAAGGAGUGUCGCAUGGGGGCUUGGAAGAAGAAUGUAAGUUACUUGUAUCUUGUUUUUAUAUUUAGUAGAUUGUUUGUGGUUGAUAAACUAUUCAUGUAACGACCUGCUCCCAACCAUGUAGAUAUUGUCCACUUUGGACCCAAAGGGGCCUUCAUGGCUUUAAAACGCCUCUACAAAAUUAAGAGAAGUCCAUACUUAUAUAGCGCCAAGAACUUCCCCCUCUAUCUGAUGUGGGAUGUUAAAAACACCCCUUUCCCCAUGUAGACACAAUGUCCUCGUUGUGUCCCACGGGAUUGCGGGGACAAACAAACCCCUGAACUAAGGUUGAAGAUUGACUUUGAUACCACUUGUAACAACCCAUUCUUAACCGGGUAGAUAUUGUCCGCUUUGGACCCAAAGGGGCCUUCAUGGCUUUAAAACGCAUCUACAAAGUUAAAAGAAGUCCAUACUUAUAUAGCGCUAAGAACUUGCCCCCUAUCCAAUGUGGGAUGUCACAAACACCUCCAUCCCCCACCCCAUUAUAUAAAUAUAUUAUUAUUAUUACUUUCAAAAGACCCUGCAACACCAUUACUCCAAGCCACCAACUACACCCAUUAUUAUUAUUAUAAUAAUAACAUUUUUUUUCUCUUGUUUCUUCCUUCUUGGACAUCCACACACAUCUUUUUUUUUUUUUUAUGACAUCCCACAUUGGAUAGGGCCAAAGUUCUUGGUGUUAUAUAAUUAUGGACUCCUCGUAACCCUGUAGAUGUGUUUUAAAGCCAUGAGGGCCUCUUUGGAUCCAAAAUGAACAAUAUCUACAUGGUUGGGAGUGGGUCAUUACAAAUGGUAUCAAAGCCAAUCCCCAACCUCGGUGUGGGGUUUGUUUGGCCCCGUAAGGGUAUUUGUUUGUUUGACCCCACAAUCCUGUGGGACACAACGAGGACAUUGUGUUUGCAUGGGGGUUGUUUGUGACAUCCCACAUCAAAUAGGGGGGAACGUUCUUGGCGCUAUAUAAGUAUGGACUCUUCAUAACCUUAUAGACGUGUUUUGAAACUGUGGGGGCCCCUUUGGGUCCAAAGUGGACAAUAUCUACAUGGUUGAGAGCGGGUCAUUACAAAUGGUAUCAAAAUCGAUCCUUGAUCUCGGUGUGGGGUUUGUUUGGCCCCAUAAGGGUGUUUGUCUGUUUGACCCCAUAAUCCCGUGGGACACAAUGAGGUCGUUGUGUGUGCAUAGGGGGAGGGGUGUUUAUGACAUCCCACAUCGGAUAAGGGGGAAAGUUCUUGGCUCUAUAUAAGUAUGGACUUCUCGUAACCUUGUAGAUGCAUUUUAAAGCUGUGAGGGCCCCUUUGGGUCCAAAGUGGACAAUAUCUACAUGGUUGGGAGUGGCUCGUUACAAUUCAUGGAUUUUUACACCCAAAAGGUUUUAAGCAGUUUUUUCAUGUUACAUUUUGUGUCAUACGUUUGAUUGAUUAUUCCUAUUCAAAGAAUUGAUGAAAACUUAAUUAUAAUUGAUAUAGCUAGGUGUUUAGGAAUGUUUCUAUUUAAAGUGCUUUUAAUUGAUUGUUUUUUUAGAAACAUUUUUUAAAGAAUCACCUCUCAAGAGCUUCUCAAAAAAGCAUUACAAGUGAUUUUUAACUUUUUAAAGAAUGUUUUCUAUGUUUUUCCAAGUGUAUAGUUUUUCUCUAAAUUUUUUAUUUUUAUUUUUUAAUACCAGAAGCAUUUUCUAAAAGUACUACUAAAUGGACUCUUAAAUUUUGAGGAUAUUUCACUUAGACAACCUAUUCAUCCCCCUCACUAUGUAGUUUUGUGUCUCAAGAUAAAAGUUCUCUCCUUUAUUUUAACAUAAUCUUUGUUUGAAGAAUUGUAUUUUUACUUGACUUUUGUUUUUAAUAUGUCUUCCAAGGCUUUUAAUGAUCCCAUAAAUUGGUCAAUGGCUAUAGAAUCCAAAUAUUUAGGCUUUUCAAUAACAAGAAAAUAAAAGAUGAAAACUUUUUUUUUUUUAGUUACACAAAUAUCAUCAAACUUUCACCAUUUAUUUUUACUUAAUUUACAUAUGUCAAUAUUUUUGAAAAAUAAUAAAAGAUUCUCUUAUAUUUAAACUUUAAAAUUCACUUUUAAAAGUAUGAAAUUGAACUUUAAAAAAAAAAAAAAACUUAUCAAAACUUUUAUAUUUAUUUGUAAUAUUUUUCAUGUUUCCUUUGACCUGGUUGCACUUAAAAUCAUUUCAAAGUUGUCUACAUCUAUUUCUUAAUAAAUGAGGUUAAAAGCCUUCUUGUCUUUCUUUCUUAUAUCUUCGAAAAGUUUAUUUAAUUUUGGGAUAGAUUGGUUUUAUCCAAUAGCUCCUUGUAGUUUUUCUCUACAAUCUCUUAUAUAUAUCUUGCAACCAAAUAAAACCUUUGUCUUGAUAUUCAAAUCGUCAAAAUUGUUAAAACUGUCUUUAUUGAGUUAAGCAACUUAAUUGAAUUACACGUCUUUUGAAAAAUAAAAUAAAAUAAGAAUCUUAUUAUAUGCAUAAAUUUCAUGAAAGUCUUGCAACAUAUAGGGGGUAGGCCUUGAAGUUAUAGUGAUAAUUUAUUCUACUAAAAAUUUUGAUCUCUACAUUGAUAUCAUUUUUUUAGGAGUAAUAGGGAUAAAUACACAAAUAAUAGUACUAUUAAAAGAGAUAAGUAGAGGAGAAAAUUAAAAGAAAUUUUUUGUGUUUUUAAUACUUUAAUUGAAGUAUUAUAUACACAACUCCAAUUACAAUAUGUUUUAAUUCACUUUUAAAAACUAAAUCAAAUGUAAUUUUUGAAAACUUCUUGAAACUCAAAUUUAGAUUUCAAUGUGUGAUUGAAUGAUAGGGAUGGUAAAAAAUAGGUAAAUAAAACAUAUGUAAUAUUAUUGUAUAUUAUUAAUUGCUUCCAUACCAUUAGCAUAUCAAUGGCAUCUUGCUAAGAAGAAGAACCACCGACAACAGUCCAUUAUAAUAGUUUCAGAAUGAAUGACAUUUAUUUGUUUGUAUUAUAUUGUUUUGCUAUUUAGGCCAUAUUCACAUGAACUGACUUUUUGUUUGGAGUAGUGUUUUAGUAGAGUAUUCAUAGUACACCUAGAUAUAGCCUAUGGGUUGCAUUAAUUAAUGGUUUUGGACCAACUUAACAAAAUUCUAUGCUAUCAUAAAUGCCAAAUUUUGGCACCCCUUGCCAAAUUUUCGCAUACCCUGCCAAAUUGAUGAUUUUGCCUUGCGAAAUGCUUUGUUUUCCUCCAUCUUGCUAAUGAUAGUUUUGGCAACCCCUUGCCAAGUUUGACAAGGGGUUUUGAAGUGCUCCAAAGCUCGGAUUCUUCAUGUGCUCCAAACUCUCCCUCAAUCUUGGCCUAUUUCAGUGAUCAAAAAGCUACUAAAAACACUAAAACUUACCAAAAAUUGGUUAGUAACAUUUGCUAGGUCCUUAACAUGCCAAUUGGGAUAAAAGGUCUAACUACUACUCAAAAGUGCUUAAUACAAUUAAGUUUACGCUUAUAAAAAUGCACUUUUUGAGUAGUAAUCAAUAAAGUAGUUGAUUGCCCAUGAUUGCGCAAUGCCAUCAUAAAGGAACCGAAUGCCCAACACACGUACAUGUGAGGUACCAUAUUUUUUAAGAAAGACAAGUCGGUUUGCAAUUGAUGUUAAUAUCUUUCCAAGGCAGAAACAUCAUUUUGUAGGCAUAAUUGAAUUAGUUAAACUUAAACCCCAAUUUGCAUUCUUUCAAGUAAAAUUAUUUUUAACCUAUAAUGCUCAACACUUUUAUGAGAAUCAUAAAAGUAUCAGAAUCAUAGAGAAUUAUUGAAAGUGAUUUUGUAGUGUUGUUGAUAAUAUGUCACAUGACUAUAAAAAUGCUUUUAAUAUUAGUAAAUUAUCAAAAAGGACAUCAAAUUUAAUUUCAAGGAAAUAUUAUAAUAAACUAAUACUUUUUCAUGAUAAAAGAAUUUAUAAACAUUUAUAGUAAAAGAAUAUAUAAACAUCUAUUUUACUAACAAAAACUAAAAAAUAAUAGUUCUUGCGAUUACAAGAAAAUUUUAGAAAAUAUUUGCAACAUGAUUUGGAUUAAUAGACAAACAUCAAUCCUAAUAUAAUAAUUUUUAAAAUAAAAAAAUCAUUUGAUUAUUUAUUCACUUAAAAAUAAUAAUUUUUUAUUACUACAAAAUUUUGAAAAAUACUUACAAAAAAUCUAGAUUAAUAAUGAAAAAUUGAAUAAAAACAUAUUAGUUUAGUUUCUAAAAAAAAAAUAGUAAUUAAAAGCAAAUGAGAAGACAAAUUUUCUCAUAGUAAAAAAAAUGAGAAAAUUAUAUAUAUAUUUUUUCAUAUUAGUGUUAUAAUAAAACAUCAACAAGAUAUAAAAUGACCAGCAAUUCGAUCACAUUCUUCUUACAUCUCUCUUACAUGAUAGAACCGUCUUUCUCAACUCAUGAAUCCACUCUACUCUCUUUUUUACUAAAGCAAAUGUAACCCUUGAUCAUCAUCAUAAGGUUUAAAUUUCAUAUCUAUCCUAGCAUUAAUCAUUAUUAAGUUGUAAAAACCAUCAAAGUAAUAACAAUGUUGACUUAUUUUUCAAGAGAAAAACUAUGCAUUUCUCAUAUUGUUCCACAUCUAUUCUUCAAAAAGGCAAAUGUUCAAUUGUUCUCCUCAAAGAUAUCUAUGGUUAAAUAUUUCCUUCUUACCUCUUGGUAAACUACUCCAUCGAAAUCUAGAAGAUGGUAACACUCGCCCUUCAAGGGCCUAAUUAUAUUAUCCAUUCAUUUAAGGAUAACCAACAUUAAGGUAGAUAAUAUUUACCUACAAAAAAAAAAUUAUAUAAGAUUAUGAAAAUCUAAUCACAAAAGUAACUUUCAUAUUUUUAGUCACUAAUCUCUAGAAGGAUGAGGAAAACCUAAUUCUAGCAUUAUUUUUAAUGCCUAUGAAAAGAUGCAUGCAUCAUGAGCAAAACCUUCCCAUCUAGCCAAUGCAAAUGUGAAAUACAUAUUGAAAUAAUAUAUGACCAUAAUAUUUUAGGUAGUUAUGCUUUUUGUACCAAUAUAUGAUAUUUGCCUAUCUCUAAAAACCAUAAUGGGCAUAUGAGUUCCAUUAAUUACCCCUAUACAAUUCUUAAAAUAUGGUCAAUAACAUCAACAUUUCUUAUUUUAUCAAGGGUCUCCCUAAACUAUGAAUCACUUGGUUUUAAAAUAUCCAUAGCUAUAAGACAAACAACAUCUAAUAUAAUCUCAAACCAUCUAGAAAUAAAUUCAUUGGAGUGCUAAAAUCUUUCUUAGGUCGUCAUGUUGUCAGGUCUAUGAACUAUUGUAGUGAGAAACAUUGCUAAAGCCUCUAUUAAGGGCAUAUCUAAACCUUCUCUUAGACCAUGCCUUUUAAUAAGUAUUUCACGACCAAAAGUAUUUCCUUGGGGUUCUCCUACAAAAGUAUCCAAUUUAUUAUAUUUCACGACCAAAAUAUAAAUUAACUAAAUAAACUUAGUAAAAAAAUAAAAAUGUAUCUUCAAUUUAUUAUCCCACCAUUCAUUUUUAGCAUUAGUGGUUUGCCUCAUAAGAUCCCACCCAAGGCCAAUCUUUUUCUGAAUCAAGGCAUUCCAAAGUUGUCAAUAUUUUUUAAGAGAACUUAAUAUAUUCUUAGGUUGCUUAUAUUGGUAGGUUCUUCUAGGUAGAUUGUUGAAUACCUUUGUCACUUUUUUCCAUCCAAUUUACUAAAGUGACUAUUUGGUCUAUUUUUAGCCAAAAUCUUAGCAACACAAACUGUGAGAUAUGCAUUAACAACAAUAUCAUUCAAUAUACUUUGCUUUAUUGAUCAUUUUCUUUACCACUUGUUUGUUGUAGUGGUUGAACUAUACUGUUAGACAUCUAAUAACAAAGUAAAGAACAAAGAAGUAUUAAAAGAAAAUGUUGUCAAUGUACUUUUAUAUUUUAUAGUUUAGACAUCUAAUGAGAACCAUAAAAAAGUGAACCUUAAAGAAAUUGGUCAACUAGAGGAAUAUGAAUCUUGGAAUACUGAAUAGGAAAGACUCACAUUCAUGGAAUAAAUUAAUAUAUAAUAUUGUAAUUUUAUUAAUUCUUUUCAUUAGGUUGCUAAAAGUUGAAAAAGAAUUCCUCAUGAAACGGAUUAAAUAAUUUCCUCAUGAAAGAAUCCAAUCAUGGCCUCAUUAUGAAGUACUGAAUUAACUCAAUGAACUUGAAUAUCAUCUAAUAAAUUCUUUCAUGGGUUUGUUUUUAUAACUUUAAUGUUACCAAUAUAGAAAGAAAUGAAACAUGUUUUAAAUAAUGUAAGAAACUAUGGUAGAAAAGUGGAAAUAAUUAAGGAUAAGAGGCUUUAUAUGAACUUUAAUAUUGUUAGUAACAGAGAGGCAAAUGAGAUAUCUCAAUAUUAAAUUAUGCAUAAUUAGUAUAAUUUUUUAAAAAUAAAUGGAAGAGAAUUUAGGAGGAAAAUAAGUAAUUAGAGUAUGAGAUAACAUGAAUGCUUAAAAUUGUCAAUCAUUAAAUUUAAGAUAAUUGUUAAUAUUUCACUACAUUUUCCAACUCCAUGAAUUAAAGCAAUGGGAGGAAAUGAGUUGGAUUUCUUAAUAGUAUUAAGUGUUGGAUUGACACAAAAUUAGGGUGCUAGUGGACACUUGAAAUGAGGACCAAGUAACAAUUGCAGAUAGCAUUUUACUCAUCCAACAUAGUUAAAAUUUUCAAAACCCAAUUCUUAUUUAGUACUUUUAUUGAAUAUAUGGGUAUAGUUUAACUUCAAAUCUAAUAUGAGUGUACUUUGAAUUUCCUAAAGCUUACAUGUUUCUUCACAUAUUAACAAAGAGAAAAGAUUAACAUUUUUUACAAUUACAAUUUAUUAGGACUCAAGGUUUAUUUCCUAAACUUUUAAAGUGGGGAAAAAAAAGUGUAAGGGAGAAAAAAGGAAAAGGAAAAGAAAGGAAAAACAAAAAGAAGAAAAAACUAUUAAAAGGCAUUAGAAGCCUAAGAUGGGCAUAUCCAUGAUUGAGGUGUAAAUGGGGGUGACAAUUCAUGUUGGUGGAUAGUGUUUGUGUUGUGUCAAAGCCUAGGUGUUCUACUACAUAGCUUAACCCAUCCCCAACACUACUAAUAAUCAGAUUAAGUUAGGUCUUCUAUAUGUCAAUAUGAUUAAUAUCUCAAGAAAAAGAUGUUUUUGUCUCAAUUGACCAAUCUAUUUAGAAACAAAUUUAAAAUGAGUCAAAUAUGGGUCAAACGUCUUUCAAAUAUAAUUAAGUUAAUAGUGGGAUUAUUAAAUAGGUUAAUUCGAGUCAAAUUCGUGUUAUGCAGGUUGACCAAAAAAGUGCUUAUUUAUUAAAUGAGUUAUAUAAGUCGACACAAAAUUUACCUAAACUCAUUUAUACUUGACCCAAACCCAUGAAAAGCGUGUUAGGUUUGUGUAAUGUCGGGAAUCGUAUCAAACUUUGUCAUCCCUAGGUUCAAACAACUCCAAGACCCUAUUUUUAAGGAGAAUAUAUGGACUUGAGAUUGCUACAUUAUUUAGACUAAUCCACACCUACUUAUUAAGGGAAAAAAAAUAAAAGAGGAGAAAUGUAGAGUAUAGGAUGAUGGGACAAGGCACAAAAUGACAAGACGUAGGAUGGUAGGACAUAGGAUGAUAAAAAUCCACUUCAAUUAAUAUUUCCAUAAAUCAAGAGUAAUCAAAUAUUAAAAUAUUUUAUUCUCCUAAUUUAGGAUAUAAUAUCUAUUCUAAAUAAAUCAAGAGCAAUCAAAUAUUAAUAAUAUUUGAUUCUCUUAAUUUAAGAAAUAAUAUUUAUAUUCCUUAAUUUUAGGAUAUUUAUUAUUUAUUUCUUCUAUAAUUCACAAUGCAUUCUUGUAUAAAUUUAUGAAAAGAAAUAAUAAAAAUUCAUUGCUUCUAUUUUCAAAUUAUAAAUUCUUCUUGGUAUUAGAGUUAGAGGAGGAGGCUCAAACUUGGGUUUUCUCCAAAGGUGGUUGAAUACCCUAAAAGACUUGACCUAUCCACACAAACAAUGUCUUACUCUUCAUUCAUUCAUUCAAAAAUAAAAUAAAAUAAAAUCCUUAGUGCUCUAGCUUUCCAUCAACAUUUUUUCUAAUUUGAUUUCAAUCAAGCUAAACACAACAAAUUUUCUACUAUGGGGAAAUCAAACUAUCCUCUUAGCUUGUGGCUUCGGUGUUUGAACCUUUCAUCAAUGUUUUACCCUUUCAUUGGUGUUAUUUUUAGUUUGAUUUUAAUCAAGUUAAACACCAUAAAUUUUCUAGUAUGGCAAAAUCAAAUCAUUCUCUUAGUUCAUGGUGUGUUCUCUAACAUCUCUUAGGUGGAGAAAGACUUGCUAAAGAAUUAAAUAUGAUGAGGAAAGCAAAAGUUUUAUCCUACAAUACUAGUAAUCAAUUAAUAAUAACAUAUUUGUCACUUCAUGAGUUCUCAAAACCAUGAUAAAAGACAUUUUCAUUAUGAUCCUUGGGACUAACAAGAUAUAUAAGGUAUAAACUUCUCUUAAGGAGUAAUUGCUUCCUAUUAUAGUUGAAAAAAAAAAUGAUCUCUUCAAGAAUAUUUAAGAGAUUUCAAAAAUAUAUAUGAUAAUCUCAUGACAAUCAAAAGCUAAUUUCAGACUAAGACAAAGUUUGUUGAUUCACUCAUGGUUUAGGAUAAUGGAAUGAUUUUUUUUAACCUACUAUGCUUUUCUAACCAAUUCAUAGCAACUCUUUAGGGACAUAAGCAAUCACUUACCACCAAAGGGAUGGAAAGAAAAUUUUUAUAGAGUAUGCACAAUUUUUUAUUUGGACAACAUAGUUAUGGUCAUAAUGGUUGAAAAUGCAUAAAUUUUAAUUUGAGGGGAAGAAGCUUUACACUUUCUAUGUGUUACAAUUCUUUUAAAAAAAUAUACUUUUAUGAUUUUAUCAAGUCCUUGUCAAAGGAUAUCUUCAUCAUGUUUUGAGAUAAGCUGGGUGUGCAUAUUCUUUCCCACUCCAAUUUAAGCUUGCAUAUUAAGAGAAAGAAUAAAAUAAGAUAAAAAGCACAUAGGAUAGCAACACGUAGGAUGAUAAAAAUCCGCUUCAAUUAAUAUUUCCACAAAUCAAGAGUAAUGAAAUAUUAAAAUAUUUGAUUCUCCUAAUUUAGGAUAUAAUAUUUAUUUUAAAUAAAAAACAAACAAUCAAAUAUUAAUAAUAUUUUAUUCUCUUAAUUUAGGAAAUAAUAUUUAUUUUCCUUAAUUUUAGGAUACUUGUUAUUUCUUUCUUUGUAUAAUUCACAAUGCAUUCUUGUAUAAAUUUUCUAAAAGAAACAAUAAAAUUCAUCAUUUUCAUUGCCAAAUUAUCAAAUCCUUUACUAAUGACCUUACGAUUAAAAUCUUGUUUGUUUGGUAAGUGUUGAACAAAAUGCCUUAGUAGCUACAAACGUGAUGGAAGAUGUGUGAAAGUUGUUGUGAACUGAGGAAGCUUAAGAAUCUAUUAAGAAGGUUGCUGAGGUGUGAAGAGAUGCUGAAAUUGAGGCUGUAACCAUAAAACAACUUAGUCAAUGAAGCUAAUAGAGUUUCAUAGAGCUGUUAUGCUGUUAUUGUUAUUUUAUAGGAAGUAGCUCUUAGUUCCAGCUAUUUUUUCUACUUUUCUAUUGUUUUCUAUUGCAAACUUGUGUAUAAAUGUUGCAUUGAUCAUUCAAUGAGAGUAGACAUUUUUGUUGUCUCAAAUGCAACUUUUGGUUGUUGCUUCCAACACUCUAGAUUCUAAAACCUAUGGAUUAGUAUCAGAGCCUUCUAUUUUGAAGGACCUGUGAGGAUUGAGUGAAGCCAAAAUACCUUCACACAUAUUGAACUCCAAAGCCAACAUAAACACACAACCUUUAACAGCUUGUAACUAUCAUUCUACAACAAAUAGAUGGAGCCACAAGCUUUUUGUCAGUACCAGUUUUCAAUGGUGAUAAUUAUCAGGCGUGGGCUAUUAGAAUGACAGUCCACCUUGAAGCUUUGGAUCUUUGGGAGGCAGUAGAAGAAGAUUAUGAAGUACCACCACUUGUAGACAAUCCAAGUAUCAAUCAAAUGAAGAUUCACAAGGAAAGAAAAGCAAGGAAAGCCAAAGCCAAGGUUUGCCUCUUCUCUGCAGUUUCACCUUCCAUUCUCACCAGAAUCAUGCAAAUGGAGUCUACUACAGCAAUCUGGAAGUGAUUUCGCAGCAUUUUUGUACAGUAAGGUGUUUCUCCUUCUGACGAUGCACGAUUUAUGCCGCGAGAAGGAAGCUAGAAACCUCAAGGUAGAAGCCAACUUCGCAGCCCUGUGAAGAUAGCUUGGUGUUGCGAAAUAAUUUCGCAGCCCUCUUGAGUGUCUGCGAAAUCUCGCAGACACCAUUUUUCUCCUGCGAAAUGGUUCCUAAAGCUUCCCGAUAUUUGCUACCGACAUUGGGAGAUAUUUUCCAUUAGAUUUUUGUUGUCUAAAUCCCAAAAUACUCCUUGUAAACCACCAAUUACAUGAUUCCUUAGUUUUUAAGUUAGUAAAAAGACUAAAUAUCCAUGUAAUAAUUAGUUUUAUAUUAUGUUCAUAUAUAUACCUCUCGAGAGCCUGUUCUCAGAGAGGAGUUCCUUCUGUAAAAGUUGGGGUAAGCAAGUAAAGUCUCUUUUCUUUCUACUGCCUUACCUUCUCACUUUGUAUUUUUUACUUAUUACUAAGUUAUGAACUCUCUGAGGAGUUUUCCCUAGAGAAUGAGUAACUAAACCUCUAAUUCCUUGGAGCUAAGGUUGCCGGGGGAGGUUCCAAGUGCAAGAAUGCAAAGCUUUGUGGUUUUAGCUAGUAAUGAAGAGGAAGUGAAAUCCUUCAAUGAUUUCUAUGUUUUUAGUUAACUUAAAACACCUUGGAGUCACCUGGGCCAACACUUGGUAAGGCAAGUGAUUUCCAACUAUGGAAAUGCACUAGUUUACCCCUUGCGAGCCUUUGGGAGGUGACUUCAAGGUAGGAUUUUCUAGAAUAGCCAACACUUGGUAAGCUUUUGGACUCCUAGGAGACAUCCAUUAGUUAUCUCUUGCGAGCUUUUGACGGGUAAUCCAAGGUUAAAGAUCACCUUGAAUGGUUAAGGCUUAGUGAGAGGCUUAAACCAUUGCAAGUUGCAUCAGUGAGAGAAUUAAAGUGAAAUCUAAUUGAAGGAGUCUCUGUACAUCACCAGUUAGAGAAUUGACUAUAUGUUGAAUCUCUAAUGCGAGGAAAUGAACCAUCUGACCAAAGCCGUGUCUUUUGCAUGAGGAACCACCCCAGUGAACCUAAAUCUCCAAGGAAUGCUUUUCUUCCUAAAUUAUUCCAAACUUCUGUUAUGUUAGUUAGUUUAAGUCUAAACCUUUACCAAUCAAAGUUUGUGUUUUACUUCUUAAGCUAACCUUGAAAUGAAAGAAGGCCAAUUCACUUGGAAUUGGUAUCAUUGAUUGCUUGUUAAUCAUUCCCAGUGAACGAUCCUAGAGCCACUAUACUAUAGUAGCUUUGUCUUUGCUACCCUAGUAUAUGGUGUAAUAGGUUAUAAAUUUUGUUGAUUACUCCCUCAAUCAAGGAGCACCAGCUGGACGCAAAUCAGCUGAGACACCAAUUGGGCAUGAAUCAAAUGGCGCCGUUGCCGGGGAAUGAGUGUCAAGUUUAUAUUGAUACCAUUUUUGAGCACUUGUGAUUUUCAUCACAAGUUGGUAAAGUUUCUUUCACUUUACUAAUUUUCAUUCUUUCUUUGUUUAUUUAUAAUCUAAGUUUAUCUUUUAAAAUUUAGCCUAGUUUAGUUUUAUUGUUGUAGCCCUGUUUCUUUUGUUUUCUUUUGUUUUCAUUUUUAGUUGCAGAUAAAUACUAGUUGUGUAUGCCAAAGUGGAUACAAGACAGUGGAGGAAGGCUUGUUAAGUGUGAUACACCUCAGAGGGGAGAAUUUGAAGUAAUCUUGAAUAUCAUGGAAUCUACACCUGAAGAUCAGCAUAGUCACCAAGGUCGUCAAGACAAUCUCAAUGAAUUCAGAUCAAUGAGGGACCGUAUGCAUCCACCUCGUAUGAGUGCACCAUCAUGUAUAGUGCCCCCUACAGAGCAGCUAGUGAUCAGACCGUAUCUUGUUCCACUUCUACCAACUUUCCAUGGGAUGGAAAGUGAGAAUCCGUAUGCACACAUCAAGGAAUUUGAAGAUGUUUGUAAUACAUUCCAAGAGGGAGGAGCUUCAAUUGAUUUGAUGAGGCUUAAGUUAUUUCCUUUUACUUUAAAGGAUAAGGCCAAAAUUUGGCUUAAUUCUUUAAGGCUAAGGAGUAUCCGCUCUUGGACUGAUUUACAAGCUGAAUUCCUCAAGAAAUUUUUUCCCACUCAUAGAACAAAUGGCUUGAAAAGGCAAAUUUCAAACUUCCCAGCUAAAGAGAAUGAGAAAUUCUAUGAGUGUUGGGAAAGAUACAUGGAAGCUAUAAAUGCUUGUCCUCACCAUGGCUUUGAUACUUGGCUAUUGGUGAGCUAUUUUUAUGAUGGUAUGUCAUCCUCAAUGAAGCAACUCCUCGAGACAAUGUGUGGAGGAGAUUUCAUGAGCAAAAAUCCAGAGGAAGCUAUGGAUUUCUUGAGCUAUUGAUUCGCGUGUAACUCCAAAUGGGUCAUUUAAUCAAAAACAUUUAUAAAACCUAUGACCUCAUACUAAUGUAGCAAAGCUACUAUAGUAUAGUGGCUCUAGGGUCGAACUCUGGGAUGGGUUUUCAUUCUACCAGUGAUAUACUCAAAAUUAGAAAUUGUAUUUAAUGAUUUCCUUAAUAAAAAACUUAAAGUUUAAAAGAAAAUAAAAUUUGUUUUGAAAGUGUUUGAAACUAAACUAACAUAAACUAAUUAAAAAUGGAAGAAAGAAAGUCUCCCGGAGCUAAGGGUUGCUAGGAUCAAGUUCAGAAUAGAAAGUGGAAAAUUCCGGAUUUUUCUCCUCGCAUUGGGGAUUUAACCUAUAGUUAUUUCCCGAACCGGUAUAGGUUUGAAAAUGAAGAUUUAAUCCAUAAAAGGUCAAUAGAAAUGGUAGUCAAGGUCCAUUAAUGGCUUAAGACACUAUGGGUCUUCACCUUGAAUCACUUUCCAAUGACUCGUACAUGAUAACUAAUGGACUAAUAUGGAUCUAGCAAUAAGCAUCCAUAAAGACCUGAAGCUUACCAUGUAUUGGUCAUUCAAAGUGAUUCUAAGGGAUUUAAAGCAAAACUUUGGAUUUAGAAGCCAUUUAUGAAUUCCAACUACCUGAAUUUAAUGCAUGGAAGCUUUCCACCUUUUCAUCUGGAAUUUUCACCUAGCUUCCUUUACUCCAAGAAACCGAAAGUUUAGCCUCUCAUCCUCCGGGCAAACAUCCUUAGAGGUUGUUUGGCUUCCAAGAAAAAGAAAAUAGUAAAGAACAAAGAGAACGAGAGAGCUCUGUAAAAUUCACAGUGUAAAAACGUAAUACGUAUUCUAUAUAUUCCAAGAGGUGAUUUCCACCCCUUAUAAAGUCUUUACAAAAGCCAAAGCUUAUGAUUGGUUAGUUACAAGGAUAAUAAAGGAAAUUACAUCACAAAAUACAAAGGAAAAUAUCUAAAGUGGAGUCGGCAAAGGGCAGAGCAAAAUUCGCAACACGCAUGGGUUAUGCGAACCAUAUGCGAAUGUUAUGCGAAUUUCGCAUAACCUCUUGUGGAAUGCGAAAUUUUCGCAUAACCUGGAGCAGUUGGCUUCCGAAGGCCAUAUCUUCCUCAUUUCAGAUCCAAAUCGUACACGGUUUGAAGCGUUGGAUUCUUGACUUCCAGAGCUUUGAAAUGGUAUAUAGCAUAUAUAAAAUGGACUUCGGGAAGUGCUCCAAAAGUGUGAAAGAAGACUGCAGCUGCUACAUCUUGAUUUUUUUCACUUUGCUUCUCUUUGCUUCUCUCCUUUGCUUGACUUGUCUUAAUGAUCCAAAAAGCUGUCAAAACAUUAAAACUAGCCACAAAUAUGAUUAGAAGACAUUGCUAGGUCCUUAACAUGCCAAUUGGACUAAAGAUGGAGAACUACUACACAAAAGUGCUUAAAACAUAAUGCAUUAAAGGUGUAAAAUAGCACUUUUUGGGUAGUAAUCAGCUAUGUAGCUGAUGUUUCAAGGGGAUGGGAUGAACCAACUAAAGGAGAAGUGGGAAAGAUGAAGUCUCAGUUGAAUGCUUACAAUGCAAAGGCUGGGAUGUAUACCUUAAAAGAAGAUGAUGACAUGAAAGCAAAGUUGGCAGCUAUGACAAGAAGAUUGGAGGAGCUGGAGCUGAAAAGAAUACAUGAAGUGCAAGCUGUUGCUGAAGCACCAGUGCAAGUGAAGCUGUGUCCCAAUUGUCAGUCUUAUGAACACUUGGUGGAGGAAUGCCCUGCAAUUCCAACUGAAAGGGAAAUGUUUAGAGAUCAAGCAAAUGUUGUUGGACAAUUUAGGCCCAAUAACAAUGCGCCAUAUGGAAAUACCUACAACUCAAGUUGGAGGAAUCAUCCAAAUUUCUCAUGGAAGGCCAGAGCAACUCAAUACCAACAGCCGGAUCCACCAUCUCAACAAUCUUCAAGUAUUGAACAAGCAAUGGCUAAUCUCAGUAAGGUAAUGGGAGAUUUUAUUGAAAAGCAAGAAGCCACUAAUGCUCGAGUCGAUCAAAGAAUUGAUAGAGUGGAGAGUAUGUUGAAUAAAAGGAUGGAUGGAAUGCAAAAUGAUAUGAACCAAAAGUUUGAUAACAUCCAAUAUUCAAUUUCAAGGCUUACAAAUUUGAAUACACUGCAAGAAAAGGGAAGAUUUCCUUCUCAACCUCACCAAAAUCCUAAAGGUGUCCAUGAAGUGGAAAGCCAAGAGGGAGAAUCAUCACAGGUGAAAGAUGUGAAAGCCUUGAUCACUCUAAGGAGUGGUAAAAAAAUUGAGCAGCCAACACCCAAGCCACAUGUUGAGAAAGAAAAAGAGAUAAAGAAAAGGAAGGAAAUGGAAGAUAAAGAGAGUGAUAUCAGUGAAGAAAAGAAGGACUCUGAUGCAACAAUGAAUGCAAUUCCAGAGAAGGAGCUUCUGAAGGAAGAAAUGCUGAAGAAAUCAACUUCUCCACCUUUUCCUCAAGCAUUACAUGGGAAAAAGGGGAUUAGAAAUGCAGCUGAAAUCCUUGAAGUCUUGAAGCAAGUGAAAGUUAAUAUUCCACUGCUGUAUAUGAUUAAACAAGUUCCAACGUAUGCAAAAUUCCUUAAGGACUUAUGUACUAUCAAAAGAGGGUUGACUGUAAACAAGAAAGCCUUCUUGACUGAGCAAGUAAGUGCAAUCUUACAAUGUAAGUCUCCUUUGAAGUACAAAGACCCUAGAAGUCCUACCAUUUCAGUCAUGAUUGGAGGAAAGGUAGUGGAGAAAGCCUUGUUAGAUUUGGGAGCAAGUGCGAAUUUGCUUCCAUAUUCUGUCUACAAGCAAUUGGGACUUGGAGAGUUGAAGCCAACAACAAUCACUCUAUCUCUGGCAGAUAGAUCAGUGAAAAUUCCAAGAGGGGUAAUUGAGGAUGUAUUGGUUCAAGUGGAUAAUUUCUACUAUCCAGUAGAUUUUAUUGUUCUUAAUACAGAUCCUACUGUAAAGGAAGCUAAUUUAGUUCCUAUCAUCCUUGGAAGGCCAUUUCUUGCAACUUCAAAUGCAAUCAUCAACUGCAGGAAUGGGCUUAUGCAGCUCACUUUUGGUAACAUGACACUGGAUCUCAAUAUUUUCUACAUGUCUAAAAAGCAAAUCACUGCGGAGGAAGAAGAAGGUCCAGAAGAGCUAUGUAUAAUUGAUACUUUGGUAGAGGAGCACUGCAAUCAACAUAUGCAAGAAAAGUUGAAUGAAAGUCUUGAGGAUAUUGAGGAAGGUUUUUCUGAAUCUCCUAUUGGGCUUACUACUCUACAAAGUUGGAGAAAGAUAGAAGGAAUUCUACCUUUGUUCAAUAAGGAAGAGGAGGCAGCUGCUGAAAAAGAAAUUCCAAAACUCAAUCUGAAGCCUUUACCUGUGGAGCUGAAAUAUACAUAUCUUGAAGAAAAUAAUCAAUGUCCUGUUGUGAUAUCUUCAUCUCUGACCAGUCAUCAAGAGAAUUGUUUAAUGGAAGUUCUCAAGAGGUGUAAGAAGGCAAUAUGAUGGCAAAUAUCUGAUUUGAAAGGCAUUAGUCCUUUAGUUUGUACUCAUCAUAUAUAUAUGGAGGAGGAAGCAAAGCUAAUUCGUCAAUUUCAAAGAAGGUUGAAUCCUCAUCUACAAGAGGUGGUGCGAGCUGAGGUGCUGAAGCUACUUCAAGCAGGAAUCAUUUACCCUAUAUCUGAUAGCCCUUGGGUGAGUCCUACUCAAGUAGUACCAAAGAAGUCAGGGAUCACAGUGGUUCAGAAUGAAAAAGGGGAAGAAAUUACUACACGCCUCACUUCAGGUUGGAGGGUGUGUAUUGAUUAUAGAAAGCUGAAUGCUGUAACCAGGAAAGAUCAUUUUCCAUUGCCAUUUAUUGAUCAAGUGCUGGAGAGAGUCUCUGGACAUCCAUUCUAUUGUUUCUUGGAUGGGUAUUCAGGGUAUUUUCAUAUUGAAAUUGAUUUGGCAGAUCAAGAAAAGACCACUUUUACAUGUCCAUUUGAAACAUAUGCUUAUAGAAGAAUGCCUUUUGGUUUAUGCAAUGCACUUGCUACAUUUCAAAGAUGUAUGUUGAGUAUUUUCAGUGAUAUGGUGGAGCGAAUUAUGGAGGUUUUCAUGGAUGACAUCACCGUAUAUGGAGGUACAUUUGAGGAAUGCUUGGUUAAUUUGGAAACAGUUCUUCAUAGAUGCAUUGAAAAAGACCUGGUGCUGAACUGGGAGAAAUGCCAUUUUAUGGUACGACAAGGAAUUGUCCUUGGCCAUAUCAUCUCUGAAAAAGGCAUUGAAGUUGAUAAAGCAAAGGUGGAGCUUAUUGUCAAAUUACCAUCUCCAACAACUAUAAAAGGAGUAAGGCAGUUCCUUGGCCAUGCAGGGUUCUAUAGGAGGUUUAUAAAAGGUUUUUCAAGUCUUUCAAAACCUCUUUGUGAGCUGUUAGCUAAGGAUGCUAAGUUUAUAUGGGAUGAAAGGUGUCAGAAUAGCUUUGAUCAACUGAAGAAAUUUUUAACAACAACUCCAAUAGUGAGAGCCCCUAACUGGCAAUUACCUUUUGAAUUGAUGUGUGAUGCCAAUGACUUUGCUAUAGGAGCUGUGCUUGGCCAAAGAGAAGAUGGGAAGCCCUAUGUGAUUUACUAUGCAAGUAAAACACUAAAUGAAGCUCAGAGGAACUACACAACUACAGAAAAAGAAUUGUUAGCUAUGGUAUUUGCUUUGGACAAAUUUCGUGCUUAUUUAGUGGGGUCUUUCAUCAUAGUCUUCACUGACCAUUCAGCCUUAAAGUAUUUAUUGACAAAGCAAGAUGCAAAAGCAAGGUUGAUUAGAUGGAUUCUUUUGUUACAAGAAUUCGAUCUUCAAAUCAAAGAUAAGAAAGGAGUGGAGAAUAUGGUAGCUGACCACUUGUCAAGGUUAGUUAUAGCACAUAACUCCCAUCCCUUGCCUAUCAAUGAUGAUUUUCCUGAAGAAUCACUCAUGUUCCUAGUGAAAACUCCUUGGUAUGCUCAUAUUGCUAAUUAUUUAGUAACUGGUGAAAUUCCAAGUGAGUGGAAUGCACAGGACAGGAAGCACUUCUUUGCCAAAAUUCAUUCUUAUUAUUGGGAAGAGCCCUUUCUCUUUAAGUAUUGUGCAGAUCAGAUUAUUAGAAAGUGUGUCCCUGAAGAUGAGCAGCAAGGGAUUCUAUCUCAUUGUCAUGAGAAUGCAUGUGGAGGCCACUUUGCCUCUCAGAAAACAGCCAUGAAGGUAUUGCAAUCAGGGUUUACUUGGCCAUCUCUUUUCAAAGAUGCCCACAUCAUGUGUAGGAAUUGUGAUAGAUGCCAAAGGCUUGGAAAGCUAACAAAAAGAAAUCAAAUGCCUAUGAACCCCAUUAUGAUAGUUGAGUUAUUUGAUGUAUGGGGCAUUGACUUCAUGGGACCUUUCCCAAUGUCUUUUGGUAAUUCUUACAUUUUGGUGGGGGUGGAUUAUGUUUCUAAAUGGGUUGAGGCAAUCCCCUGUAAACAAAAUGAUCACAGGGUGGUUCUCAAGUUUCUUAAAGAGAACAUUUUCUCAAGAUUUGGGGUGCCCAAGGCCAUAAUCAGUGAUGGAGGUGCUCAUUUUUGCAACAAACCUUUUGAAGCUCUGUUAUCCAAGUAUGGAGUGAAGCAUAAGGUGGCUACACCUUAUCAUCCUCAGACUUCCGGGCAAGUUGAGCUAGCUAACAGGGAAAUAAAGAACAUCUUGAUGAAAGUGGUGAAUUCCAAUAGAAAGGAUUGGUCUAUUAGGCUUCAUGAUUCAUUGUGGGUAUAUAGAACAGCUUAUAAGACUAUUCUUGGGAUGUCUCCCUAUCGUCUUGUCUAUAGUAAAGCAUGCCAUCUCCCUGUGGAAGUUGAAUACAAAGCUUGGUGGGCAAUAAAGAAGCUGAACAUGGACUUGAUCAAGGUAGGAGAAAAGAGAUUUCUAGACCUUAAUGAGAUGGAGGAAUUAAGAAAUAAUGCUUAUAUCAAUUCCAAAGUUGCAAAACAGAGGAUGAAGAAGUGGCAUGAUCAACUCAUCUCCAACAAGGAAUUUCAGGAAGGGCAAAGAGUUUUGAUGUAUGACACAAGACUCCAUAUCUUUCCUGGGAAACUCAAGUCAAGGUGGAUAGGCCCGUUCAUUAUUCACCGAGUAUAUUCCAAUGGAGUGGUGGAAUUAUUGAAUUCCAAUGGCAAGGAUAGCUUUAAAGUCAAUGGAUAUCGUCUCAGGCCAUUCUUGGAGCCAUUCAAACCAGAAAAGGAGGAGAUCAACCUCCUUGAACCUCAAAAAGCUUAAGUGAAAAAGGGUUUGCUGGACGUGGUUUUACCACAGUCCAAAAUUUUUGUAAAUUUUGUAAAUUUUCAAGUUGUUUCCAUACUUUUGAUCUUAGUUUUUGAUCUUAAAUCAUGUUUUUAGGUGUGUUUUAAUUGUUUUGAAUGAUCCCAGGUGGAAGAAAUUUCAAGGAAAUUGAAAGAAAAAAAAAAUCAGGUCGAAAUCGGAGCCAAAAUAGAGUAAAAACAGGGGAAAAACAAAGCUCUGCGAAAUGAGCAUUUUGUUGCCAAACCAUUCCGCAACACUGUAGAAGUCUCUGCAAGGGUAUUUCGCAGUUGCGAAAGCAAAUUUGGCACACGAGUGCCACUUCGCAGUACAGUAGCAUCCAUUUGGCAGCUGCGAAACGCAUUGCGAAGGGAAAAAGCGUGAUUUCGCACCAAAAGUCCCAUUCCGCAGGGUAUUUCGCAAUUGCGAAAGUGGUUUUGGCACACGAGUGCCACUUCGCAGCAUAGGAACUCUCAUUUCGUAGCUGCGAAACUCACUGCGAAGUUGCUGCAAAAAUGGCAUUUUGCUGUGAAAUUGACGUUUUGUUGCGAAACUUAAACUGACCCUUAGGCUUCCAUUUUUCCUAUUUAUACCGAUCAUUUGAGCUGCGAAAAGGGUUUCAAAAAUCAGAGCGCCAUUUUCGCAGACCUUUCAUCUUCUUCCUUGAGCCACGCCGUCCGAGCCUCCGGUCAUCUCCUCCGAUUAGCAACGCCGGCCAAAGUUUGGUAUCCCGAAAUGGCACGAACACGAGAGGCUAAGUCUUCAUCUUCUUCGAACCACAAGAAGAGUCUGCGAAAGGAGCCAAGUCUAGGUUCUGCUCCAGAGCCUUCGCCGUCAAGGCCAAAUCCUCCUCCGGUGAAGCCCGCGCCACCAAAGCCACCUGCAAGACGAUACCUUACCAGGUCAGGAGGUCGGCCAUUGCAGAAGAAACCCAGGGUGGAGAGCUCAGAACCCAUCGAUUUGACUGAGCAAUCUCCAGAGCCUUCACCAAUUCCAUCACCGGUUCAAACUCCAGUGCCGUCUCCAGUUCCCUCGCCUAGUCCCCUGCCAGUUCCAUCGCCGGUACCAUCUCCGGCACCGCAAGAAAAAUCUCAGGAGCCUCAAGCGCCACUUCCCGAGCCCCAAAUUCAAGCUGAAACAGCUCUGGAAGAAGUAAUCUGGAGGCCAAUGCUACCUCAGCCCCCAAUUGAGGGAAACUUGGAUUGUAGAACACGGGCAUUUCACUCCGAGCUUUGCUUUGACUUACCGGCAUUCAGAGUGAGGCUGGAGCUUGCCCAAUCAUUCCAGCUGCUGAGAAGGUACCAUAUGGAGCAACUGCUAGCUCCAAGAGACUUUUUCUAUCCCCGGAUAGCCACGGAUUUCUACCAAUCCAUGACAACCAAAGAGGUAAGGAAUCCGACUUUGAUUCAUUUCACAAUCGAUGGGAGACAUGGCAUAUUGGGAGCACGACAUAUUGCUGAAGCCCUGCAAAUUCCCUUUGAGCCAACCCAAUUCGAUAAUUUUACAGCUUGGGCAAAUCCUACUGAGCUAAAGAUGGUGCGCACCCUUUCCAGAGGAGCUGCAAAUCGAUCACAUCUGUUGAGGGGGGAGCUUCCUCCAGUUAUGUUUUUGAUUGAUGCCUUUUUGCGUCAUAAUAUAUACCCAUUGCAGCAUUGGACCCAAAGAAGGGGAGUCCUCCUGGAAGCUCUUUAUAAGAUGUCAGAAGGAUUUUUCUUUGGGCCUCAUCAUCUGAUCAUGGCAGCCCUUCUCUAUUUUGAAGAGAAGGCUCAUAAAAGGAAGCUUCAGAGAGCAUAUUGCAUUCCCCUCCUCUUCCCAAGGCUGCUAUGCCCAAUUUUGGAGCAUCUGGGAUACCCCUCUGAGCCUCAGCUGGAGAGAAAGCGAAUUUGCCGUGAGCCAUUCACUCUUGAUAAAUGGAAUAAUAUGACGGCCUACAAAGUUGAUCAGCCUGGGCAGCCUCAACCAGCUGCAAGGAGAGCCUCCCCAAGACAUAUACCUGAAGGUAUAACAGUUGCUACUCCUGCCAUUCCUAGAGCUCCACCAGUUGCACCUGCUUCAUUUCAGCCAUCCACAUCAGCUGAGCCGAGGAUGGCCAUUCCUAUAUCUGAAUAUCGAGAGUUGUGCCGUGCAUUGGAGACACUUACAGCUUCUUAGAGCAAUCUUGCUCAAGAGAUGGCAGCCAUCAGAGCAUGCCAAGAGCAGAUGUUAGCCACUCAAGCUCAACAAGCUGCCAUCUUAAGGCAGCUCCAAGACCAUUUCGAUCUGCCACAAGCUGUAGAGUCCUCCACUUCUACUCCAACAGAGCCACACCCUCAUCCUUCAGAGUCUCAUCCUCCUGAGCCCCAAGCCCCAGCUGAUGCACCUACUGAAGAGGUAGAUCCUUCUGCCUAAUCCCAGCACCACCCCACUCAUCAGACUAUAUUAGAUAUCUAAUAUUUUCAUGUAUUUCAUUUUUUUUAGUUGAAAAGAAAUCCCAGUAUUUUGGUACUAUAUUUGGGAUUCCUUGUGUUACUUGUCUUUUGCAUUGUAAUCAAAUGAAUUUAAAGUAAUACAAGUUGAAUAUUUCUUGUUAAAAGUUAGCAUUAAGUUAUUCUUAUUUCCUUUUCUCACAUAUUCUAUUCUUUUUGAAACAUGUGGUUUUCCCCAAUCAAUAUUCGAAUUUGAUUUCAGCAAGGAGGUACCACUUCCUCCCUUUUAUUACAUUCACUCAAAUCACAUUGAGGACAAUGCUCAGUUCGGUUGGGGGGUAUGAGGAAGGAAGUAUUCUAAAUCUUUUUGGUAUUGCAAUUAUAUUGGUUAAUUAGUUGUAGUUUUUACUUUUUACUCUUGUUACUCUAUUCUCCAUGAAUUUUGAGGAAAAAUUUUCAAAUUAAACCAAGAGAAAUUGAACUGUUGUUUUUCACUUGACUUAGAGUAUGGAUUAUGCUUACUAAAGUGGUUCAAUUGUUGAAGCUUCUAUUGAAAUUGAAGUUAGUUCUUCCACUUUAAGCUAUCCACACACUGUGCACAUUAGAUUCCGAUUAUAAGAUGAAAAGCUAUUUCCCUCUUGACUUAGGAUAAUUUUGGGACUUGGUAUAUUUGACCUCAUUUGAUAAAAUUGAAACACCCUGCAAAAGGCCAAUGAGCCUUUGAAAUAAAGAAAGUUGUUUGCUUGCCUUGAAACCCGAGCAAGGUCUGAGGGGUAUAUGGUGAAAAUCUUUAAAGCCUGGUGCCCUAAGCCUUAAUUGGUUGGGAGUCACCGACCUCAAUGCUCGUUAUAAGGGUGAAUAGGUAGAGCUAGCAUAUGGUAGAUGCUUGGGUAUUAGAAUCUCAUUCUUAAAAGUCCGGGGAAAAAUCCGAGGAGUUAGUGGUUGAAAGAUCCUUAAAGCUUGGUGCCCUAAACCUUAAUUGGUUGGGAGUCAUCGAUGGACCCCCAUUACAUGGACAAGUCAGAAAGAGUACCCCAUAAAGCUACCUUAAAAAAAAAAAUGAUGAAAAUGUGUUCUUUUCUUAUUGAUUUUGGUCAGAUUGCUAAAGUAUUGAAAAGAGAUAGGUUGGGGGGAGAGACUAGUUUAGCAUAUUAUUCUCGGAACCUAAGGAACCAAUACACAUAGAUUUUUGUGGAAGAUUAAAGUUUGAUUCUUAGAAAGUGGAAAUGAUUUUAAAACUUCAGUUUGCAUAAUGCACUCCCUUGAUUGACAGUGUUUAGCAUAGGUGUUAUGACUCUUGUUGAGAUUUGGGUUUGUAUUUCUUUACUACUUCAUGUGAGAAUUAGAUCAUCAUGCCACUUGAGAAUUAUUUUCCUUUAGCAUGAUGUUGUAAAUUUUAGAUUAGUUUGCUUUUUAUUUUCAUUUUUCUCUCCUAUAUUGCUAAGGGACUAGCAAUAUGUCGGUUGGGGGGAGUGAUUACUACUCAAAAAGUGCUAUUUGAUAGCCUAUAAUUAAUCCUUUUAAACACUUUUGAGUAGUAGUUUAGGCCUUUUAACUCAAUUGGCAUGUUAAGGAUCCUUUAAAGCAAUUUUAAUCACUUUGUGCAAGUUUUGGUGUUUUUGUUAGUAUUUUGAUCACCAAAGCAAGUCAAGACUGAGGAGAGCUAUGAGGAAUCUUGGGCAAAGCUUAGAAGUCAUUUUCCAAGAGUGAAUCCGGAUUGCAAGGAGAAAAAAGCAAAGAGAAUCUGCCAUAAAGCAUAUUCUUGAUGACAGUCGUAGCAGCCACUUUUGGAGCACUUUCUGAAGUCCAAAUGAUGUAUUCCAUAUACCAUUUCAAAGCUCAGGAAGUCAAAAAUCCAAUGCUUCAAACGGUGCUCAAUUCGGAGUUGAAAUGAAGAAGUUGCAGCCGUUACAAGCCAAUCACUCCGAGCUGAAGGAAGCAUUUUGCAAAGUGUUGCGAAAUCACCCUUUUGUUGCGAAGUGAUUUCGCAGCAUUUUUGUACAGUAAGGUGUUUCUCCUUCUGACGAUGCACGAUUUAUGCCGCGAGAAGGAAGCUAGGAACCUCAAGGUAGAAGACAACUUCGCAGCCCUGUGAAGAUAGCUUGGUGUUGCGAAAUAAUUUUGCAGCCCUCUUGAGUGUAUGCGAAAUCUCGUAGACACCAUUUUUCUCAUGCGAAAUGGUUCCUAAAACCUCCCGAUAUUUGCUACCGACAUUGGGAGAUAUUUUCCAUUAGAUUUUUGUUGUCUAAAUCCCAAAAUACUCCUUGUAAACCACCAAUUACAUGAUUCCUUAGUUUUUAAGUUAGUAAAAAGACUAAAUAUCUAUGUAAUAAUUAGUUUUAUAUUAUGUUCAUAUAUAUACCUCUCGAGAGCCUGUUCUCAGAGAGGAGUUCCUUCUUUAAAAGUUUGAGUAAGCAAGUAAAGUCUCUUUUCUUUCUACUGCCUUACCUUCUCACUUUGUAUUUUUUACUUAUUACUAAGUUAUGAACUCUCUGAGGAGUUUUCCCUAGAGAAUGAGUAACUAAACCUCUAAUUCCUUGGAGCUAAGGUUGCUGGGGGAGGUUCCAAGUGCAAGAAUGCAAAGCUUUGUGGUUUUAGCUAGUAAUGAAGAGCAAGUGAAAUCCUUCAAUGAUUUCUAUGUUUUUAGUUAACUUAAAACACCUUGGAGUCACCUGGGCCAACACUUGGUAAGGCAAGUGAUUUCCAACCAUGGAAAUGCACUAGUUUACCCCUUGCGAGCCUCUGGGAGGUGACUUUAAGGUAGGAUUUUCUAGAAUAGACAACACUUGGUAAGCUUUUGGACUCCUAGGAGACAUCCAUUAGUUAUCUCUUGCGAGCUUUUGACGGGUAAUCCAAGGUUAAAGAUCACCUUGAAUGGUUAAGGCUUAGUGAGAGGCUUAAACCAUUGCAAGUUGCAUCAGUGAGAGAAUUAAAGUGAAAUCUAAUUGAAGGAGUCUCUGUACAUCACCAGUUAGAGAAUUGACUAUAUGUUGAAUCUUUAAUGCGAGGAAAUGAACCAUCUGACCAAAGCCGUGUCUUUUGCAUGAGGAACCACCCCAGUGAACCUAAAUCUCCAAGGAAUGCUUUUCUUCCUAAAUUAUUCCAAACUUCUGUUAUGUUAGUUAGUUUAAGUCUAAACCUUUACCAAUCAAAGUUUGUGUUUUACUUCUUAAGCUAACCUUGAAAUGAAACAAGGCCAAUUCACUUGGAAUUGGUAUCAUUGAUUGCUUGUUAAUCAUUCCCAGUGAACGAUCCUAGAGCCACUAUACUAUAGUAGCUUUGUCUUUGCUACCCUAGUAUAUGGUGUUAUAGGUUAUAAAUUUUGUUGAUUACUCCCUCAAUCAAGGAGCACCAGCUGGACGCAAAUCAGCUGAGACACCAAUUGGGCAUGAAUCACACCCUAUGCCCAUUUAGGCAUCCUCGGUCCAUUUAGACACCUUAGGCCCAUUUAGGCACCCUAGGCUCAUUUAGACACCCUUGGCCCAUUUAGGCACCCUAGGCUCAUUUAGGCACCCUUGGCACAUUUAGGCACCCUAGGCCCACUUAGUAACCCUAAGCCCACUUAGACACCCUUGGCCCAUUUAGGCACCCUAGGUCCACUUAAGCACUCUAGGCCCAUUUAGGCACCCUACGCCCACUAAGACACCCUAAGCCCACUUAGACACCCUUGGCCCAAUUAGGCACCCUAGGUCCACUUAGGCACUCUAGGCCCAUUUAGGCACCCUAGGUCCACUUAGGCACGCUAGGCCCACUUAGGCACCCUAAAUCCACUUAGACACCUUACGCCCAUUUAAGCACCCAAAGCCCACUUAGGCACCCUUAGCCCAUUUAGGAACCCUAGGCUCAUUUAGGCACCCUAGGUCCACUUAGGCACCCUACGACCAUUUAGGCACCCUAGGUCCACUUAGGCACUCUAGACCCAUUUAAGCACCCUAGGUCCACUUAGGCACCCUAGGCCCAUUUAGGCACCCUAGGUCCAUUUAGGUACCCUUGGCCCAUUUAGGCACCCUAGGCCCACUUAGCCACCCUAGGCCCAUUUAGGCACCUAAGGACCAAUUUGGCACCCUAGGCUCAUUUAAGAACCCUAGGCCCAUUUAAGAACCCUAUGUCCACUUAGACACCUUCUGCCCAUGUAGGCACCCUUGGUCCACUUAGGCACUCUAGACCCAUUUAGGCACCCUAGGUCCGCUUAGGCACCCUAGGCCCAUUUAGGCACCCUAGGUCCAUUUAGGCAUCCUUGGCCCAUUUAGGUACCCUAGGCCCACUUAGGCACCCUAGGCCCAUUUAGGCAACCUUGGGCAAUUUAGGCACCCUAGGUCCAUUUAGGCACCUAAGGAUCAUUUAGGCACUCAGAGGCCCAUUUAGGCACCCUAGGUCCAUUUAGGCACCUUAGGGUCAUUUAGGCAUCCAUAGGCCCAUUUAGGCAUCCAUAGGCCCAUUUAGGCACCUUAGGCUCAUUUAGGCACCCUUGGCCCAUUUAGGCACCCUAGGCCCACUUAGACACCCUGAGCCCACUUAGACACCCUCUGCCCAUUUAGGAACCCUAGGUCCACUUAGGCACUCUAGACCCAUUUAGGCACCCUAGGUCCACUUAGGCACGCUAGGCCCACUUAGGCACCCUAAAUCCACUUAGACACCUUACGCCCAUUUAAGCACCCAAAGCCAACUUAGGCACCCUUAGCCCAUUUAGGAAACCUAGGCUCAUUUAGGCACCCUAGGCCCACUUAGGCACCCUAGACCCAUUUAGGCACCCUAGGUCCACUUAGGCACUCUAGACCCAUUUAGGCACCCUAGGUCCACUUAGGCACCCUAGGCCCAUUUAGGCACCCUAGGUCCAUUUAGGUACCCUUGGCCCAUUUAGGCACCCUAGGCCCACUUAGGCACCCUAGGCCCAUUUAGGCACCUAAGGUCCAAUUUGGCACCCUAGGCUCAUUUAAGAACCCUAGGCCCAUUUAAGAACCCUAUGUCCACUUAGACACCUUCUGCCCAUGUAGGCACCCUUGGUCCACUUAGGCACUCUAGACCCAUUUAGGCACCCUAGGUCCGCUUAGGCACCCUAGGCCCAUUUAGGCACCCUAGGUCCAUUUAGGCAUCCUUGGCCCAUUUAGGUACCCUAGGCCCACAUAGGCACCCUAGGCCCAUUUAGGCAACCUUGGGCCAUUUAGGCACCCUAGGUCCAUUUAGGCACCUAAGGUUCAUUUAGGCACUCAGAGGCCCAUUUAGGCACCCUAGGUCCACUUAGACACCAUAGACCCAUUUCGGCACCCUAGGCUCAUUUAGGCACCCUUGGCUCAUUUAGGCACCUUAGGCUCAUUUAGGCACCCUUGGCCCAUUUAGGCACCCUAGGCCCACUUAGACACCCUGAGCCCACUUCGACACCCUCUGCCCAUUUAGGAACCCUAGGUCCACUUAGGCACUCUAGACCCAUUUAGGCACCCUAGGUCCACUUAGGCACCCUAGGCCCAUUUAGGCACCCUAGGUCCAUUUAGGCACCCUUAGCCCAUUUAGGUACCCUAGGCCCAUUUAGGCACCCUAGGUCCAUUUAGGCACCUUAGGGUCAUUUAGGCAUCCAUAGGCCCAUUAAGGCAUCCAUAGGCCCAUUUAGGCACCCUAAGUCCACUUAGACACCUUAAGCCCAUUUAGGCACCCUAGGCUCAUUUAGGCACCGUUGGCCCAUUUAGGCACCCUAGGCCUACUUAGACACCGUAAUCCCACUUCGACACGCUGCGUUCAUCUAGGCACCCUAGGUCCACUUAGGCACCUUAGGCCCACAUAGUCACCCUUGGCCCAUUUAGGCACCUUAGGUCCACUUAGGCACCCUAGGCCCAUUUAGGCACCCUACGUCCACUUAGGCACCCUUAGCCCAUUUAGGCACCCUAAGUCCACUUAGGCACCUUAGGCCCAUGUAGGCACCCUAGGCCCAUUUAGGCACCCUAGGUAACCUUAAGCACCCUACGUCCACUUAGGCACCCCAGGUCUAUUUACGCACCCCUUGCCCAUUUAGGCACCCUAGGCCCACUUAGGCACCCUAGGCUCAUUCAGGCACCCUAGGUCCACUUAGGAACCCUAGGCCCAUUUAGGCAUCCUUGGUCCACUUAGGCACCCUAGGCCAAUUUAGGCACCCUAGGUCCAGUUAGGCACUCUUGACACAUUUAGGCACCCUAGGCCCAUUUAGGAACCCUAUGUCCACUUAGACACCUUAUGCCCAUUUCGGCACCCUAGGUCAACUAAGGUAAUCUAGACCCAUUUAGGCACCCUAGGUCUACUUAGGCACCCUAUGCUCAUUUCAGCACCCUAGGCCCAUUUAGGAACCCUAUGUCCACUUAGACACCAUAUGCCCAUUUAGGCAUCCUAGGUCCACUUAGGCACUCUAGACCCAUUUAGGCACCCUAGGUCCACUUAGGCACCCUACGCCCAUUUAGGCACCCUAGGUCCAUUUAGGCACCCUUGGCCCAUUUAGGUACGCUAGGCCCACUAAGGCACCCUAGGCCCAUUUAGGCACCCUAUGUCCAUUUAGGCACCCUAGGCUCAUUUAGGCACCCUAGGUCCCCUUAGGCAACCUAGGCCCAUUUAGGCAUCCUUGGUCCACUUAGGCACCCUAGGCCAAUUUAGGCACCCUAGGUCCAGUUAGGCACUCUUGACACAUUUAGGCACCGUAGGCCCAUUUAGGAACCCUAUGUCCACUUAGACACCUUAUGCCCAUUUAGGCACCCUAGGCUCAUUUAGGCACCGUUGGCCCAUUUCGGCACCCUAGGCCUACUUAGACACCGUAAGCCCACUUCGACACGCUGCGUUCAUCUAGGCACCCUAGGUCCACUUAGGCACCUUAGGCCCACUUAGGCACCCUUGGCCCAUUUAGGCACCUUAGGUCCACUUAGGCACCCUAGGCCCAUUUAGGCACCCUACGUCCACUUAGGCACCCUUAGCCCAUUUAGGAACCCUAGGUCCACUUAGGCACCUUAGGCCCAUGUAGGCACCCUAGGCCCAUUUAGGCACCCUAGGCAACCUUAAGCACCCUACGUCCACUUAGGCACCCCAGGUCUAUUUACGCACCCCUUGCCCAUUUAGGCACCCUAGGCCCACUUAGGCACCCUAGGCCCAUUUAGGCACCCUAUGUCCAUUUAGGCACCCUAGGCUCAUUCAGGCACCCUAGGUCCACUUAGGCACCCUAGGCCCAUUUAGGCAUCCUUGGUCCACUUAGGCACCCUAGGCCAAUUUAGGCACCCUAGGUCCAGUUAGGCACUCUUGACACAUUUAGGCACCCUAGGCCCAUUUAGGAACCCUAUGUCCACUUAGACACCUUAUGCCCAUUUCGGCACCCUAGGUCAACUAAGGUAAUCUAGACCCAUUUAGGCACCCUAGGUCUACUUAGGCACCCUAUGCUCAUUUCGGCACCCUAGGCCCAUUUAGGAACCCUAUGUCCACUUAGACACUAUAUGCCCAUUUAGGCAUCCUAGGUCCACUUAGGCACUCUAGACCCAUUUAGGCACCCUAGGUCCACUUAGGGACCCUACGCCCAUUUAGGCACCCUAGGUCCAUUUAGGCACCCUUGGCCCAUUUAGGUACGCUAGGCCCAUUUAGGCACCUUAGGUCCAUUUAGGCACAUCAGGCUCAUUUAGGCACCCAUAGGUCCAUUUAGGCACCCUAGGCUCAUUUAGGCACCCUAGGCUCAUUUAGGCACCCUUGGCCCAUUUAGGCACCCUAGGCUCAUUUAAGCACCCUUGGCCCAUUUAGGCACCGUAGGCCCACUUAGUAACCCUAAGCCCACUUAGACACCCUUGACCCAUUUAGGCACCCUAGGUCCACCUAAGCACUCUAGGCUCAUUUAGGCACCCUAGGUCCACUUAGACAGGCUAGGCCCAUUUAAGCCCCCUAAGCCCACUUAGGCACCCUUGGCCCAUUUGGGAACCCUAGGCUCAUUUAGGUACUCUAGGUCCACUUAGGCACCCUAAGCCCAUUUAGGCACCUUAGGUCCAAUUAGGCACUCUAGACCCAUUUAGGCACCCUAGGUCCACUUAGGCACCCUAGGCCCAUUUAGGCACCCUGGUCCAUUUAGGCACCCUUGGCGCCUUUAGGCACCCUUGGCGCCUUUAGGCACCCUAGAACCACUUAGACACCCUUGGACCAUUUAGGCACCCUAGGUCCAUUUAGGCACCGUUGGCUCAUUUACGCACCCUAGACCUAUUUAGGCACCCUAGGUCCACUUAGACACCUUAGGCUCAUUUAGGCACCCUAGGUCCACUUAGGCACUCUAGACCCAUUUAGGCACCCUAGGUCCACUAAGGCACCCUAGGUCCAUUUACGCACCCUUGGCUCAUUUAGGUACCUUAGGCCCAUUUAGGCACCCUAGGUCCCUUUAGGCAACUUAGGGUCAUUUAGGCAUCCAUAGGCCCAUUGAGGCACCCUAGGUCCACUUAGACACCUUAGGCCUAUUUAGGCACUCUAGGCCCACUUAGACACCCUAAGCCCACUUAGACACGCUGCUCCCAUUUAGGCACCUUAGGCCUACUUAGGCACCCUUGGCCCAUUUACGCACCCCUAGGUCCACUUAGGCACCCUAGGCCCAUUUAGGCACCCUCGGUCCCCUUAGACACCUUAGGCCCAUUUAGGCAUCCUAGGCUCUUUUAGGCACCCUUGGCCCAUUUAGGCACCCUAGGCCCAUUUACGACCCUAGGUCAACUUAGGCACCCUAGGUCCACUUAGGCACCCUAGGUCCACUUAGGCACCCUAGGCCGAUUUAGCCACCCUAGGUCCAGUUAGGCACUGUACACCCAUUUAGGCACCUUAGGCCCAUUUAGGCACCCUAAGUCCAAUUAGGCACCUUAGGCUCAUUUAGGCACCCUAGGCCCAUUUAGGAACCCUAUGUCCACUUAGACACCUUAUGCCCAUUUAGGCACCCUAGGUCCACUUAGGCACUCUAGACCCAUUUAGGAACCCUAGGUCCACUUAGGCACGCUAGGCCCAUUUAGGCACCCUAGGUCCAUUUAGGCACCCUUUGCCCAUUUAGGUACCCUAGGCCCACUUAGGUACCCUAGGACCAUGUAGGCACCCUAUGUCCAUUUAGGCACAUAUGGCUCAUUUAGGCACCCAUAGGCCCAUUUAGGCACCCUAGGUCCACUUAGACCCCUUAGGCCCAUUUAGGCACCCUAGACUAAUUUAGGCACCCUUGGCCCAUUUAUGCACCCUAGGCUCAUUUAGGCACCCUUGGCCCAUUUAGGUACCCUAGGCCCACUUAGUAACCCUAAGCCCACUUAGACACACUUGGCCCAUUUAGGCACCCUAGGUCCACUUAGGCACUCUAGGCCCAUUUAGGCACCCUAGGUCAUUUUACGCACCCUAGGCUCAUUUAAGUACCCGAGGCCCAUUUAGGCACCCUAGGUCCAUUUAGGCACCUUAGGGUCAUUUAGGCAUCCAUAGGCCCAUUUAGGCACCCUAGGUCCACUUAGACACCUUAGGCCUAUUUAGGCACCCUAGUCUCAUUUAGGAACUCUUGGCCCAUUUAGGCACCCUAGGCCCACUUAGACACCCUAAGCCCACUUAGACACCCUGCGCCCAUUUAGGCACCCUAGGUCCACUUAGGCACCUUAGUGUCACGGACUUAGUCGUUCACUAAGCUCGUGCGGCACUUAGGCAAGUCAAGACGCUUGAUCUUGCUAAGUCAGCCUUGAUCCUCAAUGCUUAGCUUGCUCGGCUAAGACACUCACGACUCGAAAUCUUAAGAAGCUUGGUAGGCAACUCCUUAAUGAAUGGAAGCUCUUAUUAACUCAAGAAAGCCUUUACAAGUGCUUAGAUGCUCACUUGCUUGGUUAGGAAGUGAUUUGGGUGGUGCCUUGGCCAAAUGAGGCCUUCACCUAUUUAUAGGCACCAAUGGAACUCUCUGGAACCUUGGAGGGUUCCUUAGAAAUGAAGAAUAUUCUAGAACAUCCUACCCUAUUCUAUGUACAACCCUAUGUACAAGAGAUUCUUAGAAGUCUCUAGAAAGCCCUGGACUCCUCCCAUGCCUUCCUCCAUAGUGUAGAGAUGUGCGGACAUCUCUAGGCAUUUCUAGAACCUUCCACACUCUUCCCACCAAUGGCUUAUUGUAAAUGGUUCCAGGAGUCUCCAGAAGCUUCCCUCUUUCUAUAUAAGCCCAUAGGGAGGGUCAUUUGAAACAUCCUGUGACACUCUCCCCCACUGAUGCCGUCGACGUCCUCGUCGUUGCCUCAUUCUGAAACCUCUCGAUGUGUUUCCAGAAUUUUCUCAAGGCAUCCGCAUGUUCCCAGCUUACCGGUCUCUUAGGUAGUCCUUUCCAUCGGACUAGAUACUCUAUCACAGGAGGGACCCCUUGUCUCCUAGUGACCCGUUCAGCCAGGAUAUUCUUCACCUCCUUCUCCUGUGAGGCUUCAGAUAGAUGCAGACCCAUGCGCUUUCGAUGCUUAGAGUGUUGCUUCUUCUUACCGAUUGAGUUCACCUUUCCCUUGGUGACCUCUUCCAUGUGUGUGCGGGCUACCUCAGCUCGCUCCUCUUUUUCCUCCUUUACUUGCACCCCUGCUAGUAAGGAGGUCUUAGGCGUACUAGGCUUCGGGUUAAAUUGGAGGGCACCUAGUAGCUGCAUUGAGCCCAUAUGUGCUUCGUCCUCCUGCUCCCUCUCCUCGAUCAUGGCACUGAACGCCUUCCUCUUUGGACAAUCCCGUGCCCAAUGUGGACCGUCACACAGGAAGCAUUUGAUUUUAGGUGUAAACUCCUUCCUUUCCGCCUUAUCCCUUCCUUCUCGGACGUUAGACGUCUUUCCUGAUCCCUUUUUAGGAGCAUUGUGGUCCCUUGGAACCUCGUCUCCCCUACCCUUGGCGUGGCUAUCCUCCAAAGACUUAACCUUGGAGGAGUCUCCUCUCUUAUAAUCCGUUAAAGACUCUGCUACUGCCAUAGCAGUGGCUAAGUCUUAAACGCCUCGGCGCCUUAAUUCUUGCUCGGCCCACCCUUGCAGGUUAUCCAUGAAGUUGAAUAACAACUCCUCCUCAAUUAUGUUAGGAAUCUCAAGCAUGAGCGAAGAGAAUUCCUUGACAUAUUCACGUAUCGAGCUUGUGUGCUUGAGACGCCUCAUGUUUUUCCUAGCCAGGUAAGCCACGUCCUCGGGGUAGAACUGCCUCUUGAUCUGCCUCCUGAAGUCCUCCCACGUCCCUAUGGUGCAAAUGCCUUUCUCCAUAUCGGCAAACCUUCGACGCCACCAUAGAGUAGCUGUGUCAGUAAGGUAGAGGGUCGUAGUUCUCACCUUAGCCACCUCAUUCGUUAAUGCGAUAGCUUCGAAGUAUCGCUCCAUAUGCCAUAAGAAGUUAUCCAACUUCUUGGCAUCCCGCUUGCCACUAAACCUAUGUGGCUUCGGCACCUCCACCCUAGAUGCCUCCUAUGUGGUCAUGACCCGUGCCGACACAGCAGCCUUGUAGAUGUCCAACUCCUGCCUAACCUCCUGGUCUCGGGACUCCAUUCGAGUGGCCAAGGCCUCUAUCCUUGACUCCAUGCUAGCAAGCAUGCUCAAGACCUUUCCUUGGAAGGACACAAACUCCUCGUGCGACACUGGUUGAACCUGUGAGACUAGCACCCUCUCACGAAGGUCUUGGAUCUGCUCCCCUAGAUCCUCUAAGCCCUUCUCCAUGCCUUGCUCGAUCAAGUCCAACCCCUCCCGAGUGUCCGCCAUGGCUAGCUCUACCUUGGCUAACCUUGCCUCCAUAUUGGCAACGGCAUCACGAGACUUAUCCUUCUUAUCCCUGCCCCGUGCAGUAGGCUCGGUCUCCCUUCCACGGGUUUGCUCACUAGUCUCCUCCACGUUAGAGCCCGACAUGCUUCCUUUGCUAUGCCCACCUUGUAACCGUGCUCUGAUACCACUUGUCACGGACUUAGUCGUUCACUAAGCUCGUGCGGCACUUAGGCAAGUCAAGACGCUUGAUCUUGCUAAGUCAGCCUUGAUCCCCAAUGCUUAGCUUGCUCGGCUAAGACACUCGCGACUCGAAAGCUUAAGAAGCUUGGUAGGCAACUCCUUAAAGAAUGGAAGCUCUUAUUAACUCAAGAAAGCCUUUACAAGUGCUUAGAUGCUCACUUGCUUGGUUAGGAAGUGAUUUGGGUGGUGCCUUGGCCAAAUGAGGCCUUCACCUAUUUAUAGGCACCAAUGGAACUCUCUGGAACCUUGGAGGGUUCCUUACAAAUCAAGAAUAUUCUAGAACAUCCUACCCUAUUCUAUGUACAACCCUAUGUACAAGAGAUUCUUAGAAGUCUCUAGAAAGCCCUGGACUCCUCCCAUGCCUUCCUCCAUAGUGUAGAGAUGUGCGGACAUCUCUAGGCACUUCUAGAACCUUCCACACUCUUCCCACCAAUGGCUUAGAGUAGAUGGUUCCAGGAGUCUCCAGAAGCUUCCCUCUUUCUAUAUAAGCCCAUAGAGAGGGUCAUUUGAAACAUCCUAUGACAUUAGGCCCAUUUAGGCACCCUUAGCCCAUUUACGCACCCUAGGUCCACUUAGGCAGCCUAGGCCCAUUUAGGCACCCUAGGUCCCCUUAGACACCUUAGGCCCAUUUAGGCACCCUAGCCUCAUUUAGACACCCUUGGCCCAUUGAGGCACCCUAGGCCCAUUGAGGCACCCUAGGCCCAUUUACGACACUAGGUCAACUUAGGCACCCUAGGUCCACUUAGGCACCCUAGGUCCACUUAGGCACCCUAGGCCCAUUUAGGCACCCUAGGACCAAUUAGGCACUGUAAACCCAUUUAGGCACCUUAGGCCCAUUUAGGCACCCUAAGUCCAAUUGGGCAGCUUAGGCUCAUUUAGGCACCCUAGGCCCAUUUAGGAACCCUAUGUCCACUUAGACACCUUAUGCCCAUUUAGGCACCCUAGGUCCACUUAUGCACUCUAGACCCAUUUAGGCACCCUAGGUCCACUUAGGCACCUUAGGCCCAUUUAGGCACCCUAGGUCCAUUUAGGCACCCUUUGCCCAUUUAGGUACCCUAGGCCCACUUAGGUACCCUAGGACCAUUUAGGCACCCUAGGUCCAUUUAGGCACAUAAGGCUCAUUUAGGCACCCAUAGGCCCAUUUACGCACCCUAGGUCCACUUAGACCCCUUAGGCCCAUUUAGGCACCCUAGGCUCAUUUAGGCACCCUUCGCCCAUUUAGGCACCCUAGGCCCACUUAGUAACCCUAAGCCCACUUAGAACCCUUGGCCCAUUUAGGCACCCUAGGUCCACUUAGGCACUCUAGGCCCAUUUAGGCACCCUAGGUCUCUUAGACACGCUAGGCCCAUUUAAGCACCCUAAGCCCACUUAGGCACCCUUGGCCCAUUUUGGAACCCUAGGCUCAUUUAGGCACCCUAGGUCCACUUAGGCACCCUUGGCCCAUUUAGGCCCCCUAAGCCUAAAUGGCACCCUAGGUCAACUUAGGCACCCUACGUCCACUUAGGCACCCCAGGUCCAUUUAGGCACCCUUGGCCCAUUUAGGCACCCUAGGCCCACUUAGGCACCCUAGGCCCAUUUUGGCACCCUAUGUCCAUUCAGGCACCAUAGGGUCGUUUAGGUACCCUAGGUCCACUUAGGCACCCUAGGCCCAUUUAGGCACCCUAGGUCCAUUUAGGCACAUAAGGCUCAUUUAGGCACCCAUAGGCCUAUUUCGGCACCCUACCUCCACUUAGACACCUUAGGCCCAUUUUGGCACCCUAGGCUCAUUUAGGAACCCUUGGCCCAUUUAGGCACCCUAGGCCCACUUAGUAACCCUAAGCCCACUUAGACACCCUUGGCCCAUUUAGGCACCCUAGGUCCACUUUAGCACUCUAGUCCAAUUUAGGCACCCUAGGUCCACUUAGACACGCUAGGCACAUUUAAGCAGCCAAAGCCCACUUAGGCACCCUUGGGCCAUUUUGGAACCCUAGGCUCAUUUAGGCACCCUAGGUACCCUUAGGCACCCUAAGCCCAUUUAGGCAUCCUUGGCCCAUUUAGGCACCUUAGGCCCACUUAGGCACCUAGGUCCACUUAGACACCUUAGGCCCAUUCAGGCACCCUAGGUCCACUUAGGCACUCUAGACCCAUUUAGGCACCCUAGGUCCACCUAGGCACCCUAAGCCCAUUUAGGCACCCUAGGUCCAUUUACGCACCCUUGGCCCAUUUAGGUACCCUAGGCCCAUUUAGGCACCCUAGGUCCAUUUACGCACCUUAGAGUCAUUUAGGCAUCCAUAGGCCCAUUUAGGCACCCUAGGUCCACUUAGACUCCUUAGGCCCAUUUAGUCACCCUAAGCUCAUUUAGGCACCCUUGGCCAAUUUAGGCACCUAGGCCCACUUAGACACCCUAAACCCACUUAGACACGCAGCGCCCAUUUAGGCACCCUACGUCCACUUAGGCACCUUAGGCCCACUUAGGCACCCUUGGCCCAUUUACGCACCUAGGUCCACUUAGGCACCCUAGGCCCAUUUAGGGGACCCUAAGUCGACUUAGACACCUUACGGCCAUUUAGGCACCCUAGGCUCAUUUAGGGACCCUUCGCCCAUUUAGGCACCCUAGGUCCAUUUACGACCCUAGGUCAACUUAGGCACCCUAGGUCCAUUUAGGUACCCUAGGUCCACUUAGACAGCCUAGGCCCAUUUAGGCACCCUAGGCUCAUUUAGGCACCCUUGGCCCAUUUAGGCACCCUACGCCCAUUUAGGCACCCUAGGUCAACUUAGGCAACCUAGGUCCACUUAUGCACCCCAGGUCCAUUUAGGCACCCUUGGCCCAUUGAGGCACCCUAGGCCCACUUAGGCACCCUAGGCCCAUUUACGCACCCUAGGUCCAUUUACGCACCCUAGUCCCAUUUAGGCACCAUAGGUCCACUUAGACACCCUAGGCCCAUUUAGGCACCCUAAGCCCACUUAGGCACCCUUGGUCCAUUUAGGCACCCUAGGCUCAUUUAGGUACCCUAGGUCCACUUAGGCACCCUAGGCCCAUUUAGGCACCCUUGGUCCACUUAGGCACCCUAGGCCCAUUUAGGUACCCUAGGUCUAGUAAGGAACUCUAGACCCAUUUAGGCACCUUAGGCUCAUUUAGGCACCCUAGGUCCAAUUAGGCACCUUAGGCUUAUUUAGGCACCCUAGGCCCAUUUAGAAACCCUAUGUCCACUUAGACACCUUAUGCCCAUUUAGGCACCCUAGGUCCACGUAGGCACUCUAGACCCAUUAGGCACCCUAGGUUCACUUGGGCACCCUAGGCCCAUUUAGGCACCCUAGGUCCACUUUGGCACCAUAGGCCCAUUUAGCCACCCUAGGUCCACUUACACACCUUAGGCCCAUUUAGGCACCCUAGGCUCAUUUAGGCACCCUUGGCCCAUUUAGGCACUCUAGGCCCACUUAGACACCCUAAGCCCACUUAGACACACUGUGCCCAUUUAGGCACUCUAGGUCCACUUAGGCACCCUAGGCCCAUUUAGGCACCGUAGGUCUAUUUAGGCACAUAAGGCUCAUUUAGGCACCCAUAGGCCCAUUUAGAAAAUUUCGCACAGCCUGAUGCAGUUGUCUUCCGAAGGCCAUAUCUUUCUCAUUUCAGCUCCAAAUCAUACAUGGUUUGAACCGUUGGAUUCUUGACUUUCUGAGCUUUGAAAUGGUAUAUAGAAUGUAAAAAAUGGACUUCGGGAAGUGCUCCAAAAGUGCAAUGAAAGACUGCAGCUGUGUCCCCUGUUUUCCUCUUCUCCAUUGUUUCUUCCUUGUAUACUUUGAACCACUAAGGCAAAGGAUUAUGAGGCUCCAUAGCUUGAUUUCUUCAUAAAUUUAAGCUUUCAAAAGCUUUGCUCUGAACUAUAAAUAGCUCUCCCUCAUUCUUAAAUUGCUUUGGUGAGCAUAAAGCUAUCAAAAAGCACCAAAACUUAACACAUUUGUUAGAAACGAUUGCAAAGGUCCCUAAUAUGUUAAUUGAGUUAAAAGAUAAUAAUUACUACUCAAGGGUGUUUAAAAGAGCUAAUUACAAGCUACAAAAUAGCAUGUUUUGAGUAGUAAUCACUCCCCCCAACCGACAUAUUGCUAGUCCCUUAGCAAUUAAGGAGAGAAAAACUAAGCAAACGUAAUAAUAUACAUAAAAGAAGUCAUGCAAUUCAUUCCAAAAAAUAAUUGAGUGGCAUGACUGAUAUCCAAACACAUCUCUCCUGGUGAACUAAAGAUAUGAAGAUUCAAAAUGCAAUAGGAGUUGUCAAAGCUUAAACUUAAACAAAAAGUACAAAGAGUGGAGAUUAUGCAAUUAAGUAUCAAAAGAAUCUCUACUCUCAAGGUUUCAAAUCAAACUCUUCCAUAAUAAGCUAAGUGUUAAUGAAAUUAGCUUCCGGAUAUAGUAUAUACAACUAUCCUCACCCUCCAAACUAAGCUUUUCUCGAAUAUUGGCAAAAUUAAUCAACUCUUAAUAGGUUAAGAACGCACCUUCUUAUUCACAAUUCUUUUUUUUUUUACUCACUAAACUUAACCAAUUCACCUAUGUAGCAAGCAGAGGAUCGAUGACUCCCAACCAAUUAAGGUUUAGGGCAUUGGGUUUUAAAGGCUUUCGCCACCCCUUCGGAUCAUACUUAGGUUUCAAGGAAAGAAUAGAGGCUUAUUCUCUUUUUCUUUUUCUAAGACUCAUUGGUCUUUUUCUAAGACUCAUUGGUCUUUAUGAGGUGUCCCAACACUAUUAAAAAGAGGUUAAGUAAUAAACCAAGUCAAAAUUUUCCUAAGCUUAGAAAGUGAGAAAGUUUUACAUCUUAUAUCCGGGAUCUAAUGUGCACAGUGUGUGUAAAGCUCGAAAUGGAAGAAGAAAGUUCAAAAUCAAAGAGGCUUCAAUAGAUUAUCAACUUUGAAAGCAUAAAACAAACUCUAAGACUUAAAUAAUUAAGUUAAAACUCGACUUAUCCUAUUUUAUUUUUGAAAAAUUAUCUUUAACAACCAGAGAGAAUGAUUCAAAAAACUUUUUAAAAAAUUUAAAAUUUAAGCAAAAAUUAACUAAAAUACCAAAAUAACUUAAUAUUGACAACAAAACUUCCUUUCUCAAUUCUCCCCCCCAACCAAGUUGAACAUUGUCCCCAAUGUUUCAAAAGCGAUUAAAAAUAAAGGGAGGAAGUGGUACCUCCUGAGUGAGAUAAAGUCUGAGUGUAAAGGAGGUAUGGAGUACCUUAAACCACAUGUUCCAAGGACAAAAGAGUAAUGAGAAAAGGGAAUAUAAUCAAAAAGGAUAUAUAUAUAUAUAUAUAUUACUUGAAAAAGAAAUAUACAAUGUAUGAUUUCAAGUACUAUUUCCAAUCCCAAUUUAUAACACAUGCAAAAGAUGGGAUUUACAAGUCUAAAAUAAAAAGUAAAACAUAAAAAAAUCAGAUAUGAGUGGGGUCAUGUGAUGGCUCUGCUCUGAUCUCCUCCUCUGGUAUAGGCUGCUCAGCUGGCAAGCUCUCCUCAUCUGGCACUAGAGGCUCGGAUGGUGCAGACCUAUCAUGCCCAAGAGGGAUCUGCAUACUCAGAUGCUGCUGAAUCUGAUGAAGGAUCGUGGUAUGCUGGGCCUGAGUAGCGAUGAUCUGAUCCUGGUGUGCACGAAUAGUGGCCAUCUGGUGGAUAAUAGAAUCCUGAGCAGUGCUCAGUGUCCGCAAUGAACGCUCUAAGCCUCUGAAUUCUGUAAGAGAAAUGGUGACAGUGGGCUCAGAUGAAGGAGGAGGUGCUGGGGUAGCUGGCACGACUGGUGGAGCACCCUGAGUGAUAGGGGAGGUAGAAUGUAUAGCCUCGGGCAUGUGCACUGAGGGCUGUGCUGCAGGGGCAGGAGGUGGUGUCUCUGUGAGAAUCUCAUCCUGCUGGGCCUGAGGUAUCUGCUCAUCUCGGGGUAGCUCUGGAGGUGCAUGUACAGCUGGGGCUCCCUGAGGUGCAAAGUAGGCUACCAAGUGAUGCCAUUUGUCGAGAGAGAAGUCCUCUCGGCAAUGGCGGCGCCUCUCAAGACGGGGCUCUUCAGGAUAGCCCAAGUGCUCUAAAAUCUGGCAGAGGAGCCUCGGAAAUAGUAAUGGGAUGCCAUCUGCCCUCUGAAGCUUCUUCUGAUGGACUUUCUCUUCAAAAUGAAGAAGAGAAGUCAUAAUCAAAUGAUGAGGGCCGAAGAAAUAGCCCUCAGAAAUCCUGAAUAACGCCUCAAGUAUAGCUCCUCUCCUCUGAACCUUAUGCUGAAGGGGGAAUAGGUUGGCACGCAGGAGCACAUCAAUGAGGAGCAUCCCAGAUGGAAGCUCUCUCCUGGUCAAUACCGAGGCUGUAGAAGUCCCCCUGGACAAAAUGCGGACCAUGUCACUCUGAGAGAAUGAGGACCACUCCCUGAAAUCUGCCUGAAACACGGGCUCAUAAGGUAUACGGAGGGCCUCAGCAAUGUGGCGAGCUCCAAUGGCACCCUGGCGUCCGUCUAUGGUAAAUUGGAUGAGAGUAGGAUUGCGGAGGCCUCGAGUAGUCAUAGAUUGAUAAAAAUCUAAAACUACUCUGGGAUAGUAGAAUUGCCUAGGAGUGAGAAGAUCCUCCAUGUGAUACCUCUACAGCAGUCGGAAUGAAUCUCUGAGCUCUGGCUGCUGUCUGAGGGCCUCUAUAUCAAAGUAGGUCUCAGAGUGGAAGGAUCGAUUUCUGCAAUCCAAGUUGCCCUCUAUCGGUGGUCCGGCUAUCAUGGGACGCCUGAUAAUGGUCUCGGGAGUAUUUUCUACAGGAAUCUGAGGUUCCUCUGUAGCUGGCUCUGGCUGAGGUGCGUGGGAUGGCUCUCCAGGACCCGAGAACCUGGUCCUCUUCGCUGGUGGCCGAGAAACAGGGCUCGUGGCCUGAUCGACUGGUGCCACAGGGUCCGCGGGUGGCCUCCGGGUGGGGUAUCGGCUCUGAGAAGGAGCUUCCCCCUCAGAUGGGGGAAUGGCCGGGGCCUGAACAGGUGGUGAAGGUGCGGCUCCCAUGGCGGCUCGCUGUGGUCGAGGUGUCGGUGAGGACGGGGAGGCGGAAUGGCCUCCUCUGGUCUUCGCCAUGGCCGAAAUGAAGGGAGGUGGGUGUUCGGGAUUCCAGAGGUUUUUCAGCUGGUGCUUAGGAGAGUCCUUUGAGCUUCUGGACUUCAGGGGUUUAUAUAGGAAUGAGGUUUAAGGGGUUUCUGAUCUUUUAAAAUUUUUCAAGGCAACCGAAAAGUCGUUUUUGGAUGUUAGGCACAAUUUCGGGGGUAAAAUUUUAAUUUAAAAGUCGGUUUUAAAUUUGUAGAAGUUAAAAUUUUACCGUGCGAAAUUUUCGCACCUUGGCCUGCAAAUUUCGCACCUUGGAAUUGGGUGUGCGAAAAUGGCACCCCUUUGGCCGAUGAUUUCGCACGUUAAAAGGAGGUGUGCGAAAUUUUCGCACCUUGAAUAGUGGUGUGCGAAAUUUUCGCACACUAUUUCGCACAGUGCGAAAAUCAGCUUGAGGUGUGCGAAAUUGGCACACGUGUGCCAGGAGAGGAUUUCGCACAGUGCGAAAAUUUUCGCACCUUCCACAGUGGUGUGCGAAAUUGGAUUUUAGGAAAUUCGCACCUUGAAAAGGGAUUUCGCACCUUGAAAUUGAUUUCGCACCUUGAGGUAGGGGUGUGCGAAAAUUGCUUCCUUUGGCCCAAGGAUUUCGCACCUUGGUAUUGAGGUGUGCGAAAUUUUCGCACCUUGAAAUCAGGUGUGCGAAAAUUUGGCACCUUGAAAUUGGGUGCUCUGUUUCCUUGGUUUUUCUCCCCUUGGCUGCUUUUGACGAGCUCUCCCCAUCUUUCAUGAUUUUUUUCUGAAAUUUAUUAUCAAAAUUAACUUGAAUUAAGACAAUAUAAACUAAGAUUAGGAGAAAAUUAAAAUAUAAAGAAAUAAAAAUACUAAUAUAACUAUAAAACUAUAACAAAAAAUUCAUGGACUUCUUUAGCCCAUGAUACCCUGCUUUCCCUCAGAUUUGUGGUAGUUCAAGGAGAUUGAUCUCCUCCUUGUCUGUACUGUAAGGCUCUAAGAAUGGCUUGAGACGAUGGCCAUUGACUUUGAAGGUUUGAUUGCCUGUGGGAUUGAAUAUUUCCACCACUCCGUUGGGAUGCACUUCAUGAAUUAUGAAAGGACCCGUCCAUCUGGAUUUCAAUUUUUUUCGGUAAAAGAUAAAGCUUAGAGUCAUAAAGUAAGACUCUUUGUCCCAAAACAGCCCCCAUAGCAAGAUCUUAAAAAAAAAAACUAAGUUAAAUCAAACCAAAAUAAAAUUAAAGCAAGAAAUCAAAAUUAAAACAAGUUUAAAAAUAAAACAAAAAGAUAUGGACUAGCUAGUCUUUAGAAAGACUAAGUCCAUAAAAAAAAUUGGAUCCGGAUUUAGCUUGCCCGGAUCCCAUAUGAAGUUUGCAUCCCUCCCUUGAGACUUGCUUUGUAUGAUGGUGCCAUACAAAGCUUGGGGGAAAGGUGGAGGGAUGUGAUUCUUCAUCAUUUCUUCCUUUAAAAGAAUUUGAGGUUCCUCAUCCAUGCUUGGAAUGAUGCUUUCUUUCAUCUGAACUCCCUUUCCCUUUUGUUCUUUCUUCUUUUCUUCUUUUCUAUCAGCCUUGUCUUCUUUGGCUUUCCUCUGAUCAUGCUCCGGCUGAUGCACUUCCUUACCACUUCUCAAAGUGAUAAUAGCUUGCACGUCCCUCACCUUUGAAGAAUCCUCAUCUUUGGAUUCCACUUCAUGUAUCCCCUUAGGAUUUUGGUGAGGCUGAGAGGGAAACUUCCCUUUCUCAUUGACAGUGUUCAAAUUUGUGAGCCUUGAGAUGGAAUAUUGGAUGUUGUCAAUUUUCUGAGACAACUCAUUAUGCAUCCCAUCUAUCUUCUUGUUCAAUGUACUCUCUACGUUGUCAAUCUUCUGAUUUAGUUGAGAGUUGAUGGAUUUUUGCUCGCUCACAAAGUCACCCAUAACCUUGCUAAGGCUUACGAGUGCUUGCUCAACUGAGGAUUGACCUUGACUCUGUUGGCUUGAUUGGGCUGGUGACUGAUAUGGGUUUGGCCUUGGCUUCCAUGCAAAGUUUGGGUGGUUCCUCCAGCUAGAGUUGUACGUGUUGCCAUAGGGAGCAUUUGAAUUUGGCUUCCAUUGGCCAAUCAGGUUAGCUUGUUCCCCGAACAUUUCUCUUGCUGCCAGAAUGGUGGGACAUUCUUCCACCAUAUGUUCAAAUGACUGACAUAUGGAGCAAGGAUUGGCUUGUUGUUGAGGUUCUGAAAUAGCUUGGACUUCGUGAACUUUUCUCAACUCCAUUUCCUCUAUUUUUCUAGCCAUGGCAGCUACCUUGGCUUUCAUCUCCAUGUCUUCACUCAGACUGUACAUCCCCCCUCUUGACAUUUGCUGAACUGGCCUCUUCCCCAUUUCUCUACUAUUGGGCUCAUCCCAUCCACGGGAAACCUCUGAGACAUAACUUAGGAAGUCCAUAGCCUCCUCAGGGUUCUUGCUCAUGAAAUCACCCCCACACAUUGUCUCCAAUAUCUGCUUCAUUGAAGAUGACAUGCCAUCAUAAAAAUAGCUCACCAAAAGCCAUGUAUCAAAGCCGUGGUGAGGACAUGCAUUGAUGGCCUCCAUAUACCUCUCCCAGCAUUCAUAAAAUUUUUCAUUUUCACGUGCUGAGAAGUUGGAGAUUUGUCUCUUCAAUCCAUUUGUUCUGUGAGUAGGGAAAAACUUCUUCAAAAAAUCAGCUUGAAGUUCUGUCCAUGUUCUUAUGCUUCUCGGCCUCAAGGAAUUAAGCCAUAUCUUGGCUUUGUCCUUUAAUGUGAAUGGAAAGAGCUUCAACCUCAUAAGCUCAAUAGUUGUUCCCCCUUCUUGAAAAGUAUUGCACACAUCUUCGAAUUCCUUUAUGUGCGCAUAUGGAUUUUCACUUUCCAUCCCAUGGAAAGUAGGAAGCAGAGGCACGAUGUGUGGCAUGAUAAUCAAUUGCUCUGUAGGAGGAAUGAUGCAAGAUGGUGCACUCAUCCUCGGAGGGUGCAUCCUGUCCCUCAUGGACCUAUACAAGUUCGGAUCAUUCCCCUGCCCGUGUUGUGAAUGUUGAUCCUCUGGUUGAUUCUCCAUGAUCUCCAAAAUAAUAUCUAAUUCAGUAGCUCGUGGAGUCUCUAUCCGCACUAACCUUCCCUCUUGGUCUCUAAUCCAAUAGGGCAUGCACGGAUUCAGCUGGAACAAAACAAAUAAACAAAACAAAGAAAAAGAAAAAAAAAACAGAGCAUGCGGAAGGAAAAACAGAGUAUGAAAAAUAAACUAAAAAUGAAAGUUAAAAGCUAAAAGAAACUUAUCUAAACUAAGUUAAAAAUGUUCUAAAACUAAAAUAAAAAGUUAGUAAAUGAAAAAGGAGAUAGAAUUCACCUUACUCAUGAGAAGUCUCACAAGUUACCUCCGGCUGAUAUAUUCACAGUGAAGUAGCACCUUCCCCGGCAACGGCGCCAUUUGAUACGCUUGACUCUUGGUAGCUUGGCAUGUAAGGGUAUCAACAAAAUUUAUACCUAAGGUCCUUACACUAAAGUAGCAAAGCUACUAUAGUAUAGUGGCUCUAGGAUCGAACACUGGGAAGGGUUUUUACUUUAACUAGUGAAGUUCAGAGGAUGGAGUGAACUUUUCUUAAUAAAAAUUAGGUUAAGAUGAAAACAUAAAAAGAUGAAGGUGUUGUAAACUAAACUAACAUGAAAAUAGGAUAAAAGAUGGAAAAAGAAGUUUCUCAAAGCUUUGGAUAGCCAUGCUUAACUCACCAUGUAAAAAUGGAGAUUUUGGGACUUUUCACCUCGCGUUGGGGAAGCAACUAAGGUGAUGCUUACUUCCCGAACCGGUAUGAGUUUAACAACUGAGUUUUAGUCCUUGAAAACUUACAAAAAGGGUAGCUGAACCUCAUAAAUGCCCUUUUAAUGAUAUAGGUCAUCUACUCGACUUGCAAUACAAUGGCUCGUAGGAGAUAACUAACGAACGUCAGUGGAUCUAACAAUAAGAAUCCACUGAGACCAAAAGCUUAUCAAGUAUUGGCCAUUCAAAGCAAGUCAGAGGGAUUAAAAGCUUUACUUUGAAUGAAAACAUUUAUGGUGCUCAGCUACUUACAUUCAUGGCUUGGAAAUCUCCAUCCUGACACGGGAGCUUCACAUGGCAUCCAUUACUUCAAGAAACUAAAAGGUUUUAGCCUCUCAUCCUUGGGGAUUUCAUCCUCCAAGGAUGUUUGGCUACUAAGAAAAUGAGAAAAUAGAAGAGAGAAAAAGAAAAAACAAAAGAGAUCUCUGUAUUUCACUAAGUAACUAAUUUACAUUGGUCUCCUGGAGAAAGCUCCCCGAAAAGAUAUUGUUUUCAGUGAUUACAAGAGAAUUUAUAUAGGAAGGUAGUUUUACCCUUCCUUGGAUACUUCCUAGCUAAGGAAUUACAUGGUUGGUUGAAUACAAGGAGAAAAUGGAAAUUUAAACACAAAAAUAUCAGAAGAAGAAGAGUCGGCAAACAUAUCCAAUUUUCGCACGCUGAAGUUCCAAUUUCGCACGUUGAUUUGAGGUGUGCGAAAUUUUCGCACAGUGGACUGAGGAUUUCGCACCUUGAUUUCCAUCGUGCGAAAAUUUCGCAUAGCCUGAUGCAGUUGUCUUCCGAAGGCCAUAUCUUUCUCAUUUCAGCUCUAAAUCAUACAUGGUUUAAACCGUUGGAUUCUUGACUUUCUGAGCUUUGAAAUGGUAUAUAGAAUGUAAAAAAUGAACUUCGGGAAGUGCUCCAAAAGUGCAAUGAAAGACUGCAGCUGUGUCCCCUGUUUUCCUCUUCUCCAUUGUUUCUUCCUUGUAUACUUUGAACCACUAAGGCAAAGGAUUAUGAGGCUCCAUAGCUUGAUUUCUUCAUAAAUUUAAGCUUUCAAAAGCUUUGCUCUGAACUAUAAAUAGCUCUCCCUCAUUCUUAAAUUGCUUUGGUGAGCAUAAAGCUAUCAAAAAGCACCAAAACUUAACACAUUUGUUAGAAAUGAUUGCAAAGGUCCCUAAUAUGUUAAUUGAGUUAAAAGAUAAUAAUUACUACUCAAGGGUGUUUAAAAGAGCUAAUUACAAGCUACAAAAUAGCAUGUUUUGAGUAGUAAUCAGCACCCUAGGUCCACUUACACACCCUAGGUCCACUUAGGCACCCUAGGCCCAUUUAGGCACCCUAGGUCCAUUUAGGCACAUAAGGCUCAUUUAGGCACCCAUAGGCCUAUUUCGGCACCCUACCUCCACUUAGACACCUUAGGCCCAUUUUGGCACCCUAGGCUCAUUUAGGAACCCUUGGCCCAUUUAGGCACCCUAGGCCCACUUAGUAACCCUAAGCCCACUUAGACACCCUUGGCCCAUUUAGGCACCCUAGGUCCACUUUAGCACUCUAGUCCCAUUUAGGCACCCUAGGUCCACUUAGACACGCUAGGCACAUUUAAGCAGCCAAAGCCCACUUAGGCACCCUUGGGCCAUUUUGGAACCCUAGGCUCAUUUAGGCACCCUAGGUACACUUAGGCACCCUAAGCCCAUUUAGGCAUCCUUGGCCCAUUUAGGCACCUUAGGCCCACUUAGGCACCUAGGUCCACUUAGACACCUUAGGCCCAUUCAGGCACCCUAGGUCCACUUAGGCACUCUAGACCCAUUUAGGCACCCUAGGUCCACCUAGGCACCCUAGGCCCAUUUAGGCACCCUAGGUCCAUUUACGCACCCUUGGCCCAUUUAGGUACCCUAGGCCCAUUUAGGCACCCUAGGUCCAUUUAGGCACCUUAGAGUCAUUUAGGCAUCCAUAGGCCCAUUUAGGCACCCUAGGUCCACUUAGACUCCUUAGGCCCAUUUAGGCACCCUAAGCUCAUUUAGGCACCCUUGGCCAAUUUAGGCACCUAGGCCCACUUAGACACCCUAAACCCACUUAGACACGCAGCGCCCAUUUAGGCACCCUAGGUCCACUUAGGCACCUUAGGCCCACUUAGGCACCCUUGGCCCAUUUACGCACCUAGGUCCACUUAGGCACCCUAGGCCAAUUUAGGGACCCUAAGUCGACUUAGACACCUUACGGCCAUUUAGGCACCCUAGGCUCAUUUAGGGACCCUUCGCCCAUUUAGGCACCCUAGGUCCAUUUACGACCCUAGGUCAACUUAGGCACCCUAGGUCCAUUUAGGUACCCUAGGUCCACUUAGACAGCCUAGGCCCAUUUAGGCACCCUAGGCUCAUUUAGGCACCCUUGGCCCAUUUAGGCACCCUACGCCCAUUUAGGCACCCUAGGUCAACUUAGGCAACCUAGGUCCACUUAGGCACCCCAGGUCCAUUUAGGCACCCUUGGCCCAUUGAGGCACCCUAGGCCCACUUAGGCACCCUAGUCCCAUUUACGCACCCUAGGUCCAUUUACGCACCCUAGUCCCAUUUAGGCACCAUAGGUCCACUUAGACACCCUAGGCCCAUUUAGGCACCCUAAGCCCACUUAGGCACCCUUGGUCCAUUUAGGCACCCUAGGCUCAUUUAGGUACCCUAGGUCCACUUAGGCACCCUAGGCCCAUUUAGGCACCCUUGGUCCACUUAGGCACCCUAGGCCCAUUUAGGUACCCUAGGUCUAGUUAGGAACUCUAGACCCAUUUAGGCACCUUAGGCCCAUUUAGCCACCCUAGGUCCAAUUAGGCACCUUAGGCUUAUUUAGGCACCCUAGGCCCAUUUAGAAACCCUAUGUCCACUUAGACACCUUAUGCCCAUUUAGGCACCCUAGGUCCACGUAGGCACUCUAGACCCAUUAGGCACCCUAGGUUCACUUGGGCACCCUAGGCCCAUUUAGGCACCCUAGGUCCACUUUGGCACCAUAGGCCCAUUUAGCCACCCUAGGUCCACUUACACACCUUAGGCCCAUUUAGGCACCCUAGGCUCAUUUAGGCACCCUUGGCCCAUUUAGGCACUCUAGGCCCACUUAGACACCCUAAGCCCACUUAGACACACUGUGCCCAUUUAGGCACCCUAGGUCCACUUAGGCACCCUAGGCCCAUUUAGGCACCCUAGGUCUAUUUAGGCACAUAAGGCUCAUUUAGGCACCCAUAGGCCCAUUUAGGCACCCUAGGUCCACUUACACACCCUAGGCCCAUUUAGGCACCCUAGGCUCAUUUAGGCACCCUUCGCCUAUUUAGGCACCCUAGGCUCAUUUAGUCACCCUUGGCCCAUUUACGCACCCUAGGGCCACUUAGUAACCCUAAGCCCACUUAGACACCCUUGGCCCAUUUAGGCACCCUAGGUCCACUUAGGCACUCUACGCCCAUUUAGGCACCCUAGGUCCACUUAGACACGCUAGGCCCAUUGAAGCACCCUAAGCCCACUUAGGCACCCUUGGCCCAUUUAGGAACCCUAGGCUCAUUUAGGCACCCUAGGUCCACUUAGGCACCCUAAGCCCAUUUAGGCACUCUAGGUCCAAUUAGGUACUCUAGACCCAUUUAGGCACCCUAGGUCCACUUAGGCCCCCUUGGCCCAUUUAGUCACCCUAGGUCCAUUUAGGGACGCUUGGCCCAUUUAGGCACCUUAGGCCCACUUAGGCACCCUUGGCCCAUUUAGGCACCCUAGGUCCAUUUAGGCACCCCAGGCUCAUUUAGGCAUCCUAGGCCCAUUUAGGCACCCUAGGUCCAGUUAGACACCUUAGGCCCGUUUUGGCACCCUAGGUGCAGUUAGGCAUUCUAGACCCAUUAAGGCACCCUAGGUCCACUUAGGCAGCCUAGGCCCAUUUAGGCACCCUAGGUCCAUUUAGGCACCCUUGGCCCAUUUAGGUACCCUAGGCCCAUUUAGGCACCCUAGGUCCAUUUAGGCACCUUAGGGCAUUUAGGCAUCCAUAGGCCCACUUAGGCACCCUAGGUCCACUUAGACACCUUAGGCCCAUUUAGGCACCCUAGUGUCACAAGCUGAUCCAAAUGAGCCUCCCCAUGGCCUUAUAUAGGGCCAGGAAGCUUCUGGAGACUCCUAGAGUGGGAAGAGUGUGGAAGGUUCUAGAGAAGUCUGGAGGAAUCCACACAAUUCUACACUAUGGUGGAAGGCACAAGAGGAGUCCUGGGCUUUCUAGAGGAAUCUAGAAGACUCUUGUAUAUACUUGUAUAUAGGCUUGUAUCUAGAAUGAUGUAGGACAUUCUAGAAUAGUCUUGAGUUGUAAGGAACCCUCCAAGGUUCCAGAGAGUUCCAUUGGUGCCUAUAAAUAGGUGAGGGCCUCAUUUGGCCAAGGCACCAAGCAAGUGAGCAUCCAAGCACUUGUAAAGGCUUUCUUGAGUUAAUAGAGCUUCCAUUCUUUCAAGAGUUGCCUACCAAGCUUCUUAAGCUUUUUGAGUCGCAGGUGUCUUAGACGAGCAAGCUAAGCAUUGGGGAUCAAGGCUGACUUAGCAAGAUGAAGCGUCUUGGCUUGUCUAAGUGCCGCACGAGCUUAGUGAAUGACUAAGUCUGUGAUACUAGGCUCAUUUAGGCACCCUUGGCCCAUUUAGGCACCCUAGGCCCACUUAGACACCCUAAGCCCACUUAGACACGCUACGCCCAUUUAGGCACCCUAGGUCCACUUAGGCACCUUAGGCCCACUUAGGCACCCUAGACCCAUUUAGGCACCCUAGGUCCAAUUAGGCACCCUAAGCUCAUUUUGGCACCCUAGGCCCAUUUAGGAACCCUAUGUCCACUUAGACACCUUAGGCCCAUUUAGGCACCGUCGGUCCACUUAGGCACUCUAGACCCAUUUAGGCACCCUAGGUCUACUUAGGCACCCUAGGCCCAUUUAGGUACCCUAGGUCCAUUUAGGCACCCCUUGCCCAUUUAGGUACCCUAGGCCAACUUAGGUACCCUAGGACCAUUUAGGCACCCUAGGUCCAUUUAGGCACAGAAGGCUCAUUUAAGCACCCAUAGGCCCAUUUAGGCACCCUAGGUCCACUUAGACCCCUUAAGCCCAUUUAAGCACCCUAGGCUCAUUUAGGCACCCUUGGCCCAUUUAGGCACCCUUGGCUCAUUUAGGCACCCUUGGCCCAUUUAGGCACCCUAGUGUCACAGGAUGCUUAAAAUGACCCUCCCCAUGGGCUUAUAUAGGAGGAGGGAAGCUUUUGGAGACUCCUGGAGCCAUCUACACUAAGCCAUUGGUGGGAAGAGUGUGGAAGGUUCUAGAAAUGCCUAGAGAAGUCCACACAACUCUACACUAUGGUAGAAGGCACGAGAAGGGUCCAAAGCUUUCUAGAGAAAUCUAGAAGUCUCUUGAAUAUUCUAGAAUAGUGUAGGACAUUCUAGAAGUCUCUUGAAUAUUCUUGAAUAGUGUAGGACAUUCUAGAAUAUUCAUGAAUUGUAAGGAACCCUCUAAGGUUCUAGAGAGUUCCAUUGGUGCCUAUAAAUAGGUGAGGGCCUCAUUUGGCCAAGGCACCAAGCAAGUGAGCAUCCAAGCACUUGUAAAGGCUUUCUUGAGAUAAUAAAGCUUCCAUUCUUUAAGGAGUUGCCUACUAAGCUCUUAAGCUUUCGAGUCGCGAGUGUCUUAGUCAAGCAAGCUAAGCAUUGGGGAUCAAGGCUGACUUAGCAAGAUCAAGCGUCUUGACUUGCCUAAGUGCCGCACGAGCUUAUUGAACGACUAAGUCCGUGACAAGUGGUAUCAGAGCAUGGUUACAAGGUGGGCAUAGCAAAGGAAGCAUGUCGGGCUCUAACGUGGAGGAGACUAGUGAGCAAACCCGUGGAAGGGAGACCGAGCCUACUGCACGGGGCAGGGGUAGGAAGGAUAAAUCUCGUGAUGCCAUUGCCAACAUGGAGGCAAGGUUAGCCAAGGUGGAGCUAGCCAUGGCGGACACUCGGGAGGGGUUGGACUUGAUCGAGCAAGGCAUGGAGAAGGGCUUAGAGGAUCUAAGGGAACAGAUCCAAGACCUUCGUGAGAGGGUGCUAGUCUCAAAAGUUCAGCCAGUGUCGCACGAGGAGUUUGUGUCCUUCCAAGGAAAGGUCUUGAGCAUGCUUGCUAGCAUGGAGUCAAGGAUAGAGGCCUUGACCACUCGAAUGGAGUCCCGAGACCAGGAAGUUAGGCAGGAGUUGGCCAUUUACAAGGCUGCUGUGUCGGCACGGGUCAUGGCCACACAAGGGGCAUCUAGGGUGGAGGUGCCGAAGCCACAAGGGUUUAGUGGCAAGAGGGAUGCCAAGGAGUUAGAUAACUUCUUAUGGCAUAUGGAGCGAUACUUCGAAGCUAUCGCAUUGACGGAUGAGGCGGCUAAGGUGAGAAUUGCGACCCUCUACCUUACUGACACAGCUACUCUAUGGUGGCGUCGAAGGUUUGCCGAUAUGGAGAAAGGCAUUUGCACCAUAAAGACGUGGGAGGACUUCAAGAAGGAGAUCAAGAGGCAGUUCUACCCCGAGGACGUGGCUUACCUGGCUAGGAAAAACAUGAGGCGUCUCAAGCACACAGGCUCGAUACGUGAAUAUGUCAAGGAAUUCUCUUCGCUCAUGCUUGAGAUUCCUAACAUGACUCAGGAAGAGUUGCUAUUCAACUUCAUGGAUAACCUGCAAGGGUGGGCCGAGCAGGAAUUAAGGCGCCGGGGCGUUCAAGACUUAGCCACUGCUAUGGCAAUAGCAGAAUCUUUAGCGGAUUAUAAGAGGGGAGACUCCUCCAAGAUUGAGUCUUUAGAGGAUAGCCACGCCAUGGGUGGGGGAGACGAGGAUCUAAUGGACCACAAUGCUCCUAAAAAGGGAUCAAGCAAGACGCCUAACGUCCAAGAAGGAAGGGGUAAGGCGGCAAGCAAGGAGUUCACGCCUAAAAUCAAAUGCUUCCUAUGUGACGGACCACAUUGGGCACGGGAUUGUCCAAAGAGGAAGGCGCUUAGUGCCAUGAUCGAGGAGAGGGAGCAGGAGGAUGAAGCACAUAUGGGCUCAAUGCAGCUACUAGGUGCCCUCCAAUUCAACCCGAAGCCUAGUACGCCUGAGACCUCCUUACUAGCAGGCGUGCAAGUAAAGGAGGAAAAAGGGGAGCGAGCUGAGGUAGCCCACACACGCAUGGAAGAAGUCACCAAGGGAAAGGUGAACUCAAUGGGUAAAAGGAAGCAGCACUCUAAGCAUCGAAAGCGCAUGGGUCUGCAUCCAUCUAAGGCCUCACGGGAGAAGGAGGUGAAGAAUAUCCUAGCUGAACGGGUCACUAGGAGACAAGGGGUCCCUCCUGUGAUAGAGUAUCUAGUCCGAUGGAAAGGACUACCUAAGAGGCCGCUAAGCUGGGAACAUGCGGAUGCCUUGAGAAAAUUCUGGAAACACAUCGAGAGGUUUCAGAAUGAGGCAACGACGAGGACGUCGACGGCAUCGGUGGGGGAGAGUGUCACAGGAUGCUUAAAAUGACCCUCCCCAUGGGCUUAUAUAGGAGGAGGGAAGCUUUUGGAGACUCCUGGAGCCAUCUACACUAAGCCAUUGGUAGGAAGAGUGUGGAAGGUUCUAGAAAUGCCUAGAGAAGUCCACACAACUCUACACUAUGGUAGAAGGCAUGAGAAGGGUCCAAAGCUUUCUAGAGAAAUCUAGAAGUCUCUUGAAUAUUCUAGAAUAGUGUAGGACAUUCUAGAAGUCUCUUGAAUAUUCUAGAAUAGUGUAGGACAUUCUAGAAUAUUCAUGAAUUGUAAGGAACCCUCCAAGGUUCUAGAGAGUUCCAUUGGUGCCUAUAAAUAGGUGAGGGCCUCAUUUGGCCAAGGCACCAAGCAAGUGAGCAUCCAAGCACUUGUAAAGGCUUUCUUGAGAUAAUAAAGCUUCCAUUCUUUAAGGAGUUGCCUACUAAGCUCUUAAGCUUUCGAGUCGCGAGUGUCUUAGCCGAGCAAGCUAAGCAUUGGGGAUCAAGGCUGACUUAGCAAGAUCAAGCGUCUUGACUUGCCUAAGUGCCGCACGAGCUUAGUGAACGACUAAGUCCGUGACACUAGGCCCACUUAGUAACCCUAAGCACACUUAGACACCCUUGGCCCAUUUAGGCACCCUAGGUCCACUUGGGCACUCUAGGCCCAUUUAGGCACCCUAGGUCCACUUAGACACGCGAGGCCCAUUUAAGCACCCUAAGUCCACUUAGGCACCCUUGGCCCAUUUAGGAACCCUAGGCUCAUUUAGGCACCCUAGGUCCACUUAGGGACCCUAAGCCCAUUUAGGCACUCUAGGUCAUAUUAGGCACUCUUGACCCAUUUAGGCACCCUAGGCCCAUUUAUGCACCCUAGGUCCAUUUAGGCACCGUUGGCCCAUUUAGGCACCCUAGGCCCACUUAGGCAACCUUGGCCCAUUUAGGCACCCUAGGUCCAUUUAAACACCCUAGGCUCAUUUAGGCACCCUAGGCCCAUUUAGGCACCCUAGGUCCAAUUAGACACCUUAGGCCCAUUUUGGCACCCUAGGUUCACUUAGGCAUUCUAGACCCAUUUAGGCACCCUAGGUCUACUUAGGCACCCUAGGCCCAUUUAGGCACCCUAGGUCCAUUUAAGCAUCCUUAGCCCAUUUAGGUACCCUAGGCCCAUUUAGGCCCCCUAGGUCCAUUUAGGCCCCCUAGGUCCAUUUAGGCCCCCUAGGUCCAUUUAGGCAUCUUAGGGUCAUUUAGGCAUCCAUAGGCCCAUUUAGGCACCCUAGGUCCACUUAGCCACCUUAGGCCCAUUUAGGCACCCUACGCUCAUUUAGGCACCCUUGGCACAUUUAAGCACCGUAGGCCCACUUAGACACCCUAAGCCCACUUAGACACACUGCACCCAUUUAGGCACCCUAGGUCCACUAAGGCACCUUAGGCCCAUUUAGGCACCCUAGGUCCACUUAGACACCUUAGGCCCAUUUAGGCACCCUAGGCUCAUUUAGGCACCCUUGGCCCAUUUAGGUACCCUAGGCCCAUUUAGGCACACUUGGUCCACUUAGGCACCCUAGGUUCACUUAGGCACCCCAGGUCCAUUUAGGCACCCUUGGCCCAUUUAGGCACCCUACGCCCACUUAGGCACCCUAGGCCCAUAUAGGCACCCUAGGUCCAUUUAGGCACCCUAGGCCCAUUUAGACCCCUUAGGCCCAUUUAGGCACCCUAACCCCACUUAGGCACGCUUGGCCCAUUAGGCACCCUAGCCUCAUUUAGGCACCCUAGGUCCACUUAGGCACCCUAGGCCCAUUCAGGCACCCUUGGUCCACUUAGGCACCCUAGGCCCAUUUAGGCACCCUAAGUCCAAUUAGGCUCUCUAGACCCAUUUAGGCACCUUAGGCAUCCUUGACCCAGUUAUGCACCCUAGGUCCACUUAGACACCUUAGGCCCACCUAGGCACCCUAGGCCCAUUUAGGCACCCUAGGUCCAAUUAGGCACCCUACGCUCAUUUUGGCACCCUAGGCCUAUUUAGGAACCCUAUGUCCACUUAGACAACUUAGGCCCAUUUAGGCACCUUAGGUCCACUUAGGCACUCUAGACCCAUUUAGGCACCUUAGGUUUACUUAGGCACCCUAGACCCAUUUAGGUACCCUAGGUCCAUUUAGGCACCCUUUGCCCAUUUAGGUACCGUAGGCCCACUUAGGUACCCUAGGACUAUUUAGGCAUCCUAGGUCCAUUUAGGCACAUAAGGCUCAUUUAAGCACCCAUAGGCCCAUUUAGGCACCCUAGGUCCACUUAGACACCUUAGGGCUAUUUAGGCACCUUAGGCUCAUUUAGGCACCCUUGGCUCAUUUAGGCACCCUAGGCUCAUUUAGGCACCCUUGGUCCAUUUAGGCACAUAAGGCUCAUUUAAGCACCCAUAGGCCCAUUUAGGCACCCUAGGUCCACUUAGACACCUUAGGGCUAUUUAGGCACCUUAGGCUCAUUUAGGCACCCUUGGCUCAUUUAGGCACCCUAGGCUCAUUUAGGCACCCUUGGUCCAUUUAGGCACAUAAGGCUCAUUUAAGCACCCAUAGGCCCAUUUAGGCACCCUAGGUCCACUUAGACACCUUAGGGCUAUUUAGGCACCUUAGGCUCAUUUAGGCACCCUUGGCUCAUUUAGGCACCCUAGGCUCAUUUAGGCACCCUUGGCCCAUUUAGGCACCCUUGGCCCAUUUCGGCACCCUAGGCCCAUUUAGUAACCCUAAGCCCACUUAGACACCCUUGGCCCAUUUAGGCACCCUAGGUCCACUUAGGCAUUCUAGGCCCAUUUAGGCACCCUAGGUCCACUUAGACACGCUAGGCCCAUUUAAGCACCGUAAGCCCACUUAGGCACCUUUGUCCCAUUUAGGAACCCUAGGCUCAUUUAGGCACCCUAGGUCUACUUAGGCACCCUAAGCCCAUUUAAGCACUCUAGGUCAUAUUAGGCACUCUAGACCCAUUUAGGCACCCUAGGUCCACUUAGGCACCCUAGGCCCAUUUAUGCACCCUAGGUCCAUUUAGGCACCCUUGGCUCAUUUAGGCACCCUAGGCCCACUUAGGCACCCUUGGCCCAUUUAGGCACCCUAGGUCCAUUUAGCCACCCUAGGCUCAUUUAGGCACCCUAGGCCCAUUUAGGCACCCUAGGUCCAAUUAGACACCUUAUGCCCAUUUUGGCACCCUAGGUCCACUUAGGCAUUCUAGACCCAUUUAGGCACCCUAGGUCCACUUAGUCACCUUAGGCCCAUUUAGGCACCCUAGGUCCAUUUUGGCAUCCUUAGCCCAUUUAGGUACCCUAGGCCCAUUUAGGCCCCCUACGUCCAUUUAGGCACCUUAGGGUCAUUUAGGCAUCCAUAGGCCCAUUUAGGCUCUUUAGGUCGACUUAGCCACCUUAGGCCCAUUUAGGCACCCUACGCUCAUUUAGGCACCCUUGGCCCAUUUAGGCACCCUAGGCCCACUUAGACACCCUAAGCCCACACGCUGUGCCUAUUUAGGCACCCUAGGUCCACUUAGGCACCCUAGGCCCAUUUAGGCACCCCGGGUCCAUUAAGGCACCCUUGGCCUAUUUAGGUACCCUAUGCCCAUUUAGGCACCCUAGGUCCAUUUGGGCACCUUAGGGUCAUUUGGGCAUCCAUAGGCCCAUUUAGGCACCCUAGGUGCACUUAGACACCCUUGGCCCAUUUAGGCACCCUAGGCCCACUUAGACACCCCACGCCCACUUAGACACGCUACGCCCAUUUAGGCACCCUAGGUCCACUUAGGCACCAUAGGCCCACUUAGGCACCCCAGGUCCAUUUAGGCACCCUUGGCCCGUUUAGGCACCCUACGCCCACUUAGGCACCCUAGGCCCAUUAAAGCACCCAAGUCCAUUUAAGCACCCUAGGUCCAUUUAAGCACCCUNNNNNNNNNNNNNNNNNNNNNNNNNNNNNNNNNNNNNNNNNNNNNNNNNNNNNNNNNNNNNNNNNNNNNNNNNNNNNNNNNNNNNNNNNNNNNNNNNNNNUAGUCCAUUUGGCAUCCUUAGCCUUUAGGUACCUUAGGUCCAUUUAGGCCCCUUACGGCCAGUUAGGCACCAAGAGUCAUUUAGGCAUCCAUAGUCCCAUUAGGCUCUUUAGGUCGAUUUAGACACUUAGGCCCAUUUAGGCAACCNUACGGUCAUUUAGGCACCCUUGGCCCAUAUAGGCACCGUAGGCCCACUUAGACACCCUAAGCCACACGCUGUGCCUAAUUAGGCACCUUAGGUCCAAAUAGGCACCCUAGGCCCAUUUAGGCACCCCGGGUCCAUUAAGGCACCCUUGGCCUAUUUAGGUACCCUAUGCCCAUUUAGGCACCCUAGGUCCAUUUGGGCACCUUAGGGUCAUUUGGGCAUCCAUAGGCCCAUUUAGGCACCCUAGGUGCACUUAGACACCCUUGGCCCAUUUAGGCACCCUAGGCCCACUUAGACACCCCACGCCCACUUAGACACGCUACGCCCAUUUAGGCACCCUAGGUCCACUUAGGCACCAUAGGCCCACUUAGGCACCCCAGGUCCAUUUAGGCACCCUUGGCCCGUUUAGGCACCCUACGCCCACUUAGGCACCCUAGGCCCAUUUAGGCACCCAAGGUCCAUUUAGGCACCCUAGGCCCAUUUAGGCACCCUAGGUCCACUUAGACACCUUAGGCCCAUUUAGGUACCCUAAGCCCACUUAGGCACCCUAGGCCCAUUUAGGCACCCUAAGUCCAAUUAGGCUCUCUAGACCCAUUUAGGCACCUUAGGCAUCCUUGGCCCAGUUAUGCACCCUAGGUCCACUUAGACACCUUAGGCCCACUUAGGCACCCUAGGCCCAUUUAGGCACCCUAGGUCCAAUUAGGCACCCUACGCUCAUUUUGGCACCCUAGGCCUAUUUAGGAACCCUAUGUCCACUUAGACAACUUAGGCCCAUUUAGGCACCUUAGGUCCACUUAGGCACUCUAGACCCAUUUAGGCACCUUAGGUCUACUUAGGCACCCUAGACCCAUUUAGGUACCCUAGGUCCAUUUAGGCACCCUUUGCCCAUUUAGGUACCGUAGGCCCACUUAGGUACCCUAGGACUAUUUAGGCAUCCUAGGUCCAUUUAGGCACAUAAGGCUCAUUUAAGCACCCAUAGGCCCAUUUAGGCACCCUAGGUCCACUUAGACACCUUAGGGCUAUUUAGGCACCUUAGGCUCGUUUAGGCACCCUUGGCUCAUUUAGGCACCCUAGGCUCAUUUAGGCACCCUUGGCCCAUUUAGGCACCCUUGGCCCAUUUCGGCACCCUAGGUCCAUUUAGUAACCCUAAGCCCACUUAGACACCCUUGGCCCAUUUAGGCACCCUAGGUCCACUUAGGCAUUCUAGGCCCAUUUAGGCACCCUAGGUCCACUUAGACACGCUAGGCCCAUUUAAGCACCGUAAGCCCACUUAGGCACCCUUGUCCCGUUUAGGAACCCUAGGCUCAUUUAGGCACCCUAGGUCUACUUAGGCACCCUAAGCCCAUUUAAGCACUCUAGGUCAUAUUAGGCACUCUAGACCCAUUUAGGCACCCUAAGUCCACUUAGGCACCCUAGGCCCAUUUAUGCACCCUAGGUCCAUUUAGGCACCCUUGGCUCAUUUAGGCACCCUAGGCCCACUUAGGCACCCUUGGCCCAUUUAGGCACCCUAGGUCCAUUUAGCCACCCUAGGCUCAUUUAGGCACCCCAGGCCCAUUUAGGCACCCUAGGUCCAAUUAGACACCUUAUGCCCAUUUUGGCACCCUAGGUCCACUUAGGCAUUCUAGACCCAUUUAGGCACCCUAGGUCCACUUAGUCACCUUAGGCCCAUUUAGGCACCCUAGGUCCAUUUUGGCAUCCUUAGCCCAUUUAGGUACCCUAGGCCCAUUUAGGCCCCCUACGUCCAUUUAGGCACCUUAGGGUCAUUUAGGCAUCCAUAGGCCCAUUUAGGCUCUUUAGGUCGACUUAGCCACCUUAGGCCCAUUUAGGCACCCUACGCUCAUUUAGGCACCCUUGGCCCAUUUAGGCACCCUAGGCCCACUUAGACACCAUAAGCCCACACGCUGCGCCUAUUUAGGCACCCUAGGUCCACUUAGGCACCCUAGGCCCAUUUAGGCACCCCGGGUCCAUUAAGGCACCCUUGGCCUAUUUAGGUACCCUAUGCCCAUUUAGGCACCCUAGGUCCAUUUGGGCACCUUAGGGUCAUUUGGGCAUCCAUAGGCCCAUUUAGGCACCCUAGGUGCACUUAGACACCCUUGGCCCAUUUAGGCACCCUAGGCCCACUUAGACACCCCACGCCCACUUAGACACGCUACGCCCAUUUAGGCACCCUAGGUCCACUUAGGCACCAUAGGCCCACUUAGGCACCCUAGGUCCACUUAGGCACCCCAGGUCCAUUUAGGCACCCUUGGCCCGUUUAGGCACCCUACGCCCACUUAGGCACCCUAGGCCCAUUUAGGCACCCAAGGUCCAUUUAGGCACCCUAGGCCCAUUUAGGCACCCUAGGUCCACUUAGACACCUUAGGCCCAUUUAGGUACCCUAAGCCCACUUAGGCACCCUUGGCCCAUUUAGGCACUCUAGGCUCAUUUGGGCACCCUAGGUCCACUUAGGCACCCUAGGCCCAUUUAGGCACCCUUGGUACACUUAGGCACCCUAGGCCCAUUUAGUCACCCUAAGUCCAGUUAGGCACUCUAGACCCAUUUAGGCACCUUAGGCCCACUUAGGCAUUGUUGGCCCAUUUAGGCACCCUAGGUCCACUUAGACACCUUUGGCCCACUUAAGCACCCUAGGCCCUUUUAGGCGCCCUAGGUCCCUUUAGGAACCCUUGGCUCAUUUAGGCACCCUAGGCCCACUUAGGCACCCUAGGCCCAUUUAGGCACUCUAGGUCCAUUUAGGCACCUUAGGCUCAUUUAGGCACCUUAGGCCCAUUUAGGAACCCUAUGUCUACUUAGACACCUUUUGCCCAUUUAGGCACCCUAGGUCCACUUAGGCACUCUAGACCCAUUUAGGCACCCUAGGUCCACUUAGGCACCCUAGGCCCAUUUAGGCACCUUAGGUCCAUUUAGGCUCUCUAGGCCCAUUUCGGCACCAUAGGUCCACUAAGACACGCUAGGCACAUUUAAGCACCUAAGCACCCUAGGCACAUUUACGAACCUAAGGCUCAUUUAGGCACUCAUGGGCCCAUUUAGGCCCCCUAGGUCCACUUAGACACCUUAGGCUCAUUUAGGCACCCGAGGCUCAUUUAGGCACCCUUGGCCCAUUUAGGCACCUAGGCUCAUUUAGGCACCUUUGGCCCAUUUAGGCACCCUAGGCCCACUUAGACACCCUGAGCCCACUUAGACAUCCUUGGCCCAUUUAGGCACCCUAGGUCCAAUUAGGCUCUCUAGGCCCAUUUCGGCACCCUAGGUCCACUAAGACACGCUAGGAACAUUUAAGCACCCUAAGCCCACUUAGGCACCCUUGGCCCAUUUACGAACCCUAGGCUCAUUUAGGCACCAUAGGUCCACUUAGGUACCCUAGGCCCAUUUAGGCAUUCUAGGUCCAAUUAGGCACUUUAGACCCAUUUGGGCACCCUAGGUCCACUUAGGCACCCUAGGCCCAUUUAGGCACCCUAGGUCCACUCAGGCACCCUAGGCCGAUUUAGGCACCCUUGGUCCACUUAAGCACCCUAGGCCCAUUUUGGCACCCUAGGUCCAGUUAGCCACUCUAGACCCAUUUAGGCACCUUAGGUCCACUUAAGCAUCCUUGGCCCAUUUUGGCACCCUAGGUCCACUUAGGCACUCUAGUCCCAUUUAGGCACCCUAGGUCCACUUAGGCACCCUAGGCCCAUUUAGGCACCCUAGGUCCAUUUAGGCACCCUAGGUCCAUUUAGGCACCCUAGGUCCAUGUAGGCACCCUAGGCUCAUUUAGGCACCCUAGGCCAAUUUAGACACCCUAGGUCCACUUAGACAGCUUAGGCCCAUUUAGGCACCCUAGGUCCACUUAGGCACCCUUGGCCCAUUAAGGCACCCUAGGUCCAUUUAGGCACCCUUGGCCCAUUUAGGUACCCUAGGCCCAUUUAGGCACCUUAGGUCCAUUUAGGCAGCUUAGUGUCACAAGAUGCUUCAAAUGACCCUCCCCAUGGCUUAUAUAGGAGGUGAGAAGCUUCUAGAGACCCUUGGAGACAUCCACACUUAGCCACUAGUGGGAAGAGUGUGGAAGGUUCUAGAAAUGCCUAGAGAAGUCCACACAACUCUACACUAUGGUAGAAGGCAUGAGAAGGGUCCAAAGCUUUCUAGAGAAAUCUAGAAGUCUCUUGAAUAUUCUAGAAUAGUGUAGGACAUUCUAGAAGUCUCUUGAAUAUUCUAGAAUAGUGUAGGACAUUCUAGAAUAUUCAUGAAUUAUAAGGAACCCUCCAAGGUUCUAGAGAGUUCCAUUGAUGCCUAUAAAUAGGUGAGGGCCUCAUUUGGCCAAGGCACCAAGCAAGUGAGCAUCCAAGCACUUGUAAAGGCUUUCUUGAGAUAAUAAAGCUUCCAUUCUUUAAGGAGUUGCCUACUAAGCUCUUAAGCUUUCGAGUCGCGAGUGUCUUAACCGAGCAAGCUAAGCAUUGGGGAUCAAGGCUGACUUAGCNNNNNNNNNNNNNNNNNNNNNNNNNNNNNNNNNNNNNNNNNNNNNNNNNNNNNNNNNNNNNNNNNNNNNNNNNNNNNNNNNNNNNNNNNNNNNNNNNNNNGCACCUUAGGUCCAUUUUUGCAGCUUAGUGUCACAAGAUGCUUCAAAUGACCCUCCCCAUGGCUUAUAUAGGAGGUGAGAAGCUUCUAGAGACCCUUGGAGACAUCCACACUUAGCCACUAGUGGGAAGAGUGUGGAAGGUUCUAGAAAUGCCUAGAGAAGUCCACACAACUCUACACUAUGGUAGAAGGCAUGAGAAGGGUCCAAAGCUUUCUAGAGAAAUCUAGAAGUCUCUUGAAUAUUCUAGAAUAGUGUAGGACAUUCUAGAAGUCUCUUGAAUAUUCUAGAAUAGUGUAGGACAUUCUAGAAUAUUCAUGAAUUAUAAGGAACCCUCCAAGGUUCUAGAGAGUUCCAUUGAUGCCUAUAAAUAGGUGAGGGCCUCAUUUGGCCAAGGCACCAAGCAAGUGAGCAUCCAAGCACUUGUAAAGGCUUUCUUGAGAUAAUAAAGCUUCCAUUCUUUAAGGAGUUGCCUACUAAGCUCUUAAGCUUUCGAGUCGCGAGUGUCUUAACCGAGCAAGCUAAGCAUUGGGGAUCAAGGCUGACUUAGCAAGAUCAAGCGUCUUGACUUGCCUAAGUGCCGCACGAGCUUAGUGAACGACUAAGUCCGUGACAAGUGGCAUCAGAGCGUGGCUACGAAGCGGGCAUAAGGGAAGCAUGUCGGGCUCUAACGUGGAGGAGACUAGCGAACAAACCCGUGGGAGGGAGGCCGAGCCUACUGCAUGGGGCAGGGGCAGAGGUAAGAAGGAUACAUCUCGUGAUGUUGUUGCCAACAUGGAGGCAAGGUUAGGCAAGGUGGAGCUAGCCAUGGCAGACACCCGGGAAGGGGUGGACUUGAUCGAGCAAGGCAUGGAGAAGGGCUUAGAGGAUCUAAGGGAGCAGAUCCAAGACCUUCGCGAGGGGGUGCUGGUCUCGCAAGUUCAACCGGUGUCACACGAGGAGUUCAUGUCUUUCCAAGACAAAGUCAUGAGCAUGUUCGCUAGUGUGGAGUCAAGGAUGGAGGCCUUGACUACACGAGUGGAGGCCCGAGACCAAGAGAUUCGACAAGAGUUGGCCAUCUAUAAGACCGCUGUAUCAGCACGAGUCAUGGCCACUCAUGAGGCACCAAGGGUGGAGGUGCCCAAGCCACACACGUUCAGUGGCAAGAGGGAUGCCAGGGAGCUAGAUAACUUCUUGUGGCACAUGGAGCGUUACUUUGAGGCAAUUGCAUUAACGGAUGAAGCCACUAAGGUACGCACCGCGACCCUUUACCUCACUGAUAAUGCUACUCUAUGGUGGCGUCGACGAUUUGCCGACAUAGAGAGAGGGACGUGCACCAUAGACACAUGGGAUGCCUUUAAGAGAGAAAUCAAGAGGCAAUUCUAUCCCGAAGACGUGGCUUACCUAGCAAGGAAGAGUUUGAAGCGUCUCAAGCACACGGGCUCGAUCCGUGAGUAUGUCAAAGAAUUCUCUACUCUUAUGCUUGAGAUACCUAACAUGGCUGAGGAGGAGCUACUGUUCAACUUCAUGGACAACUUGCAAAGUUGGGCCGAGCAAGAGUUGAGGAGACGUGGUGUCCAAGACCUAGCCACGGCCAUGGCAGUAGCCGAGUCCUUAGUAGAUUAUAGAAGGGGAGACUCCUCCAAGCCCAAGCCACCAUCCAAGGGUAACCAGGCCAAAGGUGGGGGAGACAAGAGGUCGCAAGGCCAUACCUCUAAGGAAGGAUCAAGCAAAGGCCCUAGUGGCAAGGAUGGCAAAGGCAAGGACAAGCGAAAGGAGUUCACGCCCAGGACCAAUUGCUUCCUGUGCGAUGGUCCGCACUGGGCACGGGACUGCCCUAAGAGGAAGGCCUUAAAUGCUAUGAUCGAGGAAAAGGAGCAAGAAGGCGAUGCUAAGAUGGGAUCGUUGCAGCUCUUAAAUGCCCUUAAGGCCAAGCCGAUGCCUAAGACGCCUCAAAGCAAAGGGCUGAUGUAUGUGGAGGCCCUUGUGAAUGAGAAGGCCACCAAGGCCCUGGUGGACACAGGUGCCACUCACAACUUUGUCUCGGAGGAUGAGGCAAGAAGGUUGGAGCUCCAAGCAUCCAAGGAAGGAGGAUGGCUCAAGGCAGUCAAUUCAGCCGCCAAGCCAUCACAUGGAGUAGCUCGCGGGGUGACUAUGCACAUUGGCUCGUGGGAAGGAAGGGUCGACUUCACAGUGGCACCCAUGGAUGACUUCAAGAUGGUGCUAGGAAUGGACUUCCUACAGAAGGUCAAGGCCGUGCCACUACCUUUCCUAUGCUCAAUGGCUAUCCUAGAGGAGGAGAAGUCGUGCAUGGUCCCUACGGUCAAUGAAGGUACGCUCAAGACCCCUAUGUUAUCCGCUAUGCAAGUAAAGAAGGGGUUAAAGAGGGAAGAGGUGACCUACCUCGCCACCCUAAAGGAAGAAAAGGAUGAUGGGUCGGGAGAACCCAUGCCUAGAGAAAUCGAGGGGGUCCUUGAUGAGUUCAAGGACGUUAUGCCGCCCGAGUUGCCCAAAAGACUUUCUCCUAGGAGAGAGGAAGAUCACAAGAUUGAGCUGGAGCCGGGAGCCAAGCCCCCUGCUAUGGGGCCAUAUAGGAUGGCACCACCCGAGUUGGAGGAGCUAAGGAGACAACUCAAGGAGUUGCUAGAUGCGGGGUUCAUCCAACCAUCCAAGGCUCCUUAUGGCGCGCCGGUUCUAUUUCAGAAAAAGCAUGAUGGGUCCCUACGAAUGUGCAUAGAUUACCGGGCACUCAACAAGGUGACGGUGAAGAACAAGUAUCCCAUCCCGCUCAUUGCUGACUUGUUCGAUCAACCUGGUAGGGCAAGGUACUUCACGAAGCUAGACUUAAGGUUAGGCUACUACCAAGUGAGGAUUGCUGAGGGAGAUGAGCCGAAGACUACAUGUGUGACCAGGUAUGGCUCAUAUGAGUUCUUAGUAAUGCCUUUCGGAAUCACCAAUGCCCCAGCAACGUUUUGCACCCUCAUGAACAAGAUCUUCCACCCAUACUUGGACAAGUUUGUGGUGGUGUACUUGGAUGACAUAGUCAUCUAUAGUAACACUCUAAAGGAGCACGUAGAGCACUUGAGGAAGGUCUUUAAGAUCUUGAGGCAGAACGAGCUAUACGUGAAGAAGGAGAAGUGUUCGUUUGCUAAGGAGGAAGUGAGCUUCCUUGGGUAUCGCAUCAGAGAUGGCAAGCUGAUGAUGGAUGAUAGCAAGGUGAAGGCCAUCCAAGAAUGGGAUUCACCAACCAAGGUACCUCAACUCAGAUCUUUCCUUGGUUUAGUUAAUUACUAUCGGCGGUUCAUAAAGGGUUAUUCGGCAAGGGCUGCUCCACUCACUGAUCUUCUGAAGAAGAAUAAGGCAUGGGAAUGGGAUGAAAGGUGCCAACAAGCCUUUGAGGACCUGAAGAAGGUUGUGACUGAGGAGCCAGUGUUGGCACUACCCGACCACACCAAGGUCUUGGAGGUACACACAGAUGCCUCAGACUUCGCUAUUGGGGGAGUCCUUAUGCAAGAAAGACACCCAAUUGCAUUUGAGAGUCGCAAGCUAAACGACGCGGAGAGGCGUUACACGGUGCAAGAAAAGGAGAUGACCGCUAUCGUUCACUGCUUGCGCACCUGGAGGCACUAUUUGCUAGGGUCUCACUUCAUAGUGAAGACCGACAAUGUGGCCACUAGCUACUUCCAGACACAGAAGAAGCUGAGUCCUAAACAAGCUAGGUGGCAAGACUUCCUGGCCGAGUUCGACUAUACGCUGGAGUAUAAGCCAGGAAGUGCUAAUCAUGUGGCUGACGCCGUAAGUCCCAAAGCUGAGCUAGCGUCCAUAACGAGUCAGCCCCAAGGAGACAUAAUGGAUCUUCUAAGGGAGGGACUGUAACAUAAUCCAGUGGCUAAGAGCCUCAUCGCCCUGGCUCAUGAAGGGAAGACCAAGCGGUUUUGGGUGGAGGACGGCUUACUCUACACCAAAGGGAGACGACUCUACGUGCCUAAGUGGGGGAACAUAAGGCGGAACCUGAUUAAGGAGUGCCAUGACACCAAGUGGGCAGGGCACCCUGGGCAACGACGCACUAGGGCACUACUCGAGUCGGCUUACUAUUGGCCUCAGAUACGGGACGAGGUUGAGGCCUAUGUGAGGACUUGUCUUGUGUGCCAACAAGACAAGGUGGAACAACGACAACCUAGAGACAUGUUAGAGCCACUACCUGUAGCAGAACGCCCAUGGGACAGCGUCACCAUGGACUUCAUCAUCGGGCUACCUAAGUUAGAGGACAACGACUCUAUCAUAGUGGUGGUGGAUAGGUUCUCUAAGUAUGCAACCUUCAUAGCAGCCCCGACUGACUGCACUGCGGAAGAGACGGCGAGGCUAUUCCUAAAGCACGUAGUCAAGUAUUGGGGGUUGCCUAAGUUCAUCAUCAGUGAUCGCGACCCGCGCUUCACUGGGAAGUUUUGGACGAAGCUCUUCAAGCUUAUGGGUUCGGAGCUUCACUUCUCCACCAGCUUUCACCCACAGACAGAUGGGCAGACUGAGAGGGUGAACGCCUUGCUGGAGCUAUACUUGAGGCACUUUGUGAGUGCCAACCAGAGGGAUUGGGCUAAGUUGCUAGAUAUAGCCCAGUUCUCAUACAACUUGCAAAGGAGUGAGGCGACCAACAAGAGCCCGUUCGAGCUAGCCACAAGGCAGCAACCCUUAACUCCUCACACGCUAACGAUAGGCUACACAGGGAGAAGUCCAGCGGCUUUCAAGUUCGCGAAGGGGUGGCAUGAGUAAGCUGACAUAGCACGCUCGUACUUGGACAAGGCCGCUAAGAAAAUGAAGAAGUGGGCUGACAAGAAGCGACGUCACACGGAGUACAAGGUUGGAGACAUGGUGCUUGUCAAGCUCCUUCCUCAACAAUUCAAAUCCCUAAGGCCAGUGCAUAAGGGCCUUGUGAGGAGGUAUGAAGGACCCUUCCCUAUACUUGGAAAGGUCGGCAAGGUGUCCUACAAAGUGGAGUUACCGCCAAGGUUAAAGAUUCACCUUGUCUUCCACAUGAGUUACUUGAAGCCAUAUCACGAAGACAAGGAUGAUCCAAGCCGAGGGCUUUCUAAGAGGGCACCUACAGCGGUUGUGACCUCCUAUGACAAGGAGGUGGAACACAUCAUUGCAGACCGAAUCAUCAGAAGGCGUGGUGUGCCUCCUGCUACGGAGUACUUAGUGAAAUGGAAGGGACUACCAGAAAGCGAGGCUAGUUGGGAGCCAGCAAAUGCACUAUGGCAGUUCCAGGAACAGAUUGAGCGGUUCCGGGCAGAAGACACGACGAGGACGUCUGCGGCUUAGGUGGGGGAGAGUGUCACAAGAUGCUUCAAAUGACCCUCCCCAUGGCUUAUAUAGGAGGUGAGAAGCUUCUAGAGACCCUUGGAGACAUCCACACUUAGCCACUAGUGGGAAGAGUGUGGAAGGUUCUAGAAAUGCCUAGAGAAGUCCACACAACUCUACACUAUGGUAGAAGGCAUGAGAAGGGUCCAAAGCUUUCUAGAGAAAUCUAGAAGUCUCUUGAAUAUUCUAGAAUAGUGUAGGACAUUCUAGAAGUCUCUUGAAUAUUCUAGAAUCGUGUAGGAGAUUCUAGAGAGUUCCAUUGGUGCCUAUAAAUAGGUGAGGGCCUCAUUUGGCCAAGGCACCAAACAAAGUGAGCAUCCAAGCACUUGUAAAGGCUUCUUUGAGUAAUAAGAGCUUCCAUUAUUUAAAAGUUGCCUACUACACUUCUCAGCUUCCGAGUCGUGAGCAUCUUAGCCUAGCAAGCUAAGUGUCGGGGGUAAGGCUGACUUAGCAAGANNNNNNNNNNNNNNNNNNNNNNNNNNNNNNNNNNNNNNNNNNNNNNNNNNNNNNNNNNNNNNNNNNNNNNNNNNNNNNNNNNNNNNNNNNNNNNNNNNNNNNNNNNNNNNNNNNNNNNNNNNNNNNNNNNNNNNNNNNNNNNNNNNNNNNNNNNNNNNNNNNNNNNNNNNNNNNNNNNNNNNNNNNNNNNNNNNNNNNNNNNNNNNNNNNNNNNNNNNNNNNNNNNNNNNNNNNNNNNNNNNNNNNNNNNNNNNNNNNNNNNNNNNNNNNNNNNNNNNNNNNNNNNNNNNNNNNNNNNNNNNNNNNNNNNNNNNNNNNNNNNNNNNNNNNNNNNNNNNNNNNNNNNNNNNNNNNNNNNNNNNNNNNNNNNNNNNNNNNNNNNNNNNNNNNNNNNNNNNNNNNNNNNNNNNNNNNNNNNNNNNNNNNNNNNNNNNNNNNNNNNNNNNNNNNNNNNNNNNNNNNNNNNNNNNNNNNNNNNNNNNNNNNNNNNNNNNNNNNNNNNNNNNNNNNNNNNNNNNNNNNNNNNNNNNNNNNNNNNNNNNNNNNNNNNNNNNNNNNNNNNNNNNNNNNNNNNNNNNNNNNNNNNNNNNNNNNNNNNNNNNNNNNNNNNNNNNNNNNNNNNNNNNNNNNNNNNNNNNNNNNNNNNNNNNNNNNNNNNNNNNNNNNNNNNNNNNNNNNNNNNNNNNNNNNNNNNNNNNNNNNNNNNNNNNNNNNNNNNNNNNNNNNNNNNNNNNNNNNNNNNNNNNNNNNNNNNNNNNNNNNNNNNNNNNNNNNNNNNNNNNNNNNNNNNNNNNNNNNNNNNNNNNNNNNNNNNNNNNNNNNNNNNNNNNNNNNNNNNNNNNNNNNNNNNNNNNNNNNNNNNNNNNNNNNNNNNNNNNNNNNNNNNNNNNNNNNNNNNNNNNNNNNNNNNNNNNNNNNNNNNNNNNNNNNNNNNNNNNNNNNNNNNNNNNNNNNNNNNNNNNNNNNNNNNNNNNNNNNNNNNNNNNNNNNNNNNNNNNNNNNNNNNNNNNNNNNNNNNNCAUUUAGGAACCCUAGGCUUAUUUAGGCACCCUAGGUCUACUUAGGCACCCUAAGCCCAUUUAGGCACUCUAGGUCAUAUUAGGCACUCUAGACCCAUUUAGGCACCCUAGGUCCACUUAGGCACCCUAGGCCCAUUUAUGCACCCUAGGUCCAUUUAGGCACCCUUGGCCCAUUUAGGCACCCUAGGCCCACUUAGGCACCCUUGGCCCAUUUAGGCACCCUAGGUCCAUUUAGCCACCCUAGGCUCAUUUAGGCACCCCAGGCCCAUUUAGGCACCCUAGGUCCAAUUAGACACCUUAUGCCCAUUUUGGCACCCUAGGUCCACUUAGGCAUUCUAGACCCAUUUAGGCACCCUAGGUCCACUUAGUCACCUUAGGCCCAUUUAGGCACCCUAGGUCCAUUUUGGCAUCCUUAGCCCAUUUAGGUACCCUAGGCCCCCUAGGUCCAUUUAGGCACCUUAGGGUCAUUUAGGCAUCCAUAGGCCCAUUUAGGCUCCCUAGGUCUACUUAGCCACCUUAGGCCCAUUUAGGCACCCUAAGCCCAUUUAGGCACUCUAGGUCAUAUUAGGCACUCUAGACCCAUUUAGGCACCCUAGGUCCACUUAGGCACCCUAGGCCCAUUUAUGCACCCUAGGUCCAUUUAGGUACCCUUGGCCCAUUUAGGCACCCUAGGCCCACUUAGGCACCCUAGGCCCAUUUAGGCACCUAAGGUCCAAUUUGGCACCCUAGGUCCACUUAGGCACCCUAGGCCCAUUUAGGCACCGUAGGUCCAUUUAGGCACCCUUAGCCCAUUUAGGCACCCUAGGCCCAUUUAGGCACCCUAGGCCCAAUUAGGCACCCUAGGUCCAUUUAGGCACCCUAGGUCCACUUAGACACCUUGGCCCAUUUAGGCACCCUAGGUCCACUUAGGCACUCUAGGCCCAUUUAGGCACCCUAGGUCCACUUAGACACGCUAGGCCCAUUUAAGCACCCUAAGCCCACUUAGGCACCCUUGUCCCAUUUAGGAACCCUAGGCUUAUUUAGGCACCCUAGGUCUACUUAGGCACCCUAAGCCCAUUUAGGCACUCUAGGUCAUAUUAGGCACUCUAGACCCAUUUAGGCACCCUAGGUCCACUUAGGCACCCUAGGCCCAUUUAUGCACCCUAGGUCCAUUUAGGCACCCUUGGCCCAUUUAGGCACCCUAGGCCCACUUAGGCACCCUUGGCCCAUUUAGGCACCCUAGGUCCAUUUAGCCACCCUAGGCUCAUUUAGGCACCCCAGGCCCAUUUAGGCACCCUAGGUCCAAUUAGACACCUUAUGCCCAUUUUGGCACCCUAGGUCCACUUAGCAUUCUAGACCCAUUUAGCACCCUAGGUCCACUUAGUCACCUUAGCCCAUUUAGCACCCUAUGUCCAUUUUGGCAUCCUUAGCCCAUUUAGUACCCUAAGGCCCCCUAGUCCAUUUAGCACCUUUAGGGUCAUUUAAGGCAUCCAUAGGCCAUUUAAGCUCCCUAGGUCUANNNNNNNNNNNNNNNNNNNNNNNNNNNNNNNNNNNNNNNNNNNNNNNNNNNNNNNNNNNNNNNNNNNNNNNNNNNNNNNNNNNNNNNNNNNNNNNNNNNNCAGAAAGCGAGGCUAGUUGGGAGCCAGCAAAUGCACUAUGGCAGUUCCAGGAACAGAUUGAGCGGUUCCGGGCAGAAGACACGACGAGGACGUCUGCGGCUUAGGUGGGGGAGAGUGUCACAAGAUGCUUCAAAUGACCCUCCCCAUGGCUUAUAUAGGAGGUGAGAAGCUUCUAGAGACCCUUGGAGACAUCCACACUUAGCCACUAGUGGGAAGAGUGUGGAAGGUUCUAGAAAUGCCUAGAGAAGUCCACACAACUCUACACUAUGGUAGAAGGCAUGAGAAGGGUCCAAAGCUUUCUAGAGAAAUCUAGAAGUCUCUUGAAUAUUCUAGAAUAGUGUAGGACAUUCUAGAAGUCUCUUGAAUAUUCUAGAAUAGUGUAGGACAUUCUAGAAUAUUCAUGAAUUAUAAGGAACCCUCCAAGGUUCUAGAGAGUUCCAUUGGUGCCUAUAAAUAGGUGAGGGCCUCAUUUGGCCAAGGCACCAAGCAAGUGAGCAUCCAAGCACUUGUAAAGGCUUUCUUGAGAUAAUAAAGCUUCCAUUCUUUAAGGAGUUGCCUACUAAGCUCUUAAGCUUUCGAGUCGCGAGUGUCUUAGCCGAGCAAGCUAAGCACUGGGGAUCAAGGCUGACUUAGCAAGAUCAAGCGUCUUGACUUGCCUAAGUGCCGCACGAGCUUAGUGAACGACUAAGUCCGUGACAUUAGGCUCAUUUAGGCACCCAUAAGCCCAUUUUGGCACCCUAGGUCCACUUAGACACCUUAGGCCCAUUUAGGUACCCUAGGCUCAUUUAGGCACCCUUGGUCCAUUUAGGCACCCUAGGCCUACUUAGACACCCUAAGCCCACUUAGACACGCUACGCCCAUUUAGGCACCCUAGGUCCACUUAGGCACCUUAGGCCCACUUAGGCACCCUUGGCCCAUUUAGGCACCCUAGGUCCACUUAGGCACUCUAGGCCUAUUUAGGCACCCUAGGUCCACUUAGGCACCCUAGGCCCAUUUAGGCACCCUAGGUCCACUUAGACACCUUAGGCCCAUUUAGGCACCCUAAUGUCACAAAAUGCUUCAAAUGACCCUCCCCAUGGCUUAUAUAGGAGGUAAGAAGCUUCUAGAGACCCUUGGAGACAUGCACACUUAGCCACUAGUGGGAAGAGUGUGGAAGGUUCUAGAAAUGCCUAGAGAAGUCCACACAACUCUACACUAUGGUAGAAGGCAUGAGAAGGGUCCAAAGUUUUCUAGAGAAAUCUAGAAGUUUCUUGUAUAUAGGCUUGUACAUAGAAUAGUGUACGACAUUCUAGAAUAUUCAUGAAUUGUAAGGAACCCUCCAAGGUUCUAGAAAGUUCCAUUUGUGCCUAUAAAUAGGUGAGGGCCUCAUUUGGCCAAGGCACCAAACAAGUGAGCAUCCAAGCACUUGUAAAGGCUUUCUUGAGUUAAUAAGAGCUUCCAUUCUUUAAGGAGUUGCCUACUAAGCUCUUAAGCUUUCGAGUCGCGAGUGUCUUAGCCGAGCAAGCUAAGCGUUGGGGAUCAAGGCUGACUUAGCAAGAUCAAGCGUCUUGACUUGCCUAAGUGCCGCACAAGCUUAGUGAACGACUAAUUCCGUGACACUAAGCCCACUUAGGCACCCUUUGCCCAUUUAGGCACCCUAGGCUCAUUUAGGCACCCUAGGUCCACUUAGGCACCCUAGGCCCAUUUAGGCACCCUAGGUCCACUUAGGCACCCUAGGCCCAUUUAGGCACCGUAGGUCCAUUUAGGCACCCUUAGCCCAUUUAGGCACCCUAGGCCCAUUUAGGCACCCUAGGCCCAAUUAGGCACCCUAGGUCCAUUUAGGCACCCUAGGUCCACUUAGACACCUUGGCCCAUUUAGGCACCCUAGGUCCACUUAGGCACUCUAGGCCCAUUUAGGCACCCUAGGUCCACUUAGACACGCUAGGCCCAUUUAAGCACCCUAAGCCCACUUAGGCACCCUUGUCCCAUUUAGGAACCCUAGGCUUAUUUAGGCACCCUAGGUCUACUUAGGCACCCUAAGCCCAUUUAGGCACUCUAGGUCAUAUUAGGCACUCUAGACCCAUUUAGGCACCCUAGGUCCACUUAGGCACCCUAGGCCCAUUUAUGCACCCUAGGUCCAUUUAGGCACCCUUGGCCCAUUUAGGCACCCUAGGCCCACUUAGGCACCCUUGGCCCAUUUAGGCACCCUAGGUCCAUUUAGCCACCCUAGGCUCAUUUAGGCACCCCAGGCCCAUUUAGGCACCCCAGGUCCAAUUAGACACGUUGCGCCCAUUUAGGCACCCUAGGUCCACUUAGGCACCAUAGGCCCACUUAGGCACCCUAGGUCCACUUAGGCACCCCAGGUCCAUUUAGGCACCCUUGGCCAAUUUAGGCACCCUACGCCCACUUAGGCACCCUAGGCCCAUUUAGGCACCCAAGGUCCAUUUAGGCACCCUAGGCCCAUUUAGGGACCCUAGGCCCACUUAGACACCUUAGGCCCAUUUAGGUACCCUAAGCCCACUUAGGCACCUGUGGACACCGCAUUUCGUGCUUGAUGCGUUUCCCACUCGAUGGCGAGCUCGAUUUUUAUUUUGAAAAAUUAAUUUUAUUUAUUGUUUGUUUAAAAAAAUGACUUGGAGUCGCCACUUAUUUUUGUUUUAUUUUUAAAGGGUAAACAAAAUAAGAAAGAAAAACCCUAAGUGUGACUCCUUAUUUUGGAAAAGGCGGUCUGUGAAAAACCGGAUCGGGUUCGGGGGUCAGGUUACUUAUCGGGAAGGUACGGUAAAGACCGUAGCACCCCUCUAAGUCCCUAAAAUCGUGUCUCUACUAAUAGAAUAAAGCUGACGUGGCAAUCAAUGAGGAAAUCAGCGGAUACUCAAAUCAAACUUGCACAUAUGAAAAUAAGAGUAUGCAUAGAGAAUAAUCAAAAUGAGAAUGAGUGCGUACCUGGACCUCCAGUGACAAAUGCGCUAUCAUGAAACAGGAUUAGUGAGCAAUGAACAAGAUAUAAUUAAGCGCAUAUCAAGAAAUAGAGUAAACCAAUCAUGCAUGGCAAAUAAAUCAAUCGAUCUGUCAAUCAAUCAUGAAGUCAAGUAUGUGGGGCCCCCACCAAAGCCCGUUUAUUUUGCAUGAAUUAAUUCCAUAAAUUCCAUUAGUCGGAAUUAUGGAAUUUAAUUCUUGCUUAUUUUUAAAACAUUUUAAAAGAUUAUGAAAGAUUUGAAAAUUGCUUACCGAAUAGAAAGUGGAAGCAAAUUUGAUUAAAAGUGAGACUCUUAGGUGAUCCUAAAAAUUCUAAGGAUGAAAGAGUGUGGAAUUGAAAUUAUUGUUUUAUUGAAAAAUGAGGAACUGGGAAAUUAUUAAAAAAAGUGAGAUUUGAAAAAUUGUUGUCAAAGUCAAAGAGGAUAAAAGGGAAGAUGUCACGUGACCAAAGGUGGCCAUGCAACUGAAUGCUCAUAUGCGCGGACCCAAGGAGGUCACUGGGGCUACUUUGUCGGCGCACCAUCCUCUCUUAUAACUGCAAAUAGGCUCGGUAUGAAAGAAACUUGAGACAGGUCUGGUGACUCAGAAUAUGGAUCAGAACCCACAGAACCUUUGAUCACGAUCACCUAGGAUGUAACACGUCCCUCUCUCAAAGCAAAUCUUUGUCCAGCUUCAAGAGGAACAGCAGAUAUCAACUCGAAAAACUACUGUAACAUCAUUCCCGGGCAUAACCAUCUUAACUUCUUCAAGCAAUUGAACCUUCCUAGUGGCAUCUGCAGUCCUCAGGUGGCUUUGAUUUAUCAGAAGAAUUGAAAGCCGAAGAUUUAGGCAUUGGAGGGGUCACAUGCAUUAGUUGCCUAGAUUGCUUAAAUGCCAAUUCCUCAAGCCGAUGUGUGUUAACAGGCAGCUGUGGUGUAGUGCAAGCCCAUGAUGGAGCCCGUGCCAAUGCUUCAGCCAUAUUAAGACCAACUGUAAUACUUGGAAGCCCAGGUGCUGUGGCAGAACGAUAUUUUGUUGAGCAGAUGAGGAUCCAAUGAGCAAAUUCUGAACAGCCAUGUUCAACCCAGGUGACGAAACCCUCCCAAGAUCCAAUUCGGUUCCAAGUGAAGAGAAAUCCUUAUCAAACACAGUCUUGUGGAUGGUUUCUCACAAAGCAAUCUCAUGGUUUACACUUUCUGCUUAUUUAUGAAGUUUGCUAAUCCUUUCCUUUCUUAUCCUCGGGACGACCUUCUUCCGAUCGAGCCUUCCUAUCCUCGGUGUGGCAUUUAUACGACAUAACCCAACUCACCUAUCAACCCAUAUCUGAAUUUGGCUGCGUCUUAGCAAGAUGCUUCACGGCGUCUUUCUCCAGCUGCAGCCACAACGUGUCAGCUGCCUCCACCCAAAACCUGAUAUGCUGAGAAGUUUCCGUCUAUUAUUGGAUUCGGUAUCUGAUUCCUCAGUCGCUUUCAUUCUCUCAAUCCCUUCCAUGCAUGCAUGAGGGUUGGUGUUAUGUGGUGUAAGGAGAGAAACGGGUAUGGGAUGUGAUCAAAUGGGUGUAUGUGUGAGGGUAUGAAAUAUAGGUGUGGAGACGGGUAUUAUAGGCAAAAGAAGUGGCCAUGCACAUGAGAUGAGUGUGAAGCACGGCCACGGGUAGUGAGAGAAAAUGGGUGGUUAUGUGUUAAGUAUGAGUGGUGAUGAAAUGUGUAUGAAGGUUUAAACAAUGGGUUUGGAGGAUGGAGAUAGGAGUGAGUGGAGUGGGUGGUUGGACGAGUAGUAAGGCUUAGAGAGAUGGUAGUGGGUUUGGAAUAGGUGCAGGGGAAGAUAAUGAAUGAAGAUGAAUGAAGAGAGCGUGAGAUAGAAGAUGGAUGUGAUGGACAAGAAGGUGGCCACGUGCCUGGAGCUUCAUGUAUAUGGGUAUGAAAGAGUUUGAAGAGAGAGAAAAGGUGGUAAUAUGGAAUGGGUUUGGUGGGUGCAAGCAUGAGGCAUGAAGAUGAGGGUUAGUAUGGAAGUGUGGGUAUGAUGAGCGAAAGAGAGAGAUGAGAUGAGUGCAUGGUGGUGUAGAAAGAAAGGUGAUCAUACAAAUGGGCAUAGGUAUGGAGGUAUAAUGGGUAUAGGGUCAUGGGUAUGCUAAAUGGGCAAAAAGGGUAUAAGCCCGAAAUUAAUGGAGUAGGUAGUGGGAGAUAAUAGGAAAUGGGUGUUCAUGGGGAUCCUCUGCGUACAUGGUGGGAAAGGAAACAGUGAAGAGUACCCACAGCCAACUGAACUUUCAUUAUUCCUCUCAUUUUAACAUAAGCUUGACCACAAUAUUUCUGAACUCUCUCUUAGGACUCAUACUUCCGAUGGCUAUUUUGUGGUCUACAAUGCCAAUGGUGAUAUUUUCCGUCUUUCAAAGCCGAAAAGAGGUAAGUGACCCUCAUCAAUCGAACAACUCACUUUCUUAUAUAUUCAGGCAACAACUAGAGCAACUCCAGAUCUAUGAAUAGUAUGGGCCCAAGAAUCUGCUUAACAGAAUGCUCCAAAUCUUCAACAAGUGUAAAUCAGUUGGAUACGAUUGCACAUUGUGUUGUAGCGUGAACAACAGAGAUGGCAAAAGGACUUCAUUGUCAUGACCGAAAAAGCGUCAACUUCUUUCUCAUUGACUGGCAUAAUAUCCUCAGUAACAAACUGAUCCAGAUCAAAUAUAAAUGCAGUAUUCCCACAAGAUACAACCGGAACAGGACCUUGCUUCUUUUCCAUCUAAGAUCUUUGCGCAACCCAGAUCAUCUGGAGGAGUUUUGUUCAUCCUCAACACUCACGAGCUAUGAUCUGUGCUAUCACCACCUGGCUCUCUCAAAUAGGGAUGUACAACCUGAUGUAUAACAAGGUAGGAUGCCGAAAACAGGGGAAUGGCAAAACCAAAUAGAAAACAAACCAGUGAAACAAAUAAAACAACCAAAGCCAUGUUUCAUGUUUAGAUCAACAGGUUUGGCUGUAGGUGAGUGAACUAGAAUGCACCUAAAGAGAUAAGAACAAGACAAAACUCCUAUAUGUGGCAUAGCGAAAACUAAAACAGAGCUGAGCCAUUCUCAAAUCAUCAUAAGGAAAAUAGGCAAGAUAGCCGCCAAGGAAAUCCGAGAACCAAGCAGGAACCAUAAGAUAGAACGUAUACCCAAACAAAUCACAGACAAUAUCAAGCAAAAGGAAUGAAACUACAUACUGAUAAAGAAUAUGAAGGAUCCAUGGCAGUCAUACCUCGCUUUUCUUCCCCCUCAAGCUCUCUGUUCUCUCUGGAUAUCUUAGCCAAAACUCCUCCUAGUUUUCCCUCUGAGCUCUCCUCAAGCUCCCAGAAAAACUCUCCCUCAGGCUCCUCCGGAAUCUCUCCUUUUUCUCUCCUCCUCUCUCAAUAUCCAGCUUGCUCCUUGCAAAAUCAGCACCCUCUCUCCAAAAACAUGCUCUGUUUUUCUUAGCUUCUCCCUGGUCCCUGCAUCCCCUAAAAAUCUCCUUUUCUCCUUUUUCUUUUCUCUCGGAUUUGCCCUUCUAACCAUAUCUGCAGAGACAGCCCCCUUCAUGCAGCUGGCAACCUUCCCAUAACAGAAAAAUACGCUCCCCUGAUUCCAGAAGAUUCUUUCCCUUUACAGGUGUCUUCCCCGGAUUAGUCCAUCAAUUCCACUAUUUUGAUCCCAUAUUGACUAAUUCGGGAGUGACACGUGGCCAGAAUGAGCUGCAUGAAAUAGCACCCAAAUAGGGGUCUACAAAUAUGUCCCUCUUUGGUAGAGUUCACGAGUGUAAAGAAUAUGAACACUGGAGUGAAAAGCAAGUGUGAAUAGUGAGUGCAAUGAAGUGAACUCUACUGAAGAACAAAGGAGACCCCCAAAAGGACACCAGUGGAACCCAAACUCACUCAGGCCAACAGAAUGAACAAUGAGGCUCUAAUCCUAAGAGAGAAAAAUGUCACAAAAUGCCUCUGAAGCCACACUAAGGAUCCAAGCUCCCUCUAAGACAUCUCCAAAAGUGACUCGAAGAUCAAUGUCAAAGAUGAGUAACGGUCGAACCACCCUGGAGUACAAUAAAGAAUGUGCCCGAAGGAGACUGCCCUAUGUGAACUAUACGAGAAUGCCAAGUGUAGGGUGCCCAACAACAUGAUCGAAAUAUGCGUCACGGAUCUCAAAAGACUGUGUCAUGUGUAGUGGAAAGGGAAGUCUAAAAGAGCAAUGAUGAAUAGGCGAUAAGCAUCAAGUAACCAGGUGAGGAGAAUGGCUCUGAACGCCUAAAAUGGAAAUGUGAUCCUGAAUGUCAUACUGAAGCAAAGACCUGGACGCCAAACUGACUUGAUAGGAAGAAUGAAUGACCGAUCUAUAUGGGUGCGGUCCCGACUCAAACUAAACACAAUCUGAUAGGGAAAUGACCGAUCGAUAUGGGUGCGGCCCCGACUCAAACUGAACUGAUAAGAAGAUGGCCGAUUUAUAUAGGUGCGGCCCUAGAAACUAAACUGACAUGACAAGGAGAUGGUCGAUCGAUAUAGGUGCGGCCCCGACUCAAACUGACACGAUAAUGACCGAUCGUAUAGGUGCGGUCCCAGAAACUGAACUGACAUGACAAGCAGAUGACCGAUCGAUAUAGGUGCAGUCCCAGAAACUGAACUGACAUGACAAAGAGAUGACCGAUCGAUAUAGGUGCGGUCCCGACUCAAACUGACACGAUAAUGACCGAUCGUAUAGGUGCGGUCCUGGAAACUGAACUAACAUGACAAAGAGAUGGUCGAUCGUAUAGGUGCGGCCUCGACUCAAACUGACACGAUAAUGACCGAUCGUAUAGGUGCGGUCCCAGAAACUGAACUGCCAUGACAAAGAGAUGGUCGAUCGUAUAGGUGCGGCCUCGACUCAAACUGACACGAUGAUGACCGAUCGUAUAGGUGCGGUCCCAAAAACUGAAUUGACAUGACAAAGAGAUGGUCGAUCGUAUAGGUGUGGCCUCGACUCAAACUGGCACGAUAAUGACCGAUCGUAUAGGUGCGGUCCCAGAAACUGAACUAACAUGACAAAGAGAUGGUCGAUCGUAUAGGUGCGGCCCCGACUCAAACUGACACGAUGAUGACCGAUCGUAUAGGUGCGGCCUCGACUCAAACUGACACGAUGAUGACCGAUCGUAUAGGUGCGGUCCUAGAAACUGAACUAUCAUGACAAAGAGAUGGUCGAUCAUAUAGGUGCGGCCCCGACUCAAACUGACACGAUGAUGACCGAUCGUAUAGGUGCGGUCCCAGAAACUGAACUGACAUGACAAAGAGAUGGCUGAUCGUAUAGGUGCGGCCUCGACUCAAACUGGCACGAUAAUGACCGAUCGUAUAGGUGUGGUCCCAGAAACUGAACUGACAUGACAAAGAGAUGGCCGAUCGUAUAGGUGCGGCCCCGACUCAAACUGACACGAUGAUGACCGAUCGUAUAGGUGCGGUCCCAGAAACUGAACUGUCAUGACAAAGAGAUGGUCGAUCGUAUAGGUGCGGCCCCGACUCAAACUGACACGAUGAUGACCGAUCGUAUAGGUGCGGUCCCAGAAACUGAACUGACAUGACAAAGAGAUGGCCGAUCGUAUAGGUGCUGCCCCGACUCAAACUGACACGAUGAUGACCGAUCGUAUAGGUGCGGUCUCAGAAACUGAACUGACAUGACAAAGAUAUGGUCGAUCGUAUAGGUGCGGCCUCGACUCAAACUGACACGAUGAUGACCGAUCGUAUAGGUGCGGUCCCAGAAACUGAACUGUCAUGACAAAGAGAUGGUCGAUCAUAUAGGUACGGUCCCAGAAACUGAACUGACAUGACAGGAAGAUGGCCGAUCGUAUAGGUGCGGUCCCGACUCAAACUGACAUGAUAAUGACCGAUCGAUAUAGGUGCGGUCCCGACUCAAAGUGAACUGAUAAGAAGAUGGCCGAUCGAUAUAGGUGCGGCCCCGACUCAAACUGACACGAUAAUGACCGAUCGUAUAGGUGCGGUCCCAGAAACUGAACUGUCAUGACAAAGAGAUGGCCGAUCGUAUAGGUGCGGCCUCGACUCAAACUGACACGAUAAUGACCGAUCGUAUAGGUGCGGUCCCAGAAACUGAACUGUCAUGACAAAGAGAUGGUCGAUCGUAUAGGUGCGGUCCCAGAAACUGAACUGACAUGACAGGAAGAUGGCCGAUCGUAUAGGUGCGGUCCCGACCCAAACUGACACGAUAAUGACCGAUCGAUAUAGGUGCGGUCCCGACUCGAACUGAACUGAUAAGAAGAUGGCCGAUCGAUAUAGGUGCGGCCCUGACUCAAACUGACACGAUAAUGACCGAUCGUAUAGGUGCGGUCCCAGAAACUGAAUUGACAUGACAAAGAAAUGACUGAUCGUAUAGGUGUGGUCCCGACUCAAACUGACACGAUAAUGACCGAUCGAUAUAGGUGUGGUCCCGACUCGAACUGAACUGAUAAGAAGAUGGCCGAUCGAUAUAGGUGCGGCCCCGACUCAAACUGACACGAUAAGAUGAUGAAUGACCUGAUCAAGUGACCCAAAACCACCACAAUUCUCCAUGCAAUGACGUGUGAAAAACCACCACUCAAGGUGAAACAAGGAUAAUGUCGAGUAAUCAAUGAGGAAAGGAAAAGACAGAGAACGAAUAUCACAAGUGGUGGUAUGUGAUAUCGAAAAAUAGUGAUGAAAUGAUGUCCAAGCGGAAAAUAUCACAGUGAAGAGUGAAGAAUGAGGCUCGAAUAUGUAUGUCAGGUCUAGAACUCAUGACGUAUCCAAACAUAGCAUGCAAGCACUACAGGGUCCCCAACCCGGUGUAAUAAGUAAAUGAGGUGAUGAAAGAAAAAGCUAUGUGCUCGUGUGAGGCUCAAAGGGCUAGCAACGGGUAACUCUAUAUGUGAGGGUGAUAAAGUAAAUAGGCUCAUGAAAUGAUGGCCACCCAUCCUUUGACCAAAACCUCGAACAUCGUGCUUUUGAGAUCUCACAUGGUCAAUACUAAAGACUGGCAUCCAUCCAACAUAGUCAUGACGACUCCUCUGAAAUCGUGCAAAAGGCUCCCACUGAUGCUCUGUGAUGAUCAUCAAUGUCGUCUGAAAAUCAACUCACUCUAUCAUCACAAGCCACUCACCAUCAUCUCAUAAAAUCACCAUGUCUAAUCAUCCCGACUCUCUGAAGUCAUGUGCAAUGGCUCAAAUCUGGAUGCUCCAUGAUAACCUCUCUAUCUCAACAAUAUCGUCAAACAAAUCAAGCCACUCUCUCAUCGUGAUCCAUCUAUCAUCAUGUAAAGCUCACCUCGGGUCUAACCAUCUCGGACUCUACCUGGUCAGAUCCAUGAAAUGAUGGAAAGGAUAGGCAAUGGUACUGUAGCAUGAUAAGGCGAAUCAAGGGUAGUAAAGGUCGUACGAUGGUACCAAGGGAUGGUGUCAUGUCAAGCUCAAAAUGGGUAGGUCAUCAAGUCCACAAAGUCAAGGUACGAAUAUGGAUAUGGUAUCGCUCUAAUCAAAAGGUGAUAUGAGGCACAGUCUCGAACUCCCUAGGUCGAUCUCCUGAUCCUAGGUCAAUAGACUCAAUAUCCUCCAUGAUAGGUCAGGCCAAAGUGAUCGUGAUGUAAGUGAAAGAUGUAUCAUAUUGAAAGUACAACACAUCAUAUGAAAUAUGGUCCCGUGAUGGCAAUCCUAAACUGGAAAUAUGACAGAAACUCUAAGGUCAUAAAGGUGUCCACUAUGAGAUGGCUACAAAUGUGACCAGAGAAUCUCCAUCAAUAAUCCGAGAUAAAGAGAGGUGUGAAAAACACGCUAUCACGAGAUCGGUACUCCAUCUAUAAACAUAUAUCCUUGAAUCAACCUUCAACUCGAGCUCCAUAAGAGAAAAAUAAUAAGGUGAUCAAGGCGAAUCUCUCGAAGACAGUGUGGAUGUGAAAAAUGCGCCUUUCACCUUUCUGUAAUGAAAAUAUGAGCAUCGAGUCGAAAAUUGAACCAAGGAUCAAACAAAUGAUGAGGUACUGAGCCCGUGAUAAGCAUACAGUGUAAAAAGAUGAUCAAUGAACAUAUCCCAAAGCAUCAUGUGAGUGAUAACAAAGUGAAGGGGUGUGUCGAGCCAAGAAAUGAGAAUGAAAACCCUAGGGAGAAAACAUGCUAAACUCGUCAAGUAAAAAGCAUAAUCUAGAGCGACGAGACAAAGGUGAUCCAAUCGAUACUCAAACUCAUACCGAUCUCCGAGCACUCUCAACUGGAGACUAAAAAGAGGGAACACUGGAUCCGAACUGUAACUAAAGAGGCUCUGAAGGCCCUCAGAUGCACCCACGUGUAGGGAGGGAGUCCUAAUCGAAGGAUCUACGGCUCAACCUACGAGAUCAAGGUGGCUCUAAAUGGAUAUGGGUGGACUUUAAAAAAAAUCCCUAGCAGAAGCGAUCAUACCCUCCAGCGGUACACAACCCUCUGCACGCCUAAAAAAAAGACGGGGCGCUUCCAUGCAAGGUGGACAUCGCAUCCACACAUGCACUACCUCGACAUCCUAGGGGGUUUCCUAUGGUGAAUCCUCUCAAACUCUCAACGCUCAAUAGUCAACUAGGGUGCAUAGUGAUCGGUGUGGGUGCAUCCGAAACCCUAAGAAGCUAAAGCAGAAGAUGAAACAUACUGGUCGCAUAAAUAUCCAUGAAACCUAGCUCGGGGCUAUACAGGUCUUCAAUGAUCGGACUCUAAUCGACAACAAUGCGCCGCUCGCCUCCAGAAUGCUCCCAAACAUCAGUAUAGCCCGUCGCUAGACCCUACUCUUAACUUCUAUCUCAGUCAGAGUACAAGCACACACAAGGCCUCACACUUGCAAAAGUGAGAACCGUAAUGAAGAAAGUGACUGAGACUAGAGAGUGAGAGAUAAGGGGAUAGAUGUGCGACCCACAUAAACAAGCGGCACGAAAUCACACAGAUGAGGGCAAUCAUGCAACACACAGUCAAACAAAACUCAGAUAUAUCAUCAAUGUACACACAAGAUAAGCGAGAAUACGACAAUCAGAUGGAUAGUGAUACAAAGACAACACGCUCAAAGAUGAUCAAAAUAAUAUACCAACAAGUGGAUCAGCAUGUCGAGUCGAAUGAUGUACAGUAGUGAGUGUAUGCACGUGAAGUGAUCAAAACAAUCAUGACAAAAUCAGGGUCAAUGUGCUAAGCAAAGCAAUAAGAUCAAUCAUCAAUGAUCCAGCAUGUCAAUGUCUCAAACAAAUAUAUCAAUGCAACACAGAAGAAAUCAUGGCAUCAGAAUCCUCAAUCAAUAUAAAUCAAUCAACACGAUCGACGUGUCAAAGUCUCAAGUGGAUAUAAAAUCCGAGCAUGCAUCAAAUAUCCUCAAUGUGCAAUCAAGAAAUGGGCAUCCACUGAUUGUCCAAUCGAAUGCCACGUUUGCUUCAUUCUAAGUUCAAGUUUGACCCUCUAAAUGAUCCCCAGUGGAGUCGCCAUUUUGUGGACCCCGCAUUUCGUGCUUGAUGCGUUUCCCACUCGAUGGCGAGCUCGAUUUUUAUUUUGAAAAAUUAAUUUUAUUUAUUGUUUGUUGAAAAAAAUGACUUGGAGUCGCCACUUAUUUUUGUUUUAUUUUUAAAGGGUAAACAAAAUAAGAAAGAAAAACCCUAAGUGUGACUCCUUAUUUUGGAAAAGGCGGUCUGUGAAAAACUGGAUCGGGUUCGGGGGUCAGGUUACUUAUUGGGAAGGUACGGUAAAGACCGUAGCACCCCUCUAAGUCCCUAAAAUCGGGUCUCUACUAAUAGAAUGAAGUUGACGUGGCAAUCAAUGAGGAAAUCAGCGGAUACUCAAAUCAAACUUGCACAUAUGAAAAUAAGAGUAUGCAUAGAGAAUAAUCAAAAUGAGAAUGAGUGCGUACCUGGACCUCUAGUGACAAAUGCGCUAUCAUGAAACAGGAUUAGUGAGCAAUGAACAAGAUAUAAUUAAGCGCAUAUCAAGAAAUAGAGUAAACCAAUCAUGCAUGGCAAAUAAAUCAAUCGAUCUGUCAAUCAAUCAUGAAGUCAAGUAUGUGGGGCCCCCACCAAAGCCCGUUUAUUUUGCAUGAAUUAAUUCCAUAAAUUCCAUUAGUCGGAAUUACGGAAUUUAAUUCUUGCUUAUUUUUACAACAUUUUAAAAGAUUAUGAAAGAUUUGAAAAUUGCUUACCGAAUAGAAAGUGGAAGCAAAUUUGAUUAAAAGUGAGACUCUUGGGUGAUCCUAAAAAUUCUAAGGAUGAAAGAGUGUGGAAUUGAAAUUAUUGUUUUAUUGAAAAAUGAGGAACUGGGAAAUUAUUAAAAAAAAUGAGAUUUGAAAAAUUGUUGUCAAAGUCAAAGAGGAUAAAAGGGAAGAUGUCACGUGACCAAAGGUGGCCAUGCAACUGAAUGCUCAUAUGCGCGGACCCAAGGAGGUCACUGGGGCUGCUUUGUCGGCGCACCAUCCUCUCUUAUAACUGCAAAUAGGCUCGGUAUGAAAGAAACUUGAGACAGGUCUGGUGACUCAAAAUAUGGAUCAGAACCCACAGAACCUUUGAUCACGAUCACCUAGGAUGUAACACGUCCCUCUCUCAAAGCAAAUCUUUGUCCAGCUUCAAGAGGAACAACAGAUAUCAACUCGAAAAACUACUGUAACAUCAUUCCCAGGCAUAACCAUCUUAACUUCUUCAAGCAAUUGAACCUUCCCAGUGGCAUCUGUAGUCCUCAGGUGGCUUUGAUUUAUCAGAAGAAUUGAAAGCCGAAGAUUUAGGCAUUGGAGGGGUCACAUGCAUUAGUUGCCUAGAUUGCUUAAAUGCCAAUUCCUCAAGCCGAUGUGUGUUAACAGGCAGCUGUGGUGUAGUGCAAGCCCAUGAUGGAGCCCGUGCCAAUGCUUCAGCCAUAUUAAGACCAACUGUAAUACUUGGAAGCCCAGGUGCCGGGGCAGAACGAUAUUUUGUUGAGCAGAUGAGGAUCCAAUGAGCAAAUUCUGAACAGCCAUGUUCAACCCAGGUGACGAAACCCUCCCAAGAUCCAAUUCGGUUCCAAGUGAAGAGAAAUCCUUAUCAAACACAGUCUUGUGGAUGGUUUCUCACUAAGCAAUCUCAUGGUUUACACUUUCUGCUUAUUUAUGAAGUUUGCUAAUCCUUUCCUUUCUUAUCCUCGAGACGACCUUCUUCCGAUCGAGCCUUCCUAUCCUCGGUGUGGCAUUUAUACGACAUAACCCAACUCACCUAUCAACCCAUAUCUGAAUUUGGCUGCGUCUUAGCAAGAUGCUUCACGGCGUCUUUCUCCAGCUGCAGCCACAACGUGUCAGCUGCCUCCACCCAAAACCUGAUAUGCUGAGAAGUUUCCGUCUAUUAUUGGAUUCGGUAUCUGAUUCCUCAGUCGCUUUCAUUCUCUCAAUCCCUUCCAUGCAUGCAUGAGGGUUGGUGUUAUGUGGUGUAAGGAGAGAAACGGGUAUGGGAUGUGAUCAAAUGGGUGUAUGUGUGAGGGUAUGAAAUAUAGGUGUGGAGACGGGUAUUAUAGGCAAAAGAGGUGGCCAUGCACAUGAGAUGAGUGUGAAGCACGGCCACGGGUAGUGAGAGAAAAUGGGUGGUUAUGUGUUAAGUAUGAGUGGUGAUGAAAUGUGUAUGAAGGUUAGAACAAUGGGUUUGGAGGAUGGAGAUAGGAGUGAGUGGAGUGGGUGGUUGGACGAGUAGUAAGGCUUAGAGAGAUGGUAGUGGGUUUGGAAUAGGUGCAGGGGAAGAUAAUGAAUGAAGAUGAAUGAAGAGAGCGUGAGAUAGAAGAUGGAUGUGAUGGACAAGAAGGUGGCCACGUGCCUGGAGCUUCAUGUAUAUGGGUAUGAAAGAGUUUGAAGAGAGAGAAAAGGUGGUAAUGUGGAAUGGGUUUGGUGGGUGCAAGCAUGGGGCAUGAAGAUGAGGGUUAGUAUGGAAGUGUGGGUAUAAUGAGCGAAUGAGAGAGAUGAGAUGGGUGCAUGGUGGUGUAGAAAGAAAGGUGAUCAUACAAAUGGGCAUAGGUAUGGAGGUAUAAUGGGUAUAGGGUCAUGGGUAUGCUAAAUGGGCAAAAAGGGUAUAAGCCCGGAAUUAAUGGAGUAGGUAGUGGGAGAUAAUAGGAAAUGGGUGUUCAUGGGGAUCCUCUGCGUACAUGGUGGGAAAGGAAACAGUGAAGAGUACCCACAACCAACUGAACUUUCAUUAUUCCUCUCAUUUUAACAUAAGCUUGACCAUAAUAUUUCUAAACUCUCUCUUAGGACUCAUACUUCCGAUGGCUAUUUUGUGGUCUACAAUGCCAAUGGUGAUAUUUUCCGUCUUUCAAAGCCGAAAAGAGAGGUAAGUGACCCUCAUCAAUCGAACAACUCACUUUCUUAUAUAUUCAGGCAACAACUAGAGCAACUCCAGAUCUAUGAAUAGUAUGGGCCCAAGAAUCUGCUUAACAGAAUGCUCCAAAUCUUCAACAAGUGUAAAUCAGUUGGAUACGAUUGCACAUUGUGCUGCAGCGUGAACAACAGAGAUGGCAAAAGGACUUCAUUGUCAUGACCGAAAAAGCGUCAAGUUCUUUCUCAUUGACUGGCAUAAUAUCCUCAGUAACAAACUGAUCCAGAUCAAAUAUAAAUGCAGUAUUCCCACAAGAUACAACCUGAACAGGACCUUGCUUCUUUUCCAUCUAAGAUCUUUGCGCAACCCAGAUCAUCUGGAGGAGUUUUGUUCAUCCUCAACACUCACGAGCUAUGAUCUGUGCUAUCACCACCUGGCUCUCUCAAAUAGGGAUGUACAACCUGAUGUAUAACAAGGUAGGAUGCCGAAAACAGGGGAAUGGCAAAACCAAAUAGAAAACAAACCAGUGAAACAAAUAAAACAACCAAAGCCAUGUUUCAUGUUUAGAUCAACAGGUUUGGUUGUAGGUGAGUGAACUAGAAUGCACCUAAAGAGAUAAGAACAAGACAAAACUCCUAUAUGUGGCAUAGCGAAAACUAAAACAGAGCUGAGCCAUUCUCAAAUCAUCAUAAGGAAAAUAGGCAAGAUAGCCGCCAAGGAAAUCCGAGAACCAAGCAGGAACCAUAAGAUAGAACGUAUACCCAAACAAAUCACAAACAAUAUCAAGCAAAAGGAAUGAAACUACAUACUGAUAAAGAAUAUGAAGGAUCCAUGGCAGUCAUACCUCGCUUUUCUUCCCCCUCAAGCUCUCUGUUCUCUCUGGAUAUCUUAGCCAAAACUCCUCCUAGUUUUCCCUCUGAGCUCUCCUCAAGCUCCCAGAAAAACUCUCCCUCAGGCUCCUCCGGAAUCUCUCCUUUUUCUCUCCUCCUCUCUCAAUAUCCAGCUUGCUCCUUGCAAAAUCUGCACCCUCUCUCCAAAAACAUGCUCUGUUUUUCUUAGCUUCUCCCUGGUCCCUGCAUCCCCUAAAAAUCUCCUUUUCUCCUUUUUCUUUUCUCUCGGAUUUGCCCUUCUAACCAUAUCUGCAGAGACACCCCCCUUCAUGCAGCUGACAACCUUCCCAUAACAGAAAAAUACGUUCCCCUGAUUCCAGAAGAUUCUUUCCCUUUACAGGUGUCUUCCCCGGAUUAGUCCAUCAAUUCCACUAUUUUGAUCCCAUAUUGACUAAUCCGGGAGUGACACGUGGCCAGAAUGAGCUGCAUGAAAUAGCACCCAAAUAGGGGUCUACAGCACCCUUGGCCCAUUUAGGCACUCUAAGCUCAUUUGGGCAUCCUAGGUCCACUUAAGCACCCUAGGCCCAUUUAGGCACCCUUGGUACACUUAGGCACCCUAGGCCCAUUUAGGCACCCUAAGUCCAGUUAGGCACUCUAGACCCAUUUAGGCACCUUAGGCCCACUUAGGCUUUGUUGGCCCAUUUAGGCACCCUAGGUCCACUUAGACACCUUAGGCCCACUUAAGCACCCUAGGCCCUUUUAGGCACCCUAGGUCCAUUUAGGCACCCUUGGCCCAUUUAGGUACCCUCGGCCCACUUAGGCACCCUAGGCCCAUUUAGGCUCCCUAGGUCCAUUUAGGCACCUAAGGCUCAUUUAGGCACUCAUAGGCCCAUUUAGGCACCCUAGGUCCACUUAGACACCUUACGCUCAUUUAGGCACCCGAGGCUCAUUUAGGCACCCUUGGCCCAUUUAGGCACCCUAGGCUCAUUUAGGCACCUUUGGCCCAUUUAGGCACCCUAGGCCCACUUAGACACCCUGAGCCCACUUAGACACCCUUGGCCCAUUUAGGCACCUUAGGUCCACUUAGACUCUCUAGGCCCAUUUCGGCACCCUAGGUCCACUAAGACACGCUAGGCACAUUUAAGCACCUAAGCACCCUAGGCACAUUUACGAACCUAAGGCUCAUUUAGGCACUCAUGGGCCCAUUUAGGCACCCUAGGUCCACUUAGACACGUUAGGCUCAUUUAGGCACCCGAGGCUCAUUUAGGCACCCUUGGCCCAUUUAGGCACCUAGGCUCAUUUAGGCACCUUUGGCCCAUUUAGGCACCCUAGGCCCACUUAGACACCCUGAACCCACUUAGACAUCCUUGGCCCAUUUAGGCACCCUAGGUCCAAUUAGGCUCUCUAGGCCCAUUUCGGCACCCUAUGUCCACUAAGACACGCUAGGAACAUUUAAGCACCCUAAGCCCACUUAGGCACCCUUGGCCCAUUUACGAACCCUAGGCUCAUUUAGGCACCAUAGGUCCACUUAGGUACCCUAGGCCCAUUUAGGCAUUCUAGGUCCAAUUAGGCACUUUAGACCCAUUUGGGCACCCUAGGUCCACUUAGGCACCCUAGGCCCAUUCAGGCACCCUAGGUCCACUCAGGCACCCUAGGCCGAUUUAGGCACCCUUGGUCCACUUAAGCACCCUAGGCCCAUUUUGGCACCCUAGGUCCAGUUAGCCACUCUAGACCCAUUUAGGCACCUUAGGCCCACUUAAGCAUCCUUGGCCAAUUUUGGCACCCUAGGUCCACUUAGGCACUCUAGUCCCAUUUAGGCACCCUAGGUCCACUUAGGCACCCUACGUCCAUUUAGGCACCCUAGGUCCAUUUAGGCACCCUAGGCUCAUUUAGGCACCCUAGGCCCAUUUAGGCACCCUAGGUCCACUUAGACACCUUAGGCCCAUUUAGGCACCCUAGGUCCACUUAGGCACCCUUGGCCCAUUUAGGCACCCUAGGUCCAUUUAGGCACCCUAGGCCCAUUUAGGCACCCUAGGCCCAUUUAGGCACCCUAGGUCCACUUAGGCACCCUAGGUCCACUUAGGCACCCUAGGCCCAUUUAGGCACCGUAGGUCCAUUUAGGCACCCUUAGCCCAUUUAGGCACCCUAGGCCCAAUUAGGCACCCUAGGUCCAUUUAGGCACCCUAGGUCCACUUAGACACCUUAGGCCCAUUUAGGCACCCUAAGCCCACUUAGGCACCCUUGGUCCAUUUAGGCCCCCUAAGCUCAUUUAGGCACCCUAGGUCCACUUAGGCACUCUAGGCCCAUUUAGGCACCCUUGGUCUACUUAGGCACCCUAGGCCCAUUUAGGCACCCUAGGUCCAGUUAGGCACUCUAGACCCAUUUAGGCACCUUAGGCCCACUUAGGCAUCCUUGGCCCAUUUAGGCACCCUAGGUCCACUUAGGCACUCUAGGCCCAUUUAGGCACGCUAGGUCCACUUAGGCACCCGAGGCCCAUUUAGGCACCCUAGGUCCACUUAGACACCUUAGGCCCAUUUAGGCACCCUAAGUCCACUUAGGCACCUUUGGCCCAUUUAGGCACCCUAGGCUCAUUUAGGCACCCUAGGUCCAGUUAGGCACCUCAGGCCCAUUUCAGCACCAUAGGUCCAGUUAGGCACUCUAUACCCAUUUAGGAACUCUAGGUCCACUUAGGCACCCUAGGCUCAUUGAGGCACCCUAGGUCCAUUUAGGCACCCUUGGCCCAUUUAGGCACCCUAGGCCCACUUAGGCACCCUAGGCCCAUUUAGGCACCCUAGGCUCAUUUAGGCACCCUAGGCCCAUUUAGGCACCCUAGGUCCACUUAGACACCAUAGGCCCAUUUAGGCACCCUAGGCUCAUUUAUGCACCCUUGGCCCAUUGAGGCACCCUAGGCCCACUUAGACACCCUAAGCCCACUUAGACACCCUUGGUCCAUUUAGGCACCCUAGGUCCACUUAGGCACCUUAGGCCCACAUAGGCACCCUUGGCCCAUUUAGGUACCCUUGGCCCAUUUAGUUAGGCCCACCUAGUCUCACCUUAGGCCCAUUUAGGCACACUUGGGCCAUUAAGAAAUUUUUAGCGUGACUUAUAUGACUUGCAUGGUUGCAUGGCUUGUGGGGCUCAGUUUUUUUUUUAUUUAUUUAUUUUUAUUUUUAGUUUUAUUUUUAUUUUUAUCAAUCACUUGUUUAUUUUUAUUUGUUAUAUUCCUUUCUAUAUUAUUUUUCUUAGUUUUUUAAUUAACUUAUUUAUUUAUUAUUGUUUUACCGUUUUCUAAUUUAUCUACUCAUUUAUUUAUUCAUUCAAUUAUUUAAUAUAAAAAAAUUUCAUGCUUUUGCAAGGAAACUUACCAUUGAAGUUUAAGGAAAGUGGGACUCUCCUUGGAAGGUUUUGGAGAGGGAGUUUGAAAUUGGGAGGAUUGUUUUUGAAUGGGAAGAUUGGAAAAAGAGGGAAAAAAAAUGGGGAAUUUCUCAGAGCCAUAUAAGGAGUAGACUGCCAUCAUGAGAUAAAGAAAAAGAAAAAAAAAAAAGUUAGAGAUUUUGAUUUUCUGGGGGAUAGAGAGAACAAUAGGAAUUUUUUAGAAGGGUUUUUUUGUUAGAGAUUCAAGCAUAAAGCAUAAUUUUUUUUAAAGAGAGCACACAGAAUUUUGGAAAAAAAGCAAGGGACUUGAGACGGAGAUCGGGCUGCCAUUUAAUCAUCAAGAGAGGAUUUUCUAUUUCACUUCAAAGGUUAGUUUUCUAUAUAGUACUUUUAUUUAGCCUAGACUUUUUUUUGGAAAUUUUAGUUUUUGAUUAAUUCUUUGUGUUAAAGUUUAUAUUAUUUUCUUUUUAAAUCCCCAAUUAGUUUAAUUCCAAUCUAUCUUUUAGUUUAAGUUUGUUAAUGAUUUUAAUUCUUAAGUUUAAAUAAUCAUAUUGAAUAAAGUUUGUAUUUUUAAUCCUGAUUAGUUUGAUUUCAAUUCGUUUUUAGUUUAAAUGUAUUUUGUUGAUCUUAAUUCUUGACUUUAAAUAAUCACGUUAAAUAAAGUUUGUAUUUUUAAUCCCAAUUAGUUUGAUUUCAAUUCGUUUUUUAUUUUAAAUGUGUCUUGUUGAUCUUAAUUCUUUACUUUAAAUAAUCACGUUAAUAAAGUUUGUAUUUUUAAUCCCAAUUAGUUUGAUUUCAAUUCGUUUUUAAUUUAAAUGCAUUAGUUGAUCUUAAUUCUUUACUUUAAAUAAUCACGUUAAAUAAAGUUUGUGUUUUUAAUCUCAAUUAGUUUGAUUUCAAUUCGUUUUUAAUUUAAAUGCAUUAGUUGAUCUUAAUUCUAUGUUUUAAAUAAUCAUGUUAAAUAAAGUUUGUAAUUUUAAUCCCAAUUAGUUUGAUUUCAAUUCGUUUUUUAGUUUAAAUGUAUCUUGUUGAUCUUAAUUCUUUACUUUAAAUAUCACGUUAAUAAAGUUUGUAUUUUUAAUCCCAAUUAGUUUGAUUUCAAUUCGUUUUUUAGUUUAAAUGUAUCUUGUUGAUCUUAAUUCUUUACUUUAAAUAAUCACGUUAAUAAAGUUUGUAUUUUUAAUCCCAAUUAGUUUGAUUUCAAUUUGUUUUUAAUUUAAAUGCAUUAGUUGAUCUUAAUUCCUUGUUUUAAAUAAUCACGUUAAAUAAAUUUGUAUUUUUAAUCCCAUUUAGUUUGAUUUCAAUUCGUUUUUUAGUUUAAAUGCAUUAGUUGAUCUUAAUUCUUAAGUUUAAAUAAGCACGUUAAUAAAGUUUGUGUUUUUAAUCCCAAUUAGUUUGAUUUUAAUUUGUUUUUAGUUUAAAUGCAUUUUGUUGAUCUUAAUUCUUUAGUUUAAAUAAUCAUAUUGAAUAAAGUUUGUGUUUUUAAUUCCAAUUAGUUUGAUAUUAAUUUGUUUUUAGCCUAAAUACAUUCAUUGAUCUUAGUUCUUUAGUUUAAAUAAUCAUAUUGAAUAAAGUUUGCGUUUUUAAUUCCAAUAAUAGAAUUUAAUUUCAAUUUAGUUUGAUUUUAAUUUAUUUUAUAAUUUGAAUGCGUUCAUGAUUUUAAUUGUUUGAUUAACUCUCUUAGACAAAUUCUAUAUAUUUAAUUUCGAUUUUAUUUUAAUUUUACUUUGUUAAUUUAUUUAUUUGUUUAAAAAUAUUUGCAAUUUCAUUUUGAUAGUUUAGCCAAUCUUAUUAGAUGAUGUUAAUGUUUUUAAUUUAAUCUAGUAUCAAUUAUUUUUAGUAUUGAAUGUGUUCGUGCGUUUCUGAAUUCGCCAUUUUGGAUUGUAAUCCAUUUAUAUCCAAUUUUGUAGUUGAUCAUAAUUUUAGUUAAUUAAUUUAGUCAAUCACAUGAUAUUAUACUCACAUUCUAAGUAUGGAAAUUUCAGCUUUGAUUCGUCAAUAUUUAGUAUGAGUUUUUUGGAAUUUUAGUUAAUUACAUGUUACUCUUUUAGUCAAUAUUUUCAAGUUUGCUAAACUUUGGUUUUUGAUUUAUCAUACUUUGCUAGAAUGUUAAUUUACCUUAAUUGAUUCCCUGUUAUUAUCUUUAUAUGCUAAGCUUGUUGACUUUAAUCUUUGGUUGGUUAUUUUUAUUUUAAUUCAUGUGUUUCUUGAAAUCUAGAUGUUAGUCUUGGAUAAUAUUUGUGUUAGUUUGUUUGAUUAGGAAACCAUUAGUUUGUUGCUUUAGUAAUUGUUGGUAAAAUCUUUUUUUUUGAAGGCCAUUGGAAAAUCAUGAAGAUUGGCAUCUACCAUCACCUUUAUCAUUUUUGUUAAUUACUAAAAAAAUUUUACUUUGAGGUUUCAUUUUUUUUUUUUUUUUUGUUUGGUAUUUUAUAUAUUUUAUUUUUUCCAAAUUAAUUCCUUUUAUUUUAAAAUAAAAUACUUUUCUCAAAAAAUCAUUUUAAAAAUCUAUUUCAAAAACUCAUUUAGAGUCCUCAGGAUCAAUUUUUUUUUUUUUAUAUUUAAAAAUAAUGUGCAACCAUAUCUUGUUCUGUUUGCAUCCUUCUCGGUUUUCAACAAAAAGUUUGGUUUUGAACAAAAACACGAAUCAAAGCUUGUGGUCCCAAAUAAAUGGGAUAAUUCUUGGCUAAAUUUGUGUAUAUUAAUUUGGGGAAUUGGUGAAACCCCUACAUAAGAAAAUCUUUUCAAAAAUUAUUUUUGUUGCCAUAUUUGUCACUUGUUGAAAUUAUGUCUAUCUUUUUUAGGAAUUGUAUACAAGAUGUGUGUGAUAAUUAAUGUUUUCAUAUACUUUGAUAAUUUUUGUUAUGCUAAUUAGAUAACAAGCAUGCUAGGGUUUCUUUAUUUUAUUAUUAUCUAAUCCCUCAUGUCUUAUGGAAGUGCAUUGUAAGUUAUCUAUGCUAUCCAGGUACAUCCCCUAUCACCUACUUUCUAAGUUUUGUAAACAUGAUUGUCACUGAGAACUAUGCUUAUGCUUGAGAAUACUUGGGUGUUCCGAUAUACAUGUUUCAUUGUUUGAUUAUUUCUAAUAAAACACAUGUUGGAUGAUAUAUUGUUUAAAUUAACCAUUGAUGUUUUAUGAUAGCGCUUGAGAAGCAGUCCGGGUACACACCCUAACUCUCCUUUAUUGUGAUUUAAUCUUGUUUAGCAUGUAAGUUUUUUGAAAUCACCUAGCCUACUUAGGUAUCUAUAAUUAAUUGAUUAAUUGCCACACUUCCCUUAACUUUGUCAGUAGAGACCUUUGUAGGGCUUAGAGGGGUGCUACCUUUUAAAGGUGCCUUCCCAAUAAGUAACCUGAUCCCCGGACUUAGACUUAGGUUUUUCAAAGACACACUUUUCCAAAAAUUAUGGAGUCAUUUUUUAGGGUUUUAUUUCUUGUUUUAUUUUCCCUUUUAAAAAAAAAUAAUAAGUGGCGACUCCAACUUUUUUUCAAAAAUCAAUUUUUCACAAAUAAAAAGCGAGUCUCGCCGAUUGAGUGGGGGCGCACGUGAAAAAUGCGGGUCCACAUGGAGUAAUUAGAGAUUAUUGCAUCACAUACGUCAAUGAAGUUGUAGGUAUUAGAGGGUAAGUUUUUAGGAUAAAACGACCAGGUAAAUUUGUGUAACUUGAUCUUGUAUAGUGGAUUUUGAUUAGUAGUCUUAGACCUUGUGGUUUUUUUUAUCUCCACAGUAGUGUGGGGAUUUUCCAUGUAAAAGUCAUUGUGUCCAUUGUUAUAUCUUGUGAUUAUCAUGAUUGUGGGGAUUUUGUUUAUCUCUGAUAUUAUCUCACAGGGUAAAAAUUGAGUAUAACAUAUAAUCUUUUUUUUAGAAUUCUUUUAAUUACACCCAUUCACCUCCGUCCUCUCUUUGGGUGUUACCCUACUAGACUUGGCUUUUUCAGUCUCAAAUUCUACAUUAGCAUUUUUUUACUUAAGUUAUAAAUGGAAAAAGUUAUAAACCCAAGAUAACUUGUUAAAAAAGUGAGAAAUAAUAAAGGACUCAUGUUAGAGUAUAAAUAAUUAAUCUAUUCUAGGCUUAAUAUAGCUCCAAUGUCAAACAUGAAUACUUAAUUAUUUAUUAUAUUUUGAAAAUAAAGUAAGUAUUUUUUAUAUAAAAAAUGAAACAACUUUUCUAGAACAACACAAGGCACUAAUGCAUAUAGUUGGUAACAAGUUGGAGAAAGAAAAUAAUGUGGAGAAAUAAAACAACAUGUACAAAGAAACAAAUUGGAGAUAAAGAAAAUGACUAACAAAAAAGAAAAUAGAGAAAUUAUAGAAUAUAAGAUAAUUAAACUUAUUUUCAUAAAAAUAAUAUAUUUUCGAAAAAUAGAAAAUUUCGUUCAUAUUCUCUUUUUCACUUAUUUUAAAAAUAAAAGUAAAAAUUAAUAUUUAUCAAAUGCAAAUAUUAAUAAUUAUGAAAUUAAUAUUUAUCACAUAUAUAAGAUUAAGAUUGAGAUAUAAACUUUUUAUAAUCUAAACUAUUAUUUUCAUUUUAAACAAGAAAGUUCGAUGUGACAUAAUAAAAUUUGUACACAAAAUUUAAAUUAUCUCUAUUCAUAUAGAAUUAUAUAUAGGUAUAGAUUCAUUUCAAAAUUCAAAUAAUUAUUUGAAAUUUACAUUUAAAUUUUAUUUUUAAAUUUAAAACUUAAUUAUUUUGUAAUAGGGUAUGUGUCAUAAAAUUGAAACUUAUAUAUAUAAAUGCGUCCACUUCCAUACCUCUCAUAAAAUUGGAGCCGACUUUUUUUGUUUUCUUUUGUGUGUUUAUAAAUGUCUCCAAUUCCAUAUCUAGCUGUGAUAUAGUUUUGGAGAUGAUUGUGAUUGAAGUAUAAUUUCUUUUAAUUUUAAUUUUAUAAGAAUUAAAAUCAAAGAAACUGUUGGGUAGAAAGAUGUUUCCCUCCAUACAAAUCUAUUUAAAAGAAAAAAAAAACACAAAGAAAGACAACAAUAGAUGAAAAUAAUUAUUCAUCUGUUAUGUUAGUGCAAAAUAUGAAAGAGAAGACAACAGUGUGCAUCUUCACUGUGACUGAGGAUCAAAUUCUCUUUGAGAUUGAUAUAAAUUAUUUAUAACUUCAUUGUUCAUGGAGAGUUGAUUCAGUAGUGUCUUCCAUUUGAAGACAUACAGAAAUGGUUAGAAUUAUCUAUUCAUUUCAAGAGAUAACUUGCAUCUAUGACCCUUAUACUCCCAUGAACUUUGAGCAUCUAUUAUUUAUAAAAUAUGGAUGAAAAUAGAAUAUAAAAAAAAUAUUUUCAUGGGAAGUGUAUUUUGGAAAAAAUAAUUCUCAUUUGAUACAUUGGAAAAGUGUCUACCUCACAUUACCCAAAAAUGUCGUUAUAUGUGUACAUGGGUCAUCAUCCAUAGUAACCCAAUUCACAUGAGGAUGGUACAUCAUUCAACCAAUAAAGGUACUUUAAGCUCAAAACAGUGGUACAUUAUAAUCAAAACAAUAUUACUUUAAUAUCAAAAUACAUGUAAGGACAUUUUAAGGUAAUGUGAGGUAAAUACUACUAUAAUACAUUAAAUAAGAAUUAUUUUCCCAAAAAUGUACUUCCCAUGAAAAUGAUUUAUGUAGGUUUUCUUUCAUUUAUAUUUUAUAAAUAGUGCAUGUUUACAUAAUUCUCUCAUUAAUAUAAUAUAAUCAUCUAUACCUGAUAAUUAAGGAAAUAAAAAAUAUUUACGUACUAAGCAAGGAUAAUUGAAAUUAAAGAGUAUGUCAAAAGAGAAAAAAAAUAUUAAAGAUAAAUUAAAACUCUAAAAUAAAAGCCUUCAUUUGCACAUAUAGGACAAUAUCUUAGGAGGUAUUUUAUUAAAAUAAUAAUAACAAUGAUUAAAAAAUGGAAAAAAUUAUGGGUCCCAUUUUUUAAGUAUUUUCAAUAACAUAAUUAUAAACUUCUUUAAAUUUAAAAUCAUUUAUUUAAACCACUUUAUUCAUUUAGCAACAAGGACUUAAUUAAUCACUAAGAUCAAACACAAUGAUUUAUAAUUUUUAUAAUAUUUUCUUCCAUUACUAUCAUUUUUUUGUUAAUAAAAUGAAGACUUCUAUUGAUGAAUUUUUAAUAAUAAAAUGUAACUUCUUUUAAAUUAAAACCAUUUAUUAUUAAAAAAAUUUAAUUCAUCUAGGAGAUUCUUUUAACUAAUUCUUUUAGAAUUUUUUACAUUUUUUUAUUUCAUAUUUAAAGAUAAAAAAUUAUUAUGAAAUAAUUUUCUUCAUUAUAAAAUUUAUCUUUCGUUUCUAAAUCAGAAUUUUUGUCAUGUCCAUUCAUAUAAUAAAAUUAAAAUUAUAAAUAAUAAAAAAACCUAUUUUAAUUGACAGCGUCAUGGAAUCUCUCCAUGCACACCUCUUAAACCAAGUGAGCUAUGAAUGCAUGUAAGAUGUAUAUAUAACUAUAAAUAAGGAUUCAAAAUGAGGGGAAAAAUCAUUGAGAAGGGUGAACCAUGGGUGAUAAGCCACUUUCCUUUGGAUAAAUAUUAAAAGUUAAAGAGUAUAAAAUGUCUAUGUAUGUCGUCAUUUUUUUUUUCACUUUUAAGUUAAAUAUAUUUUUAUUGUUAUAAAUGAAGUAAUGAAUGCCACCACAUUUAUUAUAUGAAAUGUUCAUUAAAAGCCUAUAAAAAUGUUUCCUAUCCCCUGUAAAAUGCAUCCCAAGCAAAGAAAUAAAUUUUCUUUCUCUCUUAUUCUUUUUUAUUUUUUUAUUUUUAUUCUCCAUAUCUUUCAUUCUUUCAAUUGUCCUAAUUAUCUUUUAUGAUUCCUUCCUCUCCAUUAUAUAUUAUUAUCAAAAUAAUAUAUAGUUGUUCUUUACUUUUAUUUGUGUUGCAUUUAUCCUCUUUUUACAACACAUAAUUAGCAUGAAUUGCUCUAAAGGUAAUUCUCAUAUCUUAAAUUUGAAGUUAUUUAUAUAGAAUAAAAUUUUACAUAUUUAUAUUGGUAUUGUUAAAUUCAUUUAAUUUGUGUUAUAUAUUAUUAAAAUCUAUAAGCAAAUUAUUUGAUUUUGAUUAUAAUCAAAAGUUAUACCAAUGCUAUUAAUUUAUAACUAAUUCUAGUAAUAUUGUUUUGUCAUAUAUCUAAAGUUAUUUAACAAUGUCAAAUCUCACAAAACUCAAAUUUGUGGCACUUGACAUUUUAGGAAAGAACUAUAUAUCUUGGAUCCUUAAUGCUGAAAUACAUCUUGAUGCAAUGAAUCUUGGAGCUACAAUUAAAGAAGGAAAUCAGGCUUCCUUGUAGGAUCAUGCAAAAGCGUUGAUUUUCCUUCACCAUCAUCUCUAUAAAGGUUUUAAAAAUGAGUAUCUUAUAGUAAAGGACACUUUUACGCUAUUGAGUAAUUUGAAGGAAAGAUAUGACCACUAAAAAAUUGUGAUUAUCCCAAAAGCUUGAUAUGAUUGGAUGCAUUUAAGGUUGUAGGAUUUUAAAACUAUUAGUGAAUAUAACUCUGCACUUUUCAAAAUCAACUCUCAAUUAAAGCUAUGUGGAGAAAAAAAUCAUAGAAGAUGACUAUUAGAAAAAACUUUACUACAUUUCAUGCCUCGAAUGUGCUCUUACAACAAUAAUACCAAGAGUGUAGAUUUACAAAAUACUCUGAAUUAAUAUCAUGUCUUCUUGUUGCUGAACAAAAUAAUGAGCUUUUGAUGAGAAAUCACUAGUCUCAUCCAAUUGGAUCUGAACCAUUCCCUGAAGUGAAUGCAAUAUUGUCCCAAACUCGUGGACAUGGGUGAGGACAAGGAAAUGGUUGUGGUCACGGAAGGAAUCUCCGAUAUAAUGGUUAUUAUGGUAAUAAUUCCUCAAAUUCUCAUAAAAUGAAAGCUUUAUUGCACCACUAGAAAUGGAAUAAUACUGAGGCAAAACAAGAAAAUGGGAAGUGUUUACAAGAUUAACCUCCAAAUAACCAUGAGAAUAAUUGUUAUAAAUGUGGUAUGAAGGGCCAUUGGUUGUGUACCUAUCAUACACUCAUACAUUUGGUCAACCUUUACCAAGCAUCAAUAUAAGUAAAAGGAAAAGAGAUAGAGAUGAAUUUUACCAAUGGUGAUGGAUUGAACCUAACCUACUAUGACAUCGAUUUCUUUGGAGGUCCUAGUGAAAAAAUAGACCAUUUAAUAAAUGAUGAGAAUGCUAACAUUGAUGGGUGUUACUUUAUAUAUCAAAUAAUAUAUUAUUAUGUGUUAUAUUUAUAUCUGAUUAUUACAUUUUCUUUUAUAUUGUUAUUUUAUUAUGCCUUGUUUUUUUAAUAUUAGUUGUAUCUAAAAUCCACGUGUUAUUUGGUCUCAAGAUGAAUGAAGAUGAUGUAUGUUUCACAAAUUGUGAAACCACGCACACAAUUCUUCGAGAUAAAAGAUAUUUCAUUGAAUUGACAUUGAUAAAAGCUAAUGUAAGUACCAUAUUUAGUACUACAAGCUUAGUUGAAGGCUUUGGAAGAGGAAACAUAAUGCUACUAAAUGGAACUAGAUUUCAUAUAAAUGAUGCUUUAUAUUCUAACAAAUCUAGAAGAAAUUUGCUCAGUUUUAAAGAUAUCCACAAAAAUGUAUAUCAUAUUGAAAUUUUGAAUGACUUCCAUUAUAUCUGGCCAAAAGCUUAUGAUAGAAAAACUCUCGACUUUUUCCUCUAGGUUGUAUCAUACAACUAUAAAGCAUAUUGAAUCAUAUUUUGUCAUGAACCAGAAGUUCAACGGCCCAAAAUUUUUUGUCCUUUGGCAUGUGAGACUAGGUCACCCAGGUUUUCAAUGAUGCGUCAAAUAAUCGAACACUCACAUGGGCAUCCACUAAAAAACCAGAAAAUUCUUUUGCAAAAUGAAUACUCAUGUGCUACUUGCUCACAAGGUAAAUUGAUAGUCAAACCAUUUUUUACUAAAGUCAUAUUUGAGUCACGAGUUUUUAAAAAGAAUACAUGAGAACAUAUGUGGGCCUAUCCAUCCACCAUGUGAACCAAUUCGUUAUUUUAUGAUCUUAAUAGAUACUUCUACUAGCUGGUUACAUGUUUGUCUCAUUUUUACAAGUAAUGUUGCCUUUGCUAACUCCUUUCACAAAUGAUCAAAUUAUGAGCACAAUUCCAAGAUUAUCUAAUUAAGAUAAUACAUCUUAAUAAUGUUGGCGAAUUUACUUCUCAAACAUUCAUUGACUACUGUCUAUUGGUAGGGAUAAAUAUUGAGCAUCCUAUUGCUCAUACUCAUACCCAAAAUGGUUUAGUAGAAUUCUUCAUCAAAUGUCUCUAAUUAAUAGCUCGACCAUUACAAAUGAAAACCAAAUUACCUAUUUCUACCUGGGGACAUGUUAUUAUGCAUGCUGCAACUUUAGAUUGUAUUCAACAUAUAGCUUGCCAUGAAUAAUUCCCUCCACAACUCAUACUUGGAAAACAACUAAAUAUCUCUCACUUAUGAAUCUUUGGUUGUGCAGUAUAUGUACCAAUUGCACCUAUGCAAUGGACUAAAAUGGGUCCCCAAUGAAGACUCGGGAUUUAUUUAGGUUUUAAUUCUCCAUCUAUCAUAAGAUAUUGUUAGAAAAAUUAGGCUAAUCCAACCUAAGGUAAUUACCCUAGAAGGAAAAGGAGAGGAUGAAUAGAGUGAUGGUAUUUUUUUUUAAAAAAAAAUUAAAUUAUAUGAAUACAAGAGACAAUUAUAUGCAAAUAUAUAAUAAAACAAUAUAAAGAUAGAUGCAUAUAAAGAUCUUAUCUUGAUCCUUAUACAAAUGAAUAUGAACUAGAAGUUCAAAGGAACAUUUAUUUGCAAAAUCUUGCAAACAUAUUACUAGAUGCAUUCAUUGAUACAAAGAAAGUGACAAAGUCACAUAUCUUGGCUACAAAUACUCCAACAUGGAUUGAUGUCCCUGUAGGACAGUUAACAAAUGAACCUAAGAUAUGCUUGAAGCGUAGUAAACCUGUCGACUCAAAUGAUGUAACUCCCUAGAAGAGGAGAACACAAGAAAAACUUGGCACUUUAGAAGAGUCGUUAAAAUGACUAAUCAGUCUAAAAUUGAUAAAUCUAUAGCCCCAAAAGAGGCACAAAUAAUGCAAAAAGCCCAUGAAGAGGCACUUAUUGAACAAGAAGCCCUUGAAGAGGCACAUAUUGAACAAGAAGCCCCUGAAAAGGCACAUCUACCUGAAAAUUGUGAAAUAUUAGUAAGUUAUGUACACAUGGGAAAAAAAUGGGAUCCAAAUAAUAUUGCUAUCAACAAUACUUUUACUUUUCAAGUGGCCUAUGAUAUCAUAAGAAAUUAAUAAGAUCCCGAAUAACAAAAUAUGGAAGAAUGCCGACAUAGAAAUGAUUGGCCAAAAUGGAAAGAAGCUAUGUAAGCAAAGUUAAACUUAUUAACAAAAUGAGAAGUUUUUGGACCUGUACUCUAAACACUUGAAGAUGCAAAGUUUGUUGGGUAAAAAUGGGUAUUUGUACAAAAGUGAAAUGAGAAUAAUGAAAUCAUAAGAUAUAAAGCGUGAUUAGUAGCACAAGGUUUCUUUUAGAGACCAAGUAUUGACUACGAGGAAACAUACUCUCCUGACAUGGACAUAAUCACAUUUCGUUUCUUAAUUAGUUUGGUAAUCUCAUAAGGAUUGGAUAUGAUCCUCAUGGAUGUUAUUACAACAUAUUUAUAUAGAUCCAUAGAUAAUGAUAUAUACAUGAAAAUCCCUGAAGAAUUUAAACUGCCUCAAACAAAUAAUACAAAGACUUGUAACAUUUACUCAAUCAAGUUACAAUGAUCCUUGUAUGGAUUAAAGUAAGCGGGAUACAUGUGGUACAAUCGCCUUAGAAAAUACUUCCUAAAAGAAGGGUAUGUGAAUAACCCUAUAUGUCCAUGCAUCUUCAUUAAGAAAUCAAAAACUGGAUAUGCAAUUAUUGCAGUGUAUGUUGAUGACAUAAAUCUUGUUGGAACUCCUGAAGAGCUCAUAAGAACAAAAAAUUACUUAAAAAAGGAAUUUGAGAUGAAGGAUCUUGGAAAAACAAAAUUUUCUAUUGGUUUACAAAUCAAGCAUUUUCCAAAUGGAGUUUAGUACAUCAAUCAACAUACAUUAAGAAAAUUUUGAAGCAUUUUUAUAUGGGUAAAGCGCAUCUUUUAGCCUUUCCAAUAGUUGUUUGAUCACUUGAUGUGAAAAAGAACCCAUUUCAGUCUUGCAAAAAAUGUGAAGAAUUAGUUGGUUCUAAAGUACCAUAUAUUAGUGCUGGGUGCACUUAUAUAUCUUUCCAAUUGUACAUGUCUAAACAUUGUUUUUUCUAUCAAUUUAUCAGCAAGAUAAAGUUCCACUCCAACUCAAAGACAUUGAAAUGGUAUCAAACAUAUAUUGCACUAUCUUUGCGGAGCUACUGAUGUGAGUCUAUUUUACUCAAAGGAAUCAAGCAACAAUUGCUUGGAUAUGUAGAUGCAGGAUACCUUUCAUAUCCACAUAAAGAUAGGUCAUAAACAGGGUAUAUGUUUAAUUGCAAUGGUACUGCUAUUUCAUGGAGAUUUGUUAAACAAACAAUGAUGUCACAUUAUCAAAUCAUUCAAAAAUACUUGCAAUUCAUGAAGCAAGUUAUGAAUGUGUUUGACUAAGAUCUAUGAUUCAACAUAUUCGAUAACCAUAUGGACUUUUCUCUAUCAAAAGUGGCACGACAAUAUUAUUUGAAGAUGAUGUUGCAUACAUUGCACAAAUAACAGGGGGUCAUAUUAAAAGAGAUAGAACUAAACACAUUUCAUCAAAAUUAUUUUAUACACAUGAACACCAGAAAAGUGGUGAAAUUGGUGUGCAACAAAUAUGCUCAAGUGAUAAUCUAGCAAAUUUAUUCACAAAGUCAUUGCCAACCUCAACAUUAAAGAAGUCAAUACACAAGAUUGGAAUGCAUCAACUCAUAUCAACAUGAGGGAGAGUUUGCUUGUAAAAGGGUGUUAGUGUACUGUACUUUUUUUCCCUUUGUCCAGAUUUUGUCCUUUUGGGUUUUACUAGCAAGGUUUUUAAUGAGACAGUCCUAACAUAUCAAGAGCAACUUAAAGAAUUAUCACAAUAUUGUACUGUUUUUCCUUCGCUAGGUUUUCCUAUAGGGUUUUUUACUAGCAAGGUUUUAAUGAGACAUAUUCUUCUAAUGUGGUUGACAUUCAAGGAAAAGUGUUUAAACAAAGUAAUGAAUACCACCACAUUUAUUAUAUUAAAUAUUCAUUAAUAUUAUUUAUGACUUCCAUUAAUAUUCAUUAAUGGAAGCCAUUUGGAAAGCCUAUAAAACAACUUCCCAUCCCCUGUAAGAUGCAUCCUAAGGAAAGAAAUAAAUUCUCUCGCUCUUAUUCUCUAUGUCUUUCAUUCUUUCAACUCUGUUAAUUCUCUUUUCUGAUUCUUUCAUUCCCAUUAUAUAUUAUUAUUAAAAUAAUAUAAAGUUGUUAUAUACUUUUAUUUACGUUGCAUUUAUCCUUGUUUUACAACACUUAGUUUUUUCUUUUCUCUAUUUUAUUUUAUUUUUUUCUCUUCUAGUUAUUAUAAUUAUAAUAAUAAUUAUUAUUGUUAUUUUAUAAACAUAAUAUAACCUAUCAAAAAAUAAUAAUAAUAACAUAUUUAUAAAUAAUAUAAUAAUUAAUUUACAAAUUAUUGUUUCAUUUGUUAUUAUUAUUAUUGUUAUUAUUAUUUCAAUUUUUUUUAAAUAUCAUAUAUAACUUAUACAAUAUGAAUAAUAAUAAAAUAAUUUUACAAAUAUUGUUUCAUUCAUGUUUUGAAGACAAAGUUUUCUUAUAUAAACUUUCAUAAAUUUUCAAUUGUUUUUUACAAUAUGAUUAUUAAGAAAAUAUUACAAUAAAAAAUUAGUAUUGAUAAUUAUGAAAAAACAAAAUUAAAGCAUGUGUUAUCGUACUUUUAGUGUACUUAUAUUUUAAUUUCAAUGCAUAACUAUGACACAUACAUUUUGUCACAAACUUAAUAGUGUUAGAAGCAUUGUCUUAUCCUAGUAUAUUGAUUUCUAUAUUAUUAAGGCAUCCCAAUGAAUUAGCAUCAUAUACUAGAUGCAUUCUUAUUAGCAAUAAUUCUUAUAAUGAAACUCAUACACCUUAUAAAAAAAAUGUCUUAUAAGGUUAAUUUAUAGUAGAUGAAAUGUUAAAAAAUAUACAAAAUAUAUGACAAUCAUUUAUCAAUGCUUGUUUAAAAGGAAAAAUUUUAAAAUAAAGUUAGGUUAUGCAGUAAUGUAUAAGACAUUUAAAGUAUUCAUGUUGUAAGAUCAUUAUAUUUUUGUGGUACGAAUACGUUGGCUUUUAUAUUAAUACAUAAUAUCGGUGUACUAGCAUUAUACAUUUAAUGAAUCAUUAUUAUGCAUGAUUUUUAUAAUAAAGCCUAUAAGUUUUAAGAAUUAGGUGAAAGAAAGAUCAUAUUCUAAGAUUGGUUUAUAAUCAAUGACAUUAUAAUAAUAAAAAAUAUGAAUAAUGACACAUAUGAAAUAUUAAUAAUGUAAAACUAAUAUCAUAAAUAAUAAUAUUAAUAAUGAUGAUAAUAAUAAAUAUAUAAUUAUAAUUUUUUUUAAUAAAUAGUAUAGUUAGUCUUAACAUAUAGUAAAUAAAGCACAAAAGGUAGAAAAGAAAAGUAGAAAAGUAAAGUUAUAUGGGAGUAGGAGGAAAAGACAAAAUGAUGUAAUUGGAAUUAUGGAAUGAUCAAGUUAUCAAACUAUAACUUGUGAAUUUGACAAGACUUUGAGACUUGGUGACCCUUAAGGGAGAGCUUAUCAUCACUUCGAGCUAGGUGACCAUUUUUUAAAAAAUUUCAAAAAUAAAGCCCAUGAAAAAUUUAUUUAUUAAGAAUAAUAACAAUUUUGUAUUUUUUUAUAUACAAAUUAGAUAUUUAAUUUAUUAGAAUCAUUUUGAUGGUAAUGACAAACAAAAUAACUCCUUAAAUAGGUGAAAUAAUUCAUUUUCUCAAAUUUAUAUGCAAAAUUAUUUUAAAACAAAAGGGAUGAUACAUUAUUUUUGUUCAACAAUCCACAUUUUGACUUUCAUUUUAAAAUCCAUCUAUAAAAAUCUCUCUUUAUAUAUAUCUGCCUAGAUUGCCUGAUCAUCUAUUCAUUCAUUGUCUAUAACUUCUUGCCUGAUUAUCAAUUUAGAUGUUCAUAUUUGCAUAUAUUUAUUCAUUCCACCAUGUAUUUUGUUGCUUAUUUGUAAUGUUUACAAUUUUGAUGAAAUGUUUGAUUAUUUGAAAACCGAAUUUCCCCAAACCCACUAAUAAAAAGCAACUAAAAGUCUGACCAAUCUAGAGGGGUGUUCUUGGCCGGUGGCCAUCCUGAUAAGUCACCUUAGCCGUAGACUAGAUUUAGAUUUUGCAAUUAGUACCUUUCUUUUCCUUCUAGGAAUCACUAUCAUCUUGACCAAUCUAGCCAUGUACCAAAAAGUCAAUUUUGCCAAGUUUAAAAAGUUUGCUUUAAGCCUGUUCAUCAUAGUUGACAGAAGUUAGAAUUACAAUGAAAUAUCUAGGAGAAAAUGUCCGCAGGAGCAGAGAGAGAGAGAGUGAAGGCAAUACAUUCAGUCAUGAAUUUGAUGCAAAUCCCAACGUACAUAAUUGUAUCGAAUACUCUCACCAUGAUUGUCGAUCUAUCGGAUCAGACGAUUACUAUGUUUGCCAAAAAUGCCUGGGCCGUAUGUGGAAUAAAUCAAUUCCACAAGGAAGGGAAACUGCAAAAUUCCGUACAAGGUCACUGGCAAACAGACUAAUGCUGCCAAGGUAAUAAGAAUCCAUGCCUUCUUUUCACCAAAGAGAAGAUAGAUUGCGCUACUGUAGGCUAUCAUCAUGAAUGUUACGGAGAGGAAUAGAGUAACAAGGCCAAAUAUCAACCUCCUGGGAAGGGCAAAAAGAAAAUCAUCUUCUGCAUAUCGUGCCGUGAGAAUGGAUAGGCAUAUCAGCACCGAAGCAAUGGAUAGUAAGAGGGAAAGAGCAUCGGAAGCUGCAAAAACUUUGAAGGCCUUUUCUUUGGUGAAAUUUGGUAUGCCAGUAUCAUCAUGGUUGCCACCCGGGAUGGUAAUUGCUGCUGCAAACACUACAGUAGCAAUAAGCGCUGCUGCUAAUGUGUAACAUUUUGCUGUGCCUUUCAUCCAUUUCUCCCUUUCUUUUAUCAAUUUUUCAUGUUCCUUUAUAAAUGCCAUUUUCGGUUUAUCUUUUUUUUCAUUUCUCAGAUUCACUGAAGGCUCUCGGGGCAUAUUUUUCAAUUUCCUUUGUAAAAAUCAAAAUGUUUCUAAGAUACAGAAAAAGAGUGGAUAUGUAUAAGAAAAUUAAUUCCCCUUCAAAACAAAAAUUAUUACCUUAAACCAAUGUAACUCGCGUUGCAUUUGUAGAGCUGCACCAGAAACGAGACUGAGCCGGUGCGGAGGGGCCAAUUUUCCAACCAAAUGCAAGAUGUUAUUUAAAUCAUCUUUGGCUCGUAUUAUAAGUUCUCUAUGCAUAUCGGUUCCACAGAUGAGGUUGAAAAUCUUUUCAUAACGAUUUAAUACUGCCAAUUUGAAUACAUCCUCAUCCAGAUACUCGAGGGCAAAAGGAUAUGACUUCAUAAUCUCUUGCAGAAUCUCGGGAAUCCCAUAUUUUGCCCCAGUAAUGAAGGCUAGUUUAAAUAUUUCCUGUGCUCUUGAUGCUUUCAAAACUUCAGUACAUAGGUGGUUAAGCAAUUGAAGAGUCAGAGAAUGCAUUGUUUUUGUUUCUUGGAUGUGCUUGAUGGGUGGUACUGCAAUUAAAAUUAUAUUAAGGACAACAUAACAUUGCAUUCAAAACUUUUGCAUGCUUUAGUGGUAGUUUUGUUGUGUUCCUUACCUAACCAUCCAACCAGUUCCCAGAACAUUGCAUUCACCUUUCGGCAAGUUGUGUGCAAUGAAAAUUGAAGCAGUUCAGAUGCAAAAGCAGGACUAACAGAAGAAAAAACAAAAAAGCAACCCUGAAUCAAGUACCAAUUAAACACUAAUCUAUCAGAGCUUUUUGGGAUUCAAUAGGUUUCAUAUACUUCCCUUAAACCGUCGCACUUGAAUUUAAAGGCUAGAAUCAAGAAGCCUAAUGAAACUUGGUACAAGCUCAAUUACUCGACUUCUUAUUAAUUAACCAGGAGCAUCAGGUGACAAGAUAUUCAUAAAAUCUAUCAGAGCAAUGAAAAUUGUGUAUCCUACAUAAUUCUUUGAGUAGUAGAGUAUUAUCCAUUGGAAUUUGAUUGUAGAGCUGAUUUCAAAUCCAUUACUUGAACUUAAAAGGAAAAAAAUGAACACAAUUUUGUGAGGACAAAUUAAAAUUGUGAGGAUCUCAAAUUCAACAAGUUAGCAUUUCUCUACCAGGUGCAAUUUGGCAAAUUGGUUUGACCUAACUUGAAUAUCGGAGAAGUUGAGAAACCAUUUUUAGUACUCAAGUUAGAAUUUGGUCAAGCUUCUCAACCAAAAGUUAAUUUGGGUUGAGCUCAAUUUUGGGCUGAGUUCAAACCAAUGCUUCAACAAUCUAAGUUGAAUUAAACUCCAUUAAUAUUUUAUAAUAUUUAUAGAAUAUAUUACUAUAUAAUAAUAUCAAUUUUUUUUUCUAAAAUAAUUUUAAGGGAAAAACCAUCAAAAUAUAUUAAGCCAACUCUCAGAAAUUUGCCUACCCCCUUGUGAACACUAUUUGGAAGGAAAAUUAAUUAGGAAGCCUCUUAAGCAAGCCAGAAAGGUAUUUGGUCCUCUGUAGCCUAUGCAUUCCAUAGUACAGGGCCUAAUGAACAUGAGAGCAAAGCAUGGUGCCUACUACUUCAUCACAUUUACGGAUGGUUAUAUCUACAAGUCCAAAUAAUUGCUUUGAUUUAGAUGUUAUAUGAAUAUUGUAAAAAAAUGAAAAGAAAAAACUAUUACAACAUUAAGGAUAAAUCAUGGACAUGAGUAUCCAUUGAAGAGUUUUAAAAAUCUCUAUGAUGAAAAGCAAAUCCAAAGAACAAUCAAUAGCUUCAAGGACUCCACAGUAAAAUGGUUGAACUGAAAAUAGUAACCAUAAACUUUUGGAUAUGGUUCACUCAAAAAGGCACAAGCCAACUAUCUAACAUCUUUCAAGGUGGGAAAGGAGGGUUACUAUUUUGAUUGCAACUUAAAUCUUGAGUGAAGUGCCCUCAAAAUCAAUUACUUCAAAUCCAUAUAGUUAAGAAGUCAAACCUAACUCACUUGUGAUCCUAAGGGUUAGUAGGUUUAGUUCAUGUAAAUUCUCAUAGAUAUUGUGCUAUAAAGGAAACAAGUGCACUUUCAUUCAUUAGAUAUUCUAAGAAAUCAAAGGUUGUGUGAUGCUUAGUGAACAACUCAAUGGGAGUAUAAUUGAAAUAAAGUCAGAUGAAAUCACUUUCUUAUAGGAUGAUAUUUUGAGCAGAGGAGCAUUGAACAGGAGUCUCAAUUUAUUUGAGGCAAUUAAACCAAAGGAAAAUACUAUGAUAUCUCAUAUCGAACAGGGGAAAAAGUUCUUGACAUUAUAUAUAUAUAUAUAUAUAUAUAUAUAUAUAUAUAUUAGCUUCUCUUAAUUAUUUAGACACAUUUUAAUGUUGUGAGGGUGUAGACCCUCAAUUUUGUCCCUUUAACACAUGUCUUUAAAUCCGUUUUCAAUGCUCCGUAAUAGUUCCUUGGUGGCCCAUAGCUACUCAUACCACUUACCUUUUUUUUGAGUCACCUUGGAGACUUUGGUUGAGGGAUUAUUUGAUCCCUUAUUGUGACCCUUGGCAACCCUAACUUAGACUUAGGCUUUUCUUGUUUUUUUUUUAGGAUAGCUUUUAGAUACACUUGGCCCAUUAGGCACCACCCUAGGCCCACUUAGUCUCACCUUAGGCCCGUUUAGGCACACUAGGCCUACGAAGACUUUUAUUUUAUUUUAUUUAUUUAUUUAUUUAUUUUGUUUUAGUUUUAAUUUUAUGAUUAUCAUUCACUUUUUAUUGGUUAUCUUCCUCUUUAUAUUAUUUUCCUUAACUUAUUUAUUUAUUUAUUAUUUUUACCAUUUUCUAAUUUAUUUACUUAUUUAUCUAUUCAUGCAAUUAUUUAACUUAAAAAAUUUCAUGUUUUUGCAAGGAAACUUACCAUUGGAGUUUAAGGAAGGCGGGACCCUCCUUGGAAGGUUUUGGAGGGGAAUUUGAAAUUGGGAAGAUUGCUUUUGAUUGGAAGAUUUAAAAAAAGAGAAGAGAAGAAGAAAGGAAAUAGGAGAAUUCUCCUUUUUGGAAACAAAUUUAGGUCUUGAGGAGUGAUAUAUAAAGAGAAAAAAGGAAAAGAAGAGAAAGAGGGGGCAGCACGCAUUGGAGGAGAUUGGUUUUAGAGAAGAAGAAGGAAGAUAGCAAAAAAAGAGAUUUUUUAAGAAAACUUUCAGCACGCAUUGAGAACGGAGGGGAAUUGGAAAAGAGAAGCAAUCUUUGCCUCUUUAAGAGAAGUUCUAAGGUAAGUUUUCGGAGGAUUCUUUUUAUUUUUAUUUUUCUGGCUUAUAUCCCUAAUCUAUGUUCUUCAUUCUCUCAUUUUAUGAUUUGGGACACUGUUUGCUUGGUGGGUUGAAGAUGUAAGAAACUUCAUGCGAACUUUAUUGAUUUCUGGUUCUUGUUUAUGCUUACUGAUAUGGUUUCAUUCCUCGCUAUUCUUUUUCUUUUUUUUUAUUAUUAUUUUCUAUCAUAUGAACUCAGUGAGACUCUGUUUUAUGGAAUAUUAUUUGAUGAUAUUGGUUGCCCUGUUUCUCUUUUACUCCUCCCACUAAUCCAAGCCCAUGGAUUAACAUUUGAAAUGGGGACAUGUUUAUUGGCAUCCUCUGCUUAUUCCUUCUCCGGUCUACUAUGUGUCUAUCCAUGUCCUCUGUUCCCCUUUCCAUACUGCAUUCCAGUCCUUGUCUGUAUAUUUGGGUGUGUAUCUGAGACCGAUAGAAGUACUGAUGUGAAAGAUAAGGUGUGUAGCACACGCAGUGUGCUCAGUGUAUUCCUGGUGGAGUGCGGAGAAUGAAGGGUAGUGAUGGAGAUUCAAAUCAUGUGAAUUUGGUUGAAUUACAGAAGAAGGCUACCACUUUGAAUUUUCUCUACGUGGCAUAUUGGGAUUAAAAGAGUUCCACGCAUAGUCCAUGAUGAAGACAGCCUGCAAGCAUAAAUGGGUAUCCCACGUGGCUAUGAGACUAAAUGAUAUUCCCAUACAAGUCUGCACCUUUGUGAGAGACGUGUCGCUAUUGAAGAAGCAGCCGCAUCCUUGAGACUGUCUGCGCACAAGGAGAAUCUCCAGGGGUGCUUACCUUAUGUACAGAUUUGCAUGGUGAUUAGCUACGCUCAGGUAGUCCUGAAAUGCUUGCAAAUCUGCAUGGUUCACCAAUUGAGUCCGGGAAUUCUGACAGAUCUUCAGGAAUGGAUGACGAGUCCAAUAACCGCGAGGUGAAUUCUAAUUUAGAAGUUCCUAAUGCAAAUGCUGGUCAUGCUAAUGCUCUGCAUGCCAGCGCUGAUGUUGAUAUGAAUGGUGCUAGUCUUGAAGAUCAAAUUGAGCCAACUGGCCCGGUUUCUAAAUAUGGCACGGGUGAGCCACAGUCAAGGCCAAACACUCUAGUUCCUUGCUAUUGAGAUCUACUAUUUAUCAAAAAGACCUAUCCCCAAAUCAGUCCAACAGAAGCCGAAUCAAUUGAAACAUGAAAGCAAUGAGGGUACAAUAUAAAGGGGCAGUUUUUGGCGAGCCGAAUCCGCACCCUUUCGUCCUUGUUGAUGUUGCAUAGAAACUUACGGUGAAUGAGAAAACCAGUCAGUCAAUUCUGGUUAGUGGUGAAAGUGGGAUGCUUAUGCGUUAUCUCGCCUACAUGGAAGGGAGAUCUGUAGCUAAGGGAAGGACUAUUGAGCAACAAAUUCUAGAGUCCAAUCUAGUUCUAGAAGCAUUCGGUGAUGCAAAGACUGUCAGAAACAAUAAUUCAAGUCGGUUUGGUAAGUUUGUGGAGAUUCAAUUUGAUCAGAGGAGAAGGAUUUCAAGAGCAACUAUCAGGACUUAUUUUCCGGAAAGAUCCUGUGUUUGUCAAGUGCCUAAUCCUGAGAAAUUAUCAUCGCUUCUACAUGCUUUGUGAUGCAUCAGCGGAGAAUGUUCAAAGGUCCAGAUUGGGAAAAGCAGGAAGUUUCCAUUAUCUGAAUCAAUCCAAUCGCUAUGAGCUGGAAGGUUGACAGCAACUAAAGACCUUUGCCAUCUCAUUUUUCCCUCACUAAAAUCUGAACCUAAGGCAUACAUGCAUGCUGUCACCAUGGCUCCCGGUCACUCACAUCUAGAAGAUAAGAACAUAAGGAAAAUUCUUGUGGUAAAUGAGCAAACAGACCUGUUUUUACACAGUUCGUUGAUGAUUCACAUGAAAGCAUUUGAUUCAAGACACCAUCUCGCGGAACUGAAAGCGAUGUUAAGGAGAGAACUGAAGGUUUGGUCUUCUGGUUUGUGCUUGGAGGGGAAUAGGAUUUCUGCUGGAGGUAGUGGGAGCCUUUCUGAUAAUUCUUCCAGAGAUUCUGUUGCAAAUGAAACCAGUGCAGCAUCUAGAACUGACAAACCAGCUUUGGAGCGAAGAGAUAAAAAGUACUCUUCAAAUAAUAAUGGUCCAGAAGUGGAGAUUAGUCGCUGUUGUGUAGUCCUUUAGUCUUCACUAAGACUAUUAGUUGGCAAAGUUCACCAGAUUUUGAGGCAAUUCAAGACUAAUUUACUUGAUAUGGAUGCUGCUCUCCCUGAGGAGGCUCCAAGGCCAUCAAGGCCUGACUUAGAAAAGAAAUUGGCAUGGCAUGCUUUUGAUUAAAUCUGCAGAGACAAUCUUUGAGAUGGUUAAAGCAACAAUCAUGCUCGAGGGCAUGAUUAAGAUUGAAUACUUGAUGAACGGAUGGUGGCAUUGGUCAUCACUCUCUGCUGUUGCCAAGACUUCUAUCGUUUCUUCCCUUGCCCUCUGCAUAUACUCUCUGGAUGCUGCCAUUGCGUAUGAGAAGAUCUCAUUUAAUUUGGAUGACUGGCAGUCCCUCGCUCAACCAGAAAUGACAGUAUCUCCCACUCAGCAGAUGCCACAUGCAGAACAGCCAAUUCCUCCAUAAGUUAACCAUCCUUCCUCAUCUUCAGCUAUUGCAUUAUCAAAUUUUCUCCAAAGUGCUAGUGCAAAUGAAUCAAAAGGAAGCUUAGUUAAAAGUCCUAACCUGCUUUUGUCCGAAUUAUCAGAGUUUUCAAAAGAAACAUUGCAGCAAAUACACGAAUCAAUUGGAUUCAGCUUAUAGUCUCAAUGCUGAUGGUGAAAAAUAGCUAUGCUGAUCCAGAAGAGUAUAGUGAUGAAGAUUACAGUAGUUUCCAGAGGCCAAAAGUAGUAAUUGAAGGAAAACCAGAGAAGACUCUCAAAGCCAAAAGAAUCAUGGGACUCUGAACAGUUUGAGGAUCUUUGAUCAGAUCAGUCCAGAAAUCAAUCCUAAUCAGAGGAUGCAUACUGAUAGAGAUCAGGGAAGGUAUCUGUUUACUAGGACACCGUCCAGACUUGAACUUACUGACAAGCACUCUAAAUUUGGCAUCCAUGUUUUCUACUAAAGAACAGCUACUGCCUCUUUGUGAGUGCUUCCCUGCGUCUGUUGCUUCAGAAAAAUCAAUGAGUGGCAGUGUGCAUUUGAAUUGGUUUGUGAAGCAAUGUAUACUGAGCUGCGAAUUGUUCAUCAAGAUAAGUAUGGCUGGGUCCUCCAUGCUGAAAGUGAGCGGCGAACCUAUCUCCAACGACUCGUACAUGAGCGAGGAAUACUUCCAAUGCACAAAACAAGUCUGAUUGAAGGUCCUGAAUAGCAGCUUUGUCCCAUUGAAAGUCCAUAUAGGACGUGCCAGAAGCUUGAAAGAUGCAAAUUAAAAAUCGAUACCAUCCAAAAUGUUCUAGAUGGACAGUGUGAAUCAGUGGAAAUAGAGCUGUCCGGAGAGAAAAAUGAGAUAGGUUUUUCGAAGCAUCUGAUACUGAUUCUGAGUCAUAUCUCCCUCUUUUAGACAGUGGUGUCAAACAGAUUGAUGACAAAUAUUUUGAUGAAUCAUUCUUUAAAGAAUCAGAUGAUAUUAAAGAUGUUGCUUCCGCAAGGAGUGGAUGGAAUGGUGACCGAGCUAGCAUCAUAAAUAAAGCAAGUCUUCACUCUGCUUUGAAUUUGGUGUCAAGUUUAGUGCAGCCACUGUCCUAAUGUCAGAGCAUUCAUGGGAUAUCUGACACAGGAUCUCCAAGGCAGUCUUCUUCUAAGAAAAAUUGAGGAGGGGAAAGAUAGUGAGGAUAAAGUGGAUAAGGAACCGCUUGAUAAUAGUGGAUACUUAACUAGACCGUACCUGGAACCUCUUGCAAAGAUGAAAUUCAGAUAUAAUUGCGAACAAGUAGUUGGCCUUGACAAACAUGAAGGAAUGCGAAGAUAAACUCUCUGUUAUUGAUUAAGCUUUGGGAGCAAUGAAGAAUAUUAAUUUGCGGGUGUGCCGUGGCAUGAGGGUUGCUGUUUGUGGUACUGUAAGCUCAGACAAGUCAAGCUUACUAUCCUGUAUGUUCUGAGAGGUGUCUAAGAUAUCUGGUAUCUUUAAACUGUGUGGAACAAAGGCCUAUGUUACUCAGUCUCCUUGGAUACAGAGUGGCAAGAUAGAAGAGAACAUCUUGUUGGUAAAGAGAUGGACAGAGAAAGACCAAAAUACGAUUGAUACAAACAUUGCAACAGCCAAUCAAGCCAUCCUUUGCCUCUUAAAACUAUGAUGAAUCCAUUAUGAGAUCGCCACCAUCCCCGAUAUAUUGAACCAUCACAAUCUUUUGAGUCUGAAUUCCCUACACUGCAUGUAUUAUCAAGAAACAACCCUUCAACAUCCUCACCGCUGUCAGCAUCUCAUGCAGAGCUAGAAGACAGCCCACAGCAGAACCCCCAACUUCUGUACAAAAGCAUCUAAAGAUAGCUCCAAUUCCAGGAGUUGAUGAUUUAAUUGAUCAAAUGGCUGUCACAACUGGUCUUCUUUUUUUUUAUUUUACCUUUUAAUGGAAGCCACUCAGCCUUCUGUUGUUGAUGCAAAUUCAGAGCGAGAAAUUGAAAUUGAAGUCUAGAGUGAGAUCCUUUUUUACGAAAAGGAAACAAACAUUGAUGAUAGUGAAUAAUGGUGUUCCCCUUAAUCAAGACUUCAUCAGUAACUUACCCUCUCUGAUCCUGUGCAUGGAACCAUGGAAUUCGUAUCCUCUGCAAUGAGCUUACAGCAUAUGUGCUGACACAAAGCAAAGGGAGAAUCAGAUUAUGAUGAGUACAGAUCAGCAUGGGGACGAGAAGGUCUGGGUUAACCAUCUUCAAAGAGCUUGUGUACCUUACCAAAUCUAAAUAGCAAAGGAGAAAUAAGAGAAUGGUGGAGUACGGUGUCUUCUAGGAGGUCACUCUCGAAAGUCCAGAAAUGUAGGAUCCAUCAGUAAGCUCUAAGUUACUGCCCCUUUGCCUUCACACACGCGAAGAAGUUGCUGAAUCCUAUUGACUGAGAGAUAGUUUCUGAUUCUGGGCAAUUUGAUAUGCCUAAAGAAUGGGAAGUUAUUCGGGAAACUGAACAUCUGAAGAUCAAUAAAGACAUAAGCAUUCAGUUAAUGUUUAGCAGGUUGACGACAGAAACAGAACCCUGAUGUUAAUAUAAGGGAAAUUGCUGAUACACAUUUCCAGAUCAGAUGAUAAGUAGAAAUUGCUUUUCUGCCAGCGUUUCCUCUUUUCUGCCAUGGCGAAGCACCUUUAGGAUGAUGACAAUGGUUCUACUUUCUCCAAUGUGGUGAAUCCAAAUGACUUCUUGUCAUUCUCUGAACCUGAAUUAGAAGAAAUAUUGGAAGAUAUCAGCUGGAGUGCACCAAUCUGGUUUGGGUUGUGAUGCCAGUAGCAUGAAAACAGGAACUUUAGGAAGAGAUGGUAGUGAAAUUUCUUUCUCCACAAUUGUAUGAGCGAAUCGAGUUUGCAGACAGCGACCACUGAUGUAAGAACGCAGAAUUCCAUUUCAGCAAUCUACAGAAACAUCUUCAGGCAACCCAAGUAAUUCAGUCUCAAAAGUAGCCUAGACACUAAUCCAGCUUGGCCACCUCACCACGCAUCAUACUCCUUCUAUUGUUUCUUUUUCUUCUUUUGUGAUUUUAUACAUCUUAAAUCUAGAUUUCAAAACCAUUCUACGUCAAAAUAACUCCAAUUUUCUUUAAACUUCUUUAGAAGCUCCUAGGUACAAAAUCCAGAUUUUAACAUGCAAUUUGCUGCCACUUUACUUCGGGUAUGCACUUUCACUGUUUUCUUUGAUUUUAACUAUUUUCGUGUUUUUCUUGAUUUUCCUAAGCAUGAACAAACUUCAUAAUUCCAAAUCAUGGAAUUUAUGGAAUCAACUCAUGCGAAAUUAAUUAGGGCUUUGGUGGGGGCCCGACAUUCAUGAUACCUUAUUCAAUAUUGUUUGCUUGAUAUGUUGAUUUUUGAUUCUUCUUGAUGAUAUACAUGAAUGUGUUUCGUAUUUAUUGUUGAGAUGCUCUUGAUCCCCAUAGAGGAGUACUAGCUUGCUAUUCAGGUACGCUCUCUUCUCAUCUAUUUUUUUUUAGAACUCUAUAGACUUGUAUGCCAUUGAUAACCAUAUCCAUAUUUGACGUGAUUCUUGGAUGACUUGAUAUAUGCCUGACUUGCUUGAAUAAAACAAAUGUUGUGUGCUACAUUCCUACACUAACUUUUAUGUUUUAUGAUAGCGCUUGAAGAGCGGUUCAGGUACGCACCCUAACUCUCCUUUAUUGUGAUUUGAUCUUGUUUAACAUGCAAUUUUUUGAAAUCACCUAGCCUACUUAGGUAUCCAUAAUUAACCGAUUAAUUGUCAUAUUCCCCUUAACUUAGUUAGUAGAGACCUUUAUAGGGCUUAGAGGGGUGCUGCCUUUCAAAGGUACCUUCCCAAUAGGUAACCUAAUCCCCGGACUUAGACUCGGGUUUUUCAAAGACGCUUUUUCCAAAAAUUAUGGAGUCAUUUUUUAGGGUUUUAUUUCUUGUUUUAUUUUCCCCUUUAAAAAAAAAUAAAAUAAGUGGCGACUCCAACUUUUUUUCCAAAAAUCAAUUUUUCACAAAAUAAUAAAAAGCGAGUCUCGCCGAUCGAGUGGGGACGCACGUGAAAAAUGCGGGUCCACAGAGGGCUCUUUGAGCCCAAAGUGGAUAGUAUAUAUUUACACAGUUGGAAGUGAGUCAUUACAAAUGGUAUCAAAGUGUAUCCCCAGUCAUGAUAUGAGAGUUUAUCUCAUCAUUGUAAUUAUGGGCAUUAAGGUGAAGCUUUCAUGUUUGCAUCAUAAGAUCAUGAUGUUAGGAUAGAUUCUUUAAAAGCAUGAUAUGAUGUAACCAUAAAUGGAAUUCAUUAAUACUUAUAUUAUGACUUUGAAUUUCUAUUCACUAUCCUAUUUAUGAAUUAUGUAUGUUAAGCCUUCAAACCUACAUCACUUGCAUGUACAUGACUUGAGUGAAUUAGGAGUUACAUGAAAAAUCUAAGUCAUAGAUUCCUUGCAAGUUAAUGACUCAUUCACAACUGGUUCAUGGACUUCAAUAAACCAUUUGAGGCUAUAGUGCACUACCUCCUAAUUGGAGGGAUAACUUGCCCUAGUCAUUAGGAUGGGUUUCCCAUGGUGAGUGUACGUACUAGUGUGUUUAGUUAUGUUGGGAAACCUAGAUCUCUCCAUUCCCAUAACCCUGGAUUGUAUAGGUGCAUGCAAAAUACCCUAGGCCUCUAAAUCCUAUGCAACAAAAGCAAAAAUCAAAAUUUUAACAUUCUAUAAUCUAGAGAAAAGUCACCAAAAACUUUGAGAAAAUUAAAGGUUAAUCUUAAUAGAGAAAACACCCAAGAGAGGAGGGAAGGGGGGGGGGGGGGGGGGGGGGUUUGAAUUGAGUUUUUAAAAAAUCAUUUUCAAACACCACAAAUUCAAGAAAAGGAAACACAAAUAUAAAGAGAUAAGGUUAAAAAGAGUAAAAUUAGAUUUUAUAGUGGUUCAGCACUUCCUUGCCUACAUCCACUCUCCUCAACCUCUUAACUGAGUGAAGGUUCCACUAUACUUGAAGCUUCAACUAAGCUUUUAAUCACCUUUACACUUGGAUUCUAGCUCCAAUGGACUAUUACAUAAUCCCUUCAAGUCUUAACUCACUUGAAGCUUUUAGCAUUCAAAAUAACAAGUUUGAAUCUCUCAACCUAGCUCAACAAGGGCUCAAAUACAACUUAAAUGUUAGGAAGAAUCACAAGGGGGCACUAAGGAAUAUGCAAAUGGAUAUUUAAUGCACUAAGGAAAGAAUGAGAGCUUUUGAGGCAAGAAUAAGUAGGCAGACAAAUAAAUGCAGGUGUUCUCUACCUCAUAAAUGAAGUGGAGUUCUCAAUUUGUAGGUUUCUAGCCUCAGGAGUCAAAAAUGCCGAAAAACGGCCUUGACCAGUCGAGUUGGGGUUACUAGCCAUUGGACAAUAAAUGCAUGAUAGGUGAUCGUUACACCUCGACUGGUCCUUGACCAAAUCUUGAUUAGAUCUCAACCGAGAAGGCAUAUCCCUUGAUCGGGAAUGCAAAGCUAUAAGAAGAGAGAGAAGAUUUUUGCAUUUCUGGACUAGACCUCGAUCAAGAAGGUGUAAUCAGUUAACCAGUGCCCUAGCCGGUUGAGCCAGUUGGCUAGUGCCUUGACCAGUUCACCAUUUUUUGCCUGAAAACCUUUUUUUUUUUUUUUUGUUCUUUUCUCUUCUAACACUUAAACAAGGUAUUUAGGUAAAUUAAUAUGCCAAUUUUGAAACAAUUUGCCUAAGGUUCAUAUGAUAAAACUCAUGUUUUGACGAAAAUGUAACUUUAAUGCCUAAACUGAGUUUUUAAAGUGCAUGAAAAGAUAUGAAAAUCCUAAGUGCACCAUGCAUUCAUCUUACAUAUGUUUCCUAUUAUUAAAGGGUCUUCCAAUUGUCUUGAUCUUGCAUCCAUUGGGUCCUUUGAUGAAUUUCCAAACUAAUACUUGAAAUUCUUUAUAAUUCAAACCAAGUAACAACUUAACCAUGGUUUGUUAUCAUCAAAACAUGAUUAGGAGAACCCUUGGGCUAACAAACUUUAGAUUUGAUUUAAAUGGUUCUUAAAUCAAUUUUGCUUAGUGAAGGUGAAUCCUAAAGAGUUCAGAUGUCUCACACACCAAAAAUCUUUUGCUUGAUGACUUGAUCCAUAAUCUUGGCACUCCAAAAUGUGGGCUUUGGAAUAGAGGAAUCCUAGGCUCUCUCUCUUUAGACAUAGAAGAUGAUUGUCUCUCAAAAAGUGAUUGGAACCCUAAGCUUUAAAGGGUAUUUAUAGCAUUUCCCUACUAGGCUUAAAUGACUUGAGCCCACUAAGGCUUGGGCCACUUAAUCUUAUCUAAAAUGGGUCUUAAUUGAUUAAUUAACCAUACAUGAUCAUCUAAUUAACCAAUUCAUGUCAAUGAGAUAAUAAAGAGAAAACAAAAAAUAUAAAUAAAUUUCUAUCUGUUACAUCAUGUCAUGCUUUUUAGGGCUCAAUCCUAAUAUGUUACACAUUAGAUAAGAUUUAUGGUGAGUCAGAGAUUGGUCAUUAGGUAGCCUUAACUUCACCAAGCUACUAUGUUGCAUAAGCUCUCAACCUUGAGAGAAUAUUGAUCUAGUGCUAAGGUCUUCAAAGGCUUUGACCCAUGAGUGAGACCCUAAAGUGGUCAUAUAUUCUCUAUAGAUAGGAUUACUAUGAUUGAGGCAUGUGAUAAUGGGUAUUCUCAAGAUAAGCACCAUGAUAUCUUAAGGGUUUGAGACAUUAUGUCCCCUUAGGUGAUCCUAAGGACAUGUGAUCGUGAAAAUUAUGGCCAUAAUGAUUCCUUAAGUGGAAUUUAACAUAUGCUCUUGGAGGGAUAUAGUAUGUCAAUUGAUCACAUAAUAGGAGGAUCUAAGACUCAAGGAUUGUAGAAGUAAUCUUGAGAGGUUGAUAACAUUCAUUUUGUUAAAUUAUGGAUACCAAUUCAUGAGGAGCUUGCAUGCAAUUGUUAGUAGGUCACAGACUGAAGUUUUCUAUCUC